This 306239-nucleotide long non-coding RNA is filed under the name Pelobates cultripes (western spadefoot toad). Lineage: Eukaryota; Metazoa; Chordata; Amphibia; Anura; Pelobatidae. The record is from RNAcentral.
CAGCAGAUGGAUUCGGAGUCACUGACUUUUCAUAUGUACUUCAACAGAUGAUGAAAUGCGAGAUCUCUCUGAAAAAAAAAAAGGCAAAACAUCUUUCAGUAAAAAGAACUCUACUCUGCAGAUGGGGACCUUCUAAGGCAGCUGAUUAUUGUCUUAAAAUGCAGACUUACUGAAUGUUUCAAGGUCUUAUCAGAUGCCACGGAUACAAUGACAUAAUUAUUAGAAGUCUCCGCAGAAAAAAAGUGACUAAAUAGAGAAUUUAGAAGUAGCUUCCUUUAUGUCCUUUCUCAAAGACUAGCAGAACCCUCCCCCCCAAACUAUUUUAGAAAAAGAAAACAAAUUGAAAAAAACAUGACAACAAAUCAAGAAAUAUUUUUGAUUUUGCUCCUACAUAGAUUUAUUUUAAGCGUACCACAUGGACUUCAAAUGUCACAAAAUUUGGAAAUAUGCCCCCUCAAUCAAAAAGGUAGAAAAUUGCAUGUAUAUAACUUAAAAUAAUAUUAAAAUGUUUUAUUUUAUGGAAUGAUAUAACACAAUGUCUAUACAUAUAUAUAUAUAUACAUAUAACUGUUGCGCAUCACCUGUAUAUCUCAAGUUGGACUUUGAGAGGUCCUCCUUGGGCACAGAAGCUCGAGAAACCAUGUUUCCACAACUAUCCCAGAGUUCCCAGCUUGACAUGCAAAUGAGCACAGACAGACCUCAUGUUUCAGACUUCAUUUUGCAUUUCUGUAGACAACCUUAGCAAUUGACGCUGUUUUAAGUAUAGUAUUUUUUUUAAACCAAAUCAUGGGUUGUAAUCCAAAAGGUUUAAUAACCAGAAACAAGCCAUGGACUGUGCAACGGUAAUGUUGUAUAGAUCUACAUUUAGCAGUGAGCUUUUAAACUAGAAGAUCCAGGAAUAAAACCUUGUGAAUCAUUCUUCCAUUGGGGCUGUCAUGAUAAAAAAAAUAUAUAUAUAUUCUUAAGAAAUUUAGUAAUCUCAUUUCUUUUUGAAAUAUGAGAAACUAGGAAACUUGCUUUUGUCUUCUUUUUUCAAACUCUACACUGUAUUCAGUUUUGAUGACUGCCAGAGGCUGUUAGUCUGAAAUAAUUGUUUCCCAAGUUUUGGUGAAGUUUUCUACUGUCUUGGUUACCACCAUCUUCGGAUCUGUUUGCUUCUGAUGUCUUGAUUAUUAAUUUUUUUCCCUAGAUUAAAUAGGUGAAGAAUGUUCUCCUCUCCUGCAUAUCUAGAGUAAUCUCUGACUGACUAUCUUCUAUUCUUCUGUCACUUCAAUCUCUGAGAACCUCUGACUUGACAUAACAUAACUUCCUUGCACUCUACUACACUUACAAACAUAGUCGGUUUCCCUCUUGGUGACUAUGCUUUAAAAUUGUUCAUGAGCAUCAAGGUGAGGGUAAGAGUUAGCAAGAUUUAGCAAAUGUGUAGGAUAGGAUGUGAGCAACGUUGGGUGAUGAAUUAGAAGGGGAAAAUUUGGAAAGAAAAGAGAAAAUAAAGAAAAGAGAAAAAAGGGAGGGGUGGUGAGGGGUGGGUUUAAAACCAGCAUGACCUGUAUCGCUCUUCUGCCUCCACCUGUACCUCUAGCAGGAGAAUCUGGCACCCAGCUGGCCCCACGCUCAUCAGCAGCUCAGAGCAAAUUCCGGGGGAUGUCUAUUCAACUAGGUUAAUGCAAAGCAGUGGCCUCGUCAGUGUGACAAAGUUGUGGCAUCUAUGGGGCUGACUGGAUCCCUUUCUCUUCAGGGGCAGUGGCCUCUGGAUCUUUCCCCUAGGGGUUACUUAACAGAACCACAUCAUCAAGGGGAGGACACAAUAGAUCAUGAAAGUGACGGUGACCCGCUCUGCCCGGAGCCUGCAGGUCCAGAAAAAAAGCCAUCAAAGACAACAGAACAACACAGUGGAGUAAGUUUUUCUCUUUCUGGAGGUGAAUGAAUCAACUCCUCAAUAAACCUAAUAUCCUCCACCCUCUCCACCUAGUCCCUGGCCAUAGGAGAUGCUCUUUGCCUCCAGAAGCAAGGACAUGUAAAUUAAUUUAACCCUGUAAGUCCACACACCAGAACCACUUCAGUGAUUUAUAUGUGUGGCAAUUCUUUUUGAAUUGCUAGCGAGGGAUAGUGAUGUCAUCUAAGGAGGAUUUUUAGGAGGACCUUUCGGGUAGGGGAACAGCACAAAAUAGCAUUACUACAACCAAAGUCAGUGUUUUUUAAAAAAAAAAAAAAAAUUUUUUUUUGAUUGGAGUAACCCUUUACCAUUAGAGGAAAUGUACAUGGAUACAUAUAUUCAUAUAGAUAUUCUUGCAAUUGUUGUGUAUUCUUUGUUUGUUUUCUAAAACUGGGAACCACAACAUAUCUGUUGCUGCAUCAUAUUUAAAAGAAUGUAUCUGCAAUUUAUGUGUUCCACCAAGCACCCAUCUUCUCUCACUGCUGAACUUUAUACAUUGUAUCCUGCACCACAUAUAAUAGUGCAUACAGUGGCUACUUUAAGAGAUACACCUGCUCAUUAAUGCAAAUAUCUGUGAACCACAGAGAGUGAAUCAUGCGGCUAUAAUUCAAUAACCACCACAAUGCAGACCAAGUUAAAUUUUCCUUCAACCAAAUAACAGAAUGGGGAAUCAAAGUCAUAUAUUUAAUUGACAUGGCCCACAAUUUGAGUAUUGGUGUUAGAUGUGGUGGCUUAAACUUUUCAAAAACAGCUAAUCUAGGAAUUCUUGGACUGUUAGUGGUCCAUGAAGACUGGGUUGGGGACCACUGUUGUAGAAAACACAUAACGAUUUGGUGCAGUGCUUAAAACCAUUAGCCGUGCACCACUAAACAGAACAACUGCCAGCACGGAGUGACCAUGGCACACUCAACAGAGAUAAAGUUCUACUCCCAGGGCGGAAUUUUCACAGUUUUUCACUAUUUUCACUAUUGAGCACCACUUUGAUGUAUACAGCAACAUAAAGUUAAGCCUGUGUGGGGUGGUGGGAAAGCAUCUCAAUUUGUUGAGGUGGUGAUGCAUCUUUUUAAAUGUAUUUUUAGUUAUUGAAUUAAAACAUAUGAAAAAAAAAAGAAAAGUUUAAAAAACAAAACAAAAAGGUUGCAGGAUUCCUACACUUUAGAACACUUGCAGUAAGAUUAGUCCUGACCCGGAAGUGACUUAUGUGUUUAUGACGUGUGGAAUUUCCUUUAAGACACUUGUUGCAUAAAAAGGUCCAUCAGGAAAGUCUAGAUAUUAUUUAAUUGAACAAAUAAAACAAUUAGAUCCUUAAAACAAUAAAAUAACAAUAAUAUUUUUUUUGUGAUGAGUCCAAGUGACAUCUUUGUAAGCAACACACUCAACCAAAUGGUGUUGAAAUGGUUGAUACCAAUGCCAUCUCUUCAACCAUGCCUACGUGUAAACUGGAUUAGCAGGUAACUAGGUAAGUUAAAACUGACACAUCAAAAAUAGAUCUCAGUGGUUAAUAUUUUUCGUCGGCUGGCUUUUUUUUUGUUUGUUAUUAGCAACAUUUUACUGCUACGAUAGAAAUGGGGGCCAAAAUAUAUUGAGGGCGCUGUCAAAAUAAAUAGUUUCUUUACAGGAAAAAAGGAAAUCAUUUUCUGGGAAAUAAAAUAUUUUGCUUGAAUAGAAAAACAACAAUUAACAAAAUGUGGGUGAUCUCAAUGAUCAGCAAUAAAAGCAAAUGUCACACAAACAAAAGUAGAACCACCUACCCAAACACAGAUAUCUCCUACUCAAAUUAAAUACCACAACGUGUUUUCAACUGAAUGAUUCAGGUGCUAAAUAAUGUCAGUAGUGACAAGUACGGAUGGAAAAUCAGAAGCAUACACACAAUAUUCAUUUCAAUCCAGUGUGUGAAAGAAAAAAAGUUUGCAUCUCUUGGACAAAAAGGUUUAAGAAAUGCAGACAGAAGUGAAUAAAACAAUAAACCACCAGCUAUGCACAAUACACAAAUGGUACUAAUGAAUCAAUCAUCAUAAUAAAAAUCUGCUUAGAAAUGAAAAAAUAUAUAUAUAUAUAUAAAAAAAAAAUUUAGUCGGGGGCGUGGCUAACCGCCGAGCUGAAUGGACGCACAUUGAGCUAGCUGCUCUCGACCCAAACUCAAUCCACAGCGAUCGGGGAAAUUAACACAUUAUGGGUAACCCCAAAAAGCACUCCAACCCCCAAGGACAAUCAGGGAAGACGCCUACGGCGAAAUCGGGAUCUCUUACCCGAUAUUUUAAGGAAAACUCGGACCGCAUGGCGGAGGCCGCGGCCGCGACCUCAAAUAUGGCUGAAACAGAACCUCUCUCAGAAUCACAACCUCGCAGUCCCUACUACUCAGACUGCUCACAGCCGGCAGACAAGCAAGACGAAACUGAUAUUCGGAUCUUGAUUCAGAACCUGCCAUCAAAAGCUGACAUACAACUUAUGCUGAGCAAAAUAGAAACUUCCUUCCAAUCCAAAAUGGAAGAAAUGGGCACGGACGUCCAACAACUAACCCUGCGGGUCACGGACCUGGAAGAAGAAAAAGACGUCCUACAAGCUCAAAUUACCAACAUAGCAACAACCCUGGACUCACAUAUCCUAAGCUGGACAUCUUCCCAACGACAUAUUGAUGACCUCGACAACAGGGGACGCAGAAACAAUCUGCGAAUUAGGGGGAUCCCAGAAACCCAGGGUGAGGACACCAUUUUAAUUCUUCAGGAGCUCUUUAACUUAAUUCUGGAAGCCCCUACUGACAACCUGAUCUUACUAGACAGAGCUCACAGAUCUCUCCGCCCGAGAGGCUUAUCCCAAGACACCCCAAGGGAUAUCAUCUGCAGAUUACACUAUUACAGUGUGAAAGAUAACAUCGUGAAAGCCCUAAGGGACACGAAUCAACCAUUGCUCUUUCAUGGCAAUCCGAUUCAAAUAUUCCCAGACCUAACCUGGUACACACUCCAAGCACGGAGAGCACUCAAACCUAUCACAGAGCUCUUAAGACAGCGCAACAUACGAUACCGCUGGGGAUUCCCUUUCGCUUUGAUUGUUUCCACUAAAGGCAAUGUCCACUCUAUCACCACAUUUCUGGAUGUAAUACCAUUUCUCAGAGCACUGGACCUUCCGAAUACUACAGUUGUGGACUGGAACUCACCUCCGCCGAAUCAAGACACGCUACCCUCUUCUCAGCGACAGAAAUGGUCCACUCCAUCGAGGAAGAGGCGCCCUGACCAGAGAUUCCAAUCCCCUAAUCAAAGGCAAGAUAAAAUUCCCACAGAAGGCACCCCUCGGAGACAUCGCCCAGGAGACAGACGUCCGAACUAACACCCGCAAAUUUACCCUAAAAAUCUGUUACCCUCUCAACUGGUGGACAACCUCUUCACUGUCAACUUAAAGUGAUACACUACCAUCACGGAAUAAGAAUAAGGAAGAAGCAACACAGUGACAGUCGUUAUGCACCUGAACCAACAAACUUUCUUUGGGGACUUACAAGCAUCACCGGCUAAGACACAUCUAGGACUUUGCUAUGGGCAGGGGACUUUUAAUUCACGGACUUGCCUCCCAAUCACCUCCUACCAGGUCAACCAGAGACUCGGGAAAUCCUAAAUAAUCAGGUCGUAUAGCAUCUAACAUUGUCAGCAACAUGUUUAAAGGUCCGUAUACUUUAGCAAACGGUCAGGCAAUACUGUUAUGAAAUAAUGCAUACUAACGCUACUAGUAAUUAAUAUAGAAAUAAUGAGUUAUUGAGAGAGGUUCACUCGUGGGGGCAUGUUGUGACACAUUUACUCCUCUUCGAGUAUCCGUACACGGUAUGCUCUUGGAGGUAGUGAGUCGCUGGAUCCUCCCUUGCAGGGAACCUGACUGCUACCGAAUAGCAAUUCGCCUCACUAGGAAGCAUUCUCGGGACAACCUAUAAGGUCAGUCCUAAAGCAAAGAAGUGGAUUAACUCCAUACUAUGAUACUAACGGACACAAUCAAUUUGGUCGUUGUUUGCUAGAGGCCAUUAUUAACGAGAUAGAUCUUAUUGCACCACAUAUUGCUCUCUUACUGAAUACUCGUACAUAACACAUUUACUGAAAUGACGAGUUGCCGUACAAUACUCCAUUAUAGAGGUGACAGCUGUUAUUAGUCAACAUAACGCUUGACUCCGUAUCGCACAUAUAGUAAAGAGUACUUCCUUUGACUUACGAUUGAACAUAGUUAAUUGCUUCCCCCCUGUGCAAGUCAUAGGUACUCCUACUUCGCUCGGGAGGACUCCAAACCCCACUAGCUUACAAAGCCCAUAGAAAAGCAAACACAAAAAAAAAAAAAAAAAAAAAAUUAUUAUAUAUUCUCUAUACAUCAGAACUUCAUGCUUACUUAUUUAGGGAGGUCAAAUAUGACGCAAUAAUAUAAUACUUGAUGCCACUGCACCAAAUUUCUCUAUGAUGACUCAGACCUACAAAAGACUUCUUACACCCCAAAGUAAAUCAUAUAUAUAAAAAAAAAAAAAAAAAUGGUUCAUGGAUGCCUAACAAACUCCACCAGAUAGAGAGGGAACUCGUACCAUUGCAUCUCCCCACUACAACUAAUUAAUAGAUUGGAUUGAGACUUGGGUCUCCAGCUUAAACGCGCUCACACGACCCCAAGCACCUACAGGUUCUAUCUCUAGCGUCGAGAUUGAACUACAUUCCCCAUAGGGAAUAUUUUCCCAAUCUUUCCACCAAACUCCACCACUCUUAUCCUUCCCCCUCCCCUCCCUCUUGUCCCCCUCCUCCCCCCCCCCACACCCACAAGACCUCACCCAGCGAGAUAUCUAGUAUCUCAUAAACUUACUAACCUGAGGACUAACCCCUCAGAGCAAAGACGACACCCGCAUUAGACAAAUACGGUGUUUCAAGCUAUUGCGAAUUGUUAAUUGUUCUCAUACAGUACAAGUGUUAAUUGGUUAUAUUGUGUAUUCAUUCUUUUGUAUAACUUAACUGGUUCUUUUGCUAUUUAUAAACUGGUAGACCAAGAGAUACUCUGCAACUCGGAAAACCUAGACCUCGGAACCUAUUAAACGCUUUUCAAUCUAUUAUAUAGUAACAUCCCCCCAGAUUGGGUUCACCUGUGCAGCCUUGCCAUAGACACACUCGACAAUAUUCUACACGGUGAGACAUUACCAAUACGACCCAGUCCUACGCCUACUAUAGUGAUUAUGACUACCAUACGUAUCCACACACAAAAUGCAAGGGGCCUAAAUACCCCCGAAAAAAGAUCUGUUGCGCUCACGGAUUUUAAGAGGAACAAAGCACACAUAGUGUUUAUACAGGAGACCCAUUUUAGGAAGGACUCUCCCCCCACACUACGUAAUAAAGACUUUCCAGUAGGAUACUUUAGCCACUUCUCCGAAUCUAAAUCCAGAGGAGUGGCAAUCCUCAUAGGGCAGCACUUACAAUACACACAUCAAGAACAUGAGGCAGACGACUCUGGCAGGUUUGUGUUCGUUAAGGGUAAAAUAGGCAACACCCAGGUCACCCUGGCGAACAUCUACCUGCCAAAUAAAAAACAGAAUCACGCUCUUACAAAAAUCUUACGCAAACUCUCAGUGUUUCAAGAAGGAAUUCUCAUAGUGGGAGGCGACUUCAACAUUGCUCUAGAUGGAUAUCUAGACACUACUUCUAAAUCUAGAGACUACCAAACUCAAACAAGGUCUCUCUUUAAAAACUCUCUCUAUGAAGCUCAACUCUAUGAUAGUUGGAGAGCCACACACCCUGCUAAAAAGGACUACUCCUUUUACUCCGCACCCAUAGGCACAUACUCUCGAAUUGACACCAUUUUUCUCCAACAUAGAUAUCUCCCUCUCAUACAGACAGCUGCAUAUGGCCCGAUCACCUGGUCGGAUCACGCUCCCAUGACCUUGACCCUAUCCAUUCCAGCGGCAUCCACUUCAUUCUCUCAAUGGAAGCUGAAUGACUUAAUUCUGAAUGACAAAGAAAUCUUGACCAAGAUUCGGGACUUAGCAACUAACUACUUCUCAGAAAAUACCCGCUCUGACACGACACCAAUCAUGACAUGGGAAGCCCACAAGGCAGUCAUUAGAGGGGAACUAAUCAAAUCGGCGGCGAUACUUAAAAAGAAUAGAGAAAAAGAAAUAGCACAAAUCACUAGAGACAUUAAAAACCUGGAAAACAAACACAAAACCACUCUUUCACUAGACGAGCAUAAAUUACUUUCCAGUAAACUAACUGAGCUGACAGCUAUUCUGCACCUGCACGCUAAGCGUAAACUAUCCCUAACAAAAAACACAUACUACACUCAAGGGGGCAAAGCAGGCAAACUUCUCGCAAAAUCUAUACAAUUGGACAGACAAUCCUCUUUCAUCUCUGAAAUUAGGAAAGAAGAUGGCACCCUAACGUGCCAUAUGCCAGACAUACUGGAAUCCUUCCACAAAUUUUACUCAAAAUUAUAUAACCUCACCAACACAAAACCCACAACAGAAGACAUAUUAGACUUCCUAAAACCCAGAGUUAAGCAUACUAUCCCUGUCAACGAAACGGCAUUUCUUGAUAACCCAAUCACUCUAGAAGAAUUCCAUGCCACGGUCAAAUCAUUGCCCCUAGGUAAAAGCCCAGGCCCAGACGGCUACACAGGGAAGUACUACAAGGCACUUUCACACAUACUAGCACAACCAUUUAUUGAGGCUUACAAUAUGAGCAAUAUUUCAUCACACAUCCCAAACUCAGCCCUUGAGGCGACUAUUUCAAUAAUCCCGAAACCGGGUAAAGAUACGACUGUUUGUGGUAACUACAGACCUAUUUCACUUAUAAAUAUUGACUUAAAGAUACUAACCAAAAUUAUGGCCACCAGACUAAAACCAUUCAUGCCGACUUUAACACAUCCAGACCAGGCGGGCUUCGUGGUAGGUAGGGAAGCUAAAAACAACACCACAAAAAUCAUCAAUAUCAUCCACUGGGCACAAACACAUAAGACACAGAGCGCUCUGCUGGCCAUAGACGCCGAAAAGGCUUUCGAUAGAGUCAACUGGACGCUACUGAAACACACCCUGCGAUAUUUAAAUUUUGGCACUAGAUGGUUGGAGUGGAUAGAUAUGAUAUACUCAAAACCAACAGCGAAACUGAGAAUCAAUGGUCAAUUAUCUAACGCGGUGACUAUUUCUAAUGGCACGAGACAGGGCUGUCCCUUAUCACCACUUUUAUUCAUUCUAGUUUUAGAACCAUUCCUCCAAGGCAUUAGAGACAAUGACCUCAUCCGAGGAAUCCAGGUUAACAAUCAUAACUAUAAAAUUACAGCGUUUGCGGACGAUCUCCUUUUUACCAUAGUGGAGCCCCUCAAGACCAUCCCCAUGAUUAUCUCUGAAAUGGAAUAUUACGGUAAACUCUCUUUUUUUCAGGCCAACCUCGCAAAAUGCGACUUGAUGCCAAUUUUCUCAACAGACCUGUUGAACGACCAGAUCAAAUCCAAAUUCUCCUUUAACUGGUCAUCCAGAUCAAUCAAAUACCUGGGUAUUCACCUCCCCACCCACCUACCAUCUACCUAUAAGAUUAACUUCCCCCCUCUAAUUGACUCAAUCACAAAAGACCUACAUAGAUGGCACAAACCAGUCUUUGGGUUGAUGUCCAGGGUAAACAUACUCAAAAUGAACGUUCUCCCCCGUGUCCUCUACCUACUUCAAACGAUUCCACUCAAACUCCCAGCUAAACUCUUCCUCUCCCUUAAGUCACUAUUCAUGAAAUUUAUCUGGGCCCACAAACCCCCACGCCUAGCAUACCAUACAUUAACUAAAAAACAGGAUCAAGGGGGUCUAAACCUUCCAGACAUAGAAACUUAUUAUAAAGCGACACAUUUGCAGAGAAUCUAUGAAUGGAUGAAAACACCCAAUACACUCCAAUGGGUAGCACUAGAAAACAGUUGUGUUGACACUCCACUCUGCGCCUAUCCCUGGCUCCGCAAAGACCCCAAACUAUUGGAAAAACUAAACAAUCACCCAACGAUUUCCUCGACAUUACACAUAUGGUUCAGACUAAGAACGCAAACAAAAAUCUCGCCCUUCCCUUCUCCUAUUUUUCCCCUAACUCUGAACCCUCACUUCCACAAAGGAACAACAGGGAAACAACUUGGACUUAUGUACGAGGGCCCCUUCCUGAGGUUGAGCGAAGCAGCAUCAGGAAAUAAACUAAAACCCUUACAUGAACUCACCCUCUCUAACACCCACUCGGGGGUCCAAAUCUUUUUCCACGACCAACUGAACCACUUCAUCAAAACCCAGUCACUACUACCAGAAGGCAUUAGACCUCUAACUAGAUUUGAACUGUUAUGCACCUCUCACCCACCAAAGGUAAAACUGCUUUCCACUCUACACUCAGUAAUUAGAGAGGCAUACCCUCAAAACCACCCAAACAUCACUCUAAAAUGGGCAGAGGAACUACAAACCAACAUCACUACCCAGCAAUGGAAGAAUGCCUUCAUUUCCGUCCACAAAUCCUCUAUCUCGGCAUACGCACAAGAAUGUAACUACAAAAAAGUAACACGAUGGCACAACACACCCGCUAAACUCCACAAAUUCUUUAACUCAGUCCCAGAUCUAUGCUGGAGAUGUCAAAACUCAAAUGCACACCACACCCACAUUUGGUGGAAAUGCCCAAUAAUUCAGAAAUUUGGGAAGAGAAUCCACACUAUAGUACAACUAAUACUCCAUAAGACUUUCCCGUGUACACCGGAAUGUUAUAUCCUUUUCUUAUCUCCCCAUACACUCACGACACUAGAAGCGGCCCUGUUCCGCCACUUGGCCAUGGCGGCUUCCCAACUAAUUCCUAAACUUUGGAAGCAAUCCAGGCCACCUUCAAUUCGCGAAUGGAUACUGAGAGUUGAGGAUAUCAAAUUGAUGGAAGAAAUUACCUCAGCUAAAAUGGGAAAACAAGUUAAAUUCAUGUCCAUAUGGGACCCAUGGAUUCAAUACAUGCACUGCAACCCUCCCCCACCAUAAUAGGCUGACUUAACAUAUGCCUUUAUUCUCAUCAAAAACACAAGCCUUAUUCCUAAAACUUCUGCCUCCCCCUCCACCAUCUCACCGCAGCUCUCUCCUCAGCCCUUUCCUCCACAGAUGAGGCCGGUGGGAGUUGAAAGUAAAUGAUUAACAAGUCACACACAACCGCUACCCAAGCCGGCUUCCCAGAGGAGAUGGCAAGGCACCAUCCCCUAUUUCCUUACACCCACCUUCCCCUUCAUAUACUCAAUAGCCCUCUGCCGAGCCUAGGUUUUCCGACCUAUAGAAGGGAAUUGUUCCUUUAGAUAUAUGUGAAGCGUUAUUGUAUAAAUCAGGUCUCCAGGUAUUACAUUAAUGUAAGGUUUCCUUUCAAUUAUUUGUUGUUACUAUACCUUUGCUUGUAAUGUUAUUCUUUCGGACGCUUCAUCUGCCACCAGUUUCCUUCCGGAGGUGAUGACUAUACUACAAAUUGUACCUUCAACUAUACGAUAUUUUAGUACUGUUUAAAAUAAUGAAACACAGAAAUUGUAACCUUAUGAUAAGCUCGCUGUACCAAAUCUUAUGUCUACCUAUGUUAAACAUACAAAAUAAUAAAAAAGAUAAAUAUAAAAAAAAAAAAAACAUUUAGUCAUGCUUUAGAUUUUCAAUAAUUUGUAACGUUUUCUAGACAAACCUGCCCAGGAUUAAAAAAAAUUUUUUCCCAUACAUCUGGUAGCAUAGACUUUAAGUGUCCUUUUAAUGUGCUGUGUUUAUGAGUGUAUCAUCAUAAUGCUCCUCAACUCUAAAAUUAACAAUAGUGCCUAUUCCAUAGCUCCACAGCAAUAAACCUCACACUACUGUAUAACAUGUAUGAAUAUAUCACAGAGCUCCACAGUACUACCUAGUGUGUAUGAAUGUAUCACAGAGCUCCACAGUAAAAACACCCAUGGUUAUGUUUGAGGUGUAUGAUUGUGUCACAAAGCUCCACAGCAAUAAAACCCAGAUAAUUAUGUAGCAUGUAUGAGUGCAGUGCAUCGCAUUACUGCACUAAAAUGUUCAAAAUGUGUCCUUAAAGAGACACUAUAGUCACAAAAAACUUUUGCUUAAUGAAGCAGUUUGGGUGUAUGGAUCAUGCCCCCGCAGUCCCACUGCUCCAUUCUCUGCCAUUUAGGAGUUAAAUCACUAUGUUUAUACAGCCCUAGUCACACCUCCUUCCUGCAUGUGACUUGCACAGCCUUCCAAACACUUCCUGUAAAGUCAUCUAAUGUUUACACUUCCUGUACGGCAAAUUCUGUUACAUUUAUAAUUUCUUAUCUCCUGAUUUGUUAGUAGCUUUCUAGAAAUUGCAGGAGCUUCCUGUUCGAUUUACAGAGGAGGAUAUAAGAACUUUUAAAGGGACACUUUAGUCACCAGAACAACUACAGCUUAAUGUAGUUAUUCUGGUGAGUUUAAUAGUUACCUUCAGGCAUUUUCAUGUAAACACUGCCUUUUCUGGGAAAAGGUAGUGUUUACAUUGCCCCUAGGAACACCUCCAAGUGGCCACUCCUUAGAUGGCCACUGGAGCAGCUUCCUGGCUCAGGGCUGCACAAUAAGCAGCCCUGCUGUUCAGUGUCCCCACGUCCUGCAUGGAGACACUGAAUUUUCCUCACAGAGAUGCAUUGAUUCAUUAUGGUUACAAAAUAUUGAUUGCAGUUACAAUAAUUGAAAUAACUGUUCUAUUGUUACAUUGAUUAAGAUACAUGUAUUUAUUCUCUACUGUUAUUCCUAUGUCAUCUAACAUUUCUCAGAACAGCCCUCCCCUGGCCCACACUCACUCACACCCUUAAAAUUAAAGUUUCUCUCUGUCCAUGAAAUUAUAGGGACAUACGUAUUUCUCCUAUAGGAGAGAUAACAAGUUAGCUUCUUUGCAGUAGGAAAUAUGCCAAUGUUAAGAUUCCUGGGUAAUAAGCAGCCAUUAAACAGUACUGACAGGGUUUGAAACGAGUCUGAAAUCAGCCUCUAAGUGGCCGUUUGCAGUUACUAUGGAGAAUAAUGUAACUCGUUCGCUGCCACUUAGUGACUGGUUUUAAGUAAUGUCAGCCAAAAAUACUCUUUUACACUAGCCAAAAUGCUGCUAUUCAACUUUCAAUCAUAUACAAUUGUCAGUUUACUGACUAAACCCAUAUAUUUAAUAUAUUAACUGAUGAAUAUUAUUUUGAGCAUGCUGUUAGGGCCACCCAAUGGCUAUGGAUUUCCCCUUUGAUGACAUCACAGCUGGGAGGAAGUGACUGCCCUGUCACUUCUCCCAGCUUACAAUGGGAGCCGCACAGGAGGAAGAGAGGAGGGAGUCAGAGUGGGAACUCUAAUUCCUAUUAGGCUGAGCCACCACUGGACCCCAGGGAAGUCACCCUCCUGCAUCUAAAAUGUAGGAAACAGGAGGGUGACUAAAAUAUUUUGUAUGUGUGUGUUUGUUUGUUUGUAUGUAUGUGUGUCUGUAUGAAUGUUCUCUGUGUGUGUGUCUGUAUGUGUGUGUGUAUGUCUGUGUGUUUGUGUAUGUAUGUAUGUGUGUGUAUGUAUAUGUGUGUGUGUGUGUCUGUAUGUAUGUAUGUAUGUGUCUGUAUAUAUGUGCCUCUGUGUGUGUAUGUUUGUAUGUAUGUGUCUGUAUGUAUGUAUGUAUGUGUGCGUACAGUGGCGUACAUACAGGGGUUGCAUCUGCGACUAGGCCCAUAAAUCCACGGGGCACGGCAGCUCUGCAGACCCCUGCAACUGGGUGCCCACCACCAUGUGUUGUGGCCCCAGCCUGCGUGGCUUAACCGCCGGGGGGUGUGGGUUGGAUGUGGAGACCCACGGAUCAGUUUUUGCAUCAGGGCCCCAUGGAUCGUGUGUACGCCACUUAUGGCAGAGGAACUCUGCCAGGGCUAUUCACUUAAGUUAGUAUUCAAAGUGAAUUCAAAGUGAAUUCCCAAAUUUUGUUCAAAAUUGCUAAUUAAGAAAAAGAAAAUCAGGUCAAUUCUGUUUUCAGUUUGGCUAUUUCAAAUUUUAAAUUCACUUUGCAUUUCCGCAAGACCCAUAUGAUAAAGUGCACAACACAAUCAAUUUUAUAGCCAAGAACCUCUGUGAUAAGCUCAUAUUAUAUUGAUUUUUAUUGUGAGUUUUUUUUUUUUCCUUCAGGAGCUAAGUGUUACUUUAUUAUACAGCUUCCUACUGUGAGCAUUUUUGCUGAGAAGGUCUGCGAUAUACUCAGACAUACUGUUUAUUAUUGUCAGUUUAAUAACUAGGUGUAGCGGAGUACUCAAGUUGAGACUUAAUGAAGGGUGAAAACAAUAACACCUUAUUGUACAUAACUACACAUAUUUAUACAGGUUGGAUGUAAAUUCAGCAUGCUGGGGGUGAUUAUGGUAACAAAGGAGUACACCUCCCUUGGGCCAUCUGCUCAAACAGUGCUCUCUGAUAGUCCUCAUGGAGUCUAAUCACCACCAGGUUGAAUGUUUAGCCUUGAGUGCUAGGUCUCUGAACCGGGGCCUAACAUGAGCUAUCUGCCAAGUGGCUGGUCUUUUAGACACUCUGCUAGACUGUGUCUGGCUAGGAAGAGGGGUGGUGAAAAUAGUUUUUAUAACAAUGUUUUGAGGUCCUCUGUAACACUAGGUUACUUUGACUGAUAUGUACCUUAUAUUACUGCACUUUGUUCCUUACUUGUCAAUAUGAAUUUUAUUAUUGUGGAGCUCUGAAAUAUUCUACUUAUUGCUGUGAGUUUAUAUUUUAUGAAGAGCUCUGUGAUCCCCUAAGAAAUACUGCUUUGUACUAUGAAUUUUACUGCAAAGGGUUUUAUGGUACACUUAUGUGCACCGCAUAUUGCACAAAGUUUUCAGGAUAGGCAGCUCUGUGAGACACUCAGAUACACUGCUUACUAAUUUGGGUUUUACAGGACUGGAGCUCUGUUACUGUAUAUUGUCGUGCUGUGGAGUUCUGUGGUAUAUUCAUACACAAUAUGAUCAGUUCCACGAAAGGGGAUAUCAGACCAGAAAAAAGGAGAUGGUUAUUCAAUCUGAAAUAGAUACAACACCGCUGCCCAAUCAAAACUCCUGGGAAGUAUCACAACGUUCUAAGAACUCAUUUUUGUGUAUGUCAAACUAAAAGAAGAUUUUCGCUUAGGGCAAGCAUGUGGCAUCAUCUUAUAAAAGACAAUUAGAAUGUAUGGAGAAUAUGCAACACAGCCCAUCUGUCACUACUCAAUCUACAUCAAUUCCCCGACAUUUGUCCCCACCCCCAGUCACUUCCCACACAAGUGCCACAAAACCAAACACUAUCAUUUUGUGUUUCCUGCCCAACAUAUUUCAAAACAACUGCUAAACAUAUAGAGAAAAGCUUUUUUAUAUAUAUUUAUUUUUUUAACAUAUUAAGUGUCGGCAAGAUAUUAGAAAAAAAUAAUAAUGUGAAUCUUGUUAACCUGACUCAUUAGUUUACUUAUUAUUUACGGUGAGAAAUGCUCAAAAACCACAAAGAGUCAUACUUGCGGUAGAGAGUAUCUCAUCGCAAGAUACUGUGUUGAUUUUCAAUGUCAGUGACAAAUAAGGCCCUAUGAAACUGCAAUGAGAAGCUGUCUGCGUAUUUGGCUUAAAAUUAACUUCAUCAGAAUUUGCUAUAAGAUGUUUUCAAUAAAUAACAAGGAUAUGUGUUGAAAACUAUGCCUUAAAUGUGCCACGAUAUAUUCUCUAGAAUAAUAUGUUACCACUCAACAGUCAAUAUUUCGAAAGAAUAAGUAAGAGGAGAUUCUACUCGCUCCCAUAAUACUGGCACUCAUUUCACAUUACCAUCAUGCCCCCCUCCCUAUAAAAAAUAUAAGGGUGCAAACCUUAUACAAUUGUGGUGCUUUUUUACUAAACAACUAAUAGUAGAGACAUUAAAACUGAGUUGUGAGUUUUAAGCAAGAAUUUGGGAAAAUUCUUCAAAUUGGAUACUGUCACAGUUUGGUUAUUAUUUAGCCUGAAUAAUUCUAUUCACCAUUUAGUGAAUACAUCUCUUUGUAUCUCAAACAAUAUCUUUGUAAGAGGCAGGAGUAGAAAUGUUUUUUUUUUUUUUUUUAACAAGAAUAGGGUGUUUGCUAAGCUGUACAUUUUAGGUCAAAAUAAUCAAACUGAAUUAUUUUUCUAAAUCUGCUGGGGAGUGUUUUGGCCUAUAUUUUUCGAUUCAAAUUGUCAUAAUCCCAAACACAUUUUAAAUCCUAUUUACUAAACAAAUAGUAAAGAAUAAGAAUCUGAAGCAGAAUUCAGGCAUACAUAGUCAAGCCGUGGAUGUAGUGAAGAUGGAGAUUAUUUGCUCUAAUUCACAGUUUAGUGAAUAACCUUGUAAGACUGACUAAAUUUCAUAAGUACAAAUAAUCUACAGUUUUGGAUGUAAGAACCGAAAAAAUAUUAUAUCCUAGAAAACAUAUAAAGAAAGAUAAAGGUGAAUCUUUUGUUAAAGGGACACUAUAGUCACCCAGACCACUUCAGCUCAAUGAAGUGGUCUGGGUGCCAGGUCCCUCAGGUUUUAACCCUUCAGAUGCAAACAUAGCAGUUUCAGAGAAAGCCUUCCGGACAGCCACUAGAGGCGCAUCUGCGAUGCUGGAGGCAUAUUAUGCCUCCAUCUCGCAGAGCGUCCAUAGGAAAGCAUUGAAAAAUGGUCCAAGGGAGGGGGACCAUGAGGGUGGGGGCACCCUCAGGGCACUAUAGUGUCAGGAAAACCGCUUUGGUGAGACAUGGGGAUGCAGAGUGUGUGUAGUGCAGAGUGUGUUUAGUGAAUGUAGUGUGUGUGUGUAGUGCAGAGUGUGUUUAGUGAAUGUAGUGUGUGUGUAGUGCAGAGUGUGUUUAGUAAAUGUAGUGUGUGUGUUUAGUCAAUGUAGUGUGUGUAGUGCAGUGUGUUUAGUGAAUGUAGUGUGUGUGUAGUGCAGAGUGUGUUUAGUGAAUGUAGUGUGAGUGUGUGUAGUGCAGAGUGUGUUUAGUGAAUGUAGUGUGUGUAGUGCAGAGUUUGUUUAGUGAAUGUAGUGUGUGUGUGUGUAGUUCAGAGUGUGUUUAGUGAAUGUAGUGUGUGUGUAGUGCAGAGUGUGUUUAGUGAAUGUAGUGUGUGUGUGUAGUACAGAGUGUGUUUAGUGAAUGUAGUGUGUGUGUAGUGCAGAGUGUGUUUAGUGAAUGUAGUGUGUGUGUUUAGUCAAUGUAGUGUGUGUAGUGCAGUGUGUUUAGUGAAUGUAGCGUGUGUGUAGUGCAGAGUGUGUUUAGUGAAUGUAGUGUGUGUGUAGUGCAGAGUGUGUUUAGUGAAUGUAGUGUGUGUGUUUAGUCAAUGUAGUGUGUGUAGUGCAGUGUGUUUAGUGAAUGUAGCGUGUGUGUAGUGCAGAGUGUGUUUAGUGAAUGUAGUGUGAGUGUGUGUAGUGCAGAGUGUGUUUAGUAAAUGUAGUGUGUGUAUAGUGCAGAGUGUAUUUAGUGAAUGUAGUGUGUGUGUAGUGCAGAGUGUGUUUAGUGAAUGUAGUAUGUGUGUUUAGUCAAUGUAGUGUGUGUAGUGCAGUGUGUUUAGUGGAUGUAGUGUGUGUGUGUAGUGCAGAGUGUGUUUAGUGAAUGUAGUGUGUGUGUGUGUAAUGCAGAUUGUGUUUAGUGAAUGUAGUGUGUGUGUGUAAUGCAGAUUGUGUUUAGAGAAUGUAGUGUGUGUGUGUAGUGCAUAGUGUGUUUAAUGAAUGUAGUGUGUGUAGUGCAGAGUGUGUUUGAGUGAAUGUAGUGUGUGUGUUUAGUCAAUGCUUGGUGUGUGUGGUACAGUGUGUUUAGUGAAUGUAGUGUGUGUGUAGUGCAGAGUGUGUUUUAGUGAAUGUAGUGUGAGUGUGUGUAGUGCAGAGUGUGUUUGAUGAAUGUAGUGUGUAGUGCAGAGUUUGUUUAGUGAAUGCCAGUGUGUGUGUGUAGUGCAGAGUGUGUUUAGUGAAUGUAGUGUGUGUAUGUAGUGCAGAGUGUGUUUAGUGAAUGUAGUGUGUGUGUAGUGCAGAGUGUGUUCAGUGAAUGUAGUGUGUGUGUAGUGCAGAGUGUGUUUAGUGAAUGUAGUGUGUGUGUUUAGUCAAUGUAGUGUGUGUAGUGCAGUGUGUUUAGUGAAUGUAGUGUGUGUGUAGUGCAGAGUGUGUUUAGUCAAUGUAGUGUGUGUGUAGUGCAGAGUGUGUUUAGUGAAUCUAGUGUGUGUGUUUAGUCAAUGUAGUGUGUGUAGUGCAGUGUGUUUAGUGGAUGUAGUGUGUGUGUGUAGUGCAGAGUGUGUUUAGUGAAUGUAGUGUGUGUGUAGUGCAGAGUGUGUUUGAGUGAAUGUAGUGUGUGUGUGUGUGUAGUGCAGGUGUGUUUGGUGAUGUAGUGUGUGUAUGGUGCAGGGUGUGUUUAGUGAAUGCUUAGUGUGUGUGUGUAGUGCAGAGUGUGUUUAGUGAAUGUAGUGUGUGUGUUUAGUCAAUGUAGUGUGUGUAGUGCAGUGUGUUUAGUGAAUGUAGCGUGUGUGUAGUGCAGAGUGUGUUUAGUGAAUGUAGUGUGAGUGUGUGUAGUGCAGAGUGUGUUUAGUAAAUGUAGUGUGUGUGUAGUGCAGAGUGUAUUUAGUGAAUGUUGUGUGUGUGUAGUGCAGAGUGUGUUUAGUGAAUGUAGUGUGUGUGUUUAGUCAAUGUAGUGUGUGUAGUGCAGUGUGUUUAGUGGAUGUAGUGUGUGUGUGUAGUGCAGAGUGUGUUUAGUGAAUGUAGUGUGUGUGUAGUGCAGAGUGUGUUUUGUGAAUGUAGUGUGUGUGUUUAGUCAAUGUAGUGUGUGUAGUGCAGUGUAUGUUUAGUGAAAUAGCAAAAGCGUGUGUGUAGUGCAGAGUGUGUUUAGUAGAUAUAAAGUGUGUGUGUAAUUACAGGAAGUGUGUUUAGUAGAUACUUAGUGUGUAUGAGUGCAGAAGUGUGUUUAGUAGUGUAGUAGUGUGUGUAGUGCAGAGUGUGUUUAGUGAAUGUAGUGUGUGUGUUUAGUCAAUGUAGUGUGUGUAGUGCAGUGUGUUUAGUGGAUGUAGUGUGUGUGUGUAGUGCAGAGUGUGUUUAGUGAAUGUAGUGUGUGUGUGCAGAGUGUGUUUAGUGAAUGUAGCGUGUGUGUAGUGCAGAGUGUGUUUAGUGAAUGUAGUGUGAGUGUGUGUAGUGCAGAGUGUGUUUAGUAAAUGUAGUGUGUGUGUAGUGCAGAGUGUAUUUAGUGAAUGUUGUGUGUGUGUAGUGCAGAGUGUGUUUAGUGAAUGUAGUGUGUGUGUUUAGUCAAUGUAGUGUGUGUAGUGCAGUGUGUUUAGUGGAUGUAGUGUGUGUGUGUAGUGCAGAGUGUGUUUAGUGAAUGUAGUGUGUGUGUUUAGUCAAUGUAGUGUGUGUAGUGCAGUGUGUUUAGUGAAUGUAGCGUGUGUGUAGUGCAGAGUGUGUUUAGUGAAUGUAGUGUGUGUGUAGUGCAGAGUGUGUUUUGUGAAUGUAGUGUGUGUGUUUAGUCAAUGUAGUGUGUGUAGUAAAUGGAGUGUGUGUGUGCUUGUAAGGAUGCAGUGUUUGUGUAAAGUAGGGGGGAGGGGAGUAUUUUAAAAAAAAUAUUUGUGGAUAUUUAAAAUUUAAAUUUUAUUUCCACCUCCCUGGUUCUUACCUUGUUCUUACCUGGUGGUCCGGUGGAGAAAGCCAGCCGCGGUACAUUGCAGAGGGGGGCCCAGCAGCACACACUGUCUUCCUUUCCAGUUCCUCUCUGACGAACUCUCGCGAGACCGGCCUGCGUGCUGUGCGGAGCGUUGCCAUGGUAACCCAUGGCAACGCUCUGGCGGCCGCAGGAGAGUUAGAAAGAGAGGAGCUGGAAGGAGGACAGAGUGUGCUGCUGGGCCCCCCUCUGCAAUUUACAGGUAGGGGGCCCUCAGUGGACAGAUAUAUAGUGAAAUUCUCUAUAUAUCUGUGCAUAUAAGGAAUGUGGUGCUCAGACUGAAAGAGCAUCCGGGCCCCCCAGAACCGCCGGGCCCAUGACAACAGUUAUGGUUGUCAUGCCCUGAUGGCGGCCCUGAUUGUAGCCCACGGAAACAUAAAGAAGCUGGAGUAGCGGUCUCAGAGGGGGACAGCCAGAUAUCAGUGAGUACUAGUAGUUUGAGGGAAUUAGAGAUGAAGGGGUUGUGUAUGGCUGUUGAUUUAAUAUUGCUACAGAUGGAACGGGUGUUCCAGGGUGCACACUGAAUGUUGGUAGAGGAGGAUAAACUACUACAUAUUUGGAUGAGGUUUGCAUGGUUUAUAGUUGUUUUAGUGUGAGCAGACGAGGUGAAGGGCCCUGGGUUGGGAGAGACGUCACCAGCUGCUAGAAUUAGGAGGAGAGAUAGUGAUAGGAGGUGUGAAUGGGUUUUAUACGGGUGAAGUCUAGGAUGAGAUUGGGUGGGAGCAGGAGAGAAUGAAUAGAGAAAUGAGAGCAGGGCAUGAGAUGAGAGAAGGGGGGGUGUAGCAGAGAUGGAUUAAUGUGGAUGUGAUUGAAUUGUUGAGGGAAGUUGGUGCAAGGAGAUAUUUUGAUGCUGAAGGAGAGGAGAGAAAAGGAAAAGAGGAGAAGAUGAGUAAGUACUUUGAGAAAAGCAGAAUGGGCAGAAGUAAGGAGAAUGAGGACUGAGUGUUAGGGGUUAAGGGAGUGUAGGAGUGUUCUGAUUGCAGGUACUGUUACAGCUGUCAUUUCUAAUUAUCUAAAAUUGUAUGUGAGAUUCUAUCUAUAAAUGGAAUAAAGAGCUAGGGGUUGGGUGGUGAGUGGAGGGGCCGGUGGGCAACUGAGAAUUAUUCUGGUUUCCAACAGGGAUUUUUUAAACUCAGACUGUGGAAGACAGAGAUGAUAGAGUCAAAAAGGCCUGCAAUAAAGCUAUGGAAUGGAGAUGCACAGAGGAGGUGAGGAUUGGCCACCCAAGAUCAAACCAAACAUGUUGGAAAUUCUAAACUCAACAGUAGAAUGAGGUAUUGCUAAAAUGUUUAGAGGUAUAGAUUACUGGAUUGCAGUAGACACUUCUACUUUGCCCAAGCAUUCAUGUUUAGUCAUGACAACCCAUACUAAUUGAUCUGUCAAUAUAACAGUUUACUAUACUGUGUUAGAGUCCCAAAACUGUCAUUGUCUACAAACCCUGCUCAGAAACUCAAUGAGUGUUAAACCAAUAUCGGGUAAACUCUAUGUGAGAAGUCUAUUUCUCCACCUGUGAGACAUGUUUGAGCCAGUAGGACAACUGAACAAAACAGGAUUUGGGGAUGAUAUAUGGAAUCCAGAGCAGAUGUCAAAGAAAAACAAGAAUAGCCAAUUAGCUUAUUUUUUAUUAAAUUAAAAUGCUCCUCUUUAUCUUUGCAAAAAGCAGCAGAUUUUGCAUGUCCAUAAAAUAGAGGAAAUGUUAUGCCUUUCAGGCUAAAGCUAGGUAAACCAUUGCACUAGGUAGAUCAUGGACUAGUGUCCCGUAAGAGGUAUAACCAUAAAUGUGCAAACAUUCAAGUUUAAUAGUAUUGCUUCCUUCUAGGAAGAUGACUACAUGUUGUGAAAUUUAGUGCCAGACAGCUAGUGGAUUGGACUGUGGUGGUCACAUACCUACUUCUAUACCGGGGUAAGCAAUGUUCGGCACUUCAGAUUUUGUGGACUACAUCUCUCAUAAUGCUCUUACAGCCAUAAUGCUGGUAUUAUGCAGUGCCGAAGGUUGCCUAAUCCUGUACUAUACUGUUGUACAUACAGCAAUGACCAGGACAUCAGUCAUUGGCUGGAUAAACCACCGGUUCAGUACAGGUCCAUGGGAUAAUAUAUGACACUCAACGUGAUCAAGUUUCCUUGGUUACCUCAGGGUUGCAAUGGAGUAGUAGUCAGUUAUCUAGUACUCAGGCAGAUGCAGUGUAUACAUAAUGUACGUAUAUUUAGAUUGACAUCUACAUACACAUCAUGUCACUGUUGAGGGAUUAUAGCAACAGAGUCCCUGAUUUCACUCUGUUUUGAUCUGACGUGCUAGCAAGCCAGACCGCUUGUCUGCAUCAUGAAGGAGGAUUUUCCAGAGCAGGGCCAAUGAAGUCAGAGGGGGUCUGGAGCAAGACGGGUGGUUGGACGUUACAUUAGUGUAACACCCAUAAACCUCUGAUCAUAACAUAGCUGGAACAGAGUUAAGUAAACCCUUAACAGCUCAGGAAGCAAUUAGAUAUAUCAUCUUUCUAUUUAAGAUAAAUAAUAUAAUUAUCACUCCACUGCCCAAAUACAAAAUACAUAAAAAUCACUCUUUAGUAGAUUUACACCAAAUGAAAACAUGCAUUUAAUUAUGGAUUUUCCUAUUGAAAUAUAUAUUUAAAAGAGCAUGUGAAAUCUGCAGAUCUCUUGUCUGAAGCCUUGGCAAGCCCUCCCAUAUUAACCCCGCCCGGUGACCUUGCCGUUAGUACGUGACGGGUGAAGGGGUCAAUCACCCGUCCAACUGCCCCUUUACUGGACCUGUGGCGUUUAUCCCAGUUCCAUACAGCAUUGUUUUAACAUUGGCACCAACCUAUUGUGUCUCGGUUGGGUGAGUGCAUAUAAGCUGCAAAUAUACCCAUCUAAAAUGGCGGCUGUACAACUCGAGGCACUAUGUGCAACACCCAAAAGCCAUCCUAAGCCGUAUUGUGACCUCCUGACAGCUUGUGAUCAGCUAUGUGCCAAGUAAUGACCUGAAGUGACUCAUGGGUGGCUGGGCGUAAUAACACCCUCAUAUUGGGCCCGUUCUUUGUGCAGAAUAGGCAGGAGGCGGAGGCCGCCAUACACCAGGCAGUGAUUACAUGGGGCUUAUCGCCCAUGAUGUUGCCAUUACACAUGGAUGGAUUCGUUCUGACCCUGGCAGCUGGUACAUCUAGAAGGACCAGCGUGGCAUCCUGGUUCACUCCUCUACCUGAGGGGCAGAAUGUGGUUGAUCUUGUCUGCCCACUAGUCUGCAAUCCCUCAGAGUAGUACCUGGCCUCCAAUUCUUUGUCUGUGUUUAAGCCUCCAGAGUGGGCAUCAGUUAGCAACUGUGAACUUUAGGAGGGGUCACUACAGCCUAAACUUAACCCCUGCCUUGUCCUCAUGGCUGUCAAUCUCAGUUCUGGUCCUACUUGUCUCUUUUUGUCUUGUACAUAUAUUUGCUCGCAUUGUUUUAAGAUCUCUUGUUUUAUUCAACAUUUAACGUAAUGGGUCUUAGCUAAGCUUUUAGUUUACUCAUGCAAGCUCAGGACCCAUACCGUUUACAUGGUAGUAUGUUGAAGAUGUCACUAACAACCGACACAUAUCUACUUAGCAUUUCUUAAAUCAGAGUGAUCAAGCUUUCAGCAUUUUAUAUGUCUAUAUGUGUUUAUCUUAUCAAACAGGAUACUCAAUUUGUCUUUGAUCAUUUUAAAAAAGUGCAGUUAUGUAUUCUGUGUUAGUGAGUUAAUUUGGCAGAUAGUGUAAUCUCUACUGUCUAAUAAUAUUGUAUAUCAUACUCAUGUCUUGUGUACAAUUAUGGCUAAUUCUUAUGUGCCACUCUCUUAGCAUUUUUGCUUGUUAUUGUUUGUGGUACUUGUGUUUCUGUCAUGUUUCUGUCAUGUUCACAGAGCUGCUGAUUAUAUUGUAAAUAUCUGCACCAAAAAAAUUAAAAAAUAAAUUGUCAUUUAGUUAACAUAUUCCUUAGUAUUUGAAGGUAUAUUUAAGAUAACAGACUCUCCAUGUGACUUAGUGCUUACAGUUUUGCUAGUGGUAAAUUUGUCAGGCUAAAAUUGUUCUAAGCCUUUAACUGAAGUCAAUUUUUGACUGUAGAAAAUAUUGUCUUCAAUUUGUAGCUGGUUCUAUAUAUUUUACGUUAACUAUUGCUGUAGAUGAGUUUUUGUAAGGCAAUUUAACAAAUUAAAUCUAUUACAAUAUAAAAUGUGUGACACAUUGAAAGCCUAAAACGAGUGAAACUGUGCAGUCAAAUAUUUAUGGUUAACAAGUAUUCUUGGGAUUAUGGGAACUGCAAAUUAAACUCUGAUUACCGGAUUCCCGGCAAAUAACAACAAAUAUUUGGAAAUGAUCCAAAUUAUGCUGCUGCCACUUAACUUGACAAUGCAAACACAAUUUCAAAGCAGGGAGUUUAUAUCACUUGCAAUAAGUAAUACACUGCAUGGCAAGGUGGCUGAGGGACUUACUCAAGAAUAUUUUACUGCUGGUAAGAGUUCACUCACAGUUACCUAUCUUCAAGGAUGGGAAGGCUCUAAUUUAGUGCAAGGGAGCCUUAUAGGAACAUUCCAAGAACCAUAACCACUGUAGGCUAUUGUAAAUUAUUAUUGUAGAUUAUAUAAUGCUGGUGAUGCCCUAGUAGUGUCCCAGACAAAGUUGUCAAAUCACUUAAGAAAGUACUGACCCCAGGAGAGGCUGUCACAUUUAUCUGGCAAGACAAUAUAAUCACCAAAACAACUUUGUCUUAAUGGAAUGGUUUUGGUGUAUAGAUAAUGUCCCUGCAGUGUAACUGCUCAAUCCUCUGUCAUUUAAGAGUUAAAUUACAUUGUUUAUACAGCUCUAGUGACACCUCCCCUCCAUGUAUUAUACACAGUCUACUUGUAUGUAAUAUUUUUUAUAAAAAGAGAGCUGGUGUUUAAACUUUAUGUAUUGCACAGUCUAUUUAAUCUAUAUUUUUUCAUCUCCUGCUCUGUUAAUAGCCUGCUAGAGCCUACAGGAAUCUCCUCGUGAUUUUAAUGAACAGAUCAGAAGCUAAAAACUUCUAAAGUAAACACACUGUUCUGUCACAUCUCAUUGAAAAAAAAAUGUUCAUAGAGGCUGUGUGAGUCAUAGUAUGUGGCAAGGGAAGCAUAAACAGAAUCAAAUGUUGUUUAAAGGAUCACUAUAGUGUCAGGAAAACAAACUUGCAUCCUUAGGACCCCUUCAGCUUCUUACCUUUAUCCAGCACCUCCUCCCCUGCCGACGUCAGCUCCCAAGUGGAGCGGAAUGCGCAUGUGCAGCAAGAGCGGCACGCGCAUUCAAACAGUCCAUAGGAAAGCGUUUCUUAAUGCUUUCCUAUGGACGUUCUGCACGCUGGAUGCAAAUUUCACAUCCAGCAUCGCAGAUGCACCUCUAGCGGCUGUCAGGACUGCUGUUUACAUCUGAAAGGUUAAACCUGUGAGACCUGGCACCCAGACCACAUCAUUGAGCUGAAGUGGUCUGGGUGACUAUAGUGUCCCUUGAACUACUAAAUUGCAGAGAAUUGAGCAUUUAGACUGCUGGGACAAAAGAUAUUCACAAAAACUGCUACAUUCUUAGCUGACUCUUUGCACAGGUCUACACUAGUUAAGGGAAAUAGUGACAUCUGACAUCACAUGGCUGCACACAAGUCUGUACACAAGUUUGUAUAAGUAAACUGAAGAUGGAUAAGAAAAACAGGGCAUGAGGCACAGGUCUCUAGACCAUCUUGUGUAGUUAGAAACAUGAAACUCUUGACCUCUUGGGAAUGCUUUAUUUAUAAAAAAAGGUAUUACAAGAUACAAAUUUUAUAACCCUGGUAAAUAUGCUAAUGCAAUUAUUAGGAAGGCAUUUUAAUGUUACACUAUAUUUACCCACAAAGUACCUUGGUGAUACACUCCACUAUAAAGUUCCUCCUCUUUGUCACACAAACAGUUAAACAGCAUGCAGAAAGGGCUAUUUUCUAUGUACAGACUGGACUCAUUUUUUAAAUAUAUGAUUAUUACAAAUGAAACAAAUAAAGUAAUUUCAAAGGCUACAAAACAAUUGUAAAUGUUUUAUUGCAAAACAAACAAACAUUUGGUUGACGAAGAAUCAGUGCAGAGGCAUUGUUACCAUGGAUUUAUGUGGCAGAUCAGAGUGACGUCAAUUUACAAUAAGUAAUUUCAGGUCAGACGAGAAUAACUAAGGCUUGUGUUAUGUGAAGUGGCAGUUCUUCCUCACCACUGUCAUUAAACCACCAACCUAUGUCCUGGUUUAAUGGCAUACAUAUAUAGUAAUGUCUGGCUAACUAAGUAAACUUUUAAGACAGUUUAGCUCUGCUCUAUUAUUGUGACAUGCCUGACUUAAUGAUAGGAUACUUUCAACCUUCCAAAUGCUGUAAAAUUACUUUUAACAACAGAGAGCUUGAGCACUCGUAUCUGUAUUGCAGGGCUUGGAACUACUGGUGGUGCAGCCAGUGACCGCAGGCCUAUGUGAGCUUAUCUUUGGUUGGUCAACCAGAAAAAAUAGUCUGGGAGAGUGAGUAGUUCCCACCUCUCAGCACCUAAUUUUGACAACCCUAAUCAGGAUUGACUUCUGGGCAUUCAGUUCCUACACUAUGUGUCUCAGAAACCUUGCAGACAAAAGAGCAUGGGGUUUUCUUCAUUUAACUCCACACCCUGUCAUAUAUGAGAAACCUGUGAUCACAUUGGUGCUACCAUCUGCCACCAAUCAUGGAGGUCACCUGCUGCCAUUGAGUACUCUUCUCCCAGCAUAUGUUUAAUCUCCUGAGUCACAUCCCCCUACUCAAUUUACAUUCAUUUCAUCUACCUUGUCACUUACCCUUGACCUCCCUUUCACUUAUAGUGUUAUAGUGUACCCAAUUUAGCUGUUAUAGUUUAAGUUUUACUCCACAAUGUUUUAUAAAGUUGAUCUAUAGAUUUAUACUUAUCAGUAAAAUGUAUUCAAAUUCUAGUAUAAAACAUUAUCUAUGACAUGUAAAAGGAUAAAAAGAAACUGAGGAUAGUAGAGUUAUCCUUAUAGUAGGCAAGUCCAUAAGAGGUUAAUAUUUAGUGUUAAAAGUCAUACAGAUCCGUUCAUUCAUUGCUUUCUUUAUAGCAGCAUCACCCAGGCCAACACUGGCCAACGAGCUGCCUGUGGUCUGAAUGUGACCCAUCACACCAUAAUUAGUAGCUACCCAUUUCUGUGAGAACAAAUGGCCUUUUGUAAGAGGGUAUCCUAUUGUGAAUAUCUUUGCUGGAGCAGGGAUACCAUGACCUCUGGAUAGUAAUCACACAUUCCAUUUGGACCAUUCACCAUGUCCACAAUUUUCCACCGGUGUCAUCCUUCUGAACAAGUCAGUGCCCCCAUCCUUAUUCAUGGCUGUCCUCUAUAUCUGGCAGGUCAAGAGACUGAAGACAGCAAUUCCUUUAAGCAAAUGAGGACUUUGCAGCUAUAAAGAAAAUAUAUUCUGAGUGUCGCUCUUACACAAUGACAGUCCUCUUUUCAGAUUAUUGUUUUCAGCAAACUUACAUCUCCGUAUCUCCUUCUUGCUACAAACCUCACAGCCGAGUAGCCACUGGGUCAGACAGAUGUAUGAAUAAAUGAAUGAAUGGUUGGUUGGCUGGGUGGAUGACUGGAUAGAUAGAUAGAUAGAUAGAUAGAUAUAGAGAUAGAUAGAUAGAGAUAGAUAGAUAGAUAUAGAGAUAGAUAGAUAGAUAUAGAUAGAGAUAGAUAGAUAUAGAUUAGAUAGAUAGAUAGAUAAAUAGAUAGAUAGAUAAAUAGAUAUAGAGAUAGAUAGAUAGAUAGAUAGAUAGAUAAAUAGAUAGAUAGAUAGAUAGAUAGAUAGAUAGAUAGAUAGAGAUAGAUAGAUAGAUAGAUAGAUAGAUAGAGAUAGAUUAGAUAGAUAGAUAGAUAGAGAUAGAUAGAUAUAGAUAGAGAUAGAUAGAUAGAUAGAUAGAUAGAUAGAUAGAGAUAGAUUAGAUAGAUAGAUAGAUAGAUAGAGAUAUAGAGAUAGAUAGAUAGAUAGAUAGAUAGAUAGAGAUAGAUAGAUAUAGAGAUAGAUAGAUAGAUAGAUAGAUAGAUAGAGAUAGAUAGAUAUAGAUAGAGAUAGAUAGAUAGAUAGAUAGAUAGAGAUAGAUUAGAUAGAUAUAUAGAUAGAUAGAGAUAUAGAGAUAGAUAGAUAGAUAAUUAAAAUAUAAUUAGAUAGACAGACACACACACACACACACACAAUCAGACAUACAAAUGGAUGAAUUGAUAAAGAGAAAGAGAGGAAAUUAUUGAAGAAACAGAGAUAUAUAGAAAGAAUAACAUACAGGCAGAAUUGUAGACAGACAGACAAAGAGAAAGGCAGAUACACAGAGAGACUCAUAGAUAAAGGCACAGACGGAAAGGCUGACUGACAGACAAACACAGGAGAAAGAUGGACAGACAGCCAUUUUCUGUUAUUUAAAAUGUGAUUAGUAUCAAACUGCUGAGCUAUAAAUUGAGCAGCUUCUUCACCUCUUGAUAUCAAUAACAAUAACAACAACCCACCAGUUUCACCUUUUCUCAUCAUUUUGUAUACUACCAGUAAUAGGAGCGUUCCAUGUGCUACCAGGCCCACAGCAUUACUGCAAUUAACUUGCUAUUUGAGUCUCCUCCUUCUUGUGGAAAAUUCUGUUUCAUACGUUUCACCACCCAAGUGUUAAAAGAGGAGGUUGGUCCAAUACGCAAAGCUUUAUUAACAAACUGAUCGCACAAACAUAGCCAAGAACAAAGCUGCACAUUUAAUUCUUCUGAAGCAUAAACCCAAUGGAGUUAAUGAGGCAUGCUACAGUAUUGUGUUUUUUUUGUGUGUUUUUUUAUGCACUUGUAUGCAUAUGGGAAUGGGUUAUUACUAAGUAUGAGUCACACUAAUUACUGAACAGUAUGUGUGAAAUUACACUUAAUUAGCUACAAUAGGUACACUAUUAGAAUGAACACAAAACUAAGGCAGAGUGAUUAAAUUGAAAAACAAGUAAAAAAACAACAGCUCUGCAGAUCCCCGCUAUUAAAAGCAUCAGCGUUUCCUAUAUGAACUGGUUAGAACAAGGAAGAUGUACAUAUUCAUAUUUUGGAACUCUUCGAACCGUGUAUGGAAAUGGUAUGUUUUCACGCACAGUGGCCCACAUUGGGAUGACUCUAUCAAAAUGUAGAAGUGCUGUUAUACAGACACAAAUGUUUCCAGUGGUCUUCUAUAGCCACAUGCAUGUACAGGUAUACUGAUUCGUGUGCUGAUGUGCUUUUUCGUGACUAUGCCAGGUCUUGGGGACUGAGGGACAAAAUAAGGUCAUCCCCAAGAAUCUAGGACUGUUGAGAUAUAUGUACUAAGCAUAAUGUUUAAAGAAACAAUCUAGACUGGAAAUAAUAGAUAAACCAUUACAAAUGUGUAAAAAACAAACAAACACCUGUUUUGAAUAAAUCUGCUCAUAUUUCAAGGUCCUGACAGUGCUUCUAAUCCACAGGCAGGCUGUACCAGACAGCUCCACUAAUCAGGAGCCUCUCCUUCUGGCCUUUAUGGUCUGACCUUAUACAUAACCCCCUGCCCAGCAGAGUUUAUUGAAUAAGCUGAGAGUAGCCAUAAUGUAGCUGCUAUCAGCUUACUGCCAGAUCUGCUCCUAGUUUUGUUAAUAGAGCUAGGUGUUCUCCCAAGCUGUAGGUCACAUACGAAUGCAGCCAUGAAACCCGUUGCUGAGAUCUACAAAUAAGCAUGGGGACACAACUGGCGUGUACAUACCCAGUGUUCACACAUCAUAUGCAUAUGAUGGAUAGAUAUAGACAACAGAGGAGUAUGUUAAAAUAAUUUUGACGUCACUCACUGAAGAAGCAGUCUUAUAACUGCAGCAGUUUUUUACAAAUCGCUGCAGUUAUAAUCAACUGUGUAACAGAGUGACUGGGAAUCUCCUGGGAUUAAUCCAUCUGUCCGCCUGACUGUCUGUCUGUCUGUCUAAUUACCUAUACAUGCAUCCAUCCCCCUAUCCAUCAAGCCAACCAGCCAAUCAUUCAUUUAUUCUGCAAACUAUGCAAAGAGCCUAGGUUUCAAUAAUAUUUCGUUUUAACAAUACUAGAACUAUAUUGCUUUACUCUCUGGAAUUUAAAUCUCUCACUAUCAUCCCCAUAAAUAUAGUGGCUGAAGAGGAAUGCCUUGAUAUCAAAAUCUCCUGAUGUCUGCUGGAUACCGGAAUGGAUAUGAAUCCAUCAAACUGUUGUUGAGAAAAAAACGAGAAAACUUACCAGAAGUGUUGAAGGUAAAAAGUAGUGAUCUACAUAGUAACAUAACACACAACUAAAAAUACAAUACAAAUAAAAAUACAAUUCUCCGUAUUUCUCAGCUGAAUGCUUACUCUAACCUCCGUAAAAACGUAUGCUAGCAGGGACCCAGUCAGUGGAGUUUUUUAUCUCAAAACUCAGAUUAGAAAAGUUUUACCUAUCUGACAGUCUGUAGCUCCACCUGCAGCUCCUGUUAAUAAUUUUGAAACAAAGUUUCCAGGCUGGCUAUGUUCAUUUUGUCACCUUUCUUCAGUUAAGAACGAACUGUUAGAACUACUUAUCCCAUAAUCAAUCUCCUGUUGUGAAAGACGUACUAAACGAUGCUCCAAGGUAAACUUUAAGGUGCUGUAUUGUUAGUUUUUUUAUGUAUUAUUUUACCUUAUUUUAAUACAUUAUCUUUAUAGUUUAUUAAGUACCAAUGUUUUCUCCUUAAAUGAAUGAAUCUCAAAGUGAAAAAUCUGGAAAAAUCUACAGAAACAUUAUCUCUUCUUAAUGCAGAUUGUCAGACGAAACAUGGUGGUAACCUUAUUUCUAAAAUAACAUAAAUAAUAUAGUGAGAGCAAACUCUAUACACCAGAUAUAAACAGAUGUAAAAAACAGGCAAUAUUACCAUAUAUCUGAAAUGUCCUAAAAAUAAAAAAUAAAGAACAUAGUAUAGCCUGUAUAAAAUAGACAAAAUAAAAAUAAAUUAUAUUUAUAUAAUAUAGAGUUUGCUCUCACUAUAUUAUUUAUGUUAUUUUAUUAUAUAUUUCUUGUGUGAUUUGGAGUGAUUCACACUUAGUGAUUUGAGCACUUUUAUCAAUUUUCUUCCUUUCUAACCUUAUUUCUGCCUGUUGCUGAUGUUAUUUAGACUAACUAAAACAGAACAGUCAACAAAUAGCGUGUACUACGGUGGGUCCUCACUCAAUUUUCAAGCUAGAUUUAGCGCCAGUUUGCUCCACUAUGUAGAGAACCUGAAUCAGUGGCGUACAUACCAGGGUCACGACCGGGCCGGCCCACCAAGGGGCCCGGCCGCCCCUGCGACACCGUGUGUACCCACUGGGCCAGCCUCUUCCCCUGGGAGACCCAGGAGCCGACCGCCCCAGGGCCACCCGAGGCUGGCCCUGCUGACACCCGGCAGGCGGGUGGCCGGUUGGGCAGGUGGGCACGCGAGGGAGCACUCACUGAGCGCCCGCCUGCCCGACUGGCCACCCGCCUAGGAGCCCAGCAGCACCACUGGACCCCAGGGAAUCCCCCCAGCACUCCAAAAGGUAAGGAGGCUGGGGGGAUUACAUUUAAAAAAAAACAUGUGUGAGUGUUAGUGUGUGUGUGAGUGUUAGAGUGUUAGAGUGUGUGAGUGUUAGUGUGUGUGUCUGCUAGUUAGUGUGAGUGUUAGAGUGUGUGAGUGUUAGCGUGAGUGUUAGAGUGUGUGAGUGUUAGAGUGAGUGUGAGUGUUAGAGUGAAUGUUAGUGUUAGAGUGAGUGUGAGUUAGUGUGAGUGUUAGUGUGCGUGUGUCUGCUAGUUAGUGUUAGUGUGUGUGAAUGUUAGAGUGAGUGUGAGUGUUAGUGUGUGUGUCUGCUAGUGAGUGUCAGUGAGUGUUACUGUGUGUGUCUUACUGAGUGUGUGUGUGUUAGUGAGUCUGUGUUUGUCAAUGAGAGUGUAUGUUUUGUGAGUGUGUAUGUAUGUCUGUUGCUGAGUGUGUCUCUGUCAGUAAAUGUGUGUGUCUGUUAGCUAGUGUGUAUGCGUCUGUUCGUGAGAGUGUGUGUGUGUGUCUUCAGCACUUACCUUUCUCCAGCGCCAGACUCCCUUGGUGCUGGGGAUCCCUCAGCCUCUCAGCUCCGAAUGCGACUGCGCACGCAUUCAAACCGCCCAUAGGAAAGCAUUACUCAAUGCUUUCCUAUGGACGUUCAGUGUGCUUCUCUAGCGGCUGUCAGUGAGACAGCCACUAGAGGCUGGAUUAACCCUCAGUGAAACAUAGCAGUUUCUCUGAAACUGCUAUGUUUUCAGCUGCAGGGUUAAAACUAGAGGGACUUGACACCCAGACAACUUCAUUGAGCUGAUGUGAUCUGGGUGUCUGUAGUGGUACAUACCGCGGUCGCAAGGGUCGCAGCCCUGUAACCCCUGCGACCAGGUGCCCACCGCCAUGUGUUGCGGCCCUCGCGCACGGGGGGGCCCACGGAUCAAUUUUCGCACUGGGGCCCCAUGGGUCAUGUGUACGCCACUGACCUGAAUCAUUUUAUAUCAGACUGAUCCCCACCAUAAAAGAUGGUCUUGAUAUGAAAUAUUGGCAAGCUCAGCACUAAAGCUAAAACUAGUUUGAGAACCGAGUGGUAACCUAAUGAAGGACAAGCUAUUUGAGUUUGUAUUCUCUUACCCUCUGUUUUAGUUUGCUUGCAAACUGUCUAAUGUCUCUCCCAAAUGCAAAAUGGUAAGCCAGAUGGUGAACUCCUUGCUCACUGUGCUUGUAGGGGUGUCAGCCAUACCUCACUGACGAGGUCCACCAGGGCCAAAAAAAAAAACUGUCUGAAGUUACUAUAGUUCUCAUGUAGAGGGAGCCAAGCAAAAUUUCUGAUCUGACUGCCUUUUAGGGGUAGAAUCACUCUGACAUGACCUGAUCAAGAGCAAAUGGUUUUGGUUCUAUCUGUAAUGGCACAAGUAGACCUACAAUCAGAUUGACCAAACAAACAGCAAGCUUUAUGAGUUGGCUAUUCUCGCUACUCUCUUGUGAUCUGUGAUUUUUUAUUUUAUUUUUUUAGAUUAGGAUUUGUAGACUUUGUACAAUAAGACUAUUAUGAUUAGUAUAUUUUAAAGUAAUCGAAUGACUGCCUUUUCUUUAAGUGAAAGUGAGUCACUAGUGUGAAGGGCAGAGUUUCGGCUCAAAUAAAGUCACCGGAGGAAAAGGGAGAGGUUUCCCAAUGAAGACACAGAUUCCUGUCAUUUUCCUAUGUCCAAUGCUACAGAUAAAGCCACGGAGUACCUUCUAUGUAUGACUUACUUUCAAAAGUUUACUGUUAUAUUUUGCAGAGAUUACAUUAUUUAAACAAAGUAUGGAAAUUCUUUUUAAAGAAUAGCUUUCCAGGUUUUACUGUAUUUGAAUGCUUUUAGGCUGGCUGAGGAUCGUGAUAAUUCUAAUUCCAAUUGGCUGUACUUGCUUUAACCCCUUCUACACCAAGUCAUUAGAAAAGCACAAUAAUUGUUUGAAACAGUAUGAAUAGCUAGCAAAUUAUUGCAGGAUAAAACUGCAAUUUCUUGUAUAGAUUACUGUACAACAACAUAUAAAAUCAGAAAAUUAUGUAAAUUUGCAUAUUUUUCAUUAUUUAUUUAUUCAUUUAUCUUUGUCAGUCAGAUUAUGAUUUUUUUAAAUGUAUUUUUUUUUAUUUAUUGUUUAUGUGGGGAGUGUUAGUUAUUAUAUAGUAUCCAGUAUCUCACUAACAGGGAGAAUGUGAUAUAUUAGUACAAAUACAGAAAUUGAAUUUUGACACACAUGCAGCAGGUGUGACAAAAAUAGAUUCAAAUGACAAAAUACAAAACACUAAUAAACUACUUACAAUGUGUGUAUACAUAUGGACAUUUCUUCUAAUUCGAAUGACAUUUCAGGCGAGAAAUGUUAAAAUAAUAUCUGUAUGUAUGCACAUUGAGAGGAACUGACCAGAAUCUGGGCACAAACGUUUAUUUUUGCACUUGAUAACAAUCUGUUUGUGUAACACAAAUUUUUGUAGAGCCCCCCUAUAUUGGGAUGGAGCUAUCAAUGGCCACUAGGUUUUGCUUUUAAUGGUUAUCUGUUUUCCUCUGUCUAUAGAGCGUGCACAACAACGAUUAGAAUAAAUAUUGUGCUGUUGUAGUCACAGCUCCUUACUGAAUUAUAUGCACAGCAUAAAAAAAACAAAAUGGUCAUAAAGUAAAAUUAUUUAUUUAUCGUAGAUGUUUUAACAAUGGUUUCGGGGACACGCUUGGCUGGAAGUGAGCCGUAAGUUCCAUUAAAAAAAAAAAAUGUAUAAAUAAUACAUUUCAAAAAGACAAAAAAAAAGGAUUCUCACCUUUAAAGAUUGUGAAGAUCCUGUAUUUUACACAGGCAUUUAGAGAGCAGUAAGGCUAUUACUCUGUAUUGUGCUGGUAGAUGCCUGUUCCAUUCGACAUCACAGAAAACAAUAAAUGAGAAAUGAAAAGUAGAAAUAGAUUAAAGCUCUGGGUUAUGCUAUACUUUGCCAAAAGAAUUACAUAGGUACAAAAAAUUACCCCUAUAUUGUCUUAUGAUAUAUUUUGAAUUUCCUUGGCAUUCCUUCCUUAUUUGAUAUUUCUAUGAAAGUUCUAUCUGCAUGAAAAACUCAAAAGUGACAGUCCGGAUUUAAUAGGUUUUCCAUUUGUCGAUUUAAUUUACGGGGCAUUGAGACUGUAAUCACAGCAUGAUUAGUAACCAUACCGCCGAACAACUAUAUACAUCACCAAACAGCGCAGGGGUAGAAUAAAUUGAUUACAUCAAUUGUUUUGGUUGAAACUGAGCCAAAAACAUAUAGGUACAAUUGUAGUGUGCAACUAAAUGGAUUUUAACAAUUAAAACAAUGUUCUAAAGUUGUAACACCACUGGAAAGAAAAAUAAAAUACUUUGCUCACUUUUUUUCCAUUGUUUUUCUAAAAACACCAACCUGUAUAAACAUGAAAUUUUAACUGGUACCCAGCACCUUUGAGUAAACUGGAAGGGAAAAGGUAAUGUCUGAAAAAUAAAUACCACUGCAACUUAUUACAAUAGAUGAUUGUGAGAGCAGAUCUUCUACAGAUGUUAAGGUUGGCGGCCUGAGUUUGUGGCGGUGAAAUAGAAAGUUAGAUCUAAGCUCUAUAUAUUUGAUUUAGCAAAAGGAAAAAUAUAUAUGUUUUUGUUGGGCGAAAUGUCCAUUUUUUUUUUUUUUUUAAGGGAAUGAAGAGUUAUUGUAGGCAUCUGUUCACCAUACCUUUAGAAAUAAAAUUCUGUUCAUAGCACAGAAUUUUAUUACCAAGACAAAAAAAAAGGUAUACACACGAGCCAAUGAGAGCCACUUGCGGCAGUUUCCCAUUCAGUGGGAGCAGCAGGGAGUAAAGAGCGUACUAUAUAAGAUGUAAAAAUAUUUCCAAACUCUUAAUCAGGCAGAGGGCAAGAAAAUAAGGGAUUCAUGAAACAUCAAUGAUGCAAACGUAGCAACUCAGUGAGGUGUUAACUACUACCGUGAAAUAUGAGCUGAACCUCAUAUGAGCCGCGUGAAUCAUACAUUGAGAAAGGACCUGUUACUCUGUGACUUUUAUAGCAGCUUUUUGAGUUCGAAGAAAUACAACAUAGGCAGAAAAGAGCAAUUAUGCAGCUUUGUGUAAAGUUGGUAUUUCUAAACGAAUAAAAUCUUUAAGCACAAUAUUUGUGGUUAGUAGGUCUUUAUAUGUUAAUAUUGAAAUCUAGUCUGGAAAGAUCAUUUAAAAGUAUUAGUUUCAAGGACAAUUAACACACAAUUUGGUGUCACAAGUAGGGGAUUAUUCACUUUAUCACUCUUUUGAACAAAUUAGACAACAAAGAAUUCUAAGCGUAUUCGGUCCAUUUUUCUGUUAUGAGUUUAUUUAUUUUUUUAACAGCUUCAACUGUGUCCUGGGACUGGACGAAUCAGGUCCUUCCUUGGUGGUUUGGUUUGAGAGCUUAUUUUUAUUAUUUUUAAAGUGGCAACAUUUUCCACAAUGCUGUUUAUAUGUGGAACUGACCACUUGAGUAAAAUUAACAUUCCAAGCACCAUAACCACUACAGCAUGCUAUAGUGCUUAUGGUGUCCCAUUGUAAGUAGUCAAACACUUCUGGAACAGCUUGCCAUCUUACCUGGGGUCCACCUCCUCAGUCAGAGAGUCAGAGGCUCCUAAAGAACUUCUGUUAGCUCUCAUGAAUUAAGCUUUGUAGUAUGCAGUAGCACAUUGGUUGAGAGAAUCAGCUGAUACCUCUUAGCCAAUGAGCUGAGACUGCACCGCUAAAAGUGAUGGGCAAAUGGAGGUGGGGAGUAGUGCCGUGCCGACCCCAGGUAAUAGGUCAAAAUGUUCCAAACCGGUUUAACUACAUAGAAUAGGGUGGUACCAGGGAACUCAUGGAACCAUAACAACUGAAAAAAGAUCUAUUUGGGAAAGGGCAACUUGAACCUCGGCUGAGUCUUUGCUUAUGGGUCAUCCAGCCAAAGUAAAGACCCAAGUAGUGUUUGGGUAUUAGGAAAUAAAAUGAUAUUUCUUGUGUGAACACUGAAUAUAAACAAUCAUACACUCCAGUAAUUUGCUGGAACAUACGUCUGUAUAGGGACCCAAAAUAGGGGAAUGACAAGGGGAUGGUGCUGCGUACAUUACCAACCUAUCUUUAAAUAUCUUUAGUGCUGUCCUAAUUUGCCUGUCUUGACUAAGGAUUACCUGAACUUGGUAAAAUUCAUAAAUACUACUGCAUUAUCAAAUAUGCAUUGUACCCUCACGUAGAAAAAUACAUUAAAUAUAGUUUUCUGUAGACAGGUAAACAGGGUGUAUAAUUUAUACGAACCCACAUUAAUAUAUAGAAGUUCAUGGAGCCCGCUUAAAAGGGUCGCAAAAUUCAGCUGGGACUCAGUUCAACUAAAACAUUACAUUUCAAAACGUCUGCAAAAAGGAAACAAAAAAUACAGGUUCUGUGUAGCUUUCAGGAAAAGGGCUAUUUUCUAUAAGGAACCCAAUCCUUUAGCUACAUGAACAUGGAAAAUUGUGAAUCUAGAGGCCUGUGAUGUGGUGAGGUUCAUCUCCCAUACUGCCUGGCUUUUUCAUCGAGUGCAGCUUUAACAAGUGGUACAGGAAAAACGCUAAGGAAACGCACACUAUGCAUUCCUGUGUUUAUGAAUAAGGCACUAUGCCGAUUUCACAUGGGAGUAUUUGCAAAGCUCUUUCUGACAAAGAAGGCUGUUCCCCAUGCCAACUUUUAUUUUCCUUGUAAAUCUGUUCAGCUGUCUUGAAACCAGCCAAGGGGGACUCUGCAGCCAAAUUUAAGAAUUUGUAUAAAUAUGUUCAUUUGUAUGUGUUUUGCUUUCUACACAUGCAAUCGUUUAUCCAUCAGCGCUCGAUAUUUGGACAGAAAGUCUAAGUCUUCUUGACAUUUGCAAACAAGAUUAAAGAAAUAAACUAGGUUGGGCAUUAGGCGUGGUGCAGGGGGAAAAAGAAGGUAUAUGAGGAAAAGAUUGAUGUGAAGGAGGGGUGCUGGUAUUGUGGGGCUCAUGAACUAAGUGGUUGCGUUCUGAUAGGAUGGUGCAUCCUAUGACACAUGAAUUUACUAUGAUCAAUUAGUAAAUGCCGACGGAGAUUUUGGUUUGAGAAAUUAAGAUGGUUUUUGCUGAUUAACCAUUUGCUGAUUUAGCAAGCAGAUGACAUUUCCAUACACAACAAGCAUUUCCCAGAAACCCAUGUUCAUUCAUUUAACCCUUCUGAUUUUUAGAAUACUACACAUAUCCUGCAUUAACCACGUGCUGAUUUAGCAAGCAAAGAACAUUUCCAUACACAAUGAGAUUUUCACAGAAACCUUUCUUUUUUUUUUUUUUUAUUAUCCCUUUUGACAGCCACAAAUCUUACUUUUAAAACUAACAUAGACUCUACUUUUGGAAAUCUGAAAAAAGAAAAAGAAAAAACUGCUACAUUCAGGAAUGCAGAUUCCCAUACUGGCCAUGCUCAUUUGCAUAUUUAAUUAUAUAUGCGUGAUAUCACAGGACACAAUGUGGUUUCAUGUAAGAGAAAAGAAAAACAUUUGGAAGGGGAAAAUUCCCUAAAUGUGUGUGUGUAAUUUGUCUGAUUGUGUGUGUGGUUUUGUAUAUGUGUAGCAAUGUGUGUGUAUUAGUGUGUGAACAGUAGUGUGUGUAUAGCAGUGUGUCAUUGUCUAAAUAUGUGUAUAACAGUGUGUGUAUACUGUGUCUGAUUGUGUGUGCCAGUAUCUUUAUACUAUGUGUGGUAGUGUGUGUGUGUGUGUAUGUGUGUAGCAAUGUAUGUUUCUUCCAUGUAUAAUAUAGAUGGUUAUCCUAGCUCUAUCUCUCUCACCAUCCUCUCAGAGUCACAUAUGAGAAAAAUACCGGCCUUUGCAUUGCCGGUAUAUUUGCAAUCCUGGCACCAGCCAGAAAGCCUCGAAAACUGUCUGUGUCGGUAAAAUACCGGCCAGGUGGCAACCUCAUAAAAUGGUUGCAUUCUACAUUUAGCACAUACAGGUGCCUUUGUGAAAUCGAGCAUUUGAAAUACUAUAUUGCAGCAGGUUGCUAACACAAAUACCGAAAUGCUGCCUAAUACAUUUAUUUAACAGUUUAUAUAUAGCGUUCCUAUCCAGAGCGCUUUACAAUUUAUAAAAAGGAAAAAAAAAUGGUAAAAUUAUAAACACGGGGAUACAUAAUUAGACAUACGUAUGAACCCCUGUGGGCUUCAACCUCCUACAAUUCUCCCCUAUUGAGGUACUACAAUGCCACUACAAAGUGGGCUUUAAGCCUUUUGUACUGUAUGCUAGGAAGAGGAAGUGAUGUCACAUAGAAUGUCUGCAUAAAACAGAAGUACUGACUAUUGAUGCAUUGGUCGACUUUAGGAUUUAAAAUAAAGAUCAGCCAAGCAGUGAUACUUGGGAAAACAAGAGAUUUUAUUAGAGUCACAUUCCCUAUGUAUGCACAAGGUUUCGGGUUCAAAAGUUUAAACGCUACCUGUGUGAACCUUUUGCUAUACAGAGGAAAAAAUGCUUAAGACAAUCCCUUAGAGCAUAUAUUUUUUUCUUCUUGGUUAAUAGCACUUUAAAGUAAGAAACCUGGAGUUUAUACAUGCUUAAAACAUCCUAUGAUGUGAUACUUCUGUGCAUUUAAAGGUACAAAAUACACAUACAAAAAAUAUUUGAUAAAUUCUCUUUACUUUUUUGUUUUAAUUAUCCUGUCAACACCAAUAGGGUCACAUGUCCCUGUAGCCAAAGUGUUAAGAUUUAUUUUGUCAGAAGUGUGCUUUCAAAAAACACGUUGCCACAGAAGGUAAGAAAUGAAAGGAUCUGAGAGUUUCUGUUAUCACUUGCAUGAUCAAAUGUCAGCGGUGAUACAGAAAAUGUCUAUUAAUAACACUGUUCUUUUUCCAUAUAAAAUGUUUGUGAGGUGCAGAGUGAAAACCAGUGGAAUUUUACAAAGCAGACCUUUUUAAAGCUCGGACAUUCCAUUUAUUGCGAUUAUUUCUAUUAAACAAUGAAAGCUUUUUUUUUUUGUUACAAUGUGAUAUGAUGGAGCAGGAGGUAAACUCAAAGUGCAUUAGCAGUGCAAAUUAUCCUUUUUAUAGCAUAACAAAUUUAACGUGGCUCUUUUUCAAAUACUUAAUACAUGAAUGGUGAGAUACACAAAGCUAACAGUGUUAGAAUGUGACAAGGUUGUGGCCUGCAGUAAACGGUUAUCAAAAACACAACAGGGAUCUACGUGUAAUGGUAUCCAUUUAUUUAUAUAAAAUGGUUUCAUGUCAAGACCUCAAUCCUCCUUCUACAAUAUGGAAUAUUUUUAAUAAAGUUCCCACGCUUUAUUUACCACAGAAAUGUCUAUUCACUAAAACAGGAACUGUUGUAAUCUGACAAGGAAAUUCCAAAUUUUAUAACUGGUACCUAAAAUGUGAAAAUCCAUUGUCUGCUCCUGAUAAUUCAUAGUUUAGUGCAGGUGUAGGCGACCUUUCACACUCCAGAUGUUGUGGACUAUAUCUCCUAUGGUACACUGCUAUCAUUAUGGCGGUAAGAGCAUUAUGGGACAUGUAGUCUACAACAUCUGAAGUGGCAAAGUGCGCCUACCUAUGGUUUAGUGAGUAUGGGGUCCGACGGGCAAAGUUAGGCUUAUAUUUUUUGCAACUUCACUUUUGUUUUAAACUGUACUUAAAUAAUUGCCAAGUGCAGCAAAAAUAACAGACAGGUAUAUUUACAGAUAACUGUGGCAAUUUACCUUUUUAAUCAUUUUAAGGAUGUAAGAAAAAAAAAGGCAGGAGGAAAAACCCUAUUGUACCUUAAAUUUUACACACUGUUAUUUAGCUCACCUUUUAGUGAAUAACGCUUCAACCCUUCCCCCCUUACACUUGGGUGUACUGGUAUUUUUAAAAUACGAUAUUAAAUGUAUUUCUUUGAAAGCUUCACUUCCUCCUACGAGUAGCUAAAUAAACAAGAAGACUUACACCAGAUACAGUUUUAGAAAAUGUGCAAAUCUAUACACACGGUUCCGCAUAACACAAACAAUGUCUUAUUUUAUGCUAAAAUGUAACUUCAUGACAAAGCCCAGACUCUGGGAGUCAACUGGGAUUUUAAACAUGUCAUAAAGCUAGUGAUAGAAAAAAACAAGUGAGUUGUACAUUUUACAGCAUAUUCUCCAAAACUUGCCUCAGUGUGAUAAUCUUAUCUAAAAAAAAAAAGGGUUUUACAAACAUAAACGUUGUGCCACUAUUUAAUUUAAAUUAUGGCAAGACUGCUACUUCAUUGUUUUAUUGACCCUUUUCCCAUUUUUGUUACCUACUGCGUGUUACAAACAUCAGGCAUGGGAUAAGUCCAAACAUCCAGACAUCAUAUUAAAUUAUCAGCCCAUUUAAAUGGGCAGAUAAUAUAUUCAAAUCCCUUACUAGAACGUGGGUGAUGUCACACCACAUAUUAUAAAGAUGUAAAGCACGGUGUGAGUGAGACUGUGCAGUGCAAGUCCUCUCAUCUUGACGCCACACAUAUCCUAGCCUGCCUCAAUGUGGUGACUAUUACACUUGCAGGCAAUAAUACAGAUUGGUUACAAUGCCUAGAGUGACCAUUUAACUAUCAUGUGUACAUGCAUAGUUGGAAGUAAAAAAAAAGGUCACACAUCUGCUAUGUCCACUUAGCUGCUUCAGUAUCCUAUCUAUUGGAAGGUAUGUUAUAAAGAUUAAUAAUUAGAUUAGAUUCAUACUACGUUCUAGAAUAUAUAAUAAUAAAGGAUGGGGACUCAACAGAGUUGAAUCUAAUAUUAAAUUCCUGUUGUAAUUAUGUAGGAAUAUUAAUAUCUGCAUUGCAAUUUUUUAUGUGUGUAAAAAACAAAAUAACUAGUAAACUUGGAGAUUCGUUUUAAACCAAAAUACAAAUUGGUGAAAUUCAGGGAGUCUCACGGUUUUCACCGUGCCAUACAGACGUCUAGACGUGGCCAUCCUACAAGUGCCAAACAGGGGAUUUGAACUUGGGCCCUUUGUUGUCCUGGGUCUGGGUCUUCUGAGCCCCAGCAGAUCCUGUUCUUUUGAGUAGUUCUAGCCCUGUUAAACCUGGCUAUGUCUGCAGCACUAGGGGGCUGGACUUCUUCUGUGGCUACUGCCUGUGCUUUACAUGAGGCAGAUCGCUCAUCAGCUGGGCAUAAAACACUGCCCCUCCCUGGGAACAUUGUCAGUUCUUUGAUUCUGGUUAACGUGUGUAGUUCUUGCAUUCUAGUCUCCUGAGCGUUUUAUCCAGAUUGACCCCGGCUUCUGACCUUGGCUCCACUCAUCGUUUAUCAUGACCUCUGGCAUCUCUGACUUUGGCUACACCUUGACUAUCCUUUUGCUUGUGACCUUGUCUGUACUGAGUAUUGGAGCACCUUUCCUGCACAGCUCCCAUGCACAGAUUCACAGUGCAGGUGGCUUCUUACCUGGUCACCUUGGACUGUAUUUAUCUGCAAGGGUGAGCGAACAUCUCUGUGCUUUAGACUCCCACAUCAGGUAAGACCCUGACAGGGAGAUUGGGUGAUCGGAAGAGGAAUUCCCAUUUUUGAACCACCAGGAUCCCGAGAAAACCUACACAUUUGAGCCUGAACAUGCUCGUUUUCAAUUUUAAUUCAGAAUGCUAUUCCUGUCACCACAAAAAAAGAGGGAUAGAAAAGAAAAGAGGACUUUUUUUUAGGGGUCGAGGGGUGAAGUCAAAUAAGCAGCUCAGUUUCCCAUGAUGGACAAGAGGCCUAAUUAAUGUGGCCUGAAACUUCUGUCUAAUCAUUAGGUAGCAAAAAAGGGACAGUUAAUAAAUACUGAUUGUAUUAACAGAUCAAGUGAAGUUGCCAAUAGACAGCAAAUAAGGAGGAGCAAUAAAGUAACUAUACUCCCAAGAAGGAUUCCAAGCAGAAAUUUUGACUUACAAAGGGUCUCAGCUCGAAUUACUGUCAGGUCAAUUUGGCGUGAAUGCCAGGCUACCUGCCAAUCAAGCAGGCCAGCCCUCUAAAGGCAGACGAUACCGGGAACACAGUUUCAGUUACCUCUAGCCCAGACUCUACUCAACUUUGCGUAUGAUUAGUUAGAGGAAUUAGAAGAAGAGAGUGUGGAGAGGACAGGCAGGUUCCCAGUAUUUUCUCCAGCAUCCAGUGUGCACUUGCCUCCUGUAUCUUGUCCACCAUCUCCAAGUCCUUCUGCAAUUGCUGCAGAAUGGCAUCAUCCAGCAGAGACAGUUUAGACAUCAGCUACACCUGGUACCAAUGGCAGAAGCAGCUCACCCACUAUCAUUGACAGCUGCACCACCGCUACCAUCACCAUCAAUACCAGCGUAAUAAACAUCAACAGUGUAACGGACCGUUUUGCCCAAAAGAGGUUAAAAACCGUUUAGGCGAUAUUCCCCUUUUUCAGCUGCACUGACAGCUACUGCAAGCACCAAUCUCCUGAACUGCAAACCCACGAAUUCACCAACUCCCGAACUGGAGACACACGAAUAGCUGCUAGCAGACGAACAGGAAAAGCUCCCAAGCGGCUUACACUCCUGGCAAUCAGUCUCUAACAGCAUACAGUAAAUCCUCCCCCAAUAAUGAGACGACACUUCACUUUGAGGGUUAAGCAGGAACUGAUUUACUGGGGCUAACUGCCCGGCUUUUAUGCAGGUCUCCCACCUGGUGGACACUCCCCUAGGGGACCAAACGGGAGACUGGGACACAAAGGGAAAAAGGACCAAUCACAGACUUACAUAUUUCAACCAUCCCACAAUGCAUCACAAUUCCUCCUCUCUGCUCUGGAGAUAAUUGAGAAGUAAUUCAAUUAUCUCCAAAGACAGAGGCAAAACUCCAUUAACCACAUGGCAGAAAACAAACAGUAAAAGACAUAAAAUUACCUACAGUUACAUUCAGUACAUAAAACAUAUCCGUUCUACAUAUCCCCAUUAUUAAGCAAAUGGCGCUCAGACCACACGAAUACAGUUUAAUCGCCAUGGAGCCAAAGUCUUUACACAGUCAGUUUCAUGCGAAUGGGCUCCAUGGGAUUCCUAUCUGGGGUACAACACACUCAAACAAAACUACCGAACACCGGGCCAUUCGUGCACUUUCACCGAACAAGAAGGGAGGUCGGCGGCUUCAGCGGUGUUCACGCAAAACUGUGUCCGAUUUCAGUUCCAUGAAUUAAGCGUCGAACACCACUGGGCAUUCGCAUGUUUAAAAUGGCCGCGACCUCGUGUUCGUGAUACGAAUGGCGGCCACCCGGCAUUCGUCAAUUAAGCUGCGGUUAACCGCAGCUUCAGGGAGGUUAAUUGCCGGCACACUCCAACUCCCAGGUGGUCUAUACAUUCGUGCGGUUGUUCGGUAGAUUGAAUCUACCGAACACCCGGCAGAAAAGCACGAAUAAGUCUUUUCUGCAGGGAAAAAGAUGUCUUUUAACAUAGGGCCAUAGUCCAAAGGCAACAGGCGAGCAACCAGGCUUCUCCAAUGCAAUGUGGCGAGAUUGCUCUCGUCACAAACAGUACCGGCAAAACCAACAUUUCCAUUUUCAUUAAUCUAUUGUACAUCAACCAAGUGCUAAUGUACAGGCUAGUGUUACGACAGCUUCCACCAAUGUAAAUCCACCUGCAUCUUUAGCAGACGCAAGCCAAAGGGUUGAAGGUAGCAAAAUUUGGUAAUCACUUUGAGCGUCACCAAGAAGGAGACAUGCAAAGUGUAAAUUGUGUGGCAAGGAAGGGAAUAGGGAGAGCAUGAAGGAUCAUCUCACAAGCGUCAGUAUAAAAAAACAUAUGCAAAGAGUGGAUCAUCAGUUGUCCUUUUGCUUUUCUCUGUUUCAUUUUUCAAAGCAUAAAGUAGCAUUAUUAGCAUUUAUUUUUAUUUUUUUACGGAACAAACAAAACAAAAAUAACAAAUAACAAAAAUAGGGAAGAGAAAAAGAACAAGAAAAAAAUAAAACAAUUAAUGAAUAAUGAAUGAGGAAAUAUAGGAGUGUGAUAUUGUAAAAGCUAGAGGGAGGAAAAGUAUAAGGGAAGGUUCCGUUUUUUUGAACGUGCAGGGGGGUCUCCACUUCUGAAUCAAGUUUGAUUAAAGAAAUUCCAAUUUUUUUAAAUAAGUGUUCCCAUAAACCAUUUAAAUUAGCGUUUACAUUCGUUGAAGUUUUAAUACCUUUUUCCAUUUUCAAUUGGUAUCUAAGUUGGGCUUUAAUUGUGGGUCAGUCUGGUUUAUUUUGGCUUUUCCAAUUCCUUGCUAUUAUUAUUUUCACUGCUGUGAAAACAUGAAGCAAUAAUUUUAAGGGCUUUUUGGUGUUUUUAGGAAGAUUUAAAUGUAAAAUCGCCAUUUCUGGAAUAAAAGUUAUGUUACAAUCCAAGAUUUUAUCCAACUUAAUUUGGACCUCUCCCUAGAGUUCCCUGAUAACAGGGCAUUUCCACCAUAUGUGCAUAAAGUCUGCUUCCUGUUUUCCACAUUCCCAGCAAGCAGAUGUAGAGUUUGGAUAUAUAUAUAUAUAUAGAUUUUUUUUUUGAGGAGUUAGUUACCAUCUAUUAAGUAACUUAAAUUGGAGUUCAAUUAGAUUUAAACAAUGAAUAUUCUUCUUUGUAAUCAUUGAAUCAUACCAAUCUUUUAUAGGAAUGGAAAUUCCGAUAUUUUGGGCCCAUUUUUGUAAAGCUAUUGUUAUUGCAGUUUUCUCUUGUUUUAGUAAUAAGGUAUUACAGGUGGUGAUUAUUUUUUUUGUAUCUUUUUUGUUUAUAGCGUUGUCAAAUGAUUGAAGAUUCUUUGUUUCAGUUUCAAAUUUUAAGUUUUUUAAGAGAUAUGCUUACAUUUUUAAGUAAUUAAAAUAUUCCUUAUUUGGAAUCUCAUUAAUAUCGAUCAGAUCACUAAAAGGUUUCACUUUGUUUUUAUUUAUGAGGUCUGCAACUAAUGUGAUGCCGUUUGGUUCUCCAUUGAGUUAGAUCAACAUCUUUCAAUAAAGUGGCAAGAUUAUCAAUUUUUAAAGAUGGUAAAAUAUUCCCUUUGAGACCAAAAUUGUAUUUAGCUUCAUACCAAUUUCUCAAAACAGAAUACAAAGACAAAAUAUUUCUAAAAAAAAUUUAAUUUUUUAAUUGUCUCAGAGGGAAGCCAGAAAAUUGCAGCAUGAUUUUUGUAUGGGGCUAUUCUUUUCAGUUCGAGAUUAUACCAGCUUUCCUUAAUUGAGGAUUGGUGUAAAGUACGAAUGGCAUGAGCCAUCAAUGAAGCUCGAUUUAGUCUAUCUAGGCAGGGGAAACCUAGACCUCCCAUCUUCAAUAUUUUUGUUAAUAAUUUUUUAUUUAUCCUUGGUCUUUUAUUUUGAUUAAAUGAAUUUCAUUUGAUUAUAUGAAUUCAGAUGAAUUUGGGAAAUAAGGUUUGAAUUAACUUAAUCCAAUUUAGAGGGAUAUUUAUGGGAUAUAUACUCAUCUUGUAAGUUAUUUUUGGUAGGACAGCAUUAAUCCUGCCCCACCAGGAUAUCUCCUUAUUUUUCCAUAAUUAAAAUUGUAUAUUGCUCUCUUUAAUUAAGGGUAGUAGGUUAAUCUCAAUCCAAUUCUUGGGAUUUGUUGAGAUAUUUAUGCCCAAAUAGGUGACAUUCUUUUGACCAAAUGAAAUCAUAUCUUGCUGCGAUUUCCGUUAUCCUGCUAGGAUCCAUAUGAAAAGGGAGGGCAAUUGAUUUGGAUGUAUUGAGUUUAUAAUUCGAGAGAUAACUGUAUCUCCCUAUGACUUCUAUUAAUUGUUUUGAGGAAUUAACGGGAUCCGCCAUAAUUAUCAGAAUGUCGUCAGCAUAUAAUUUAAUUUUGAUCUCUAGUUUGUCUGUAAAUCCUUUUAUUUUAGGAUUGUUUCUAAUUUUGAUAGCCAACAGUUUAAUGGUGGUGAUAGCGGGAAGCCUUGUCUAGUCCCAUUUGAUUGGUCGAACCUAUUGGAAGUAAAUCCAUGACUUGAUAUUCUCCCCGUAGGGUUAUAGUAUAAAGCCAUUCUAGCUCUAAAGAUUCUGCCUGUGAACCCCAAAAAUGUUAAGGUGUUAGCUAAAAAAUCCCAGCUGACCCUGUCAAAGGCCUUCUCUGCAUCCAAUGACAGGGUCAUUAGGGGGGGUCUCUUGUUCCCUGGCCAGUUCGAACAAAUUUAACAGUGUUCGUGUAUGGCUUGACGAAGAUCUUCCUGGUAUGAAACCAACUUGAUGUAUAUGUAUCAAGUCCGUUAUAAUGGUUUUCAUCCUUUGUGCUAUCACCGCUGCGGACAUCUUAAUGUCUUCAUUAAGAAGAGAAAUUGGCCUAUAACUCUUGACAUUUUCAGGAUUCUUAUUUGAUUUUAAAAUAGUAAUAAUAUUUCCUCAGGUAAGAUCUUUUGGUAAUUUGACCUUAUGAGCAAAUUCAUUAAAGGCAGCCAAUAAGUGUGGGGCUAGUUGUUCUUUAAAAGUUUUGUAAAAAAGACCUACAAGCCCAUCUGGUCCUGGAGCCUUUUUUUGUGGUCAUCUCAUUUAUCACUUUAUAAAUUUAGUGAGUAGAGAAUGGCCUAUUAAGUAAUUCAAUCUGAACUUCAGAUAAUUUUUAAAAAAGAUUUAUUUUGAAAAUAGGCUUCAAUUUCAGACUUCCUUGUAAGACUGUUUAUAUUAUAGAGUUUUUCAUCAUAUUUCUUGAAUGCCUUAGAGAUUUUCUCUGGGGAUAGGCAAGUCUAUCCUUCAUAUACAAUUUUAGAUAUUAUUUUCGAUCUAUGAAUUUUUUUUUGUUUAUGAGUUAGAAGCUUGCUGGCCCUGUUACCUUUGUAGUACCAAAAGGUUUUUCAUUUUUCUAGCGUUGUUAGUUCUACUUAAUAGAAGGUUCUUAAUUCUGUUUUCUAUUUCUUCAAUCUGUUUUUAUAUAUUUAAUAAAGGCUUCAAUUUAUUACUUCUAGAAAGCCUUUCUAAUUCAAUAUAUGUCUGAUAAAGUUUGUUCAGUAUAUAGUUUAUUUUGAGAUGACAAUUUAAUAUAGUAGCCUCUUAUAACACACUUGAAGGCUGGCCAUGUAUUUGCUGUGGAAGAGUCAAGAGUUAUUUUUUCCUCACGGUAGAGCAGCAUUAAUUUCUAAAUAUAUUCUCUAUUAUAGGGGGACUCUAAUAGGAAUUCCCUUCAAAUUCCAUUCAGGUCUUUUUCUAUCAAACCUUUCUUUGAGGUCCAGAAAAAAAAAAUUCUGUUCCGACCAGGGGAUCUCUAUUAUUUAAAUCUUUUUAGCUCUUUGAGCAAUUUCAAAGUCGGUUAAAAUAUAGUCUAUUCUCGAAUAAGAUAAGCAUGAUUUUGAAAAACAAGUAUAAUCCCUUUCUAUAGGAUGGAGAGUGCGCCAUAAAUCUAAAAGAGCAUUACUUUGAAUCAGAGUUCGAAAUCAAUUUGAUUGAUAAGAAGAGUUUCUAGUCUGUAUCCUCUCCCUGCUGGUCUAUCCAUUUUUAUGUUCAUUAAAGUCCCCCAGCCAUAUAAUUGAGCCUUGUUUUAUGUUGUCUAAAUUUUCCCAAAAACUAGAUUAAAAAUGCAUAGGUAGAUAAUUUAGUGUAUAUACAUUGUCCAGAGUAUACGAAAUUUGAUUAAUAUUGCAUAUUAUUAUUAAAUAUCUAUCUUCAUCAUCUUGUACGACAUAUUUAAUUUUUAGAUCUAGAAACUUGGAGGAAAAAAUAGCGACCCGUCUCUUUUUUCUAUCAAGCAUCUUCUUUCAAGUGGGAAAGCUUAGUAAAAUAUAUAUAUAUAUAUUUUUUUUAGACAUUUCCCCGAAAUGUUAAUCAGCAAUUUAAAUAACAUAAACCGGAGAGGAAAAAUAAAUAAUAAUAAUAAUAAUAAAAUAAAUAAAUAGAUAUAUUACAAUUAGGUCAAGACAAUAAUUUUCACUUCCUGUUCUGUGCCAAGUGUGGUAUAUCAGUGAAGCUAGAAAUGUAAGCUAUUAAGUAUUUUCCCUUUUUCUUUUUCCCUUCCCUCCCCUGCCUUCCCUCUUUCUGCUUUCAGCUCUGUGCAGAGUGUAGUGUAUGAGUGUAGUCAAAGUGUUAACUAUAAAAUAUUUUCCUAUUUUUCUUUUUGCCUUUCCCAUUCCUGUGCUUACUAGUGAGGGCAUUUAGUAAAUUUAUGUUAAGACCUUCUUCCUAAAUUAACUGCAAAAACAAAAAAAUAUAUAAAUAUAUGAAUAAUUAUCUAAAAUACAAAAUACAUUUCAGAGUAAAUAUAGAAACCUUCACACUAUCAUCUCUGUGCAAAGUGCAGUAUAUCAGUGUAGUUAAAGUAAUAGCCUUAAAACAUAUUUUUUAGGGCCACUUUGCACAUUGAAUAAGGGAGAGGCUUAAUAAGAUUAUUCAUCAGCUUUGGGAGUUUUUGUUUAUGCAGCCUCCCCUGAAUAUUUAUCAUCAGAAUAUAGAAAAAGAAAAAAAAGCUAGAUUUCCCUUCUUCUUGGAACUUUCCUUAUAUUCAUUAUUAGCAUUUUAAGCCAUUGGUAUUUGUCAGGGAGAGUGUGACAAGCAGUAUCUAUCAUGAUUGAGGCGUUUGUAAUAAAUGACCUUUUGGGGAAGAAACAGAGUAAAGAACAACUUUAUUUACAUUUUUACUCAAGUAAUGUUCAAAUUCAAAAUCUGAAGAAGCUUAUUGCAGCUCAAACAACAUUACAUUUCAGAAAUGGUACACUUUCUGCAAAGACUACGUGACAUCAAGUUACUAUGAAAGUCAUGAUGGGAUGAACCUGGAGUUGUAUUACCAUGAGUUUCUCCUCUUCUGUAAGAACCCAUACUGUAAGAAACCAUACUGUGAGAACCCAUACUGUAAGAAGCAAAUCAACAAAUUGGCUCUCCUGGGCCCCAUCAUGCCCAUUUGUGGUCAAUAAAUUCUCAAGUUUGUUAUUAAGAUGUUUUGAUUUUAUCAUUUAACAAUUAAAUAUGUUUUUUACUGCAUGGGGUUUUGUCCUGCCUGGUUAAGUCUCGUGGUGCCUGCUACCAUUGCAGACACAGUUGUAAUGAGCUAAUAGGGCAUUGUUUUACCCCACACUGACGUACGGUCACUGAAGAUACAGACUGGAUAUGUGGGGCAUGGUGGAAGGAGUGAGUGGGUGGUCAAUUGCCCACUAAUAUUUUCCUUUCAUUUCUGAAUAAAUCCCCUAUUUUGAACUUGUAAUGACACAUGCUCCCCAAUUUUCAUUAAUAUAAGACAACAAAAGGAAAAAUAUUACAAGCCAUCACUAUAAAUUUCAAUUAUUAACCAAUGGCUAAAACAGUGGGCCCAGGUAUUUCAGUUCCAAAUUGUACCAGACUGGGCUGCCCACUGGCCCCUUUGCUGUACAUCUUGACCCUGGAACCAUAGGCAAUUUAUAGGUGAAUACAUUCUGUCCAAGUGCAUCAGUAGGCAAUGGGCACCUCUCAUGUCAGUAGUACGUAAUAUUUUCAGUUUUGUCUUUUUCUACUAUGAGCAUUGCUUUGCCUAAUAAUACAGUUUAUCCUUCUUAAUUAUAAAAUAAAACUCUUAUCGCAUCUUAAAUUCUUUAAUAAUGUUUGUCUUUUCUUUUAAGGGAAAAAAGAGGAAUAGAACAAAAUAACCAAAUAUUAAAAAUAGAGAUAAGAAUUAUACCUUUCCCAUCCUCCCCUUUCUCCUCCCUCACACCCCUAAAUACAUUUCAGUGUAAUUGUGAAAGCUUUAUCACUUUCAGCUUGUGUGUAGCGUAACUAAAAUAUUGGUCUUAAGGUAUUUAUUUUUUGACCCCUGUGUAGAGGCUUAAUAAAUUUUUUGUUUAGGAAACCUUGCCUGAAUAUUCCUCCUCCAUUUAUGUAGAGAGAGAGAAGGAAACAAAAAUCACAAUAUUAUUAACCAAUGGCUAAAACAGUGGGCCCAGGUAUUUCAGUUCCAAAUUGUACCAGACUGGGCUGCCCACUGGCCCCUUUGCUGUACAUCUUGACCCUGGAACCAUAGGCAAUUAAUAUUAGAACUAAUUCUCAAAUUAAGCAUUAUAUUGGAUGACACCAACUAUAAGUUGUGUCUAUAUGCAGACAAUAUUAUUAUCAAACAAGAUAUGUGAACACAACCCCAGUGAGAAAGGUGUAUAAUUUUAAGCAGACCGGAACUUUCCUGUGUCAGGUGAAGUAUCCAGACAGGUCCCCAAAGACUUUCUCUUGUCUUCAACAGAAUACAUACAAAUAGAAUAGGGGAUAAUCUGCUAAAUACAGAAUAAAUAAAAUAACAUGGCGUUUAACUGUGUGAGAGUAAGUAACAAUAUGUUAGUUACAAUUGGCCACUCAUAAAUUCCCAGAUGUAAAACAGCCUUAAGUAAAAUCUCUCCUCCAAUAUCCACUGUAUUUUGUCAUCUUCACACUCCCAUCAGUAGGUUGGAAUAUGUAACUCAAGAGAAAAAUAUACAGAAAAAAAUGUAGUGCGCUUCCAGAGUAUAAUAAAAAGGAAUUUAAUAACUUACAUAUAAGCAUAAAACAAUUUGUUUGUCACCACUAGGCGUCAUACGCGUUUCGUCCCGAAAUCGGACUUCCUCAGGGACUUGGUGAACAAGUAGCAGCAAAGAUUCCAGUACAAUAUAAAAUACAUUUACCUCCCACAGUUCUUUUAUAUGCCCCCUCAAGUUCAUCAUUGAAUAAUUCCCAGCCGGUGCUCCGUUCCUGCUUUCUUCCUGUUUCCUGUUUCGGUCAUUACGCACGCCGCAUGCCUUUCAUCUUGCGUUCCAGGAACCCAAAAGUAGAUGGUGAUUGUCCGUUUUCGUGAAUUUUCAAUUGCUCCAAAGAUGCCAUGAAUAUAUACAGUUGCAAGAAAAAGUAUGUGAACCCUUUGGAAUGAUAUGGAUUUCUGCGCAAAUUGGUCAUAAAAUGUGAUCUGAUCAUAAUCUAAGUCAUAACAAUAGACAAUCACAAUCUGCUUAAACUAAUAACACACAAAGAAUGAAAUGUUGCCAUGUUUUUAUUGAACACACCAUGUAAACAUUCACAGUGCAGGUGGAAAAGUAUGUGAACCCUUGGAUUUAAUAACUGGUUGAACCUCCUUUGACAGCAAUAACUUCAACCAAACGUUUCCUGUAGUUGCAGAUCAGACGUGCACAACGGUCAGGAGUAAUUCUUGACCAUUCCUCUUUACAGAACUGUUUCAGUUCAGCAAUAUUCUUGGGAUGUCUGGUGAAUCGCUUUCUUGAGGUCAUGCCACAGCAUCUCAAUCGGGUUGAGGUCAGGACUCUGACUGGGCCACUUCAGAAGGCAUAUUUUCUUCUGUUUAAGCUAUUCUGUUGUUGAUUUACUUCUAUGCUUUGGGUCAUUGUCCUGUUGCAACACCCAUUUUCUGUUGAGCCUCAGCUGGUAGACAGAUGGCCUGAAGUUCUCCUGCAAAAUGUCUUGAUAAACUUGGGAAUUCAUUUUUCCUUCGAUGAUAGCAAUCCGUCCAGGCCCUGACGCAGCAAAGCAGCCCCAAACCAUGAUGCCCCCACCACCAUACUUCACAGUUGGGAUGAGGUUUUGAUGUUGGUGUGUUGUGCCUUUUUUUCGCCACACAUAGUGUUGUGUGUUUCUUCCAAACAACUCAACUUUGGUUUCAUCUGUCCACAGAAUAUUUUGCCAGUACUGCUGUGGAACAUCCAGGUACUCUUGUGCAAAUGGUAAACGUGCAGCAAUGUUUUAUUUGGACAGCAGUGGCUUCCUCUGUGGUAUCCUCCCAUGAAAUCCAUUCUUGUUUAGUGUUUUACGUAUUGUAGAUUCGCUAACAGGGAUGUUAGCAUUUGCCAGUGACUUUGUAAGUCUUUAGCUGACACUCUAGGAUUCUUCUUCACCUCACUGAGCAGUCUGCGCUGUGCUCUUGCAGUCAUCUUUACAGGACGGCCACUCCUAGGGAGAGUAGCAGCAGUGCUGAACUUUCUCCAUUUAUAGACAAUUUGUCUUACCGUGGACUGAUGAACAGCAAGGCUUUUGGAGAUACUUUCAUAACCCUUUCCAGCUUUAUGCAAGUCAACAAUUCUUAAUCGUAGGUCUUCUGAGAGCUCUUUUGUGCGAGGCAUCAUUCACAUCAGGCAAUGCUUCUUGUGAAAAGCAAACCCAGAACUGGUGUGUGUUUUUAUAGGGCAGGGCAGCUGUAACCAACACCUCCAAUCUCAUCUCAUUGAUUGGACUCCAGUUGGCUGACAUCUCACUCCAAUUAGCUCUUGGAGAUGUCAUUAGUCUAGGGGUUCACAUACUUUUUCCACCUGCACUGUGAAUGUUUACAUGGUGUGUUCAAUAAAAACAUGGCAACACUUUAUUCUUUGUGUGUUAUUAGUUUAAGCAGACUAUGAUUGUCUAUUGUUGUGACUUAGAUGAUGAUCAGAUCACAUUCUAUGACCAAUUUGUGCAGAAAUCCAUAUCAUUCCAAAGGGUUCACAUACUUUUUCUUGCAACUGUAUAUAUGUGGAUAAAUGGGCACUCUGACAAAUCCAGAAGUCUCCUUGGCUGCUCUGGUUCCAGAAGUUGAGAGGUACAAGGAAGUAUCUAAUUAUAAAGUUAAUAUGACAGAAUCUCAAAUAAUGCCCAUAAACCUUAGUUCUACGGUAAGUGAGAGUUUAAGAUUGGAAUAUCCUUUUGAAUGGACCACAGAUGGCUUUAUGUAUUUAGGGAUUUACUUCUCUCAGAAUAUAAUUGAAAUGUGCCUAAAAAUAUUGAAACCCUUUUUAAAGACACACGUGAAAUAUUGCUGAGGGAAUGGAAAAGCAUUGGUAUUUCAUGGUUGGGAAGAGUGAAUAUUAUUAAGUCAUAUAUUCUCCCCAAAUGGUCUUUUUAGGAUGCUACCUCUAUCUAUGUCUAUAACUGAACUGAAACAAGUCCAUAACCUUUUUAUGAAUUAUAUAUAGGUCUCAAAAAAACUUGCCUUUGUAUAAAUGAAAAAUGCAAUAAUUAAUAAAUAAAUAAAUAAAAAUUAAAUCAUUAAAAGUUCUCUCACUUCCUAUUUUUUUUUUUUAAAUCCAGAUAUCUAAUAUUAAAUAUUAAUUUAAAAUUCAAAAUGUCUAAUUUUGUCAACUCAGAGCUGGCAUUCCAAAAAUAAUUCAUAGUAAGCAAGGCAACAUUGUAGCCAUUUUUACAUAUCGACACAAUCAUAGGCAGAAUUCUUCCUGCAUUUCUGGCUGUCCGAUUGACCUUGCCGAAUAUUUUUCCGUACUGAAAAUUGGCCGAACUGAACACCAGCAUUACCUUCUGUUGACCCGGAAAAAAAGAAAAUGUUCUGCUUAAAGCGGCACUGUAAUGGCCGCACUCAUUUUUUAUUUAAUCCCCCACCCAACUACACUACAUCUAACUCCCAUCCUAGUAACCCCCAAAUGCCCCUAGGUCCCCCAAAUUACCUUUUUUUUAAACUUUAUUUUGUGUCCAGACCUAGGUCCUGGGCGCCGCCAUCUUAGCGUCGGCAGAUGAAGGCCCUGUGCGAAAAGUCAUCUGCCCACACUAGACAGCGCUGUGAAAUUCCCACACAUGCCCAGUUAAACACUUGGGCAUUCGGACAUGAAUUUUGUCUAUUCCCUCAUUCGUCAAAAGACAAAUUAAUGAAAAUAAAUUUGAAACGGAUGAACGAAGACCUCUUCGUUUGUUCAUUUAGUUUAUUACAAGGAGGGAGUUACCGGUUCGCGGCUCCCUCCUUGUAAUACUGUAUGUGAAAAUACAGCCACUUUCUAACUCUCCCCAUGCCCCCCGUCAUUCUAUGAGGGGCAAUAUGACCCUCAUAUUAGCAUAAGAUGGAUUAAAUCUCCCGAAUGCCCCAAUUCGCUAUGCCGCGAGUAGGGGCAUGUCUACUAAACAGUGAGAAGCCAACUGCUCACUGUUAAUAAAAAAAAAAAAAAAAAGGCCCACUCCCCGAAUCAAAUAAAGUGGACCUAGCACAGGUCCCCAUGGUGGGGUAUUUUCUAAAAUAAUUAAUAGGGGAGAACAGUGUCCUUCCCCAGCCCCCACCCGAAUGGAACGUGGACCCCCCCCCCGGCCCUCACCCAUGAUGGGCGGAUGGGGGCCAAAAGUAACAAAGGGGGGACUAUUGUCUCCCUUCCCCCGGCCCCCACCCAUGAGCAGGUGGAGGCCCUAAGUAACAAAAGCGGGGGGAACUAUUGUCUCCCCUCCGGCCAACACCCAUGAGCGGCGGGUGGGGGCCCUAAGUAACAAAGGGGGGUAUCUAUUGUCUUCCUCCCCAUGCUCCUCCCAUGAGCGGUGGGUGGGGCCCCUAAGUAACAAAAAGGAGGGGGACCUAUUGUCUCUGCCCCACCCAUGAGCGGCAGGUGGGGGCCCUAAGCCACUGGCUGCUCACUGUUUAGUAGACAUGCCUCUACUCGCGGUAUAAAGAGUAGGGGCAGAAGGGAGAUUUUAAUCUCCCUUAAUUACUAAUACUAAGUAAUCUUUACUUAGUAUUAGUAAAUUUAGCUGAAAGACCAAUCUUGGUCUUUCAGCCUUUUAGUAGAUAGCUCUCUGAUACCAUAGGAAUUAGGGAGUUAUCUACUCACGGCACGAAUAGAUCGGCAUUUCAUUCAUUCGAAUGAAAUUCUGAUCCGAACAAAAAGUCCCGAAUUGCGUCCUAACACGAAUGGACAAACUGUUCUUAUUCUGUUAGGACGAAAUUCGGUAGUCUAUAUGACAGGAUGAUGGGGAAUAGUGAAAGGAAGCAUGGAGGAAAGGGUGAGUAUUAUGGGAAAUUUUUUCUGACCCACUUGAGCUGGUCAGGCGUAGGAAAAUACAAAAGACAAAGUACCUACUUUGUCUAAUGUUUUAAAGAAAACUAGAUCAGAUAGGAAAAAAAGAACAGAUCCUGAGAGGAGAGGAAGCGAUUGGUGAAAGGUAAGUUCGACAUGACAGCGCCGCUUUAAGUGUUUUUGAAGAACCAAAAUGUUUCACUCUAAACAAAUCUAAUACUUGGUGAUAAUUAUUAGCAUUCUGAGAGAAGUCAGUUCACAUAUUUCACAAUGAAAUUUGCAAGAAAAACCCGAUAAGAACAACAAAAUUACAUCGUGAUGUUUCGGUGCGAAAGGAUGAAAAAAUGUGACAAGUGUGUUUCUCAUUUCACCAUUCCCUGGUUUAAAUCAGUAAAUAUACUAUGCAGAAUUUUACCAUUUAAUUUCUAUUUCUUAACAUUCCUAGAUCUUACAGGACAGUGAUGGCUAAAUUUGGCAGCCCAAAUAUUUGUGAACUAUAUUUCCCAUGAUGCUCAUCCAACAGCUGCCUGAGCAUCAUGGGAAAUGGAGCUCAAGCAUCUAAGAUUAGCCAUCACUAUUAAAGAGAAUCUGACACAGCAUGUGGUAAACCUCAAACGAACAAAUAGAGCUGGCAAUAAAUGUUUCAUCUCCAGUGCGAACCAGCCCUCACAAGAUCCCCUCCAAAAAAAGCUUCUUUAUUUUUUUAUACAUUUUAUUUCUGCAUUCCAUUGUUCUUGAAUAUUUAUGAUUUCAUUUUUUAUCUACAUGCCAAACAAGUACUAAAUAUUUUUGCUUCCUUUUUCUUAGUGUAACCCUUUUGUGAUGCUAAAUCAUUGACGAGUGAGACGGCUCCAUGCUGUUUAUAUGAUCAAGGCACGUCAAACAAUGUUUGCAUUUCAAACAUUACACUUUGUACAUAAUUCAUAUAAUUCACAUUUUUAUGUUGUGAAGAAUACGUUGGGAAAAGGGGUUUGUAGGAUCUCUAUAACCCAUUAUGGCAGUGGGUGCACUUAAGAACAGUAAAGAGAGGAAAAAACAGAGGGUUUUGUUCAUGUCAAGCUGUUCACAUAUACAUUUUUUUAAUUCACACAAUACAGAAAAAUGAAAAUGUUAAUGAAUUAAGCAGUCUGUCCAAAAAAUGGUCAAGUUUCACCGACCUUUCCAAUCAACAACAUCAGAGUAGUCACUGGGUGGGGAAAUCACCUACUUUAACCAACUUCUUCUGCUUGAUUUAGUUAAAAUGGGAUACAAGUAGACUUGUUAUUACAGCACAAAGUAUAGUAAGCAGGAUACUUUCCAAAAACGUAAAAAGUGCUCUAGAGGGAGGACAAAUAAUAAUACUAAUGGAAAAGGACACAAGAGAUUUCUAAACUUCUUUUCCAUUCCACCAGUUUAAGAGCUAAAUAUCUGUUACCCAUACUGUUGCUAACGGACUCGUCUCUGCUGCAGGGAUCUAUAGGACGUGCUAUAAGCAUCAUCCAAAAAAAUGCUAUUACACCCAUUAUUAUUUAAUCAUUUUACAGUUCUUAUAUAAUGCUGUGUUAUGCGGUGCUUUUACAAUUUAUACAAACAGGGGAUAUUAGAAAAUGUGUCCUUUAAGGAGGCCUGUGAGCUGAUUGAUGUUCAGGGGACCGCCAGUAAAUGUUCAUAUUACUCACAGAUCAAGUGGUAACUGACCAAUAAAGGGAAAAAGUAGGAGCAGUAAAACAAUUUAAACUUAAAAGGAGGAUUCUUUCAGAGACUGUAGCUAUAUAGUGAGACAGACGAGCAGUGAUAUUAUGUGUUUCACCCUCGCUUUGCCAUGUGUGGGAGUGGGAUAUAGCCCGUGCCAUUGAACCUAGUGGCAAGAGGGUUAAUAAUGGGAUGUCUGGAUAACACUUGCUAGACAGCGGACACAUUAUAAAAUAAAAUAAAAAAUUAUAAGCUUAUGGGGGUCAAUAUGAGGGAGGUACUGUAAGGGAGGUUUAGUAUAUCUAACAGUGAGCAGCCAAUGGCAGAUUCACAAUGUGUUUGCUACUCCCCCUGGUCUGACACUACAUAAAUUAUCAAAGCAUUGCCAUUUUGACCUACAGCAACGUUAUGAGACAUUUGCAGAAGACCCUAUGUCUGGCCUGGAUGGUGAGGUAGAUCUUUGUCACAGGUUUCUCUUUGGACCCACAGUCUAUUAGUAUCUGCCCUGCAUGGAUGACCUUUUAAUCUUCCUGUCGGCCUCUGCUUGUGGCCAUCAUGGUGGGCCUAUUUUUGAGCAUGGACCUGAAGAAGGAGCUCCAUCAAUUCAUGUUAAUCUAUCCCUGCAUCUACCGAUGGACUAAUAUACCAACUUGAAUAUCAUGACUGCAGGUAAUUUUUUCAAAAUCUUUGCAUUAAAAAAAUAUUGGUUGUCGUGGCUAUAAUGUUCAAAUGCCUUUCCUUAGUGGUUUUGCCCUGCCUGGCUGCAGGUUAUUUGACUUGCACUGUGUUUCACUGUCACUGCCUGUGUUUUGCAAUUUGCAACACGGAGGGUGAUUGCAGUUUACUGCACAAGUGAACCCUGCCUGCACUGAAUGUGGCUGUAGUAGUGUUGCAAGCAGAGCAUCAGUGAAGAAGAAGAAUCAGUCUGCAAAGGCUUUUUUCUUUAGCUGUAUCAUAUGCAAGUAUGCACUGUAAUGCACUGUGUGCGGAGUAGUCAAAAACAAUAACGUCAUUGUAGUAGUAAACCCACGAAGCAGCAAUCCAUUUUUUAACUCAUACAUAAGGCAGGUUGAAGACACUACAAGGUCAGGCAUUUAAAAAAAAAAAAGAGGGAGCAGCAGCAGCAGCAGCAGAUACACCAAGAUAGCUCUGCAGUUAAAAAGGUUUGUUUAACCCUCCUGGUGCCGCUCACUACCAUUGGGGGGAUAUAGGGCCUAGGCAUUCAGUGGAACCAGAUAAAAGCUUGGGGGGAGGGAAACUGACAUUUUAAACUGACUGCAUUGCAUCCAGAACUCUAAUUAUUCCAAAGAAUUUCAAAUUAGGGCACUGGUUAGCAGCUAAUUUGGCAUCCUUAAAUAUGACAAUCCCACAUAAGGGUACCAAAUUAGAGAGUUAUCUGCUAAACACAUGUUAAAGGUCAAAAUUAAUAAAAGGGAAGGGUGUGUGGCUACCAAGGCAACAAGAAAGACGUUCUAGAGAGGAGCUCCGUAAAAGAAACUGGAAAACAGCAGACAACUGAAAAUAAAAAGCCUCACAAGCCUCAUACCUCAACACCCCCACACAGCCGACAUUAUGGGGCAAGAAAAUAGAAAAUUCCACAUCUCAGAAGUACCAAAACUGCCUGAUAUCAGGCUAUCAUUUGACAGGCCCACUCCGCGAGUUUUACCUAAGAUGACGCUGGCGGAGCUGAGUGAGGAGGAGGCCUCCGAGGCGUCCCGAGAUGAGGAGGAGGCUCCCGCCUCUCCUCUGACACCUGGUCCCUACAAUGAGUCUGAAUCAGAUAAAGACUUGUCACCAGCAACAAGAUAGGAUAUUAAGGACCUCUUGCUGGAAAUGAGACAGGUGUGGAAAGCAGACCUGUGUGCAACUCAAGCAGAGAUGGGGUCCCUGUGUCAAAGGCUUACCGAGGUGGAGUCCAGGGAAGAAGCAAGAGAAUAACAGCUGCAGACUACACAAGAUGAGACCCAGGACCUUGCUCAACAAGUCCAGAAACUAACCAGGACUGUGACAGUGCUGGAAUCCCGGCACAGGAGGAAGAAUAUCCGCCUUAGAGGGGUGCCAGAGCGAAUUGCGGGAGAUGCCCUAUUACCCUUUCUCCAGAGACCGCUGACCUCCAUGGGCACUAAGAGAGUUGAAGACCCUGGGAUGGUCACUUCAGUGUUCCGGAUUCGCUAAGCUGCAGCUGCACCCGCGGAUGCUCCAAGAGACAUCAUAGCAGUGACUAAGGACAUUGCAGCUCGAUCUGCCAUAAUGUCCUGCUCUAGAGAGCUAGGUGAUAUCCACUUCGAGGAAUGUACCGUAGCUAUCUACGGAGACCUCCCAUUCAAUGUGCUGCCGGCGAGGAAGCAGCUAGCACCUAUUGCAAGAUGGCUGCGAGAAGCCGCAAUUAAAUAUUGGUGGGGGAUAGAGGGUUCCUUAGUAAUUCAGAAGGGAGAUGACAUACUCGCAUUAGCCCCCUCUGGAGACGAGACGACCUUUCCCCAGUGUCUACACCUGUCACCCACUAACCCAAACGGGGCCCAUAUGGCCGGGACCAGCGCAAAGCGCUGUAUGUAUUGCCUCAUCCUGGAACCUGUGACUAAUGUUUUAUUCUCUUAUUUAUCUCAUACUGCGAACAGUUGUAAUUUGUGCAUGCAAACUACAAUAAAAUACAAAUUGGGGAAAAAAAUGAAUAAAAGGGCAAAUUAGGAAAGUUGGGAUUGCCAUAUUUUAGGAUACCAAAUAAGGGCACUAUCUGCUUAACUACACCCUUAUUUGGUAUCCUUAAACAUGGCAAUCCUAUGUAAGGAUACAAAUUUAAAGAAUUAUCUACUAAAUUAGGGAGUUCUUUCAGUUGCUAAGUAGAUAAGUCCCUAAUUCUGUACCCUUAAUUAUGGCAAUCCCACGUAAGGAAACCAAAUUAAGGAGUUAUCUACUAAACAGCUGAAAGAUCAAACUUAAGAAAUGUUGCUAUAUUUUUUAAAAACAAAUACAUCCUAAAUAAUUUGGUUUUAUUUGUUCUGAAUUAUUUUGUUUUAAGUUUCUAAAGAAUUUGGAAAUCUGGAAGCUUCCAAACUGCUGAAUUUGUACAUAAUUCGAUUUGGAAGAAAACAAAUUGCACAUGUCUAAUCAUCACUAUAACUGCAGAACUCAAUCUGAACUCUCCAUAAAACCAUUUCACCUUUGUUUGUGCAUCUAGAAAUGGCUUUGAUGCUCUUGUACUGUUGCAUUGUUAGUUGCUUUGGCUUUAGGGGAUUUAUAUCUAUUUUUAACAUGUUUGUUUGUCUUAUUUUGCUUAUUAUGUUUUCCUUGUUUUUUUUCCUCCAUUCUAAUAUAUUUAUUUGUCCUACUCAACUGUAACCCCUAUUGUUUGAGAGACAAAGAAGAGGAAAAGAAGAUGGGAAACAAAAUUUUAGAAUAUCUAAACAAAUUAAAACGUACAAACUGAUUAUGAUCACAAUGAAAACGGGAAGGAAAGGCAACACUUGUAAACCUAAUUAUUAAUAUUUGGCUUAUUUUUGUGAAAGGGUGUUUUUUUUAAAUAGAAUUUGGUUUAAAAAUAAUUGUUUCAUGGGUUAUGCUGAACUUUUACACCUUUUCGUAAUACAAAAUGUAAGUUAAUUCUCCCUCUCUCUAUUUAUCUGCAUGGGUUUCUCCCUUUCUGUCUGUCAAGAACAAACAGAAUAUUUGCUUCCAGAAUUAGUGUUCUACUUUAGAACACAGAUUAAAGCCAAUUCAAAAUGAACAGGUUAGAUGUUUUACGGUAAUUUUUCUGUGUUCAAUUCAGAUUUACAAAUUGUGUCUCCCAGUAGAACGUGUUCCUUUAUAUACUUUAUACUUCGGAUUGCACAGCCACUAUUUGACUAUAUGCAAUGCAAAGGCCGGAAUUUUUCUCUGGCAAGACUCCGCGGAAGUGAUAAGACAAAUUGAACUAGAAUAUAUCUUAUACAUGGCAGGUACACAUUACUAUGAUGUAAGGUGAGCACACAUACCUCAUUAUAUACACAAUGACACACUCUGACAGACACAAUCAGACACAGUGUGCACACAAUGCUCUACAAACACUUAGAUGAAGUAUACACUCAGUGACACACUAUUAUACAAAGAAACAGACAGUUUACACAUGAUAACACAAUACUACACACACUCAGACACAGUAUACACACUGACACACACUGCUACACACACUCAGAAACAGUAUACAUACAAUGUUACAUAUACACAAUGCUACACGUACAGUCAGACAUAGUACAAAUAGUGUAAGAAGUUAUUUAGCGAUUUAGGAAAUUUCCCUCUUCCAUUUUUUUUUUUUUUUUUUUGCUGUUUCUUCUUAUUUUCUUUCCUUUCUUUUUCUAGAAAAUCUAGAACUGCUGAGUCCAAGAAAUCUUCAGUUUUGAAGUUUAUCCAGGUGAAAUGCAAACAAUUUGUAAGGUUGUGGUUCGCAAAGCAGGUUAUGGUUAUACCUGCUUAUCCAGUUGUUCAAUUAAAGGGACACUGCAGUCACCAGAACAACUACAGCUUAAUGGGACAGCUAGGGGCACCUCAUAUGGCAGUAACUCAGACCGCCAAUAGUGGUCCUUCCUGGGUCAGUGCUGUGCAAUGUGCACCACUGACGUUCAGCGUCUCCGCACUCUGUAUGGAGAUACUGAACUUUCCUCAUAGAGAUGCAUGUGCAUUAGCCUUCCAAUGCUAUGAGAAAGCAUUUGAUUGGCUGAGAUCACAAGUUCUUAUGAUCUCAGCCAAAAGUGUAGAGUAUAGGUGGAGCCAGAGCUGGUGAACCCACAGCGAUGGAAUUAAGGUGAGUUUUAACUCUUUUUAAAGAGGACACGGGGGUGCCAGGCAGCUAAAUAAUGUUUUAACUUAAGUGUCAUUAAAGCUCAGUAUGUAUAGUUUUAUGAAAGGAUGAAAAUGUCUACUGACAUGAUUUAGAACCAAUGAGUCCAAAAUAGAUCUGCCAUCGAUUUAGACAAUUCACCAAAUAAUGAAACGCAAAGAUAAGCAGGGUUAUUAAUUAAAGUGUGAAUUGUCAGCAAUUUAAAAUGAAUUUCAGAUCAAAUUAGUUGACCUGAAAGAACGCUGACUUAUUUUUUUUAAUUUUAUUUUUUGAUCGGCUAUUUUUUUUCACUUUGAAUUCAAGACAAUUCUCACUUCCGUGAAUAAUGCAAAAAUGUAGGAUUCACAGUUUUGAAUAAGCAACUCCCAACCAAAGAAACUUCACUUAAUGGUUCUUACGUUCAGCAUCACUUAUCUUGUAGCAUUAUUGCCUUUUCCAAAUUUAGUUCAGUAUGUUGUUUUACUGUAUGGGUGGUAUUUCAAAUGUGUAUCACAGAAAACCCGUUAAUUUAGGAUCAUUAAACUAGAAGGUGCGUGUUGACACGCACUUUAAAAAGUCGAAAGAUGCUUAGAGAAUAUGCACAGUACAGCUGCUUCAAUAAAUUAGCACAAAACAAUAAAAAUGCCAUAAACAUACAGCAUACAUCAUAAAUCUGAUCAACUGUACAGGUUCUCCGUAUAAAAAUGAGUAACAACUUCUGUCUUUAGAAUAAAAGUAAAUAUAUACUUUUUAACACUCUCUUCUGCUUGACUUACUAUAAGCCUUUAAAUCUAGGUUAUAAAUUAGAUGUUUGUGAGCACAAAAUGUAAUAUACUUGUGUCUGGCCCACAGAGUGUAGUGCUGUCGCACUAAUUAUGAAUCUUUUAUAUGUUUUUAUGUACAUGUUAACAGUGUUCACUGGCAAAACAGAGCUAUUCGUUGAUCUUUUGUGUCGUUAUCUUAUAAAUCACAGUUUUCUAAAUGCCUGUUUCUCUGUUUUUAUUGACUGCACACAACAUAUGAUUUGUAUGGGUUACUAACUAGUGCAUUUGUUUUUAAGUACUCAUCUCUGAGUGAUUUCCAAGCGUGUGUCUAAGAAUUUAGUGGUUGACAUUUUUCUUUCUUUUUUUAUUUUAUUUAAUAAUAUAUCUGGUGAAGGACUGAGCCAUGUAAGGCCUUCACGUUUGUUUAAAGAAUAGUUGGGUGAAAAUGUUAAAAAAUAAUGGCAUCCGCUUUGGGUUCUGACCCAAACAUUGGUGCUAGUACCAAUAAACCUCACGGUGAACUCCCUAAAUUAAUUUCGGACGAAUCCAGCCAGACAUAAAUCCCGCUACGCCAAGGGACUGCUUGGUGAAAUCUUUAACUGUUUCUUGUUCUAAUCGCCAAUUGGUAAAAAUGUUUGUUUGUGUGGAGACCAGUUUGUCUUGCUCCCUUUGGCCGGGACAUGCGAGUCCCAUUGUGUAUCUAUUCCACAUACUUUUACAAAUUUACAAAAAUUAAAUACAUUUGUGGCAGACACAGAAUGCCCAUUACCAGCAUGGGUGGUAAUUAGAUCUUAAAGGACUACUAUAGUGCCAGGAAAACAAACUCAUUUUCCAGGCACUAUAGGGUCUCAAGGUCCCCCCCACCCUCAGGGUCCCACUCUCGCCAGGCUGAAGGGGGAGGGAGGGGUUAAACACUUACCUUUCUCCAGUGCCGGGCUCCCUCAGCACUGGGGAAAUCUCCUCCCUCUUCCGACGUCAGUACUGAAUGCGCAUACGAGGCCAGAGCCACGCGCGCAUUCAAACAGUCCAUAGGAAAGCAUUUCUUAAUGCUUUCCUAUGGACGUCAGCGUCUUCUCACUGUGAUUUUCACAGUGAGAAGCGUGGAAGCGCCUCUAGCGGCUGUCAAUGAGACAGCCACUAGAGGCUGGAUUAACCCUAGUGUAAACAUAGCAUUUUCUCUGAAACUGCUAUGUUUACAGCUGCAGGAUUAACCCUAGAUGGACCUGGCACCCAGACCACUUCAAGACAUCUAUGAGUAUUUACGAUGAGGUUUCCAUAGUGUUCAGAGUUGUCACGUAAUCUUGAAAUUGUUGCCCUGACAUUUAGGGGUUAUCAGCUAAACAGGAAACAUGUUAUUAUAUCAAACAGUCGAUUUAGAAAAAGAGACAGAGAAAAUUAGCAAAAUAGUCAUCUAAUAACAGUGACAAGGUGAUCAGUGAGUUACUGUUGUUAUUUUUUCUGUACUUAUUAAGAGCCAGCAUACAUUUUAGUGCUGUACAAUUUAAAACUAAACUGGCCUAUGUGUCAGUGAGCUUACUAUAGCCAAUGUGCACAUUUUAGCUCUUAGCAAAAGCAGGGGCCGACAGGAAUGUUCCCCUUUAAAAAGUUUUAUAAAUUGGGUGAACAAGGCUCAAGGUUAAUAAAUCAAAAUGGAGAGAGAGUGUGUGCGUGUGCGUAUGUGCUAAAAAAUGUAGCUUGACAUAUUUUUACAAAAUGACUAUAGGCAUUCAGAAAUUAUAGGUUUUCACUAUAAAGAAAAAGGUAUUUUUAAUUUUUUUUUAUUAUUCAGCAGUAACUGCAUGCAAUUUUUUUUUUUUUUUUUUAAAUCACAACAUGAAUUAUAUGCUAACUCCAGCUGUUAUAUGUUGGCAUUGAGUUUACAAAAAAAAAAGUUCAAAAUCUGUUUCCUUAAACCAAGGAAAUGUGGAAAAAGGCUACCCUGCCAGUUGAAACAUUCAACAGCGCAGAAGUCAUGCUGCGGUUUCUUGUCAAGGCAGCAGAGUUUUGUAAAAGGAAGUUGCUGCCAACUAAAACACGGUUUUCUUUCACACCCAAGAACAAACUUUGUGCAUUGUAAAGGCUUCCUGAGGGUUAUAUGCAGCUGGAGCAGAUGAAGUAAAGGUAACUGUAAUGUCAGAGCUACUGUAAACGUGUGCUCAUUAUUUCUAUCAGCAAGCAAUAAGCAUGCAAACAAUAGGGCUUUCCUGUGUCCAUUGAAACACACAUCUAUUUUGCCCAAGUCAAGAGGUUUUACUGUUCAGCAAAGACCUCAAUCAGUAGAAACGCCUAGGCCCACAGUAGAGAAACAGAGAUAAUAUAAUACUGGGAAAUAAAAUGCCAUCAUCAAAGCUUUUAUUAGUAUGCUUUAGGUACCAUAUCUUUUAAAGAAAGGGCAAAAUAGUCUCUCUAAAGAACAAAUUCUCCAACUCAGCAAUUUUUCCAUUUGUUGCUUAAAAUCUGUUAUUCCCUGGUUAAUUCUCCACAAUUCAAGAUUUAGUGAGCAAAGCUGUAACAAACAGAGUAAUUUGUAUUCAAAUGUUGAAGGUAUUUGAUUUUUAGCAGAGCUAUUAUGUUGCUUCAUGUCAAACCGCUUUCACGUGAAGGAAUCAUGGAACCGUAAGUCUACCCUCUCUGGUUUGAAUAUCACAGUGAAAUGCAAUUUUGUGUUCAUGUUGUGCAGUGACCAGCAAUAUGUAGCAGGAUUUGGAUGCACCAAAUCAGUGUAUAAGGUCCAUGGUAAUUUAGCCAACCUGGAAAGGUUGCAACAAUUAAGGGCAGCCAAAUCCUUCUACAUCCCAGUGCUCCGGGAUGAUCAUGUAAUGACAUGAGCACCCAGUACAUGGUCACUCUAUGAAAAGUGAACUUCUUCAUAAUCCCAUCCCAAACAGAAAAAGUAAGUCAAUUAUGUCAACGUUUCCUCCACUUUUCGCCAAAUCACUUAAAAAGAGCUCGUUAAAACUCUGGGCCUUCACCCAUAAUGUCACAACAUGAAAGGGGUUGGUAUGUCCCAUUAAAUAUUACAAUAGUUUUUAUGCCUAAAUAUUAAAUAGUGCACUGGCAAAUAUAUUGAAAAUUGUCUGCUUAGAUCUCCAUCUGCAGAUAUUUUGAUCUUAAUUUUGCAAUGCAAAUUCCAUUUUACCAUAUCUCUCCAUUUCUGACGGGGUAAUUGGUUUAUUAACUUAUCAAUUAAUUAUUUGAGAUAAGUCAGAAAUGUGCCAUUUUACUCAGCAGAGGGAGUGACAGAGCACAUUUUAAUUCAUAUUAGUCAAUGUAUCUUCAAGACACCCUGACUGAAUAGGAUAUUGUUGCUUCUACAUAUCUACAGGAUUUAAUUUGUGUUUUAGCCUGUAUACCAGAUAGAUUGCAUCUUGAUUACAAUGCUAAGGGUGAUUCAUAACUUCUAGCUACAGCUGAAAAUCCCAAAGAUGACCUGGAAGGAACCACUGAAAUGAUCACAAAGCACAUUGUGUACUCUUUCCAUGGAACUCAAACCACAUUAGUUACAUCACCUCCACACGUGCUUUCCAGCACAAAUAAUCUUAUUAAAACUAUAAACGUAUUGAUGAGUUGUGAAAUAAUAUAAAAUACUAAGUCCACAUCUACCAAAAUUUCAGUUGGCCAUAAGUGGGAGAGGGCUUGUUUGGUAGUAUGGUAGGGGAACAUAAUUAUCCCAGAACUUGUAGGUGACUACAAGAUUUAUGAAUUGUGUAAUAUGUAUUUGGACAUUAUUAUAUUCACUUGUUGAACAUACAUAGCUGUUGUUGAUGUGAAACAUUCAUGCAUCCCAUAAUUCUGAGCUCCUUGGUUACUGUGAUAGAUAAAACGAGAAAAAGAGAGGUUUGGGUCCAAAAGAUGGACUACUUAUUAUCAAUGAUGCUCGGUAUGAGCCUCUGUGCACGGGUUAAAUGGUGGCCAUUUUGCAAUUUGUAAUUACAUUUUAAUUCCAUUCUAAAACUAAUCAUUGUAGACAAAAAAGCAACAUAACUAAUAUAGUUUGUUGUAGCUGUUAUGGGGCUAAGGAGACUAAUGGUUGUGAUCGCUGAACAAAAUUAUUAUAACAUCUCCAGCAAAGGAGAAGAUUUCUGUACCAGUGAUUUCUGUUGAUUGUCAAAAUUCUUUAAAACAGAAACACAGAACAGCUGCAGCCGUAGCCUGCUUGCACCAUAACCACUGCAAUAGCUGCAGUGGUUAGAGUGCUUGGAGAAUUCCUUUAAUGAGGAAAUAAUGAGACUUAACUAAUAAGUAUUGAUAUAAUGCUGAAAGUUUUCUAACAUUAUAGACUAUGUGCAACAAUGAUAAAUUCAUGACCAAAGGAAGAAUUCAUAUUUAUCAGAAUCAUAUUAGAUUCACAUUACUUGGCAGGUCACACAACAGGGACAAAUAGAUAUUGUAUAUGAGAACUUUAAGUUUUAACAGUUCAUCAAGAGGACUCAUCAACAUCAACAUAAUGUAUUAGCAUUUGAGAAUAACUAGUCUACAUAAGGGAUCUUACGUAUAAACAAUUUAAAUUCCAUAUUCGUAUUGAUUUCUAUGGCUAGAUACUAAAUCUACGAUUGGCAUUAAACUUUCAUGUAUGAAUUAUUUUACCACCCAUUCUGAAAAUUAUAAUGUAGUUGUUCAUUCUUGUUUGAUAGGAGAGUAGAAUGAUUUCCUACAUACAAAACAUUGGAGUUUAAUACAUGUGCAUGAGUUUGUUAGUACUGCAGGACAACAGCAAAAAUUAUUAUUUUAAGAUUCUUUAUUGUCACAAGCAAUCUGUUUAUUUAAUCUGCUAAUCUGGAUAGAUUUGUUUUCAAGAGAUAGGAACUGGUAUAAUUCACUUCCUCUUUGUAAACGUUUAGCAUCUUUAGUUUCUGGUUAAACUGUUAUGUAAUAUCUGUAGCGUGGACUACAUAUUCGACAUUAGGAUGAGUCCCGUUCACUGGUAGAAAGGACAAGUGUUUGCACUAGAACCAGCAGACUGGGUGCCGAGUAGAAGCCUGAUCUCGCUACUAUAUCUAGAUAUGUGUACUUGACAUCAGAGGCUAUGUAUAGUUUUUGACGAUUCUGUAUUGGAAAUGCUCCAUAUUACAAAUGGCUUAGAACAUUAAUUUGUAAAUAGCAAGUGCACUGUUAUUUCAGAUUGGUAGGAAAAGCAAAAUUCCUACUUGCAGUAAAUUUUUAGCUACUCUGUUAAUUUUAUUAAACCCUUAAACCUCUGCACUCUAAUUUCCUAUUCUGGUAUCUUAGAGCCAUCAAAGACCUUGUAUUACCACAUAUAUGCACCUGAUUUGCUUUUCCAUGGUACUAAUAAGGAGAUUCUAUAAAUCAAUACUAAAAUUAGACAUGGGUGCUGCCAAAAUUUUAAUUUCAUCCGAACACAUUUGUCCGUUUGUUCAUUUGUUUUUGGACAAAAUUUGGUUAUUAUUACCGGAAUUUCAAUAUUUUUUUUACUUAGUAUUAGUAAAUAAGGCAGGUUAAGGGGGCGGGGCCUGAGCUUCAUGGCGGCUGGACGUGCCUCGUGUGAGCUCCGAGCUCAAUCUUCUCUUCUAGCCGGAAUAAAUGCACUCCAGCCAGCCAGAACCUACAAAAACACCUAAAGCCUGAUCGUACUUACCUCAGGAACCAGCCGAGGUGCCCCGGGUCUGCCGCCCGCGGGUGCACGGAACGUCCGUCGAGGGUGUCGGGAGUGAGGCCUAGCAGUAUCGCCGGACGGGUGAGGCGGCCGAUUUCCCCGCUCUGCGCGACCUAGUGCCCUCCCAAGCCUGUAAUACAGCCCUGUUCCCCCCCCAUGGACCGGUGGGGGUUAUCCCGGUCCACCCUAGCCUGUACCUGGAACCAAGCAACUUAAGUUAAUCGCCCUAACUAGCUGAGAUAUUGCCCAAGCAGAAACACACAAGAUGGCGGCCCAACAUACCCUACAAGAAGAAAACUCCCAGCAAACCGAACAGGAGCCUUUAAGCCCGGCACAGAUCACUCAAAGGAGGCUGGAUGAAAUUUUUACCCGCUCCUGGGCAGGAUUGGAGGCACGCCAAAAAGCAGCAAAGCCCCAACAUCGGGAGGACGACCGGGAGGCUGAGAGCCGGAUGGUGAGGGGGCCCCCUAUGAUCGUCCAUGUCUCUAAAGCACAUAAACCUCCUCCCAUUAAGAGAUCACCUAGGCCGAGGGCCAUGAGGGGCAGAACCCCGCGGCAUCAUCCACACAGGCGGAGGAUCACCCGCUACAUCGGCCGCCUACCACCAAAUCCUCCUGCUUACCCCUUAGAAGGGAGGGGAGGGACCCCAGGAGCCCCCAAGUCCGUGGCACGAAGAUGCUGGCCUAUCUACUGGCCUGGGGCAGGAGGGAUACCCAACAGAGCCAUCGGACUGCAACAGCCACCCUAGCCCUCAAUACACAAGACUCACACUUCCCAUCCUUGGGAAUAGGCUGAAUUAAAGCCCGCUACCUAAAGCGGUACCGCAACUAUGGGACUAACCGCAAACAACAGUUGCCACUGCUGGGACUUCCAUAUAUGACUCACAUGGGCCAGCCUGACUGGGUUCACGCAGCCAGCAAGCACACAUGCUCAGCCUGUUAAUGCUAUAUGUGACUCACCCAUACAUAACAGCUAGACCUAGCCUGUAUCAAUCAGCUCAUAUGUUAUCUUACGGUAUUCACAGUAACUUUAGCGAGGAGAUGUUCAGUUAUGGCUGUAGUGACUGUUACGAUAAGCUACCUUUUCGUCUUUAUUUUAUUGACUUCUACCUAUAUGCGACUCACCCAUGUGAAGCAGCUGAACCUAGCCUGUAGCACUCAGUUCAAAUUUUAUUUUAUGGUAGUCACAGCAACUUUAGCGAGGAUAUAUUCUGUUAUAGCUGUUGUAGCUGUUGCCAUAAGCUACCUCUUCAUCUUAAUUUUAAUGUCUUCUACCUAUAUGUGACUCACCCAUGUAUAACAGCUAGACCUAGCCUGUAUCAAUCGGUUCAUAUGUUGUCUUAUGGCAGUCACAGCAACUUUAGCGAGGCUAUAGUCAGUUAUAACUGUUAUGAUAAGCUACCUUUUCAUUUUCAAUUUAACGUCUUCACUGUUUAGCCAAACUGAUGUUUACUAUAAUUAUACAAAAAUGUGCAUUCCUCUUCCCACUGUUCAACCUAAGUACAUUCUUAGACACGCUGUUGUGGCGUAUGUCAUUGCUAUGUAUAACAUGCACAACAAAAAUAAAGAAUUAAAAAAAAAAAAUAAGGCAGGUUAAAUCCUCCCUCCUGCCACUGCUCACAGCACAGUGAUCCUAAACAGCGAGCAGCCAGUGGCUGUUUCCUGUUACUACAAAACACAAUCGACAGGGCAGCUAUUGCCACAUAGUUCCUAAUCCAAUAAAGGUAUACCUGGCACAGAUCCCUCAUGGUGGGGCACCUAGUAUUAACUAGGGGGACAUAGUGUUUGAGGCUGAAAUGUUGCUGGUUGGUUCCUAAUAAAAUUGCUGUUUUGGGAGUUCAUAAGUGCCGGAUCAUUUCUCUUUUUUCCACAUCUAUGCUGGGAGUGCUGCUUGGAUUCUUGUAAGUGCACCAAGAUUGCUGUCUCCUUACUUAUUUGAUAAAGGCCAUCUCUAUUUGUCUUCACAUAUGUUUUUGCACAUCUGACGGCUCCAAUAAAUGUUAACAUGGUGGUGUAGGGGUUCAAUGAACAAGAACCUGCCACCAGGCAAUUUGUCGUAUCACUUUAAGGUCAUGUAAUUUAUAGUAAAGUUAGCAGAAUGAAAAGGAAAUUGAUAAGUGUGACAUGUCUCCUUUUGACCACAUCUUUAACACAAAACAAUGUAAAUACAGGUGGUUGGCAGUUGAUGAAGUGAGACGUGUGGCUGAGGAGCUCUGGCUUGUGACCCUAACAUAUGCAUUUUUAAAAUGUAUUUCUUUGACUUUCCAAGGCCAAUUCUACCACACGACUUCAAAAUACUUACAGUGAUGUGAUCCUGCAACUUGAAAAAAACUAAAAGCAGAGGUGUCGGGCUCCAUAUCGCAGGCCUAAGAUCGCAGCGAUUGGGCCACAUCUCUGGCCUUGCGUUCGGCAGACAGCAAUGUCACCACCACCUCAACAUUGGGGAGAUCAAGUUCACUUCUCACACACCUGUUCAAAAUACAUUCUCCCGAAUAUACAUAUUCCUCGUAAAUCCCUCGCUCUUACAGUAAGUUGGCUCUUUUAUUAUGGACCUUAUUACAUGGUCCGACCAUGUCCCUAUUGUUCUUUAGUACAAUGAAACCUUUUCAUAUAGGGGGAAAGGAACAUGUAGACUUAUAGAACAUCUGCUAACUCUCUUGCAGAUAACUACUGAUGUACCCAAAAUAAAUACAACAGUAUUUUUAAUAGAAUGACACAGAGACUAUAGGCAUUGACUUGUUUUGGAUGGCCUAUAAGGCUUACAUACGUAAGGCUUACUUCUCAAACAUUCUUCAGCCUUAAAGAAACAAAGAUCACAAGAUCAACUAAUGACACAAUUGGCUCAGGCUAAUGCCCUCAAAAAAAGAACUCCUUCUACUGCCUUCCUAGCUACUAUUAGCAAAGUGGCUAGGAUGACUGUAUUAUGCACAGCAAACAGGUUACAUCCUUAGAUGACUAAAAUGCAAAUAUUAUACCCAAGACAAUAGGGCAGGGGUAUUUUAGCUCAUCAACUGAAAAACAACAGGUAAAGUCGAAGAUCUCUUAUCUCUUAGAUCCUACGGGACAGAGGUUUGGACUAGUACAUAUUUUACUAGCACAUAUUACGACAGAGCAGAUAACUACUGAUGUACCCAAAAUAAAUACAACAGUAUUUUUAAUAGAAUGACACAGAGACUAUAGGCAUUGACUUGUUUUGGAUGGCCUAUAAGGCUUACAUACGUAAGGCUUACUUCUCAAACAUUCUUCAGCCUUAAAGAAACAAAGAUCACAAGAUCAACUAAUGACACAAUUGGCUCAGGCUAAUGCCCUCAAAAAAAGAACUCCUUCUACUGCCUUCCUAGCUACUAUUAGCAAAGUGGCUAGGAUGACUGUAUUAUGCACAGCAAACAGGUUACAUCCUUAGAUGACUAAAAUGCAAAUAUUAUACCCAAGACAAUAGGGCAGGGGUAUUUUAGCUCAUCAACUGAAAAACGACAGGUAAAGUCGAAGAUCUCUUAUCUCUUAGAUCCUACGGGACAGAGGUUUGGACUAGUACAUAUUUUACUAGCACAUAUUACGACAGAGUUUACUAGCCCAUAUUAUGUCAGAGGAGAUGCAGUCCAUAAUUGCAUUUCUGCCAUGUCACAAAAUUCUAGGUCUGGGUGGGCUACUAGGCUCUUACUAUAAAAAAUUUGCACCUAUAUUAAGCCCAUAUUUAGUCAAAUGACUUGCAGCCAGGGUGGAAUCAGGAGCAUUGCUGAAUGAGGUGUUGGCAGCCCAUGUUAUAAACCUCCCAAAGAUCCCCACAUACACCCUGUUCCAAAUUAUUAUGCAAAAUCUAUUUAGGUGUCACAAAGAUUAAAUAGUUUGUUUUUCAGUUUAACUCAUGGAUGGCAUUGUGUCUCAGGGCUCUUUUGAUCACUGAAAACAAUCUCGGACACCUGUGAUAAUUAGAUUGCCAGGUGAGCCCAAUUUAAGGAAAAACUACUAAAAGAGGGUGUUCCACAUUAUUAAGCAGAGCACCAUUUUCAUGCAAUAUGGGGAAGAAGAAGGAUCUCUCUGCUGCCGAAAAAGAGUGAAAUAGUUCAAUUCCUUGGACGAGGUAUGAAAAUAUUAGAUAUUUCACGAAAACUUAAGCGUGAUCAUCGCACUAUUAAGAGAUUUGUGGUUGAUUCAGAGCACAGACUGGUUCGUACAGAUAAAGGCACAUUGAGGAAGAUUUCUGCCAGAUCCAUACAUCGGAUCAGGAGAGCAGCUGCUAAAAUACCAUUACAUAGCAGCAAACAAAUAUUUGAAGGUGCUGGUGCCUCUGGAGUCCCAAGGACAUCAAGGUGUAGAGUCCUCCAGAGUCUUGCAAUUGUGCAUAAACCUUCUAUUCGGCCACCACUAACCAAUGCUCACAAGCAGAAAUGGCUGCAUUGAGCAGAAAAAUACAUGAAGAUUAAUUUUCAAACAGUCCUGUUCACUGAUGAGUGCCAUGCAACCCUGGAUGGGCCAGAUGGAUGGAGUAGUGGAUGGUUGGUGGACAGCCACCCUGUUCCAACAAGUCUGCGAUGUCAGCAAGGCGGUGGUGGAGUCAUGGGAAGAGAGCUGGUCGACCCCUUUAGGCUUCCCGAAGGUGUAAAGAUGACCUCUGCAAAGUAUGUGGAGUUUCUGACUGACCACUUUCUGGUACAGAAGGAAGAACUAUGCUUUCUGUAAUAAAAUCAUCUUCAUGCAUGACAAUGCACCAUCUCAUGCUGCAAAGAAUACAUCUGCAUCAAUGGCUGCUAUGUGGAUAAAAGGAGAGAAAGUCAUGGUGUGGCCUCCAUUCUCCCCUGACCUCAAUCCUAUUGAGAACCCUUGGAGCAUCCUCAAGAAAAAGAUCUAUGAGGGUGGACGGCAGUUUACAUCCAAAACAGCAGCUCUGGGAGGAUAUUCUGACAUCUUGCAAACAAAUUCAAGCAGUCAAAAAUCUCACAAGUUCAAUGGAUGCAAGACUUGUGAAGCUGCUAUCAAAUAAAAUGUUAAAAUGUUUAAAAAGUUAAAAUGUUGUUAUAACUUUGAUUGAAAUAGCUUUUGAUUUCAGUAAAUAUGCUGCAAACACAACAAAUUACAAUUUUCAGUUCUUUACAACCUAUAAAGUGUUUUGAAUUUUUCUGUGCGUAAUAAUUUGGAACAGUGCAUUGUAAGCUUUUUAGGUUUAAAAAAAUACUGUUAUCAUUAGGAGGUUUGUUCAAUAAAAUUUGAAUUGUACUCUUUUUUUUUUUUUUUUUUAUUUGCAUUUUAUAAGAUUUCACAGUCGUAUUACAGGUAUACAGGUUAUGCAAGUUACAUUCAUGAGUACAACAUAGAGAGUACAACUUUUGAGCAACAUGUAUUGACAAUGAGCUAUCAUAUCUGUGUCUUGAUGAGAGCCAGUUUGAAGCAUACAUAUGAUAGUGGUAAUAUAGGUACAUCGUUAAACAAAUUGUCAUUAAACAGAGUAUUAAACAGAGUAUUAAACAGAGUAUCCUGGCAUUGCUGUCGUGCCCAUAUUUAUGUAGUUCUCCCUCUUGACCAUCAGUCGUGAUGGUAGGAGUUUUCUCUUCGCUGUGCCAGUGUCGGUAAUUGCUCAGUUGUGAAAAUAACCCGUAUCUUCCCUGACACCUAGCUACUAUUCCAAUGAACAGGGGAAUAUAAACUUGGGGCAUAACCUGGGUAUAAUGCGGGGAAAAAGAGAAGGGUAGAGGAGGGGAGGGGGGCAGGUAUUGGUCCCUUAGCUUGGUCCAGCUUUUAGGCCUGUUCGUUGGCCUUAAUAAAUUGCACCAGUGUACGCAACCAGCUUAAGUAGGUGAGGGUAGUGUGUGCAGGCUUUCAUAUGGUCAAAGAGUGAUGUUAAAGAAGGUUUAGGAAGGUUUGCCUAGUGCUCUUUCCUUAAAGCGUUGUCUUGUGAGCUACCACACAAAGGUGUUUAGAGUGUUUAACUUGUCACUGCGUCUGUUGGCGUGUGUCCCAUUUUUCCCACGCCUCCUUCCAAAAUUUUUUGGGGGGAUUGUUGGACCUGGCCAUUAUCUCAUACUUCUUUAUGGUUUCAAUGUGGGUUAUGCAGCUCUGUAUGUUGGGGAUCGUCUGUUUUUGCCAGUGUUUGCUGAUAUGCAACAGAACCGCCGAGAUAAUGUGAUAUAUUAAGUAUCGGGAUGAUUUUGUAUGGCCUGGUGGUAUAUACUGUAGGAGGUAAUGUUCGGGGGUGUGUGCGAGAGCUACACCUGUAAUGUUUUUAAUUAGGGUCUGUGUUUCCGUCCACAAUGGUGUUAGGGUUGGGCAUUCCCACCAAAUGUGUAGCAUGGAACCUUGAGCUUUAUUGCAUCUCCAGCACAGUCCUGUAUUCUUAGGUAUCAUAUGUUUCAGUCGGGUUGGUACUAAGUACCAGCGAUAUAAUAAUUUCCUGGCUAGUUCCAGAUGGGUUGUGCUAAGUGUAAGUUUUUUAUUCUCACACAGUAUAUAUGACCACUGCUCUUUUGUUAACUGUUUUCCUAGUUCAACUUCCCAUGCUUUAACAAACUGUAGUGUAUGCGGGUCUGGUACACUAUAAUGGCGAUUGUACAGUAUAGAGAUUAGCUUGAGUGGCCUCUUCGUCUGUGUGCAGAGACUUUCUAAUGCAUUGAAAGUGUUCCACCUGUUUGCUGCAGGCAGUACUUUUCUAUUUGUCUGCAGCCAUGAGCUUAUCUGUCUGUGCGCAAAUGCUGCUGCAUUGGGUAAUUGGUAUUUAUUUUGCAGUCGGUUGAAGGGGAUGAUCUCUCCCUGAUCAAACAACUGAUGCAAGUAUAUUAGACCUCUAUUGCUCCAGGACGUUAUGUUCAAUGAAGGUAUCAGACCAUAAAAUGAAUCUAGGAGGAAGGCUGGUGAUAGCCCCUCAUCAAAUCCUUGUUCCUUAUUAAAUCUGUCCCAUUCUCGUAAUGUUGUAGCUGUGAGUGGUGACAUAUCUUUAUAUUUUUUUCUAAGUUGUGGCGGUGUCCAGGCUAGGUGCGUUAUUUUUUGCCCCCCAGUUAGGUCAGCCUCUACCGUUACCCAAGGGGAUGGUUUGUCAUGUUGGUGUAAUUCGUUGACCAACGGUGCGAGUAUAGCUGAUCUGUAGUACGUGGCUAUGUGUGGUAAUCCCAUUCCCCCUCCUUUAUAUGUGAGGUACAUGAUUUUUGCUGCUAUUCUGGGUUUCUUAUGGGACCAGACAAAGGUGUUAAUCAAUUUUUGUGCGUCGUGAAGGAAUGUUUUGAGAGCCUAAUUUGUAAUGUACGGAACAUGUAUUGCAGUCUCGGGAGAAUUUUCAUUUUGACUGCUGCUAUUCUACCUAUCCAUGAUAUGUAUUUCCCUUUCCAAUUCGCUAGCUGCUGUUUUAUGGAUGUGAGGAGUUUGCCGUAAUUUUCCCGAUGUAAGUUCCUUUCUAGUCUCGUGAAUUUUAUACCCAAGAAAGUUAGGUGGUCUUGUCUCCAUUCAUAAUGGUAUUUCUGUUGCAAGGCUGUAUACAGCAAUGCAGGUGCAUGCAGACUCAUUGCUUGCGUUUUAGAACUGUUUAAUUUGUAAUAUGAGCAAUUGCUGUACUGUUGCAGCAGAUUCUGGAGUUCUGAGAUAGAGGUGAGUGGGUCAGACAGGGAGAGCAUUACGUCAUCUGCAAACAUCGUUAUUUUGUAUGUUUUAUUUUUAAUUUCCACACCUCUGAUUUGGUUGUUAUCCCGUAUUGCUUGGGCUAAUGGCUCUAACGCAAGAAUGUAUAAGGCCGGGGAGAGCGGGCAUCCUUGCCGUGUUCCAUUUGUGAUAAGGAACGGCUUGGAUACGAACCCGCCGUUCGCAACCUGUGCUGAUGGCUUGGAGUAUAGUGCUAAUAGUAGGGAUAGAAAUUGUUGUGGGAAUGCAAAUUUUUGUAGGACAGUUCUCAGGAAGUUCCAGUGAAGUCUGUCGAACGCCUUCUCGGCGUCCAGGGACAUAAAGACCCUGGGCUCUCCGAGAGGCGUCCCAUUAUAGAGGAGGCUGUGGAGCUUCCUAGUCCCGUCAGUCCCCUGUCGCCCCCUUACAAAUCCCACUUGAUCCGGGUGUGUAAUAAAGGGGAUUAUGGCCGCUACACGAUUGGCGUAUAUUUUGGCUAAUAGUUUCGUAUCUGUGUUUAACAGUGAAAUAGGUCUUAAAUUUUUAGGUUGCGUGGGUGGUUUCCCUGGCUUUGGUAGCGUGGCUAUGUGUGCUAAUAGCAUUUCCACUGGCAUCUUCCCUGUGUGUACAAUAUGGUUCAGUGUGUGUACUAGGUAGGGGCUCAGGAUGUUCGAAAAGACUUUGUAGUAAGUGUUCGUGAAGCCAUCGGGCCCUGGUGAUUUCCCCGAAGGGAGUUUGCUGUAACUCUGUCAGUGUGAUCGGUUCUAUCAGGGAGUCCUGCUGUUGUUGUGUUAAUUUUGGCAAUUUUAUCUGCGAUAGGAAGUUAUCAAUUUCCACUUGUGUUGGCUGAUGUGUUUGGGGAUCUUUUGUUAGGUUGUACAGGUUUUGGUAGUAGGCUGCUGUUUCUUCAUUAAUGUCUAUGGGGUUGUAUAUUUUCUCUCCUGUGCUAGUGAGUAAAUAUGGUAUUUUGGCGUGGGCUUGGUGAUGCCUCAGUAAAGAUGCUAAUUUUUUCCCCGCUCUGUUUCCCUGGGUGUAAUGCUUCAGUUUGAGUGUUUGUAAAGUGCGCGCUGUUUUUUGAAGUAGGAGAUCAUUUAAUUGAUUUGUAGUUUGUUCUAUUUCAAUGUCGAGGUCGGGGGUGGGGUGUAGCAGCUGGGCUGCUUUUAGGUCACGCAGUUUGGUCAGUAGUGUGAGGCGCGCCUGUUGAGAGGUCCUGUUUAGGAAGGACGCUCUGCUAAUGAGCUGACCUCUAAUCACUGCCUUAUGUGCCUGCCAAGAUGUAGUAGGUGAUAUGUCAGGUUGGUUGUUAAGUUGAAAAUAUCUAUCUAUCUCAGUCCCCAAUUCCUUUUGAAAGGUGUCGUUGUAUAGGAGGGUGUCAUUUAAUCGCCACUGGGUUUUCCCUCUGUGCUUGUAAGCAUCCUGGGUUAUGAGGGUUACCGGAGCAUGGUCCGACCACACUAUGUCCCCUAUGCUACUCUGUGUUGUGGAGGGCACCAAAUCUUGUGACACCAAUAUGACGUCUAUUCUGGAGUGGGUUCCAUGCACCUUGGAGUGGAAAGUGUAACUUUUGUCACUCGGGUGAUUUGUUCGCCAUAUGUCAUAUAGAUUGUGGUCAAGUAAGAGCUUGGUGAUGGCUUUGCAUUGUGGUAUUAAGGAUCUAUGUCUGGGAGUGUUAGACGAUACUGUCGUGUCCAUAGUCGGUUGGAGAAUAUGAUUCAUGUCGCCACAUAUUAUGAUGCCGGCUCUGUGUUCAUGGGGUAAUUUGCUCAGCACUUUAUGCAAAAAAUUGCGCUGGUUAGAGUUAGGGCUGUAUAUGCCUACUAAGGUAUAUAUGGCUCUGUUGAUUUGACAGUGGAGUAUUAAGUACCGACCUUGUGCGUCUGUUUUAAUAUUUAGCAGUUCAAAGGUAAGCGAUUUGUGAAACAAAAAGGACACUCCCCUUGUUUUGGAAGAAUAGGUCGUAUGGUACUGCGUCGGAUAAUCUUGUUUCCCAAAUUCUGGUAUUCUCCCCCGCACAAAGUGCGUUUCCUGGAGGCACAUAAUAUCUACUUUAGCCCUCUUAGUUUCCUCUAACAGAACUCUGCGUUUAUGAGGGGUGUUCAGUCCCCGUACGUUAUGUGAGUAUAUUUUCAUAGUGUACUAUUAUAUGGGUUGGACACUGAGUUUUUAAUUUACUUCUGAUUGUAUCUUCUAGUCGGGUGUGUUUGUUGGUUGUGCAUAUAUCAGGCAAGAGUGCCCCUGUGUGGGUAAUAGUGAUCUUAGCUGGUAUGGGUAGUGGCUUGGACUUCCUUAUCUUUGCGGGACUGGGGUCAAAAACUUGGGGAGGUGUAAACCGGGUAGAAACAAAAACAAAGUAUAUACAUAUAUGUGUCUUGGUACUGGUGGUAAGUACCGUGGGGGUGGAAACUAGCAUGUUUCCGUGUCAUGGCUAUGGGUCUUCCGCUGUCUCUUAACCUUUGGAGACGGUCGGUCGCACCAGGCCACCUAUGUAGUAAGUACUAAUAGUCGUAUAGGCUCUUGGUGUGUGUACAAUUCUAUUGAGAAAGGGGGUAAACGGUAAUGGGACUAGGAGAGAUUUUUGUCAGGUGUAGUAGUAAAUACAUAUAUAUACACUUAUAUUCGUCAUAAUCAGCAGCUGGUAAGUACAUCCAGUAGGACAGCAUCUUGCUCCCUAGUAGCUGGGAGAGCUCGUUGCGGUAAUGAGCAUCUAUUGAUUAUAAGCAGUGCUUGUGUUAUACCAAUUGUUUUUUUUUUUUUGUUUUUUUUAUAUUAUUUUACUAAGCAGCGUAACAGUGUUGCCCUCACAUUAUGCUCUUGAUGAGGCACACGGAGAGAAUGUGUGUGUCCUCUGCAACUCAUCGCCUCUCCCGUAAGCUACAGGUUGCUAGGGGGGGGGGUUCAGCCCCAUACUUCCAUCAAAUGAUGGGGAGGUAUUGCUUGCCAGCUUAAGUAACCUUAAGGAACUAGGUAAUUUAACUUGUUAUAACCAAUCCGUGUUAACCUGAACAUUUUUUUUUUUUUUUUGUUUUUGUUUAGCAUAUAUAGACCUUGGGAUAUUUCCCCAGCCCUCGAGUCCAUUGCAAGCGCCUAGGCAUAAUCAGAUUUAUACUUGCGUAUGUCCAGCAGUUCAUGCUUUGUGCCAGUCCAGUGGGAUGCGCCUGGCAGGUGGGGUGUGAGGCUCCGGUCUUUGGUGCAUAAAUCCCCAGGAUUGUAGUUUAUGGAGUCCAUCUUCAGGUGAUGUGAUAACCUGGGUGGUGUUAUCUUUCGUCACCAACAUUUUGGUAGGGAAGCCCCAUCGGAAUCUGAGGCCAUGAGCCCUCACGGAGUUGGCGACCUGAGCGAACUCUUUCCUUCUGCGAAGAGUAGACGCCGAUAGAUCUGCAAAAAUCAGCAGAUUUGGGUAACCUUCUAGUGGUGUCGCUUUAUUUCUGCUUGACUUGAGUAUAAGCUCUUUGAUAUGAUAAUAAUGCAUUCGCAGUAGUACAUCCCGCGGUGCAGUUUCUGGCAGGAACCGUGGUCUAGGCAGACGGUGUAUUCGGUCCACGAGUAACAUGUCGGUUGGUAUGUCUGGAGCAUAAGCGUUAAACACGCCUCUGACAUAUGCCUGCAGGUUCUCCGGCACAACAUCCUCUGGGAUCCCUCUAAUGCGCAGGUUAUUCCUGCGUGCGCGGUCCUCUAGGUCAGUUAUUUUAUUUUCCGCCGCCAGUAAUUUUUGUUCCAGUUGUUCCAAAUGAGAAGCUAUGUCAUUGUGUGCUGUAGCAAAUUCUGCCAUCUUGUUCUCCAUGUGGGAGGUGCGCUUGCCUAAUUCUUGCAUGUCCUUCCUCAGCGAAUCCGCUGUAUGUUGCCACGAUGUAAUUAGCUUGCUUGACAGGGUGUCCAGAGCUUGUUGUAAAUAGCUCUUGGUGAGUAUGUCAGGAUCACUUUCUUGCAAUGCUGCUGUGUUCUCAGGGCUGUCAGUAGCGGAGCCGCCAUCUUGCGACCAGGCCCGAGCCUCCUCCGGUUCCUGGUGCGACUUGUGUCCAAAGAAAUUGAUUUUUUCCGCUUUGUGUGCAGACUUCUUGCCUCUCUGCUGUGCCAUCUUCGUUUUUUAAGCAGUUGUGCCGCCGUGUUGCGUUCGAUGGAGUCGGAUUGCGACCCGUGUUGCCGGAGUGAACGGGUUACACGUCCAUUCCUCUCGGCGGUUAGCCACGCCCCCCUGAAUUGUACUCUUAAUAGUUGAUAACAUGAGAAUUAUGCUUACUGUUGUUUACAUAAAUUAUUUAGGUAAAUGAGAAAACUAUAAUUUGCAUAAUAAUUUGGAAUAGGGUGUAUGUUCCAAUCUCACACCCAUCUCACUACAUAAUAGUGACGCCAAAAUAUAUGCUAAACUUUGUGCUGCAAGACUUUCACUUACUGUACCAGAUAUUAUUCAUCCCGAGCAAGCGGGUUUUGUGAAAACUAGAUGGGAUUCUGACCACACACAUAAACUACUGAAUCUACUACAGCUAAUGCAUUUUCAAGGGACUAGAGUCUUGUUAAUGGCAUUAGAUACAGAAAUAGCCUUUGACAGGUUAAACUGGAUGAAUAUGACUUUGAUCUUGGAGUCCUUUACCUCGGAAUGUAAUUACAGCGCUCAUGGUUCUAUAUUAUAAGCCAAUUGCCCAAAUAUAUUAUGCAGGGUUCACUUCUCCCUCGUUCCCAAUCACAAAUGGUACAUGUCUGGGUUGUCCCCUUUCCCCCAUCUUCUUUAUAUUGGCCAAGCCAUUAGCUAUUGCACUGAGACAACAAACGGCUAUUUCAAGAGAUCCAAUUUAAUGAGAAACACUAUCUCUUAAACCUGUCUGCAGACAAUAUUUUGCUGACAAGCACUGACCCGUCCACUUCAUUGACUGCCACCAAUUCCCUCUUAGACCAAUUAGCGAAACUCUGCCACUAUAAGUUGAAGGUUGAAAAGAAAAACAGACUUUUCCCAUGGGAAUACCUGCUAGGGAGCUUAGUUUGAAAGCUGCUCAUGCAUAUGAUUGAGCAUAGACUUCAUUUAAUAUACAGGAGUUAAAAGCUCUUUAUGCAUAACAAAUAUUAAUUAGCUCAACUAUCAUCCACUUAUUGAUAUGAUUAAGUCGAAUCUGCACUCAUGGAAAAAUAUUAUAUUAUGGUGGCUGGGAUGAAUCCACACUUUGAAAAUGAUGAUAUUACCCAAAUUGCUGUAUGUGUUUAAGAUGCUGCUGAAACCAGUCCAUACGAAGUUUUUUCAGACUGUACAGCAACGUUUUAUCAGUUUCAUAUGAGGCCACAGAAGGCCAAGAAUAGUGAAUGCUGUUUCAUUUCUUCACAUUACUAAAGGAGGAUUGUGAAUCCCUAAUAUAAGGGAAUACCACUAGGCUACACUGUUCUCCCAGGCAUUGCGCUUACAUGUAGGAGCAAAACAUCCUCAAUGGGUAACUAAUCAUUAAACUCCCAGGUAACAUCUAUGUCUAGUUACUUGCUGAUACCAAAGAAUAUUAGAAAGUCCAGACCUGAUUUCUUUCCUUCCACAUGCUAUGCAAUCUCUAUAUGGGACCAGCAUUUGGCCUAACACAACUGAGGUCCAUGACUUUUCUUUCUUGUUAUCCAGUUCUGAAGUGUUAUCUCCCAUGACAAGAUUGUUACCAUUGUACAAUUUUGCCUCACUUACACCGAAGCUGAGUGCUCUUAAGCCUCACUAUAUUCAGAGGUAAGAGGGGCUCUCCAGUUCCUGAUGCAAAGCUGGCUGAAAGCUUUUAAUUCCUUACAUAAACUAACAAAGUGUACCAAUACAAACUAUUGCUAUGAUGGUACCUUCCUCCAAAUACAUAAGAUAUAUCCAAACACCUCUCCGACUUGCUGGAGAUGUGGAGUUGAGACAAGUACAUUAUUGCACAUUUCGUGGAGUUGCCCCAAAUACAGCCAUACUGGGAACAGGUGCAACUCCUUACAGUUGGUGGCUGAGGUUCAGGUCCCCAUCUCAACAAAUUAUGUUUUGCUCUUGCUUGUUCCCCCAAAAGAUACCUGCGAAGGUGCAAGGAUUAUUCUGCACAUUUUGACUGUGGCCCAGUUGUGCCUCGCUAAGGCGUGGAAGGCACGAGAUCCUCCAACUCUGAUGAGUGUCAUAGAUGGAAUAAUUGAGAGCAAAAUUGUGAAAUUCAAUGACUUCUUAUCUAACCCCGUCUGUUUCUUCUCUUGCAGCACUUAGUUGGUAGGAAAAUAGUAGUUAGAUUGAGGGAUUAUGGGGCAAGGUCGGCUUCUUCUGGGUGAAGAGUGAUCCAGGGAACCUGAGAGAGGGCUGGGGGGAGCACUGGUGGUCUGUCUGCUGGGGGAGUGGUCCGCUCGAGGGUCUGUUCUAUUUAGUUUUAAUUUCUUUUAACUCGCGAUAGGAUACUAUGCUUUAUGUUAGAUCAAUGCUCAAAUGCGGGUCACUUAGGUUUUGGUAUUAAAUGAAUUGCUUCUCAGGCAGAUUGUGAUUGAUAGCUAUGUACUCUUUAUUACCAGAAUGAUAGUUGCAAAAACUAGCCCUGCAUUGAUACCAGAGCUUUCCUGCAUCACCAAAUCGUGAUCAGACACUACUAGAAUACCAGGGUGCUCUGGAGUAAUUAUGGAGUUGAAUGCAGACUGUAUAUUUAGUGAGGUUUUGCUUUUAUGUUUUUGUAUGAUAUAAGGCGGUCCUGCAUGUCCGCAAAGUGUAACCGUAUAUAUUGCAAUCUGACCCUAUGUUCAUCUUCUGUACCAUCUGUCUUAUUUGUUUUAUAUGUCAUAUUAUAAAACUCAAAAACUACAAGUUCAAAAAACAAACAAUGCAAAUACUGAUAAUAUAUGCCUCUUCCAAUGGGAUUCCAAAGUCAACGUACUGAUAUUGUGGUGGAAUCUCGGUAAAAAUAAAUUUAGUAGGCCGAGAUUACCACAUGGCAUGUGUACGUGCAUAUGCUGACGUAUCGAUCAGUUGGUUGCACGAGGCAAGAUACGAUCAGUAGUGUACGGAGCAUGUGCAAGGAUACAGGAUGUAGUAUUCCCCUCCUCCAUUGUGCUGGACAAGCCAUGUGGUCAAGCAGGAAGUUAAUUCUUAUUUGUAAUGAUUGGUCAAGAGAAUGUGCGGGUGGAGCUUAAUAUGGGAGGAGUUAUGUGCCUAUAUAGGAAGCCUGCACUAUUGUUCAGGGCUCAGAACUUGCUGUAUUUUUGGUGACAUUAGUCCCUCUGAGUCCCGAUCGGUGAUCCAAUAAAGAAUCUCUUCCUUCCUGAAGAAACCUGUGUCCAUCCCUCUGUGCUUUGCUUCCGUCAGUUUCUCCGGUAUCAUUUGGUGCAUUGGCCGGGAAGCUCAUCGUUCAACGGUAGCUGAGAGGCAGAGGCGUGAGACGGUCUAUCUUUGCCCACGUUCUCUACGGCUGCACCCCUGAACUUCUGCGUGGACCUCCCUUCGUCUCGGCGCCACUGGUCUGUUGUCCAGGAGAUCAUCGGCCUCUACGUAAGAAGUGCUGGGGUGUCCCCGUCGAUGAGUGUGAACUCAGGUUCAGGAACGAGGAGGUAAGACAACUGCUGUUUUAGACGGCAGACCCACUAGGGGUAUACCGAUUGUGCGGUAGGCCCAAAAGGGGUUUAAAUCUGUGUAUGGAAUCUGCCCCCUCUGUCGGAGGGAAGGAGCGAAGGCGCACCGCUCGAUCGAACGCUCUUUAGUAAGACCGUUUGAUCUGGUUAGUCAGGCGGGGUCCUGUGUAAAUAGCCCUAGCCGGACACCGGUGUCUUGUCUAGACUAGCGUUCUAGGGUGUAUAUUACGUUCGCUAGGUCGGAGGGACCGGGAGACUAAGCGGCGCCUGUGUAAAUUCGGUUCGCUAGCUCUCAACCUAUCUUGGCUAAGUGGGAAGGCGUGUAAAUUUGGAACCCACUAGACUUUUGAUAGAGUAAAUAGACUAGAAGGGCAAUUUUGUAAAUUUCGCCCUCUAGUUCGCUAUAUGUGGUGCUUGGGCAGUGUGGCUAACCAAAACGGGUGUAUAUAGUUUUAGGUAGUCCAUUCAAGGUACUGGCCAAUAGUUUAGUUGGGAUUGUAAAUGUGUUAAAGAUUGUUAGUAAAGUGUAUAUCUUGUUAGAUAGCGCGAGCUCAGCCGUCUAGCGAGAGUGUUAAUAGUGUGUUGCUGUAUCAUAGUGCACGGUACCAUAACCCUGUAUAUUUACUGACACUGUAUAUAAGUACUAAUCAUUGUCGUCUAUUGCAUGUUUAACACCGUAACCACUAAUAAUUGUAUUGUGACCUUAAAUUGUGCUUUGACCUAUGCUAACCGUACUGUAACCGAUACUAGUAAAAGGCGAUGUUACUGGGGUGUGUUAUAGACGGGUAAUUCAUAUAUAGAGAAUUAUAGCGUGGGUGACUGUAUAGUUUCGCCAAAGGGCAUAAUAUUGAUUAUUUAGUGACUGGUGUAACAGCUGUGUGUGUACGGGAAUUCCCUGAGUGAUUAUUGUGUUAUUGUGUACGUUUCACUCGGUAACUGUACCACGUGGUGCUGUUGCCAGAGGAAACGGGUGUGACUGUUGAAUAAGAACGCGUGCAUAGUAUUCGUUGUCAACGACGUUCCAUUGAUAAGUAUGGGCGCGUCAGAGUCAACGAUUUCGGAUCCCUUAGGUUGUAUGGUAAAGAAUUUUAAAAAGGGAUUCAAAAUAUGUGAUUUUGGGGUUAAAAUGUCUCCUGUACGUUUGGUCACUUUGUGCACUAGGGAGUGGCCUAUUUUGGUUGCGGCAUGGCCGCCGCGUGGCAGUUUGGAUCCAACCCUGGUACAGCGUGUACACGUGGCUGUGUCAGGUAGGCCUGAACUUUACGGACAGUUUCCAUACAUUGAUUGUUGGGGGCAGGCCGUAAACGACUCGCCAAAAUGGAUCCGGAUAUGCCACGAGGAGCAAUGUCGCCUCAUGGUGGCCAGGACUUGUUUGUCCACUAGGACUGGUGUUAGGCCCAUUUUGGACACGCCCCCUGAGUCCGAGAUCCCUUUGCCGCCCCCUUACUUUCCUUUAAGAGGAAGUGACGCGAAUGCAGGAAGUUCUGCACCCCUUCCCCUAUUGCCCCCAUCCACUUCCGCUUCCUCCUCCAGUACAGAAUCCACCCCCCCUCGUAUUAAAACUCCCCUUCCGGAACCAGGACCAACCCCCAUUAGAUCUGAAUAUCCUGAUUUGGCGCCACUUCAAACUUCCGGUCAAGCUUCUUCUAGCUCGGCUCGGAGUAUACUAUUCACUAAUUUUUCCCAAAAUCAAGUUCCCACAUCCUCAUGCCCUAUUACCUCUCGACCGGAACCUUUAACUGACGCCCCUCCACGUAGCCCCAUACUAACCCGACAACUGGCCGGUACCCAACAAUUAAAACAUUAUCAGAUGCCUCUUCGUCUGAAUCCUGGGUCAGCCUAUAUCGAUGCCGCAGGUCAAAUGGCACAUGCUGACCCAGUCUUCGUAUAUGUCCCGUUCACGACUACCGAUCUCUUGAAUUGGAAGACCCACAAUUCCUCGUACACUGAGAAACCACAAGCUAUGACCGAUCUGUUCACCUCGAUGGUUCAGACACAUAACCCGACAUGGGCUGAUUGCCAGCAGUUAUUAAUGACAUUGUUCAAUAAUGAGGAAAGGACAAGGAUUAACCAAGCGGCCAUUAAGGCGCUAGAGGAGAGAGCCCGUGCUUUAAAUCAAGCCAAUCCGGCAGCAUGGGCCGCAACACAUUACCCUAACACCGAUCCUGACUGGAAUGUAAAUGGCGCAGAUAUGGCUCAACUUAAAGCCUAUAGAGACGCUAUAAUUGCUGGCAUGAAAGCCGGAGGGAAGAAAGCUAUUAACAUGUCGAAGACAGUUGAGGUGAUUCAGAAAAGUGAUGAAGCGCCCAGUGUCUUUUAUGACCGAUUAUUGGAGGCAUACCGCUUGUAUACCCCCUUUAAUCCGGAAGACGCUGAUAAUUUCCGAAUGGUAAACUCCGCCUUUGUCAGCCAAGCUUACGGAGAUAUUAAGCGCAAGCUACAGAAAUUAGAAGGGUUUGCAGGUAUGUCUAUCACCCAACUAAUGGAGGUAGCGAACAAAGUAUAUAUGAAUAGGGAAACAGAAAGUAAGAAAGAGGAAGAGCGCAAGAUGCGUAGAAAGGCAGAUAUGCUAGCGGUAGCGAUCGCAGGCGUAGAUAGACGGGGCCCAGAUAGAGGCGAUGGUAGAUGGAAUAGGGAGCCUUUGAGUAGGAAUCAGUGCGCGUACUGCAAGGAAGAAGGGCAUUGGAGGAAUGAGUGUCCGCAAAGAGAGCAGUAUGAGAGAGACUUACCCAGGGCAGGUUAUGGAAACUUUAGAGGCAGAGCGAGAGGUAGAGGAGGCCCCGGAGGGAGUAAUGGUAAUAGAGGGAGUAAUGGGAACAGAGGAAGUGUAAGGGAAGAUAGGUACUAUCCAGCAGCGCAAAGGUCCCGCGAUAGAGAAGGUAGGGACUUUGUGGGAUUGGCUGACACGGUCAUGGAGGACUAUUGAUACCGACCGGGCUCCAUCCCCCUUGGUCGAGCGGAGCCUAUGGUCGAUGUAUCAAUAGGGGAAAAAAGGAGUGCGUUUAUGAUCGACACUGGUGCUGAACAUUCGGUGGUGACUAAUCAAGUUGCUCCUCCAUCUGGAAGAACUAUUACUGUAAUAGGAGCAACUGGAAGAAGUGCUGAAAAACCGGUUCUUAAAAGUCGACUCUGUACAUUGGGAGGCCACGUAGUAAAACAUCAAUUCCUUUAUAUGCCUGAGUGUCCAGUCCAAUUGCUGGGACGUGAUAUGCUAUCCAAAUUACAAGCGCAGAUUACGUUCCUACCAAAUGGAACAACAUCCUUAAAGUUUAAUGGACCCUCAGGUAUUAUGACAUUGUCCGUACCAAAGGAAGAAGAGUGGCGACUUUAUACAGUGUUGACUAGCCAAAACCCGAGGAGUGAUGAAUCCUUAUUUAACAUACCAGGAGUUUGGGCAGAGAACAACCCACCAGGACUGGCCCGCAAUAUUCCACCUAUUAAAAUCGAACUAAAACUUGGGGUUUAUCCAGUAAGCCUGAGACAAUAUCAUAUUCCGCAGAAGGCUAAGAAGAACAUCCAAUCUUAUCUGGAUAAGUUCAUACGGUAUGGUAUCCUAAAAUUCUGUACUUCCCCUGGAACACCCCAUUGCUGCCUGUUCAAAAGCCCGGUACAGAUGAGUAUCGACCUGUGCAGGACUUGAGAGCAGUCAAUGAUGCGGUUGUUAGUAUACAUCCAGUCGUGCCCAAUCCGUAUAACCUGCUUGCUUUAAUUCCGAGCGGGGCUACUUACUUUACAGUCUUAGAUCUCAAAGAUGCCUUCUUUUGCCUCCGAAUUGCCGUAGAGAGCCAAUGUAUCUUUGCUUUCCAAUGGGAAAAUGCUGUAACGGGCUCGAAACGCCAAAUGACCUGGACAAGAUUGCCCCAGGGGUUUAAAAAUUCACCUACCCUAUUUGGUUCAGCUCUAAGCCAAGAUCUACUAGAUUUUGAGUCUAUCCCAGGAGAGUGUGUUUUAUUACAAUAUGUAGAUGACUUGUUGAUAGCAGCAGUUACAAAGGAAGUAUGUCAGCAAGCAACGCAUGAUCUACUACACAUCCUCUGGAAGGCAGGAUACAAGGUGUCAAGAAGGAAGGCUCAGUUGUGUUUGCCAACUGUCAAAUAUCUGGGAUUCCAUAUCUCUGAAGGUCAAAGAAUUAUGGGGCCAGAGAGAAAAGAAGCUGUGUGCCAAAUACCGAUACCCAGGAAUAGAAGACAAGUGCGAGAAUUCUUGGGGGCAGCAGGCUUCUGUAGGAUAUGGAUUCCCAGCUACGCGAUACUGGCAAAACCUCUGUAUGCAGCUAUCAAAGGUACAGAGCACGACCCCUUCUUAUGGACUCAAGAACAGCAAACGGCAUUCGAAGAUGUAAAGAGGGCUUUGAUGAGUGCCCCAGCAUUAGGUCUACCUGACCACACACAGCCAUUCUACCUGUAUGUACAUGAGCAAAGAAGAAUGGCUGUGGGAGUAUUGACACAGUACUUGGGAUCAUGGCAAAGACCUGUUGCCUACAUGUCUAAGCAACUGGAUGCAGUGGCCAGCGGACUUCCACCUUGUCUAAGAGCUGUAGCUGCAGCCGCCCUGCUAGUAGCUGAAGCCGAUAAACUCACUCUGGGUCAAGAACUUUAUGUACGAGUUCCACAUGCAGUACAGACGUUGUUGGAUUACAAAGGAAAUCAUUGGUUUAGUAACAGCCGUAUGACCAAGUAUCAAGCAAUGUUGUGUGAAACCCCAAGAGUGCAUUUAGAGACUGUAAAUACCUUAAAUCCAGCUACCCUUUUGCCACAACCUACUGAAAGUCAACAUGAUUGUUUGGAAGUAAUGGAUGAAGUAUUUUCAAGUAGACCAAAUCUUCGUGAUUUUCCCAUCCAGAACCCUGAUGUUCAAUAUUACACCGACGGCAGUAGUUAUGUAAAAGAAGGGAUCCGCUAUGCAGGAUAUGCAGUAACAACGAUAGACAAGGUGAUAGAAGCUUGGCCACUGGCGAAAGGAACAUCAGCACAAAAGGCAGAAUUGAUAGCACUGACACGAGCGUUACAAUUGGCUGAAGGUUUAAGAGUGAACAUCUACACGGACUCCAAGUAUGCGUUUUUAACCACUCAUGCCCAUGGAGCUUUGUAUAAAGAAAGAGGACUAUUGAAUUCAGAAGGCAAAGAAAUCAAAUACGCAGCUGAGAUCCUACAACUAUUGGAAGCAGUGCGGGAGCCGAAAGAAGUCGGUAUUAUACAUUGUCGGGCGCAUCUGAGAGGAGAUGGUGAUGUAACCAAAGGGAAUCGGAUGGCAGAUAGUGCAGCUAAGCGUGCUGCUGAAUCAGGAAGACAGGAAUAUGUAGGGCAUAUAGCUGCUCUUAUACCAACUCCACUGUCUCAAUGGACUCCAAUUUAUACAGCUCAAGAAGAGGAGUGGUUAAGGACUGAACCUGGAAAGUAUUUGGAGAACAAAUGGUAUCAGUUAGAAGAUGGAAGAAUAGUUAUUCCAGCAUCACUAGCGGUAGAAAUUGUCCAAAACUAUCAUAACGGGACACAUUCUGGGAGACAGUACAGAAGAAUCUCUCAGAAAACAUUUCUACAUACCAAGAUUGUCCAACUUGACUCAGGCCAUUGUACGUAGAUGUGUAACGUGUGCUAAAAAUAAUGCAAGACAAGGACCAGUAAAGCCACCAGGAGUCCAGUUUAUGGGGGGACUUCCCAUGUCCGAUUUACAAAUUGACUAUACAGUGAUACCUAAAUCGGGUGGACAUCGCUACCUGCUGGUAGUGGUGUGCACCUAUUCAGGCUGGGUAGAAGCAUGUCCUACUCGUACAGAGAAAGCAGGAGAAGUCGUGAGAUUCCUGCUACGAGAAGUAAUACCCCGAUAUGGACUACCCUGCUCUAUAGGAUCGGACAAUGGUCCAGCUUUUGUUCAUCAGUGCCUACAACAAUUGACUCAUAUGCUUGGUAUAAAGUGGAGGCUUCAUACGGCAUAUAGACCCCAGAGUUCUGGUAAGGUAGAGAGAAUGAAUAGAACUAUUAAGAAUCAGUUGGCUAAAAUGUGUCAGGAAACCCAACUUAAGUGGAGCGUUCUCUUGCCCAUAGCUCUAUUGCGAAUCCGUAGUACACCUACCAGAAGGAUGGGCCUCUCUCCUUUUGAAAUCAUGUACGGGCGACCACCUCCCGUGCUUAGUAACUUAAGGGGGGAUUUGAGUCAGUUGGGAGAAGGAAUUACCCGGCAGCAGGUUGUAGAGUUGGGUAAGACUAUGGAGGAGGUACAGAAAUGGGUACAAGAUAGAUUACCUGUGAAUAUUUAUCCCACAAUUCAUAGUUACCACCCAGGCGACCAAGUGUGGAUUAAAGAGUGGAAUAAUGUGCCGUUAGGGCCCAAGUGGAGAGGUCCUUAUGUUGUUCUUCUGUCUACCCCUACAGCGAUAAAAGUAGCCGAAGUGGCUCCGUGGAUACAUCACUCUAGGGUUAAACCAGCAGCCGAUUCCUGGCAAGUUACAGCAAAUCCAGAGAAUCCCUGCAAAAUCCGGUUAAAACGCACGACUCAGUCGGAGUGACGAGGAACCUUGUGGAUCACAAAUUUUAUUGUUUCAGAGACUUGGUAAGUGAGUGAGAAGGCCAUAAUAAAGCCUGUCCACUCACCAACGAGUGUAUAAGUCAAGGAAAGUCUUGAGGGGACCCCUGUGANNNNNNNNNNNNNNNNNNNNNNNNNNNNNNNNNNNNNNNNNNNNNNNNNNNNNNNNNNNNNNNNNNNNNNNNNNNNNNNNNNNNNNNNNNNNNNNNNNNNUAAUUAUAGUAACAUUUAUGUAAAAUGUUCUUUGUUCCAAAAGGAUCUUUAGCCAGGUGUUAAUAGCAUUUUAACGCUACAAGUACACUCCAUAUAUUAAAUCUCCCUACCUUGUAUGGUGGCUGGGGAAAACCAGGAAGUCAUAGAAUAACGUCAGCCUAUUUUACUUGCAGACCCUAAAUCUCCAAUGUGUGUCUGCUGCCAAUACCAAUGCAAACCAUUGGUAUAAGGCUACAGGGUUCAAGUUGACUGUAGUUUGCAACUGCAGUGAACAUCUGGUCAUGAAUGAAAGGUAUGCCCAGUAACACUAAGCAUUGGGCAGCUGAUAAAAAAUUCAACAUUUUACUUGUUGGCACAGUUGUUUUGAAGAACUCUCUAGAGCUUCCUGAAUUAUAUUAAGAAUUUUUUACUGCGGCAAUCUAUAUCUGUUAGAACAGCUGGUGUUGAAAAGGAUCUCUCACUCUCAUGUGCUGGGGGACCUCAUGUUCAAAUCUCUCUUCUUUUACCGGAUUUGUCCUUGAAAACUUAGCCCUAUCUCUAAGGUACUUGUAAAACAAAUAGCACGGACAUAACAGCGCAUUUGUUCCAACUCCCCAGAAGAAGAUAACAUACCUGAAUUCAAGGUGGAGCAUGUGGUUUUUUUUUGUUUUUUUUUAACAGCAAGUCAAUUCUUAUAGGGAGGAUUCAGAAUGUAAAAGACCUUGAAAAUCUAUGGGAUGAAAUUAGUUGGCUUCUACAACAGAAAGAAAUACAUCUAUUUUAAAAAGAAUUUCAAAUAAAAAUACUUCUGCCAUUAAAAUAGAGUAAGAAACAAUAGCUUAAAAAUGUAAUUAAACAUAAUUUUUUUAUAAUGACACUAUAAAAAUUAUUUUAUUUUUACUUGAUCUUUAUAUUAUAUAUUUUUUGCUUUUUUUAUUAUUUCACUAGGAAAAUAUACUCUGAUGCUCGGUAUAGUCUCAUUUGUUCAAUACAAUAAUAGAAAUAUUACCUUUGUACAUUUUCUCAGUCUUACAUAGAUAAUUAUUCUGAUUAUUACCCUUACUAGAUAUUCCAAUCAGAUCAUGUUACCCACCAUAGGAUAUAUUUAUGGGAACUGCAGCAUAAAUCUGCGUUGAUAUUAUUUUAUUCAGAACAGCAAACUAAUGUAUGUUACAAAAAAACUGCAGUCGGAUUUUCCUGAAAGGAACACUAUAGUCACCUAAAUUACUUUAGCUAAAUAAAGCAGUUUUAGUGUAUAGAUCAUUCCCCUGCAAUUUCACUGCUCAAUUCACUGUCAUUUAGGAGUUAAAUCACUUUGUUUCUGUUUAUGCAGCCCUAGCCACACCUCCCCUGGCUAUUAUCGACAGAGCCUGCAUGAAAAAAAAAACUGAUUUCACUUUCAAACAGAUGUAAUUUACCUUAAAUAAUUGUAUCUCAAUCUCUAAAUUGAACUUUAAUCACAUACAGGAGGCUCUUGCAGGGUCUAGCAAGCUAUUAACAUAGCAGGGGAUAAGAAAAUCUUAAUUAAACAGAACUUGCAAUAAAGAAAGCCUAAAUAGGGCUCUCUUUACAGAAAGUGUUUAUGGAAGGCUGUGCAAGUCACAUGCAGGGAGGUGUGACUAGGGUUCAUAAACAAAGGGAUUUAACUCCUAAAUGGCAGAGGAUUGAGCAGUGAGGCUGCAGGGGCAUGUUCUAUACACCAAAACUGCUUCAUUAAGCUAAAGUUGUUCAGGUGACUAUAGUGUCCCUUUAACUUACUGGAUUUGAGAUAUGCACUCAUAAUUUGCAGAAUGUAUAGCUUCCAACAUUUAUUUAGCAGGGCAUUAAUUUGAAUGUUUAGUUGACCCAUGAUGGAUUGAUUAUAAUUUAGAUAACUGUGUACUGGGGUUUUAGGACAAGAGUAAUAUAAUUUCAACAAACGUAGAUUUUAUUUGGAUGAAACCCUGGGAUAAACUCAUAGAAACUAAAAACACUGAUUUUUUUUUUUGGGGGGGGGGGAAAUUAAUUACCAGAAAAGAAAAGAACAAUAGAUGGAUUUGGGGAAGAUUUAGGAAAUGUGAUAACUUAGUAGGUAAAUGUAGCAAUAUGAUUGGCUAGGUUUACCCCAAGGUAAGCUCUAAAGAGUCUUAUAUUUUGACCAAUAACAUGUUUGGUACCCAUUGCUUCUAGUGCCAGUGAUGAUGUUCGAGUUAGAAUUAUCUCAUUAUUUGUACUCAUUCAAUCAGAGUUCCAAUAUUGACAAAAGGUAAAUUAAUGAAAGCGUAUCUUGAGUUUGUUUCAACUUGGCAAUGAUGUUUAAUAUUUUUUAAUUACAGUUAGCCUUCUUACCUCAACAGGCUUAGGAGUUAGGUUUAAACGAUUUUGUGAGGAAACAUGUUAUCGUCAGGAAAGAACACAAUAUUUGAGUUGAACUGGUUUCCAUCAUAGAUAUACAACAGCGUGUUCUAAACAAGGGAAUAAAAUAUACAUACCACGCUCUACCAUUACUCUCAAACCGACUAAGUUGAAAAGAAAAAAUUGACUGCAGGCUAGUCGACCUUUAGUGAAUAAUUGUGUGGGGAUGAUUGGAAAGUAAUGGGAAGAUAAUACCACAUCCACUUGGAGGUCUUGGCUGAAAGCUACUACAGAGAACAAAAAAUGCACAGUAGAAAACUACCGGUAGUUUUUAUUUCAAGGUAUACAGAAUGAUAUCCAAAUUUGGUAAAAGUAGACUCCCCUUAAACUGAUUAAUGAUUUGGCAUUUCUUAUUGUUUUUAAUUUCUUGCGAAAAUGCUUGUUCCAAUAAAUGCGUUUUAAUUUCAUGAAGUCUUAUCAACUGUUCCUGUAUCUCUGGCAUUGUAAGAACAAAUGGGGAAUCCAUAUGCCAAUUUGCUGUUAUACCACACACCGAAAAGGUCAGGUCUACCAUAUUGUCAGUUUCAGCGGCAUGAAAACAAGCAAUUCAUUCACGUUAACUGUGUCAAUUUACAUUCUCGCAAUGUGUUUUUAUUUUAUUUAUUUUUUCACAGCAGACAACUUCAAUUAUUACUCAUAUUUUCUCAUUUUUUGGAGGAAGUGGUAAACUUAAGUCACAUUCUAAAUUUAGUCUAUUAUCUAUGCAGUACAAAUUUCACUUCUGUGUACUCGUGUUAGCUUGCAUAUUUCUCCAUGGUAACUAAACUAUGAUUAAAACAACAUUAAAAAUCAGCCUUGAAAGACCACCUGUUUAGCAGAAGCAAACAAAAUAGAAUUAACUCAUAUCAAUUUUCUGUUACAAAAUAUAUAAUGACCAAUGUUUUCCAAUCAAGUGCUGAUCAUUCUAUGGGAAAUGUUACAUUGGGUGUAUUUAUGUUUUCCUCAUAAUACAGCAAAUAUCUUGUGUCAUAUCUAAAAAGUAUUUCCAAAAUAAUUUAUGGCAAAAGUGUGAUUGUCAAUAUUUCCUGUAAUUUACAGAAGUCUACAUACGAAAAUGUGGAAAAUCAACACUGAAAUUGUAGAUUAAUGUAGAAACAUAAAUUCUGAUGACAGAUAAAAGGAAUUGCUCAUGUCCCAUUUAAAAACAAUGGUUGCACUCUCAGGACAGCUUCAUGUCUAUCCCAAGCUUAAUUACUGUUUAGUGAAUGAAACCGUAGAUUUGGCCAACAUUGGACAACAAAAUAUAUCUUAAAGAAUAAAUGGAGUUGAGGGGAGCUAUUUACUAAGCUUGGAGAUUCGGUUUGCUCCAAAUUGUAAGUCACGUAAUUGUCCACAUUCCAGAACUCUGAACCGCCAAACGGAACAACCAACUACCGAAAUAGACAAGCAUGUUCAUUUUCAUUCGUGAUUCGGAGGUCUGUCAGUGGUGCCAAAAACAAAUGAGAUUAUUGAUGGGAAGAAAGUUAAUUGAUGGAUAGGGGACAGCCACCAAACUUUGAGUUGAUUCAAAGAUAUUGUGAACAUUGACCAAUAGAGGGCAAAAAAGGUUGAGCAGUGAAUGACAAUCUAUAUUUAUGCAUUAUAUUUUAAAUAAAAAUAUAUCAAUGUAGAUUUUCUACUGCUCUUUCUUUUUCUCCACGAAUAGUUACUGCUUCUCACUUGAUCUGUGAGCACAUGGAGGGAAAAGGUGCCUACUAGUGUACUGCAAAAUAAAUACAUAAUACUUCCAUUAUGUAUAUAUUUUACAGUACACCGAUUUGCGUCCCCUUGGUUCAUCCAAUUUGUUUUCCAGAACCUCCACUUUGUCAAAAUUCUUCCAUGCUGAAAUUUUUUUUACAUUUUUGGACAAAGUAGUUUACCUAAAUAGACUUUUUUUCACCAGGCAUUCGUGUACUACUCACUAAAAUCUGAGUAGUAGCUGACAACAAACUUGAACAAACUAGAAUUUAGUAGAAAACUAAUGUUGUCACUCAAUAUUUUUAUACUCAAUGUUUGUUUUAAAAUCCCUGACCACAUAUGAUAUCAGUUUUGAAAUACCAAGGGGUUGAUUCCCAAAAGUGGAAAUUCAAAGCAUUAUACAUUUAAAGUGGAACACUAUAUAUAUAUAUAUAUAUAUAUAUAUAUAUAUAUAUAUAUACAUUUUUUUUUUUUUUGUAAUGUCUCAAAUUCCAGAUUUCAUUAGGGUUUAUUUACUAAACAGUGGUUCAACAGAAGCUGGUCACAGUAGCCCCUUUAUUGUUUUUUUAUUAAUUUUUUUUGCUUGUUUUACAUUUAGCUUACACCCUGUACCAAAUUAUUAUGCAAAUUCUAUUUAAGUGUCACAAAGAUUAAAUAUUUUGUUUUUCAGUUUAACUCAUGGAUGGCAUUGUGUCUCAGGGCUCUUUUGAUCAGUGAAAACAAUCUCGGACACCUGUGAUAAUUAGAUUGCCAGGUGAGCCCAAUUUAAGGAAAAACUACUAAAGGCGGGUGUUCCACAUUAUUAAGCAGAACACCAUUUUCAUGCAAAAUGGGGAAGAAAAAGGAUCUCUCUGCUGCCAAAAAGAGUGAAAUAGUUCAAUGCCUUGGAUGAGGUAUAAAAACAUUAGAUAUUUCUAAGCGUGAUCAUCGCACUAUUAAGAGAUUUGUGGCUGAUUCAGAGCACAGACGGGUUCGUGCAGAUAAAGGAACAUUGAGGAAGAUUUCUGCCAGAUCCAUGCAUCGGAUCAAGAGAGCAUCUGCUAAAAUACCAUUACAUAGCAGCAAACAGAUAUUUGAAGGUGCUGGUGCCUCUGGAGUCGCACAGACAUCAAGGUGUAGAGUCCUCUAGAGUCUUGCAACUGUUCAUAAACCUUCUAUUCGGCCACCACUAACCAAUGCUCACAAGCAGAAACGGCUGCAUUGGGCAGAAAAAUACAUGAAGACUAAUUUUCAAACAGUCCUGUUCACUGACGAGUGCCGUGCAACCCUGGAUGGUGCAGAUGGAUGGAGUAGUGGAUGGUUGGUGGACGGCCACCAUGUUCCAACAAGGCUGCAACGUCAGCAAGGCGGUGGUGGAGUCAUGUUUUGGGUCGGAAUCAUGGGAAGCUGGUCGGCCCCUUUAGGGUCCCCAAAGGUGUAAAGAUGACCUCUGCAAAGUAUGUGGACUUUCUGACUGACCACUUUCUUCCCUGGUACAGAAGGAAGAACUAUGCUUUCCGUAAUAAAAUCGUCUUUAUGCAUGACAAUGCACCAUCUCAUGCUGCAAAGAAUACCUCUACAUCAAUGGCUGCUAUGGCGAUAAAAGGAGAGAAAGUCAUGGUGUGGCCUCCAUCCUCCCCUGACCUCAAUCCUAUUGAGAGCCUUUGGAGCAUCCUCAAGCAAAAGAUCUAUGAGGGAGGGAGGCAGUUUACAUCCAAACAGCAGCUCUGGGAGGCUAUUCUGAUAUCUUGCAAACAAAUUCAAACAGAUCUGUCCAAAAACUCACAAGUUCAAUGGAUGCAAGACUUGUGAAGCUGCUAUCAAAUAAUGGGUCCUAUGUUAAAAUGUAACAUGACCUGUUAAAAUGUUCAAAAAGUUAAAAUGUUGCUAUAAGUUUGAUUGAAAUAGCUUUUGAUUUCAGUAAAUAUGCUGCAAACUCAACAAAUGGCAAUUUUCAGCCUAUAACGUGUUUUGAAACUUACUGUGGGUAAUAAUUUGGAACAGUGCAUUGUAAGUUUUUUAUGUUUAAAAAAAAUACUGUUAUCAUUAGGAGGUUUGCUCAAUAAAAUAUGAAUUGUACUCUUAAUAGUUGAUAACAUGAGAAUUAGAAUAUCAUUUGCAUAAUAAUUUGGAACAGGGUUUAUUUAUAACAAGUUGUACAGAUUUCACAUAUCUCCCUAUUUUAUGUUAUUUUUCUUGGGUACAAAAGGUAAACAUCUACUAAUAUCACCAAACUGCUAUAUUCACUUUUUGAAAUGUACCUCCUCCAGCAAUAUAGGGCAGUCUUGCUUUUUUCUUUUUCUAAUUUCAAUCUUCAUGAAAAUAGCAAAGCAAACUGUCCUUGUUUCAUUUUGGGCAGUGCUUUGAGAUGAAAUGUUCCCUUGAGAAUUCAUUGCAUUGACCUUGAAUGUAUUUGUACUUAAUAAACAUAUCCUCCCUCAAGGGCGCAUGUUUUGUAAGGUAAACAUAACCUAUUUAGCUAGCCUUCCCUUAUAACGAAUAUCAUCUAUUUGCUUUAUUAAUUUAUUGUCCUUCUUUCAACUUGUUCAAGCUAUGUGAAGUAAUAAAACAAACUGUUUACUGAAAAUGUUUACUAUGACCUGCCAAGACCCACAGUUUUUUAGAUGAAAAAUCUAAUUUUAAGGGUAACUGUCACUUCCCAAAGUUUUAAUAUAAUUUUUCAUUAUCUCUUCUAUUUAAGUAUGAGUAAAAAAAUACCAUUAUUUAAAACAAAAAAAUUAAGGGAAAAAGAAACCCCAAAACAACAAAUUCUUAAACAAACAAUAUUGGAACCCCGUUGAUCUUAAAUUUGCAGGAUACCAAGCAUUUUCUUUUCUAAAAUAAGCAUUAUUUUUUGUUAUUCUUAUUCGCAUUUAUAUAGUGUUUACUUAUUCCACAGCGCUUUACAAUAUUAUAAAGUGGGAAUUUAACAAUAAAGGAGACAAUUAGAUAAUGUUACAGAAACAAUACGUUGAUGAGGACCCUGCUCAAACGAGCUUACAGUCUAGAGGAGGUGGAGUAUAAAAACACAAUAGGAAGGGGCAUCUGGAUAGCAACCAAAUGACAAGAUGGGAAAAUAUUUUCCAUUUCUUAACUUUUUAAUUAGUUGACCUGUUAACCAUUGCAGUGCCAAAGUAGUGCGUAAUGUAUCACGUUAUCUCCUGGUUAGUUUCCUUCUAACCAGCAAAUAGAACUGGAAAGUGGGAGCGGAGUGUGGCACCUUAAGAGAGAGCCAGAGACAGGUUUGUGACAUACAAUUUACUCUGGGAGAACAUACACUUUUCUGAAGAGAUGGCUUUUGAGUGACUUCUAAAUGAUUGCAGACUAGGUGAGAAUCUGAUGGGGGUAGGCAUGCUGUUCCCAAGGAAAGGAGCCGCCUGAGAGAAGUCCUGCAUGCGCAAGUUAGCAGUAAGAGUACGAUAAGCUGACAGGAGACAAUCACCAGCAGAGUGGAGAGAAGGGGCAUAGCUACGAAUUAGUGAGGAAAUUUUUAACAUUUAUAAGAAAAUGCUCAGUAUCUGCAUCAAUUUAAAGAUUAAUAGAAAUAUUUCGUAACUUUUUUGUUUGUUUGUUUUAUUUUGGUAAUUAAAUAUGUUUUCAUACAAGGAAACACCUAAAAGUGAAACCUAUACUUAUUGACAACCUGACAAUUGAAUCUUAUAUUUUACACCUUUUUCUAAAAAAUAAUAUUAAAUAUAAAAUCUUGCAAAUGGGUUCUGUCCUGUGCACCUGGCAGUCAGCAUAGAGAAAGUAUAAAGGAAAAAGGGAUGAGAUAUGUGCCCUGGAUGUACCUGGGCUAAACUUGAUUGUAAUGUAAAAAAGAGCUAAACACAAGUUACAGGUGAUUUACAUGUUUAAUUCAUGUUCAUUCAAUAUUUAAAUAAGAAGGGAUAUACCACUUUAAUAUCUACUGAAUUUACAGCUGGUGGAUGCAAUUGAUCAACUUAACAUACAUCUAAUUUUUAUAUUAUUAAUAUUACCUAUUGAAUCAGCUUCCUUACUCAUUAUUAGUUUAUUUUUUUUUUUUAAAUAUUAUAUUUGCUGGACUAUCAAAACUUUAAGCUUUGCUGGCAUUAAGCCUGAAAAGGCAUCAUUGGAAACAGACAUUAUUCUAUGAUAACUUGGAUGGAUUAAAAUGUACAUAACUUGAUUUGAAUGUACAAGUCCAGUUGGUCAAGAAAUAAAGAUCAGUAAAUGAUGAGGAAAUCAGAGAUAACAUGAAAUGUUAUUAAGGCAGUUGAAGUGGUUACCAAACUACAGAAAGAAAGGGAAAUUGAACCCUAAUAUCCAAAACUGUUAUAGAGAAGGACUUUCUUGGCAAAGUAAUCUCUAGACAUGUGCAAUUCGUUUCGGGCCGAAUAUGAAUUGCCGAAGUCCCGGAAUUACCGAGGUCCUGAAGUUCCGAAAUUACCGAAUUGUCGAAGUGCCAAAGUUCCGAAGUGCUGAAGUUGCCGAAGUUCCGAAUUGCCGAAGUUCCAAAGCACAGUAUUGCCUAAGUACUAAUAUACUUACCCAAUGGAAGAAGAAGCAUGUUACACUGUAUACUAUUUUAAAUAAAAAGUAUACAAACAUAGCCAGGAUUCAGCUGUAAGCAUUUGCAACACUUACAACAAUCAAGUAACACACAUUCAUAUAAAAUUUAAGUUACUUGGCCAGUCAAUGUAAUGACAGGAAUGAAUAAGUAGAUAACUCCCUAAUUCCCACAGUAUUAGGGAACUAUCUACUAAAAGGCUGAAAGACCUAAAUUGGUCUUUCAGCCAAAUUUACUAAUACUAAGUAAAGAUUACUUAGUAUUAAUAAAUUAUGCACAUACUCGCUAUACCACGAGUAGGGGCAUGUCUAUUAAACAGUGAGCAACCUGUGUAAAAACAAACAAAAAAACACGUCCCCCCUCCUAACCUGAAUGGAGGACCAAUUGCCCCCCCAGGCCCCCCACUGAAUGGCGGGUGGGGGCCCUAAAGUAAAAUAAGGGGGAGGAACAAUUGUACUCCCCCUGGCCUCCACCCCUGAGCAGUGGGUGGGGGCCCUAAAGUAAAGUAAUGGGGGGAACCUAUUGUCCUCAUCAUGGCCCCCACCCCUGAGCGGCGGGUGGGGGCCCUAAAUCAGAAUAAGGGGGGACACCUAAUGUCCUCCCCCCUGGCCCCCACCCCUGAGCGGUGGGUGGGGGCCCUAAACACCAAAUAGGGGGGGACCUAAUGUCCUCCCCCCUGGCCCCCACCCCUGAGCGGUGGGUGGGGGCCCUAAAUACUAAUUAGGGGGGGACCUAAUGUCCUCCCCCUGGCCCCCACCCCUGAGCGGUGGGUGGGGGCCCUAAAAUACUAAUUGGGGGGGACCUAAUGUCCUCCCCCCUGGCCCACAUCCCUGAGCGGUGGGUGGGGGCCCUAAAAUACUAAUUAGGGUGGGGGACCUAAUGUCCUCCCCCCUGACCCCCACCCCUGUGCGGUGGGUGGGGGCCCUAAAUACUAAUUGGGGGGUGACCUAAUGUCCUCCCCCCUGGCCUCCACCGCUGAGCGGUGGGUGGGGGCCCUAAAUAAAAUUAACCCCCCCUCCCCUGGUUGACUAGGGGUCCCCAAACCCCUAGUAACACCCCUUCCCCAAAAAAAUUAACCCCUACCUGCUCACUGUUUAAUAGACAUGCCCCUAUUCGCGGUAUAGUGAGUAGGGCAUAAUUUACUAAUACUAAGUAAUUUUUACUUAGUAUUAGUAAAUUUGGCUGAAAGACCAAUUUAGGUCUUUCAGCCUUUUGGUAGAUAACUCCCUAAUACCAUGGGAAUAAGGGAGUUAUCUACCAAGCGGCUGCAAGAGAAGUUCCGAAAUUCCGAAGUGUUGACGUGCUGAAGUGCCUCAGUUGCCGAAGUUCUGAAGUUACCGAAAUUCCGAAGUGGCCAAGUUCCGAAGUUAGAGUUUACAAAUGCUUAACUUUGUAUUUAUGAAUGCUGAACAGUCCUUCAGUCCUUAGAAUACAUGAUUACUGACUGCAGUGUGUUGAAAAAUCCCAUAGAGUGGCUGCAUAAUGUAAAGGUUUAACGCCUUUCUGCAGUUUCAAAAUAGGUUAAGACUUUCUUCUCACUUACAGUUCUAUGAAAUUUUGAUCCCCUUAAAUGAGACUUAACCAGGGAAGGAGGCCCUUGCCCGUUCUGUUCCCCAAGGAGAACUCUUUUUUCCCUCACUUUUUCAAUUCUUUCAUAUCCUCUAUAAUCAGAGUUUAAAAAAUUACAAAUUAUUGAACAUAAUAAAGUCACUCCUUUUUUUGGACUGCUGUAUCCCUUACAUGUUCUUGUCCUUCUUAUGUAUAUUCAUGUUCUAUGGUGUUGUAAAUUUAUGGUGGGCUGGCGUUUGUGAGGUUGUGAUGGGUGGGGCACCAUUUUGCCAUUGGACCUAGACAGCAGAAUAUCUUGGGUCAGCAUCAAUGCUGACCCUCAUUUGCCUCAAAAACCACUGCAAAAAUAUGUCUAAGUCCCCAAGAAGUCAAUAAACAUCCUGCUCUGGGUUUCCUUUUCAUAUUUAUUUUUCCAUAUUUUAGUGUCAUAUGUAAGAAAUUGGCUAUGCUCAGCAUUCAGUCCGAAGUCAUAAAUAAACAAAUUAAAAAGGAGUUGUCCAAGAAAUUAAACUUGUGGAACGCAAUUUACAACUUUAGCCAGCUUGAAAAUGUUCCAUUUAUAACAACUUUAUUCACUCACUUUAUUUUCUUCAGGAUUUUAUUCAUGUUGAAAUAUUUUCCGUUUCUCUCCUAUCAUAUCCUAUAUACUCUUACACUAUAACAUUCUGUGUGGCGUUCUACAAAAAAUAAAACAUCUAAGCAAACCACAUCCAGUAUAUUUUCCUGGUCUCCAUUCCAUAGAAAAUUCAUUAUCACAAGGUCAGACUUGCAGGUUUGUAUAUGCCAGUUUGGAAUCUGGACCUAUUCUAAAUAACUGUUUAAACCAGGUUACUAUCAAUCCUUUGCCACCAAAUAAAUCAGCCUGUGUUCACCGUGGUGAAAAAUGAAAACUUUCUACGAUUUUACUUCAUAACACAUCUUUGAUUGGGUAUAGAGUACAUUAUUUAUUACUUAUUUACAAUGCAUAUUUGAUUGAAAACAGGUUUGACCGUGAAUACAAAAAAAUUAUAAUAAUUACACUGCGUCAAGGUUACCUUCCUACAGCUUCUCUAGCUGACCAAAGAAUUUGUCAGCAAAGUGACCUCUGAGAUCCCUGUAUCGGUGGCACACUUAUAAAACUUUAUGUAGGCUGGCUGUGGGUUAAAUCCUGAUUUGGCCCACUGGAUUGUUGCUUGUCUGUCUGUUGCUAAUGGAUUGUUGCACUUUAGUGCUGCCCUCACAACUGUUGCUAAGCUUCUAAGCAUUUUUUGCCCUAUUUUUGGGCCAGUGGGUGUCAUCCUUGCCCAGAAAGAAAGGAUCAUCUACAAUUAAUUGCUUGCCCUAUCAGCAAUUGGGACCAGCAACAUGAUUGACAAUGCUGGCCCAGCACCAUACCUCCCAGGUGCCCCUAUUUUAAUAGGUACUGUCCCUAUUUUGUUCCCAAGUUACUCUGUCCCCCUUUUCUAUCCCAAAUGUCCCUCUUUUCUAGGAGUUCCAUAUUGCUGGUGUGUCUGAGUGUAGAACAGAGCUUCACAGCAAUAAUACUCACAGUAUUGUGUCUUUAAAUCAUAAUACAUGUGUUUAUAAAUCAGUCUGUGUAAAUAACAUACAUUGUUUAUGUUCUAAAUGUAACUUUAGCUGCAUAACUUGUUAUUAGGCAGUCAUCUAAUAAGUCUCAGAACCGCUCUGCCCCAGCCCACACCCCUAAAAUUAAAGUGUACCUCUUUGUUGAUUUGAAAUGUUGGGAGGUAUGAAACACUGAAAGAUAGCAUAAACAUUACAACCAUAUCUUCAUAUUUUUGACUUGACAAUACACUAUAUUGAUAAUGGAUUUCAUUAUAAUGAAUGGAGAAAUUGAUCUUUAAUCCAAUCUUCAGAACAUUAAGUAAUUAAAAGUGACUGUUUCUCUACUCAAUAAAUAGGCUUUGAUUUGAAUAUGUAAAUUAUGUUUCUGAGAACCAGAGUCAGUCAAAAAGAAGCAAAACAAUGGAGGUUUCAGAGGUAGUGUGGUUUCUGCAAAGUAAAAAAAAAAAAAAAAAGAAUAAUUGAAAAGGCGGUCUGCUCAUGGGUAGGACAUUAUUUUACAUGAGCACUGUGUAUGUAUGCAAUUACUUCCUGGAGACAGAUUCUGCAAAUGUCAAGACAACCUGUUCAUGUGUGGACACUGAAAUCUCCCAUCUUGAUUUUAAUAGGGGCUUUGUAGAUGAUGAACAGCCAACAUUAGUUCCAACCUACUGUUCUUGUAGCAGAAAGAGAAGAGAAUGAAGGUCUUCGACAAUGUAAUGGACGCAGUAGAAUCCCCAAUCUUCUUGUUAACAUACAGAGAUUCAAGGACCAUUGUGACACAGUGCAGGUGAUGAAGAGAGAAACCACACUCAAUUUCAGUAGACAUCAUAUGCAAUGAGGCAGGACCAGCCAAUUCCACAACAAUUAGGCAAACAGGAAAAAAGUCUGCAGGCACUCUAGGCAGUGGUGUAUCUUGGUUUUGUGCUACCCUAGGCAUUUGCCCUGGGCAUUUGGGGGGCGGCGUUUUGCCGCCCCCUGAAAAAUGCCGCCCAAGGCAAAUGCCUUGUUUGCCUCGCGGCUAAUACGCCCCUGACUUUAGGUGUUUAAACUAUAGGCAGGUUUAUUGGGUCAAGUGAUAAAACAGCAAUGUUGUGACCUACCACAAGGUCUUUAUCAACCUCAAGUGACUGAGUGACUAUCAAAUAAUAUAGACCUCCACUGACACUCUUGAACUUGAAUCUAUUUCUCUUUGAAUAUUUACUGCAGAUAUUAUGUAUUAUAAAAUAUUAUAGAAUAGAUUAUUGGUGUUAUCACAAAAAUUCUCAAAGAGCUUAGCUGAGUUUGCUCCCCAAAGCAUAAAGAUUCAAUUCUUCAUGUUCACAUUACUUACCAUUUCCAAAAUGAAUCAGCUAUCGCUGAGAUACCUACAAGAAAGGUCAUGAUGUAUAGCCAAAGCCUCUAUUAACUAUAUUCUACUCCAAACGUAUAAAGGAAUGAUAUACAAUGUUCUAUUACUUUUCAAAAUAAAAAUAGGGCCCUAAGGCUCCGGGUUGAAGACUGUGCAAAAAGGGUGUUGAUAAGAAGAAAUGCUUAUAAUUGCUUUAAGAAUAAAAUCAUAAUCCUAAAAACAAAACAAACAAACAAACAAAAAAAGCAUUAUUUGAGUUCUGAAGGCUUUACGCAUGGAAGAACAAAUAAUUUGGCUGGAAUCUUAUUUCAUUUUUCAGCUUCAACACAUAACCUACACACAAUAAUAAAACACACCAUUAAUGUGCCACAGUCUAUGAGCCACUGUUUUACUCACACCAAGAGCCACUGACUAUAGCCUGCGGAGACUGGCGUUUUCAUUUCAUAUCACUCAACUCAGUCUUCUUAGAGAAAAGCUUUUAACAACCACAUCUGGUCAGUGCACUUUGUCAUCCUGCCAAAACUCCUCCUUUAUCUAGCUUACAUCUUUAUGAUGAGAUAGGAAAUCACACGUUACGCCAGUGACAAACAAUUGUAAUUAAGCUAUUAUUAGUCAUUUAGUCGACAAAGGUUCUUGAAAAGAAAAUGUAGCACACAACAAGAAAUACGGGAUAAUACAUUGAUCGCAGUCCUAAUCCGCUUUCAUUUCACAAGUGUAAAACACUGGCAUAAUUCACUCCACAGCAGGCAAUAACAGCAGUUCGCUCUGAACUAUACAGAGAUUCUGUACUGUAUCUACUUAAAUAAGAAAUAUUAAAAAGUGGGGGUUAGAGCGGUAAGUGCUUGAUUGUAAGAAAUGGCUGUAGUUGACUUCUGAGGAAGGCAGAUCUGCUGAAAUAUUUAACCCAUUGCAUUUUAUACUACGUGUCGUUGAGGACAGUAAUGAUUUUUUUUUCUCUUCUGUCUAAUAAAUAGCUAAAUAUCAUUACAUGUAUUUUUACUAUUAUUAUAUUUUUUAUAUUUUGUAGAAGCCAUUGUCAGUUUAGUAUCCCAAAUGCAAAAUUAUGGUGUAUUGCAGUAUGUUUAUACAGUGAUUUAGUGUGCUAAUAGAAAUCUUGUCAUGGCACGUUUCUUUGGAGAUGCUGUGUUAAUAAUGUAAGAAACGUUUUGGACUUGACAAGAAAACAUCUCAAGAAAGCUUGCUGUUCCAAAAUGUUACUCCAAUAAAAAUGUUACUGCAAAACUCCACUAUUUUGUAUCUGCAUCAACGAGCUGCACCGCCUAAAUAAAAAAAAGUUAGAUGUAACCAAAUUUGUCCAAAAUUUUUCAACUAAAAUGAAGCACAAUUAAGCAAACUAUUAUAUUACAGUAAAAACUGUAAUAGAGGUAACAGUGUAGAAAAUGCUAACGGUGAUCCUUGUUAAAAUAUUCUAAGGUGUCAAAGUCAACUACCUAUCAAUAGGUCAUUGAUUGAGCACCGGAAACGCAAGGGUGCUCUUAAAGUGGUCUGUAUCUGAUAUUUGUGCACACAAUUUAGCUCACCCACCGAACCACCAGGGACCCAACACACACUUUACAGGACCACGAGGGAAGAUAAGCUGGGGAAGCAAAACAUUCACUCAACCAUACUUAGAGUCGCCUACACGCACAAAACUCAGCCACUACACACACUACUGUCACUAACACAACGUUCAGUCAUUACUCACAGAAAUAGAGCCAAGGCUCAAGGGGGAGGUGGGACCCAAUAUAGUACUCUGCCUAGGGAACCUUAAUCCAACUCUGUAUGCAAAUAUUGCUUGCUGGCAUUUCAGACCUGGUCUGCCUUUAUGGGUAGAAUCAGUCUGCUAGUAUCAAUCCGAUGCAAAUAGUUUAGGUGCUCUCUGUAAUGGCACAAGCGAACAAAAACUGUUUUGAGUGGGAACUUACUGAAGGAAAAGCUACUAAGUGUCUGCCUGUGUUCUCAUAUUCUCUGUUUUUGCUUCUAAUGGAAAUAGGGGCAGAUUAUAAGAGGACAGUGAUUGGCUGCGGGAUGGAAUCAACUCAACUCAAACUGAUCUCUCGCUAGCUGAGCUAAGUAUGUACUAAGAGUACUUAUAAUAAGGGAGUUGCUCUGUGAGAAGAGGAGGUAUGGCUAAAAGGGGUGGGCUACGCAUCAGGAAGCUGCAAACAGUUUUUUUUUUUAACUAAAGAGAUUUGUACAGGGUGAAAAAUUGCAGCAUGAAUAUAAGGUCAAAAUCUAUAAAAUUCACUUAAGUUGAGUUUGUUGCUGGAGUUUGUCUAGAGCAGGGGUGCCCAAAAGGUAUAUCUCCAGAUGUUUUAAAACUACAGUUUCCAUGAUGCUUUGUCGUUCUAAAGGCAUUUUAAAAGCAUGUAAAGCAUCAUGGGAGUUGUAGUUCUACAACAUCUGGGGAUCUACCUUUUGGGCACCCCUGUUCUAGAGUAACUAUUUAAUGGUCUGGUAGACCCACGGACAACUCUGGGUUUGGCCAAUGACAAAAGAAUGCUCCCUGCCUGACUGCUUUUUGCCAGACAGUUUCUUAAAGGAGAAAUAAUAUUGGAGCUGAUUUUUAUUAUGGCUUACGAAGCAACUUUGGUGAAUGGGUCAUCCCCCUGCAGUCUCACAGUUCAAUUAUCUGCCAUGUAUGAGUGAAAUCCCUUUGUUUAUGCAGCCCUAGUCACACCUCCCUGCAUGUGACUUACACAGCCUUCCAUAAACACCUCCUGUAAACAUAGAUUUACUGUUUAAAGGGACACUUUAGUCACCCAGACCACUUCAGCUCAAUGGAGGAGAGGUCACCAGCGCCGAGGGAGCCUGGCGCUGGAUUAAGGUAAGUGGCUGAAGGGGUUUUAACCCAUUCAGCGCCACGGGAGGGGCAUCUUGAGGGUGGGGGCAACCUCAGGGCACUAUAGUGUCAGGAAAACCGCUUUGUUUUCCUGACACUAUAGUGAUCCUUUAAACUUUCUUUAUUGCACAUUCUGUUUAAACAGAAACAAAGUUUUAACUUUAAUAGUUUUAAUUUAACUCAGAAAUGGCAGAGAAUUGAACAUUUACAAUGCAGGGGCAUGAUCCAUACACUACAACUGCUACAAUGAGAUAAAGUUGUUUUGGUGCCUAUAGUGUCACUUUAAGUUAUAAUCCUUACUUCUAAUGGACUGACAUCUUAAUGAUGCAGUGUACAAUAGCAAUUCUCUUUUUUCAGCUUUCCUGUUUAAUCAUAACAAUGCCGCCACACACAAUCCAGAGUUGAACCAGGAAAACAGUACAGAGUACGGUUCUACCUAAAGCCUCUACAAUAAGGUUAUUUUUUUUUUUUUCCUAAAACAUGUUCUGGUCUCAAGAUUUUCACAUGUUUUUAAAACACAGGGUUGUGCAUUGCAAUCCACACAAGACCACAGGAUACUGAUCAAUUCAUAGAAAAAUGAUAUAAUGUAGUAUGAUCAGGAAUCUUUACAAGCUCUGAUUGUGGCAAAAUAAUUUAGUUAUCUUCACAUUAGAUAAAUUUCUGUAUUAAAACCAUCUAAAUAAUACAACUCAUCGACUUUGUCUCAUCAACCACAAUGUAGUAAAAAAGAAAAUCUAUUCUCAAAUAGGGAAAGUGUAUUCAGUAUAUAAUCCCUCUCCUCUGUGAGGUAUUAUACUCAAAGGAUUUCACAAGUGGAGAUUAGCAUGCUCUUUAUGUCUCAGACUCAAAUUACAGAGCCUGGAACUUGCAGUGAGUGAAAUUCUACUGUAUCUAUGUAAUAAUUGUAGGAUUCUAGGACAGAGUGCCUGCAAGCAUUCUUUUGGUAAGCACUGAAAAGAACCACAGGGGGAUUUAGUGCUAUCUUAGGGAGAGAAAAAUAAAAUGGUUAAUAGUGAAAUUUACCAUGAGUUUUGCCAUAUAAGGCUACUCGUUAUAUCACCUUACUGUCUGUUAAAGGACCACUAUAGGCACCCAGACCACUUCAGCUUAAUGAAGUGGUCUGGGUGCCAGGUCCAUCUCGGAUUAACCCUUUUUUUUCUAAGUUUCAGAGAAACUGCUAUGUUUAUAAUAUGGUUAAGCCAGCCUCUAGUGGCUGUCUCUUGACAGCCGCUAGAGGCGCUUGCGUGCUUCUCACUGUGAAAAUCACAGUGAGAAGACGCCAGCGUCCAUAGGAAAGCAUUGUAAAUGCUUUCCUAUGAACUGGCUGAAUGCAUUCACGGCUCCUGCCGUGCAUGCGCAUUCAGCCGAUGACGUCGCUAUGGAGUGCGAGAGCUCCGCGCCCGUCGCUGGAGAAAGGUAAGAUUUUAACCCCUUCCUCUCCGCAGAGCCCGGCGAGUAUGUUUUCCUGGCACUAUAGUGGUCCUUUAAAACCGCCCAUAACUGGUAACAUUUCCAAACAGUUAAAAACACCCAUGCCCGGUAAAAUUUGCCCAUGUUUCUACUGAUAUGGGAUGAAAAUCAAUCAGUUACAGUGUAGUAUAGUGACUUGGACCAGUGCAAGAAUUUCUGGUACUCUAAGCAAAACUACAUAUUGCAGCUCCUUGAAUGUAGAUUGUCAUGGUGCCACUUUGUAACAGGACAUUUGGUAAGAGGCCUGGCAGAAUUUAACAUACAUAUCUUGUCAGAAAGAAUUCAGUUGGCAUUAAAUAUUUCAGUUUCAAAAUAUAAAUAUAUCACUAUUGUACACUUUACUAGUACGGUGGAAAUUGUGAUCAGAAUUAACCAGUAAAAGUAAUAACUUAUUUGAUGACACACAAAAGCACAGAUGGUGAAAAAGACACUCUACGAAACAUAAACACCACAGCACAGUUUUGUGGUCACAUUACAUUGUUUUCGGUCAGUGUUUGUAAGUGAUUUGAACAGCUGAUCUACUACAGCACCACAAUUAAUACAUAAUUCUAGAAUAAUAAUGUCAAUUUCAUACAGCCUGGGUGGUAUUGAUACAAUCCAAUCACCGAUGUCCAGGUUUAAUGAAAUUUUCAUUGAUACUGUGUAAGUAUUGCCUUUUAUAAAGCGGUUUCUGAACAGUCAAAGAGAAAACUGGUGAAUGAUGCCAAAAAGACUCUACGCAACUUAAUGACUACAUUGUACGGUAAAAAAUGAAAAAAGAACAGUGGGAAAGUGUAGUAAAUUAAUUAAUUUGAAAAAAUACAAAAGGAGCAUAAAAUGUCAGGAAGGAAAAACUGCAAAUAUUUGGGCAAUUAGGAAAAAAUUAGGAAGAAAUUAUAGAUUUUAGGGCAAAAUAGGUACGCUCAAAAAAUAGUUCAGGUGGAGAUUUCUUAUAAUGCAUCUGGUUCAUCAUGAAAUAAUGCUCCAGAUCUAGAGGCGUGACUAGAACCCACAGGGCCCCUGUGCAAAAAUUGCCUUGUUGCCCCCCCCCACACAUACAUACAGACACACAGACAGACAUACAUACAGACAUACACACACACAUCACACACAUACAAACACACACACAUACAUACAUACAAACACACACACAUACAGACAAAUACAAACAGACACCCUCCUGUUUCCUACCUCUUCUCCUUCCUCCUCUGGCACAGCUCCUGGUGAUUGCUGGGAGGAGUGACCGGGGCUGUCACUUCCUCCCAGCGUCUGACAUCAUCACAGGGGGCCUGGUCCCAUUGUUAAAAUGCCGCAGCGCUGAUCGGGCCCCCUGGAAAUGAAUUGCCAUUGGGUGGCCAUAACAGCACGGGCGGUUAUACCGUACAGGCCAGGGCCGUGUUACAUAACUAGGGGUCCACAGGGCGGCUGGGCCUCCUGGAGUGACGGGCCCGAUCGCAGCUGCGACCGCGGUAGUUCCCCCUCUGCUCCAGAUGUAUUUGAAGUGCAUUCCAAAGAAGGAAUGGGAAAGUAUUUUGGAAAACAACACACCUUGCAACCAUAGAUCGUCAGUCAAAAGGAAAUUAUGAAAUAACCUGUGACAAACUCCCCUUCCCACGUGAGUUUGCCACGAGCUCCUGGAGGAGCUUGCUUGACAGCCGCCUGGCCACAGACUAUGGGCCCUGCAGGGAAACCCGUAAAAAACUACCGAACUUGACUGACCGUUAGCAAUGAUUUCAUGGAACUGUUUUGGGCAUAGGACCAUGUGCAAGGUUGGUCAAAUUAUGACUUCCAAGAAAUUCCUGAACUGAUCUGGGUCAUUUUUGGAUAUGUUGAUCACCCAGACCAGGGCUAUCAAGAAGAAAGAAAGGCUGCGCCAAAAAGAGAAUAAUAAAAAUACAAAAAAUUUAAAAAAUACAAUAAAAAAUAAAAAUAAAUAGUCCCAAUGAAAUAUCAGAGGUUAAAUUGACUAAGUCACUGUAUUCGCUGGUGGAGUGUCUUCUAUGUUUCUAGUAGUUCAAAUCGUCUCGUGAUAUGGAAGACACAAGAAGAGAGGACCAAUCGUGCAGAGUGUAUAAGGUGAAUGUUAAAUAAAUUAAAAUAUAAAUAUUACACUCACAUCUGGAUGAGCUAUGGCCAGCUCAGGUAUAACAGGCAUAUGGCGGAAUAAUCCCCGCUUAUAGGAUAUGUAGAUGCUUGUCCUCCAGAAGGUGAUGAUGUCCAACUCUCAGGGGAAGAGGAGAAUAAAAACAGCUAAUAGUUCUCUCUGAUGAUAUAAUGCAAUAGUUGAUAAAAUAAAAUAAAAUAAAAUAUACUCACAAAUGGAGUGCAGGCGUCACUGCACUGUGGUAAUAGCGUUGGUGGUAUAAUCCCCACCUCAGGAUAAGUUUUGGAAAAUAAAUAAAAUGCCAGGAAGAAUAAAAAUAAAAUAGCGUGUAAAAAGAUAAUGGCGCAGAAAUCUAGCCAAAAAUCAUUUAUUAUAUAAAAUACACAAUAUUAUAAAACCAUUAAUCAGGGGAUGUAACUUUUGUGGGGUUUUUACGUAUUUUUAGGGUACUUUUGGGGUGUUUUGAAAAAAGUAUGUUUUUUCUGUGCUUGGAGAUAAUUAGAUUAGAUUAGUACAGCUCCUGAUCCAAUUAUCUCCCAGGCACAGAGGAGGAUUAUCUGACUUUGUAUGGGAGUGUCCUGGACCUGAGAGGCAAUGUAAUUGUGUAUUUGUUUCUACUGUGGUUUACUCUCAGGUCCAUGGGGGAGUGCCCCUUGCAUGGGGACAUGCAUAUAAAUCCAGUUGUGGGUUAUUCAGUAAAGCGAGAAUUCAAAGGGAAUUUUUACUUAAGACCAAAAUAGCCAAACUGGAAAAAUUCUCUAAGUCAGCUGAGCUUUCAGAUUGGCUACUCUGGUCUUAAUUUUAAAUUCACUUUAAAGUCACUUAAAAUAGCACUUUAGUAAAUGACCCUGUGUUGUAUUCAUUUAGGACAAAAAAGCAAAGAACGUGAAACAAAGAAUAGAGCAAUAGUCUGUUGGGUGUCUGACAAAGUAGCAUCUACAAUUUUAAAUAUUAGUAAUGAAGAUAAUUUAUUUAGUGUUGGGAAGGGCAGAACGUAAAAUUCUCAAGAAGGCUGAAAUUAGUCUAAAAAGACGGAAACUAUACAUGUUUCUUCGUAGUUAACCUUUCCAAACAUCGUUUCUCUUCCUUUGCAACAUUUUUAGUUUUCUAAUAUCCUUUUCUCUUAUCUCUUGUAGGCAGAUAAAUGGCUUUGGGAGCUUUCACCAAUCAGCUAGAAUUGGCAGGCCACACAAGUGAAAGUACCAAAAAAAGAAUAAAGGUGAGUUACUGACACCUCACCACAAUGGUGUGGGAGAUCUUUAAUUUCUGUGGAAAAAGCACUAGAGUAUAUAAAUAUAUCCACAAGUUUAACCACAUAAUGAUUCAUCCUGAAAGUGUACUAAUUGAUGAAAAAGAAGACACUACUCAAACAUGACCAGUUGUGGCAAAUAUCACAAUGCACUCAUAUUGAACCAAAUCAUGAUGUAAUAUCUACUUCCCACUGAAGUUCACCUCUAGAAUACACAGAAGAAGUGAAACUAACCAUUGCAAAUGCUGUGUGAUAAAUAAAACAUGGCAAAGCUAUUUAUCCUUGGUUUUCUCAGCAAUUGAGUUAAAGGGUGACUCUAAACACUUUCAUCAUUGUAACACUUAAUUAUCGUAUCAUUCCAUAGAGAACCUGUCUUUCUUUCCAGAAAAUCUUACAACUGUGGCAAACUAAAAAAUAGUGUUCCUAUGAAACUCCACUGUGAUGACAGAAAGAAUUGUAGUUCCUCUUUGGAUGUCCAAGGACAGGACAUCUUGUCCCUCGUCUCCCUAAGAUGAUAAUUCCCUCAAUGCAUUCAGCAGUUCCAGCCACCCUACGCAAUAAAUGAAACUGCAUGUGGGAGGUAUAUAUAUAUAUAUAUAUACCCUAAAACCCUGCUGGACAUGCAUUUAUGGGACACAAUAGAAAAAUCCAGACCAGAAUCAUAGGUUUCUGAUUAGUGGAACAUCUUGCUAGUCUGGAAUGGGUCCGCCUGCUACAGCAUUUACAUGAAGUGAUACUAUUUUAGGACCUAGUGCACUUGCUCGACAAGCACUGCAACUGCAUUAGGACUUCCCUAUAGGAAAGCGUGAAGCAAUGUUUUCCUAUGGGGUUUAGCUGACGCUGGAUGCCCACAUGCAAAGCGUGAAGCGCCAUUUCACAGACCAAAAGUCUGCUUAGGAACCAGAAAUGCCUCUAGUGGCUGUCUAGUAGACAGCAACUAGCGCUAGUGGAGUAAACCCUGCAAGGUAAUUAUUGCAGUUUCUCAAUAACUGCAAUAAUUACAACUGCAGGUUUAAGGGGACAGGGGAACUGCACCUAGACCACUUCAAUGCGACAAAGUGAUCUGGGUCUCUAUAAAGUCCCUUUAAGCUUUAUAUUAUAGAGCAGCUUCCUAAGCUUUUAAAAACACAACCUGAACAGAAUCAAGGUGCAAAAUAUCAGCUGCCCUAGUCAUUGAAUAUGUCAAUAACAAUGUAUGUAUUAUAAUGUAUGUAUUAAAAAAAAUGAUAUAUUCUGAAAUACCAGCUUUUUUCAUUAAAUCAGGUUCUUAAAAUAAUCAGCAUAACAUACUAUCCUUUAAUGUUAUUUGUAACAACUGUGCCAACUUUCACAGAAAUAAACUGGCAUUUUGACACUGGGAACACGAGGUUCUUCUUGAUACAUCUGUUUCACCUGGCAUCAGUGCCAAGCAAAAGAAUCCGAGCAUUUACAUGAGCUGUACCCCCGUACCCCUCCUCCUCCUCCAGGGUACACAUAAAUAAACAAGGAAGACCUGAUGUUUGCUUGCAGUGUGAUGACAGAUUGUAAUAAUUUUAGGUAAUGUGUUGUUUUCCAAUGCUACAAUAUGGCAGAUCUGAGCAUUUUUCUAGAUACAGAACUUAUAUUAAAUUAAUGCAAAGAUACAUCUGUCAAAAAACACUACUUAUUUUUUAAAAGAGAUAUAAAGUUUAUUCUCGUUUUGCCACUUUUUGUAAGUUUUUAAAGUUGAUCUUGUUACCUUUGAGAUUCUACUUAUGCAUUUAAUGCAUAGUUCCGUAAGAUAAGCCUUAAAGGACCACUAUAGUGCCAGGAAAACAUACUCGUUUUCCUGGCACUAUAGUGCCCUGAGGGUGCCCCCACCCUCAGGGUCCCCCUCCCGCCCGACUCUAGAAGCGGGAAAGGGGUUUAAACUUACCUUUUUCCAGCGCUGGGUGGGGAGCUCUCCUCCUCCGUUCCGCCCCGUCGGCUGAAUGCCCACGCGCGGCAAGAGCUGCGCGCGCAUUCAGCCGGUCGCAUAGGAAAGCAUUAUCAAUGCUUUCCUAUGGUCGCUGGCGUGCUCUCACUGUGAAAAUCACAGUGAGAAGCACGCAAGCGCCUCUAGUGGCUGUCAAUGAGACAGCCACUAGAGGAUUAGGGGGAAGGCUUAACCCAUUCAUAAACAUAGCAGUUUCUCUGAAACUGCUAUGUUUAUUAAAAAAUGGGUUAACCCUAGCUGGACCUGGCACCCAGACCACUUAAUUAAGCUGAAGUGGUCUGGGUGCCUAGAGUGGUCCUUUAAGAAAAACAUAUUUUGAUAAAGUGUAUUAGUUCUAGACGUGCAGUACUUAGUAGUAUUAGUAUUAUUUGACAUAAGCAAAGUUGUAAAUGAGUAUUGGUAGAUGUAAGUCCUGUAUUUACUUGCUCUUCCUACAAAAGGAUUAUGAUCCUUCUUAUAUAUAGUAGAAAAAAAACUACACAAAAUUGUAGAACAUUUAUUAGGGAAUUACACAUAUUAGGAUGUUUUUAGCAGAGAUGGGUAAUUUAUUUUUCCUUGUUCAAGUAUUUGGCUAGAAAAAUUGCAAUGCCCUUAUCAAUUCUCCUUGAUCAUUUCAGUAUAUACAUCCCCUACUUUCGUUUCUUCAGUUUUUUUCUAGAUUAAAAAAAAUAUGCAUAAAAUAAGCCAUAGCAAAUCUCCUAUAUGUAGUUAUGAGAGACCACAGUCUACGAUUACUGUCUAUAUUUUGAUGGCUAGUGAACGGGUUAAAGUCUGUUAAGAUGAAUCAUAAGCUAACAACCUUGUACACUGCAAUAACUUCAUGUAACUUAGUCAUGCACACUACCCUAUCCUUACACUCCCUUUAUUAGAGACCCCAUCAAUAAUGCCCCUUACAUAUGUUUGAGAGCUAUGAAUGGCUUUACCAUGCUAUUUACACAAGCUUUUCAUGCUGUUAGUUAAUAGUUGUUGAUAUUUGAUUGUUAAUUAAUGAAACUCCUCCUAGACUCCCCUUAAUUAUGUUUGCCUUAUAAACUUUGUUCUGGUUAAUAAACAUUGGGUAUUUUCUGAACUGACUCCUUUGUACGGUCAGUCAUUGAGUGUCUCCGAGAUCUCGGGGCUUGGUACAGUCUGGAUAGAACUAUAAGGCCAUGGUACGGAAUUCUGGGGAUCACCAAGGAUAAAUGGUCCAACAGCUUGGGAGAGAAAGUUCUGUGGAAUCUAAUCUGCCAUCAUAUUUUGAGUGUUGGAUGCCAGUUUUUUGUUGUUUUGUUUUGGCAACCUGUUUGAAAAUGUAUUAGUAAGGAACCUGAUGGCAUUUGUAGCAAUGUAGUUUAAAAAAAUACCAACAGAAUGGCCUAAUGUCCUAAAAUGUCCUAAUGUCAUAAAAUGUCUUAAUGCCCAUAUAAAGUAGUCCUUGUACGGGGGGCAAAGCCUAAGCCUCAUGCUGACCAGACAUGUACCGGGCGAGCUCCCGCUUGGCUCACCGAUUGUUGGGGGUAAUCACCAACCACUGCACCCAAAUCGGAGUGAUUCCACACAGUCUAAACUACAGGCGACUGGGCUGGGGAAGGAUGGCCAUCUUCCCCAUUCUCAAUUUACCUGCUCUGACCCCCCCCAUGGACUGGCGGGGGUUAUCCCAGUCCCUUCAGGGCUAAUCCAUACAGUUCUGAUGCAACUACAGAGCACAUACCCAAGCUUGCCAAAUGACGGGGAGGCCUUCCCUGACGGCACAGAGCCUGACACUAUCCUGUGCUAAAGUAAGCAGUGUCACGGUGUGUCCCUUGCUGAGACUGGAGGCAAUAUUCCAUGACUUAUGGGCCCUACUGGAAAGGUGCUUGCUGCCUAAAGAUCAAGUCUGAGGACGAAAUCUACUAUCUAGCAGACCACCUCAGGGAGACAAGCAACAGCAGCAUCAAGCACCACUCCAGCAGACAAACCCAAGCCGUGCAACAUCAUGGGCUUGACCCGCUUCAGUUUGCCGAGAGGGAGGAGGUUGGCAGUCCAUCAGCUUCGACGGCACAAAGCCGCACUUCAUCACCCGCUGUUGGCGGGAGACCACACUUAAACACAGGCGGUGGCGGAGAGUCGCACUCCAGCUUCUGUUCCAGUGGAGAUCUUCGAGCCAUCUGCAUCAGCAGAAGCAUCUGUGGACUUUACAGACCCGGACUUUCAGUGUUUGAGCCCGCAAUGUGGAGAUACCGACUUAUGGCCAAGUCUGGAGAUGUGAGGAUGCCCUGAACGGAUAUUGCCAAGCUGCAACCCCCUGUGGACUGCGGUAUUUUACACUAGGCCUGCCGAUACUGGGAGUAGGCUGACGCCUCAACCUCAACAGAAAACAGGCCCACUACCCAUGCAUGUGAUCCAGUGAGAGUCCCAGAGGCAAUGUUGUUAUGUUUUAUGUUGUUCCUUUCUAUUUAAUUGCUCAGCCAAACCUCCUAAUACUCUUUUUAUGUUAUGCGGACCAUGCGGACCAUAUGGAGCUAUAAGCCUAAAUUCCAGAUCAGCACCAGUAGUAUCAAUGUUGCUAGACUAGCCUGUUUCUUAUAUGCCUAAUCUUAGGUGCCUCUAUCUGGCACAGUCAACAUUCAUGUGAUUACCUAGUUCAUUAAUACUUUCAUUUUUUCUUUUAUAAAUAAAUAUGCAGCCUUCUCGUACCUUUUUUCAGGAUACCCUUAUCUGUGGCUUUACCUGUGUUACCUAUGUACAUUAUCGUAGGGAAACAGUAAAACAGUUAGGUAACUUGCACAUUCAUAAUUUUUCAAAGUGGUAAGCAUGUUAGGUUAGCGUUUUUAUCAGUGUUAGACCUCAACAUGUGUAGCUGUUAAUCAAGGUUACACCUUGUAUAGUUAACUAGGGUGAGAUACAAAAACAUCUUAUUUUGCCAUGGAGUGGGAACCAGACUACACAAAACAUGAGAAACAGAUGCAACUGGGUAGGACAGUGUGUAAAAAAGUAGAAAAAGUGGGUGUCACCACAACUGCUAAAGUGUGGUUUGUAACCUUCUAGAUCAUCAUGUUUAACAUUUAACAUUUAACAUUAGUAGGGCCCAAUCAUCAGGGGUGGAGGUGGGGGGGCGUACGGGUCUGUUUCACAGGUAAAAACAUAACCUCUGUACACUGAAAUUUACCUGGUCAUCAACAUUGAGGCUCCCCCUGCUAGGUUUGUGUGCUAAUCAGCCAGUUCCCCAUAAGGUAGGUAGGACAAUGACAGGCAGCAGUUUUUUAAUUUAUUUUUUAUUGCUGUUUUAUACCUCUAGUGUCGGGCCUCCUCCUUUCUCCUAAAGGAGUUGCCUAAAGCCCAUUCUAUAAGUGUAUGCAUCGCCUAUAGUGAGAUAUCGCUGGGAAUGCGUGUUAUGUGUUUGUCUCGCUGAAGACUAUCAGGGGCUUAUGAUUGAGAGCAACGAGUAGGAAACCUUUGCAUUGUGGUUUAACUUGUUCACACAAAGGGUAGCAUCAGUAGGAAAUCAGGGGAACUCCUGGCUCAAUACUAGUCUGCCCGCGCCGUGGGAAUCGCAUAGUGGGUUUGCCUCAUGUUAUUGGUAGCGAGCCUGCCAAUAGAGGGGAGAGUAUCAUAAACAUAAAAAUUUAAAUUAUAUUAUCUUUCAAAGCCUUGAGGUGGUAAAGUAAAAUGAUCUGGGUUUAACACAAGUCUGCAUUGGCUAGCGUCCAUGUGAGUCCCGGUUGUUGGCUGCACAAGUUCAGGUGGUUGCAGCCGCAUAAGAAGGUGCUCCAUCGUGGAACAAAUGGGGGAUGCUCGCGGGGUCCCAGGAGUUAGAGGCCGUCGGUUUAGGUUGCAUGUCUCGGGUAAAUGCUUCUAGGGGUAGCCCCAGGGAGGGUAGUAGUCCGGCAGCCUCUUGGAGGUUGUGGAUGGCGUGCGGAGUGGCUCCAUGAUGUACCAGCAAUGUGCGGGAGAGCUUCCACUGGUAGCAGACAUUUUUCUGUUGUAGGAGCGCAGUGAAUGGCCGGAGCCUUUUCCCUCCACGCCAGGGUGCUCCCUGAGAUGUCGGCGUAGACAGUGAGGGGCAUAUUCUCGAAAUGAUAAGGUUAGUGCCGUUAGGACCGCAGUUUUGUCUGACCCGCUUCUAAAAUGGACUACCAGGUCCCUGGAGGCUGUGUUCAGGGCCCUGAUGGGUUUGGGUACUCAGAAUAGGCCCUCAACCACCACUGAUUUAGCCUGUUGGGGUUGUAGUAAGGCCCCUAUUAGGCGCCUCACAAAGUGUGGUAGCUCAGUGUCCGGUAUCUCCUCCGUCACCCCACGCACCUUAAUGUUAUUUUGGCGCCGGGAAUCUUCUUGGGCAGCGAAUCUGCGUUCGUAUAGCUGGUUUUGGUGUUGUAAUUCCUUUACUGUUUGCUGGAGCGACGUUAAUUGUUGGGAGUGCUCCAUAGUGGAGAGUUCGAUUUUCCCGAUGUGGCCUGUGAGGCCUCUCAGGUCCCCGUGGAUUGUAGCUAUGUCCGCUGAGAUGUUUCUCUGGAGCUCGGCCAGCAUCUCUUGUAGGUCAGAUUUAGUCACCGGGGAUGCUGCUGGGUCCUGUGGUCUCCAUUUCGGCACCCAGUGAGUCAUCUUCGGAAAAAUCAGAGCAGCCUCCAGUGAGGGUGGCCAUCUUGGGCCCAGUGGCGCCAUGCGCCUGCCGCCAUAGAUCUCCGAUUGUUAGCCCCAGGCUGGGCUUGUCUGGUCUGGGCUUUUUGGUUUUGCCUCCCAUCUGGAUCUUGUUGGCAAGGGUGGUCCCCUUAAACACUGUGGGUGCAAUUAAAUUGAUAAUUACGUCCGAUUUUGGCUGUCUUGGUGGGGAGCUCUAGGAACGUGCGACCAGUCACUGCAGCAGUCAAGCUCCGCCCCCAACUAUGUACAUUAUCCAUUGUUUUAUGUUGCAUAUCCAAAAUAAAGAAAUACAAAAGAAAAAAAAAGUAGUCCAAGCAGUCCAAAUUACUGUUACAAACAGGGAUGCAACAGAUGAAAUAGAACCUUAUAAAUAAUCAAUUUUCUGUACUGAUUGAUAGAAGCAAGGAUUCUUCCUACUGCUUGUUAGAAUGCAUAAAUAAAGUUCUGAACUCAUUUGUGCACACUGUGUGGGAGAAGGGAUGAGGGGCCUGGCAUUUUUGGUUCCCCUACAGUGAUAUGCACAGGGACACAAUAAGGCUUUGAUGGAGAAAUUAAUUUCUCUGCAGUCUGACUUUUAAUUAUAGAACAAAAAAAAAAUCUGAAUACAUGAUUUGGGUGGUGAAGGGAUUAAAGGAAAAACUACACAUUUUCCCAAAUAUUUUGAAAUCUCACCAAAAAAUAAAAUAUUUUUUCUUGGGGCAAUGCAAAAAAAAACAAAACCUGUUCUGAGAAAUAUAAUGAGCCUAAUAAUAUAUCUACAUUGAUUUUUAAUUCACAGAAAAGCAGGGCACUCACUAAACAUAUCACUGUAUCUGUCCUAAAUUAAAGAAAGCAAAGAUCUUUAUGAAGGAAAUCCAAAUAAUAAAGUAUUUAACCAGGAAAGGUACAUUCAUAUUGCUCUGGUCUUCAAGUACAUCCUGGGGAAUGCAUCCGAACUUUUCUAGUUUCGGCAGGACAGUGCCAAUUUUCAGGUCCUGUCCUGUCCAACUUUUGGGGACACCAGGGAACUGUCUCCAACAAGCGUAGCGCAAGGUCAUCAUUAGAUGUUCAGGGCAUUAUGGUCCUCCAAAUAGCACUGAAACAGAGCUCCCUGCAGGGUCUGCUCAGAGAGCCAGUGGGCUGGCUUUACAUGAUGGACAGGACGCCUUCCCGCCACACUAACCUCUUAGUAAUUCGGGUGGACAUGACCUCAUUACCAUCCUCCCAUCGGUGUGCCUCAGGAUGUCGGACUUGGGAGGUAUGUAACCUGCAGAGCAAUUGUGUUGUUGCCAUAUUUUAAUGCUCUUGAAAUCGCAAGUUGACUGUCAGAAUAAAAUAUUCUGACUUCAGUAACAGGCAAUUUCAGAGUGAUAUGAAGAUGGAGCUUAAAGCCUGCAUGGGUAGUGGAAUCAAUGUUACAGGAAGUGGAACUGGUGAAAAUCUUAAAAAGCAGAAACUUGGAAAGGAAGUGGUCUACACUGAUAAACUGGUCACAUUUUGAAGUAAUGUGAGGGUACUGGUACAGAACUAGAGUAUGAUGUAAUAUGCCUUACUACACAUUGCUGUUUAUAUGAAAGGGUUUCAUAUAAUGACAUUAAAAAAUUAACAUGCAUUUAAAAAAGUAAAUAGGGCAUAGUAGUAGUUGUGUAAAAAAAAAAAAUUGAAUAAACAUUUUUGUCUCUGUGUAUUUAUCAUGGUAGCCUCUUGUAAUGUCAACAAAAACAAACACUCCCAGGGUUAUCUACCAAAGUGAAAACUCAAAGUAAAUUUUGAAUUUAAAGCCAAUUUAAUUAUAGCAUCCGUUUUGACUAUUCUGACCUUAUUUUGAAAUUCACUUUGAAUUCUUACUUUAGUUAAUAACCAUGUAGAAGUUGCAAUAUGUUACCAAAGUUGGAACAUAACACACACACUACCUUGGAAGGAAACCCAAAGUACUUUGGAUGUAAAUGAAUUGAAUUGUAACAGAAUAUUCAGUAGAUGAACAGGUUUCAGCAUUACUAAAUGGUGCUUGUGACAAACCUCCCUUUCCAGGUGAGUUUGCCACGAGCUCCUGUAGGAGCCUGCUUGCCAGCCUCCUGCCCACAGACUAUGGACCAUGUAAAAUGUAAUAUAAAAGUCUCAGUUCGUGUAUUUGGGCUAUAUGGUUCGGAAGCUGAACAGCCGCACAAACUGGAGACCACCCUGGAGCUUGUUAAGCCUAAUUGAUACUUUGUAGCAAUUUCUACCUCAAUGUUCUAAGUGGCCGCAUUUCCUAUGGACAACCACGAGGUGACGGCCAUCUUGUUCGCAUGAACACAGGCAGCGGUGUUUGGUCAUUGAGUUCAUGGAACUGUUUUCGGGACCCUUAGAACUCCCGAACACCGCUGGACUUCCAUGAUCGCCUGUGUUCAGUUCUACAACACUUAGAAAGACACUGUUCAGUGGAAAGGGAAACAAGCUCCAGGGUAAAAACAUUCACUAUGUUCUGUAGUUUUUUUGGUUUUUAAACUGCCGAACUAGACCGAUUGCAAGCCCUGAUUUUCUGGCACUGUUUUGGGCAUGAGACCAUGCGUGUGGUCGCCCAAAUUAUGACUUCCAGGAAAUUCCUGAACCCCUGAACCGAUCUGGGUGAUUUUUGCAUAUGUUGGUCACCCAGAUCGGGCUAUCAGGGGAUGUAACUUUUGUGGGGUUUUAUGUAUUUUUAAGGUACUUUUGGGGUGUUUGGAUAAUGUGUGUUUUUUGUGCUUGGAAUAAUUGAAUUUAAUACAGUGCUUGACUCAAUUAUCUCCCAGACACAGGGGAGGGAUUAUCUUGUUUUGUAUGGAAGUGUCCUGGACCUGAGAGCCAAUGUAAUUGUGUGUAUGUUUUUAUUGUAGUCUAUUCUCAGGGGGGAGUGCCCCUUGCAUAUAAGGCCAGUUGUGGCUGCCAAUAAAUGGAUUCCAGCUUGUACUCCCAGAAUUAUGUGUCAUCUGGUUACUGGGAGGGGAAAGGGCUAAUCUUUAAUCACUGUUACAGUGUGGAGGAUUCAACAGGGAAAGUCAUUAAAAGGACUAGAGCUCCAGGACUGAGUGUGAAUUCUCAAUUUGGCUCCAGGAGGGGGCGGUUCCAGGACCCCAGUCAAGCCACGGCGACUAUGGGCAGAAGUGCUGUGGUUUGUCUCCAGUUUCAGCUAGGAAGUGGUCCUUGACAGUGGUACCCAGUCAGGGGUACAGGGAGGUAAGUUACAGUGCUCAUUUGAACUGACCAAUAACGGAUGAAAGACUCAAUUGACCCUGUCAGGAAUAAGUCGUAUAACCCCCUGAGUCUUGAACAGUUUUUAUAUUUGCUGGAUUAACCAACUGAGAGGAAAUGCAGUAUAGACUCAGGUCUUGCACUAUGCUAUUAUACAGACAUCCUGAAUUCUACAAAUGAUUCCAUACCAUUACACAGAAAAUCGCACUGGAAACACAUUAAUGCACAAAUGUUUCUCUAUGCCAAGAAUGUCAAAGUAUUGUCCCACUUGGCCAUUUCCAGUCCCUCUAAAUACUUUCAUAUGGCCACCCAUCCUAGCUUGACCAAGACAAUCGUUGAAUAGAGAAAUAUGUCUAAAUCCAGUAAUCCAGUUAAUACUACUCUCUGUAUACCACUUUAUGUUCUCGUAUCUCCCAACAUCUCAAAUGGAAAAAGAGGGAUACUUUAUUUGUAGGGGUGUAAGUGGGAUGUGGCCAGGGAUGGGGCUGUUUUUAGGUGACUUAUUGAUAACAAUUUAUGGAACUAAAUUAGAAUUUAGAACAAGAACAAUGUAUCUUAUUUACACAGACUGAUUUCUAAAUACAUUUAUUGUAGUUUAAAGACACAUUACUGUGAGUAUUAUUGCUGUGGAGCUCAGUUAUACACUCAGACACACAAACAAUAUAGAGCUCCUAGAAAAGAGGGACAUUAGGAUAGAAAAAAGGGACAGAGGGAUUUGGGCCCAAAAUAUGUGCUGUCCCUAAAUAAAUAAAGAAUAAAAAAUUUUUAAAAACCCUCAAUAAAGACACUUGGGAGGUAUGUGUUCUAGAUUGAUGGUGGCAGAGUUCAUAUCAGCGUCACAAUAUUCUUUAAUGUGUUUCAUCAAGUUGGUCAGCUUGGUAGUAGCCAGCCUCACUACUAAAGUUCUGACAUUCUACAUUCCCAUUAGUGAUAAUUCUGAUCAAUAGACACAGAACAAGAAAACAGUGUCUACCAAGAGCUCCUCCAUGCUACACAUACGAGGUAAGGAGGAUAUAUCAUGAGUCCGCGUGUAGCUCUAUGUAUCUAGUUGUGUGAAUGGGAGUGUGUACAUGUGUGUGUGUGUAAGCUUCCAACAGAACAGAUGUAUGGAAUUUUACUAAUGUGUGUGUGUGUAUAUAUAUAUAUAUAUAUAUAUAUAUAUAUACACAUACACUGAACAACGUUAUAAAUGCAUCACUUUUGUUUUUGCCCCCAAUUUUCAUGAGCUGAACUCAAAGAUCUAAGACUUUUUCUAUGUACACAAAAGGCGAAUUUCUCUAAAAUAUUGUGUAUAUAUAUAUAUAUAUAUAGUCACAGGUAAAAGUUGAAAUGUAGUGCGCUCUCUUCCCUGGCCAGAGGUAAGUAUCAGGAAACGAGAAAUAGCACAAACUGCAUCACUUACACACACACAUACACUGCAUUCACUAUACAUGCACACACUGUAUCCCUUAUACACUCACUGCAUCCACUAAAUACAAGCACAUUGCAUCCACAAUAUACACUAUAUACUGUGGGGGAUCAAAAUACAAACUAAUAUUUUGUUUUGAUAAAAAAAUUAAGUUUUAACCUUUCUCUUCCUUUGAAAUGCCCUCAAACAGCAGACCCUGUACAUCACUUAGCAAAUCUCAGAAUGGGGGCAGACCUUGUUAUCAGUGCUGGUGUCAAUGGUAGUUGCAUGGGCACCUCUCUGCAACAGAAACACAGCUACCCGUUCACCCACAACGUCAGAGCAAGAAUAAAAAUACCUAUUGCGACAAAAAUGAUAUGAGAGCAAGAAAGGGCAUUAUAUUUUUCAACGCUGAAAAAAUAUUGUUUAUUUUUCAAAUUCAGGUCAACUUACAGCAUGAUUUACCAAAGGGGAAUGCAAUCUCUGAUAAAACAUAAGACUUUAAUGGUCUCACUAACUGAGGGGUAGUCGUGGAGCUUAAUGAAAUUCAAUCACUGAGGAUGUGUGUACCUCCACACAAUAGAUGCAUGUUUGGCUCCAUGGGAUGCUAGCUAUAGAAAAUCUAAGCACUCAUUCACCUUGAUAUUGUGUGAAAACAUUCAAACACAAAACAUGUUAUAACUCAAACUGCAAUUAAUACAUAAAUUCGACAUUUCGUUCCUGACGCCAUAAAAAAAAAAAAAAAAAGAUUAUUUAGUCUUUGUCUAACUUUCUAAUAAAAUGAUCUUUGUUGUUUUUUUGUUGUUGUUGGCAGAUCAUCGCUAGCCACCUAGGAGGUUGUGAAUCAAAACAACAGCAACAUGAAAAAUUAAAACUCUCGUUUGAAGGUUUGGUACCAACCUAGAAGAAAAGCAAAAAUAAUGAGAAAUCUACCUCGUCCGGGAUUACAAUUAUUCUUUUUCUUCUUUCUUUGUGUCACUAUUUGCUUUGAUGAUCAAUAUUGAUCAAAAGCCCAGUGUUAGAUUGGGACAGAUUGUGUAAAGAAUGAAAGCAUUUGCAUUAAAACCUCUAUUGUUGGACAAUAGCAGUCAUAAGCCAGAACUGGAUGAUGAGAAUUUCACACUUUGCACACAUUUUUUAUGAUAAUGUCUCUCUUUGCUAGGAGUUUCAUAUUAUUUAGUGUGUCUGAGUGUAUAAUAUCACAGUAAUGUCUUUAAACUACAAUACACGUGUUAAGAAAUGCAGUCUGUUUAACUGGACCCCUCCCCCGUCAACCCUACCGGGGGCACUAGGGGGCUCUCCGGGGGCACAUACGCUUCCUACAAACUAUUCUAUUUUUACUAAUUUCUUCUCACAUUCUUCCACUCCACCCACAUCAUAUUCCAACAACCUCACUGUCAAGUGCCACACACACAAUACCUACUGAUUGUAAAAAGUUAUUUUACUUUACCCACGUCCCUAAUCCCCUAAAACCGGGAUCAGGCCUAAACACCUAGCAUCCGAAUAACGGCCCAGAAACACCUGGAACCAAAAACGGCCAGAACACAGAUUUCCUUUACACCCCAUCCCAGUUUCCUUAUACACAUUAUCCAAUGGCACCAACAGGCCCCUAACCAGGGGAUGAGCAGAACUCUGAGAAGCUGCCGCCACGACAGUGUCACUUAGGCCUAUAACCACUAAUGGGAACACUCACAACGGUGUGCCAGCUCUGACCGCAACGAAGAAGCACCUCCUAUCAGAGGACUAAACCUGUACACAGUCGUAUUCAUUUAAUGUUGUACCCAAUCACUGAUUGUCAUAACCACCAUUGCAGAAUGUUUGACGCUUCAUGUUGGGUCCAUAUCUACCCAUUCUUUUCUGUACCCCCUAUUAUCUUAAAAAUGACAAUUAAAAGAGAAUGUUAAAAAAAAAAAGAAAUCAGUCUGUUUAAAAAAAGAUAUAUUAGUGAACAAAGUAAAUCAGUAAGAUGUGAGUAUUGUACGCAAAUCUACACUAAUUAAGUGAGUGGAGCGCUAUAUAGAAAUAAGAAUAUACACUUACCAUAAAAGAGGGUGCUGAACUUAGGUGUACAGUAAGUACAUAUAAAAGAAACAGGAUAAAACAAUAUAGUGUAAAUUCAUAAAAAUAAUGAUAAUGAAAUAGAACUUGUAUCAUACGUGUGUCAACUCACAUUGAUAAGAGCCUCUAGGGGACAGGCUCAAAUCACAUCGGCGUUAGUGUCAUAGGUGACACUGCACCCUUUCUUAUCCGGAGUUGAUAUCCUCAGGAGACAACUUCGGAUAAGAAAGGGUGCAGUGUCACCUGCGACACUAACACCGAUGUGAUUUGAGCCUGUCCCCUAGAGGCUCUUAUCAAUGUGAGUUGACACACGUAUGAUACAAGUUCUAUUUCAUUAUCAUUUUUUUUUAUGGAUUUACACUAUAUUGUUUUAUCCUGUUUCUUUUAUAUGUACUUACUGUACGCCUAAGUUCAACACCCUCUUUUAGGGUAAGUGUAUAUUCUUAUUUCUAAAAAGCGCUCCACUUAAUUAGUGUAGAUUUGGGUACAAUACUUACAUCUUACUGAUUUACUUUGUUCACUAGCAUAUAUAGUGGGAGAAAGAGAAACAUAGAAACCCACUAGAGUGUGUGGCUGCUCUUUCUGUUUAUCACUGAAAUUUUUGUAAGCGCACUGUACACAAUAACUAUCUUUCUGUUGUUAAAAAAGAUAUAUUGUUCUUGCUCUAAAUUGAAUUUUCAUUGCAUAAAUUAUUUGUAAGUGACAUAAGAUUUAUCAGAACAGAUUUGGCUCUCCCCGGCCCCCACCACUCACACCCCUAAAAUGAAUGUGUCCCUUUUUGUCCAUUUGGAAUGUUGGGAGGUGUGGAAUGACAGGACAGCAUUAAAUGAAGGGUUACCAUCUGCCCAAUGUUUCACGUAAAUCUUUACGAACCCAAUGACCUGAAAAGUUAGCUGUGUUUACACAUCUCUAAUUGAAUGUAUUUUUUUUAUUUUUUUUUUAAGAAAAAGGAAGUAUUGCUUGUAACUAGACAGUACUGGGCUACAUUUUCCCCGCAGGUGCAAUAAAACCAUACAUUACUUAGAAGUGGUUUCCUUACAUAAAGUGCAUGAGAUCUUUCCAGGGUGAGGUAAGAAAUAUGAGUCAUCCAAGUACGUCUAAAUAUUUUCCCUUUCUUUUGAGUGUAGUCAAUCGGCAGUAACACAAUAGAAUUUGGCACCCAACAAUAAUAAAAGCUCACUUUUCCAUCAUGGUCUACACUGCUAAAACAAGGGGAAGUCCCCAAACUUGGUGGCUUUGCAUCUAACUUAAAAGAUCAGUUUGUGACUUUAUUUUUCUGUUUUACUAAAACAAAAUGAGAUCUAUACAAGGUAAAAAUGUGAGUUUGGUACAGGUUUUGUUCCGAUUUAUUUAAUGAAGAAUGACUAACUACAUUGGCAUAGCAAACAAAGAAAAUCUAUAGGGAAAGCAUUUCUUAAUAAAUAUGUGUCCCUAAGUUGCAGACGUUAAACCAUACAGUUUUUUUAUAGGGAAAAUGAUAAAUAAAAAACCACUAAAAGAAAGAAAUGAUAGCGCCACUUUAAUGGGUCACACUGAGAUGAACAACAUGCCUUGCUUGCCUGGUCUGGCUCUAAAGCAGGUAAGGGUGUCUUCACAAUUCUGACUGUGGCUAUAUUGACCAGCGUGUCUGAAGUGAACAAACAAAAGUGUUUGUGUACAGUGUUGGGAAGGAAGGCAUAUAAAGGAAUACUGCAUGUCUUUGCAUGUCUAUAUUUAAUAAACUUGCCGUGUUCUUGCUAAAUUCAGCCGCACAGAUAAUUACUCCAUGCCUGUAAUUACAUGGAGGUUUACAACAUUCUAUAGACUAUAAGUCUUCCCUUUGUAUGUUUUUAAAGGAACACUCCAUCAUUAUAAAUAAAUGUUAACAGUUUAGAUUAUAUGGCACCCGUACCCCCCUGAAAUAAAGGAUUAACUUACUCAAACCAGUGGCGAGAUGGGAGUUCAUCAGUGCUGAUCAUAUUAAUUAUUCUUUCAUAGAUUAACAGCUGGGAGGAUGCAACCACUCAACUUACUUUCAUAGUUAUAAACUCUGCUAGCCCCUAUACACCUCAGCAAGUGUUUUACAGAAUCAUUUAGGGGUUUUGCUCCUUACUUUAACCUCUGCCUUGUGUGAUAAUUAUUACGAGCUUGCUUAAAAAGGACAGUAACAAAACAUCUGCAGCCACACAAGACUGAAGAGAAUAUGGAGCAAAUAGAGCCAUUCCUAUAUCUUGGGUUUGAUCAAGUAUAUAGUUGCUUUUAUUAUUUUUGUCAUAUACGGAAAUAUCUCCAUAAAAAACAACAAAAUAAUUUUAUUUCAAGUAGUUGUUCUGCAUUUCUUUGUGAAAAAUCAAAUAUAUUUUGUUUCAGGCACAAAAUAACUUAAAGGAACACUCCAAGCACUAUUACAUCUGCUGUCAGUUGUAGUUGUUAUGGUUGUUAUGAGUGCCCUGGCACCCUCCCAGGGUCAAGAAGCCAUAUCCUUUAAGACAACUUAGCUAGGGUUAGCCAUGAGCUGGUCAGAUUUUAACUGAAAAUCACGCUACUGACAGUCUGUCCGGCAGUGCAAGGAGGCUCAGCUAACAUUCUGAGUCAUAAUGGGACACUAUAGGCACCCAGAUCACUUCAGCUCAUUGAAGUGGUCUGGGUGCACUGUUCCUAUUGCUCUUAGUGCUGCAAUGAAAAACACAGCAGUUCCAGAGAAACUGCAAUGUUUACUUUGCAGCACUAAGUCUGCCUCCAGUGGAUGCCUACCAGACAGCCACUAGAGGCGCUUCCUGGCUGCUAACGGACUUUUGUUUGGUAACUGACGCUGCACGUCCUCACGUUAUGCAUAAGGACAUUCAGCAUCAGCUAUUUCCCUAUAGGACAGCAAUGAUUCAGUGCUUUCCUAAAGAAAGGCCUGUUGCACGCGCAUCACUUGCAGUGCAUGGGCAUUAGUGUCUGCCUGUCGGAGGAGGCGAAGCCAUGACCCAGCGCAGAAUUUUAACCAUUUAUUCAUUUUGGCAGGGGGAAGGGAGUGCGUGAGGGAGGAGGGUGCCAGAGGAAGCUAUAGUGCCAGGAAUUCAGCUUUGUAUUCCUGGCACUUAUAGUAUCCCUUCAAUGCUUUGCAAGGAUUUAGCUCUAUAAAGCUAAUUGAACUCUUUGGAGGAACUUCCGGAUUCACAGGACAAAGUAACCAACAGACCCAGGUAAGUUGUCAAACAAUACUCAGAUAGUUUGACUAGUUACCCUGAGUAGGUGCCAGGGCACUUUUGGCACCAUAACCACUACAGGCUGUACUGGUUAUUUUGCUUGAAGUGUUACUUUGAGAACUUUUUUUGUCAGUGCUUCUAUUACCAUGGUAAAGAGCAUCUGUCAAGAGCUGAACGUUCAUUCUAUAGCUGGGGGAUUCCAUGAAGUCACAAAUCAUUUAACUGUACGAUUCAUCAUAUCCAAAGUGCGCAGAUUAGCAGUGAAAUGGUUAGAAUUCAUGCUGGACUAUAUGUCUCAGAGGUAACACUGCUUAGUAGUCACGUUUUUUGAGCUACCUGAAAGCACAGCCAACUAGUGUCAUACAGCCCAAUAUCUGACAGCCUUAAACAUGUCUAGUCAACACUGAGUCAGACAUAGCCUGCAGACCCACUCAGUUAAUUAACAGGCCCUUUUUACAACUGUGUGGUAAUCAACUGCUUCAAAACGAGUCCUAUGCUCACUGACUCUGACAUCAGCAACAUCUGCAAAAUGCAAGUCUCUGGAAAAUAAUUUAUAGAGCUUAAAACAAAGUGUUUCCCAUUAAAAAGGGGAUGCCAUGAGUCACAUACCUGCAUACUUUGGUUUUUUCCUUUAGUUUAGUUUUGUCUAUAUAUCAAUGUGCUAUGAAAUAAAAGGCUUAAUUUUAUUCCCCAGCAGAACCAUCCCCGAGGGUCUGAUACAUUAUUCAGGAGUAUAUUCACUAAACAGUAAAUUGUAGUGACUUGAGAACUGUUGAGAUAGAACAUUUAACAUACUUUUUUUUUUUUCCAGUUUUGUAUUUUGGUCUUAAAUUUGUAACUAGCUUUGCAACUCACGACAACUCACUGUUCAGCGAACAUAUCGUUAAGCUUCAUGAAAGCUAACGGACCAAAACAAUUAACACUUAUUAAUGAAUAGACAGCCCCAGAAGCCAAGAACACAGGACAGAACUGUUUGACUGAAUAUGUGAUGGGUCAGAGGCUGGACGAGCAUAAUAAUCUAUUUAGAAAGCAAAAUAAUGGCUUAGUUACAAACAGGGUUUUUCUCUAAAGCGAGAAUUGAUAGGAAAAUUAAAUUCACUGUGAAUUUCAAAUUGUAAACCAAACUCAAACCAUAGCAGACUGAAAAUAAUUUAAAUUCACAAUGAGUUACAGCUACAUAAUUAUCCCAUAAGCAAUGCACUGGCUUAUUAAGUCGGGUCAAAUUCAGCAGACAUAAUUUAUAAGUUGUCCAUACAUGAGACAAAAAAAGAUAGUGUUAUCCAUUAUCCAUGCACCUGGCAGCAAACUCAGCCGUUAUCCACACAUCUAAAACUGAACUCAGCAGUUGUCCAUGCACUUGACCGUGAAUUCAGUAGCCCAUUACACACCUAGCAGAGAAGACACAGUUUGCUGGAACUCAGCAGCUGACGUGGAGUCUAUGACGUUGUCAACUUAAGUUGAAUGAAUAUUGCCUGUCUCCCUUUCAUUUCAAAGCAAAAUUAGGUUCAAUUAAGAGACAUUGUAUUUGUUAGUUAUUGGAUGUAAAAUGCCCAAUUGCCCAGUCAUGUUGCCUCUGGCAUUGGUUUAGUUUCUGCUCUCUUAGCGUACCUAACUGCUGAGUGCAUACAUGUUUGUAUACAUAGCUCCUGAAAAACAAAAGGUUGCUGAAUAAGAAAUUAAAGAAAGUAUUAACACCCUAGGACCAAAACAGUUGUGGAAUUCUAGUUGCAUACCUCCAAACUGUUCUAGUUCCAUCAAAAACUGUACCUCUGCCUUGGUGUCCCACAGCUGAAGACACAAGGGAAAUGUCCUCACCAGAGCAGCUAAAGUGAAUCAAUAGAUGUGUUGGCUUUGUACAAAAUGCUGCAUCUCUUUUUUUGGCACGCUCAUUUUAGCCAGUUUUAAUAUAUAUAUAUAUAUAUAUAUAUAUAUAUAUAUAUAUAUAUAUAACCAUUAUUUAGUGUGAAUAAAAUAUAGAAAUUCAAACAUUUAAAUUGGAUUAGUUUUUACACAACAAGGUUUUAUAGUAAAACACUACAUCACAAACUGUAAUGUAAAAUGCUAUUGGGGUUUUCCUCUGUGCAAAUUGCCAUAAAUUAAAAGUGAAAUCAAAGAGCAUUUAAAAAUCUAUGCCAAAACAGCAAAUUUAAAAAAAUGAUCCGUGUCAAUUUUAUUUUCAGUUUGUCCAUGUUGUCCUUACAAUUGAAGUUAACUAUUCAUCCAAUAAAUAAAAUAGCUUUUGGUCGUCAAAUAUAAUCCAUUAAAAAAAUUUGAAGAAAAUAUUCAGAUAAACCAGAAGGAUGGGACAAAGGUCUUGUGGUGUGACUAUGCUUGCUACCUCAGACAUUAGUUGGUUGGGCCAUACCACUGCAAUGAAAGGCAUUUUAAAAAUGUAGGAGUUGCACCAGCAGGGGUAAUUUUUAUUUGAAAAAGGGAGAUUUAAAAAUAAAUAAAAGGAAAGGACAGUGCUACAGACUAUAUUGGCAGUAAAAACAAUAAUAAUAGUAAGUGAACAAACAUGUUGAACAGGAGAUCACCGACUAAUACUUGAGUGCAACACUUGAUUGCAAACCUCCCAAUGGUCCCAACUUAGGCAGUGUAGUUCUGAUUUUCUGUGGGUCCUAUCCCACAUCAUGAUUUAUUUCCCUAGUGUCCCUCUUUUCUCAACAAUCAUAGCGGAAGCGCAUCAUUAGACACGCUUGUGCUAUGCUCCGGCCAGUAGAACCCUGCCUAGACCAAUGAAACAGUGUUUCAUGCAGGGCCUGCCCUCAGUGGACUGGCUUGGUUGAUUGGCAGGCAGCCUGGUCAGUCAAUUCUACACCCUCUUUCCACGCAAGUCCACUCCCAUAGGCAGAGCUAGUGGCAUGAAUCACUUCACUAGCCCCUGCUGGGAGGGGCCAGUGAAGUGAUUCAUGUAACUAGCUCAGACGCCCUGCUUCACACAAUAUCACAGUUGGGAGGUAUGUGAUUGUCUGACAUUUUGCGGCUAGCAGACAAAGAAAUAAAAGCCUAACAAUUGGUGGGCCACAACUAUGCUCUAUACCAUGGUUCCCAACACUGUUUGGAGGUGGGAACACGACACUAUAAGUAAUAUUGCCGGGGCACACCCACUUUGUUACUUUCAUCUGCAGCUUAAAAAUGUUAUUCAUUUCAAGCCUUAAUAGAGGGAUAUGCAACUACUAACCAACAUUACUUGCAAGUUUUAUUUAACUGCCAGAUGGGAAUCCCAAUUUUUAUGCUGACACUUUCAAGUAAAAACCUCAAAACAAAUCACAUUUUGAGACCUGCUUUCAACCUGUUACUUCUAUCAGGAUUUUUCACUAGACACUGGAUUUUGCCCUAAUCAGUGACAUAAAUGCCCAAGGUGCAAUAAUGGGUGGGGGGUUAGCGAGAGGAACAGGUCGAUGGCCGGCCCCAGGAGGUGGAAAACUGGCCACCUUAUGGUACCACCAUUGCGAGCACUUAUUCUCUCAGGCAGAGUAGGUAUCUGCUUACCUGGAUGGCAGGUGCCUACUCUUCCUCCUCCAGAGGAGGCGGGAUACGGUGGUGGUAGCUAGGGAGCGCUGAUCUUCCAACUCGUCACACUGCUCCUUCAUGCACCCUCUGUGGUGAUGCCGGGAGCUGAACAAUGAGAUCUUUUGAUCUACCCACUUACUCUGGUAUGGCACCCCCUCAAAAUCAGAUUAGGUGCGCUAGGUGCAGCCAGGGACCCAGCAGGCUCCUGCCUGAGCCACGACCCUAGGUGGUCAUCUUAAACCAUCUAAUGGAUAAUCUGGGCUUGUUUCACUAAUUAUUCUGCCAUCAUAUAUGUCACAUCAUUGUUGCAUUCUGGCAUACAAUAGCAUAAUGAGCAUCCAUGUAAAAUACUGCUUUCUCCAUAUCGAUUGUAUAUCGAUUGUAUAAUUUUGUGUUUUGCUAUUUCUUUUAAAUGCACUGGAAUUACAAUAAAAUUUCAAGGCGAUACUUUUUUUAUAUAUCCAUUCUAUAUUAAUGAAAAACUCAGAAGUGACAGGUUCAGUUUAAAGAAAUCAUCAACUCAGUCAGGUGAGUCAAGAUUUCAUUCAGCCAUGAAUAUUCAUAAUGUCCCACCCAUGGAGGGACAGUCCCCACAAGUACUCAAAUCUCUCAUCUCUCCCAUCUUUUAUUUUCAAACACUAGUGCCCCUUUUGUCUAGAAGCUUAGAAUACUUAGUUACAUACAUGUAUUACAGAGUUCUUUAAGGAAGUGAAAUUCCUCAUUUUGAUAUCAGAGGCAGUGUUAAUGGGUUUUGCCGGGGAAUCCCCCCCAAUUUUUUUGUCAAACCAUUUGAACACAGAUUUACAAAAACUGGAUGCCCUGCAUAACCACUACAAGGAGCUGUAAUCGCGUUACCCCUUUAAUUAAUGAAAUCCCAUUGUGGCAGCAUAAUUGCCCCAUGAAAGCUUAAAACAUUAGAGGUAAAGAAGCAAUAUUUAUAAGCAUAUAUAUUUUAAAGCAUUAGUUUUCUAAAAUGCCUUGCACUAUGUGAUAUGCAUACAAAUGGUGCAAUGUUAGAAAAUACUAUUUCACAGAAAAGGUAGUAGAUGCCUGGAAGAGCCUUUCAGUGGAAGCACAGACAUCUGACCAAUUAAGAGAUUAAAGAAUUAUUAUAAUGUGCAUCAGGCUAUACUGAGCAACAUAUAAACAUACUCGUUGGGCCAACUGGUACUUUUCUGUUAUUAACUAUCUUUCGGCAACUUCUGCCCAUGUUAAUAAUCUGACCCCACACAGCUCUAUUAUUUGCGAUAAAUGUUUCACCAGCAUUUCCAGAUAGCUUGACAGGACCCUUAGAGUCACUAGUAAUGUAUUUUGGUUUUUUUUGGUUUUUAACACAACAUAAAAAAAUAAUAACGAAAAAGAAGAAACAAAACUAAAAAAGGAUAUUUGUAUCUCCGAGGUGAGUGAAUCUAGGACCAAUGCUGGCUUUUCGCUCAAUUCUGCUGUUGUAGCUAAAUCCAGGAAACCCCUCAACUGCAAUAAAACAUUAAUUAAAUAACCCAAGCACAGACAUGUUAAGCCAUGUAUCUCCACUUAUUCUGUGGCCUUAAACAAUUAAACUAUUUUUUUUUUUCCUUUUGGAGCAAUGAUCAAACCAGGGGGUGGGGACAGCAUAUCCUGCGUGAAACCGCAUCCUGAAUAAGCAUCACCACGAUUCAUUGUAAAUAAAUAUUCUCCCCUUGCAGCACUUCCGUCAACUGUCAUUGACUUGGCUCCAAUCACCUUUCAUGUCCAAACAGGAAAACAGAGAAAUGCAAGUGAGAUGGGAGAUACGAGGCUUAAUUUGCUUUUCACUGCAGAUUUCAUUAGUGGUGUACUUCCGAUCCUCCAGCUUUGCCAGCUGCCAGGAAUCACUUUUGGACCUGGGCUUUUUCCUGUUAACCUUUUUAAUUGUAUUAUUAUGAUGGGGCUAGCCCACUGAGGGCUGCUGUACUGUCUGUGGAGGAUAUAGAUCUGCCCUCAGUUAGAAGACAGCAGCCAAAUCUUGGCCAAGCUGCCACAGACUGAAAGAGCUUAUAAAAUGAAGAUUCCAUCACCAGUCUGGCAACUUCUGUGUACACAGAUAUACGGUUUAGAUAAGAAAGGCUGUGGGAAACUUGUAACUGCAACCAAAAACACAAUUAAAACCAGCUUUAUAAAACUUUAUUAAAAACACACAGCAUUAUUUCAAAAAUGAUGACUAUAGGAUAAAUUUAAAAACAGAUAGAUACAAACACACAAAUAUAUACACAGAGACACAGUCACUGCCAGAAACAGUACACACAGAGAAAUACCUGAUUCAAGAGUUGCAUACAGAGACAGAAAAAGAUACAUAACAGAGCUAGACCUGUUACAAAGGACACUAGGAACGUGCAUGUAGUGCUUCAGUAGUGCGCUCAGUUUGACCAGCACGUUUGCUGUCAGUAAGUCAGGCAUUCACUCAUUCCAGGAUGACAUGACCCUUCACCCUGCCCCUUUAAGGCCCACCAAUUUUGCCGAUCUCUAUCCCAUUUGCAUACCUUACAAAGUUUUAAGGUAUAUAAAUAAUAAUAAAUAUACUACAGCACUCCUUAUAUGGCAAGCAGAAUGUAUAUCAGUAACCGUGAGCCUGUGUGACUGCUCAUACACUUCAUUUUGAGACCAAUUCAACAGUUUUAUUGUCUUUUUUUUUGACAAGGUAAGUUUGCCUGGGCCCAUUUAAUGGCUUCCAUGAUGAUAAUUUAAAUACUGAACACAGUAUUCCAAAGCUGCCAAAAGCUGCCAUGGAUAAUGCAAUGGGAGCCACACAGGUUUCUGAUCAUUUUUAUUAACAGGGAUAUUCUCUAAAGUGAGAAAUCAAAGUGAAUUUUAAAUUUGAAGCUCAAAAUAGCCAAACUGGAAAGAAUUCUCUAACUCAGCUAUGUUUCAAACUUAUUAUCAUUACAGGUGGUCCUAACUUUGUGACCUACCUUUUCUGCGACGGCUCGCACUUACGACCAGCUCUCUAGCGUGAGGAUUCAAGGGAUUCCCCAUGUUAGAGAGUUGGUCUAUGUUCAGGGAAUAUUCCCUGAACAUAGAUUGGAGGUAUCCCCUGCUCUAGUGCCUAUGUCUACAUUCAGAGAAAUUUCCCCGAACAUAGACCUGCACUGGUGCACAUGCGCCUCACUUACCGACCAAUUUGUUUUACGACCGUGUCGUAAGAACAGAACCCGUUGGUAAGUGAGGAGCAUCUAUAUUAUGAUUUAUAAAGUGCCAACAAAUUUCACAGCUUCCUUAGCCUAAAAUGUGAAAUUCACUUUGAAUUAUUACUUUCGUGAAUAACCCUCUAAAUCUAUAAAAAGAAAGGACUGAAGCGGUGAGUGCUGUAGUCCAGUUUCUUACUAUACUGGAAAACACCAUGCAGUGAAAGAAAUUAUAAACUUCAGUGAUCUACUAAAAACAUAGGGGUUUUCCUGCUUUAUUCAUUAAUCAAUACAGUUCCCUUCCAAAAGGGCAAUGCAGGUCACUGCAUGUGACAAGACAUAUGUAGGAAGCCUGUCUGGCUGAGUAUUGAAGCUUUUUGGCCAAGGAGAGGGGGGGCAUAUAUUUUUUUUUCUUCUUUUAAACUUCAGUCUGAAAAUCUGCCAGUUGUUGAAAGCUUGACGGAAACAAUGUUUAAAUAGGAAUCCUGAAUUGCCAUAAUUAGUCAGCUGUUUGAUAAAGCACACCGCUAGGAUUUAGUUGGAAAACACAAGUACUGGUCAUCUUUAAGACUACAGUGUAAAACAGUUUUUUUUAAUCCCUAGCCCAGUAAUGACUAGGCAUUGUAGGCGAUGCAGUCUGCAAGAGUUAUGGAAGAACUGCACAUUUAGACUAAUAAAUAAUUGUGCCAUAUAAUUAGGGGGCUAUAUAUUUUAUAUCUAUAUAAUGUUUUCAGUCAGAAGUGACCCUUCAAAGAAACUGUCCAUAAUAUGUUACAUAUAAGGUAUAUGUGACUCUGUCAUGUUUGUUUGAGCAGUCUUUUAAAGGUGAUUUAAACAAACAUUAAUGAAAAAGAUAAAAGAUACACAAGCUAUCAUGCUGAUGAUUAGAGAUAUGCAAAAAAGAGCUGCUGUCAAAACCAUAGUGUAAUGCAAACUGCCUGUAAAAUUUCAGAUAACAUUAUAUUUAUAUAUAUUUUCAUGCCAAUGUCACAAAAACAUGUUUUCACACAUAUGUAAAGGCCCCAUAAUUCCCAGUGUGUUACUGCAAGCAAAGCACUGUGGGAUUCUGAGCAGGUGGAUGUACAUGCAUCCCCUCCCGUUUACCGACAUCUUGGUGGAGUCAGCAGUUGCGUUUAGGUAAGUAUGUUCUCUGCUACAUGUUUUACUAGCAGAAUACAUGCAUUAAAUUGAAAUACCUACGCAAAGAGCACAAUGAUUAGAUGACAGGUCAACACAUUUUUUCUGUGGAAGACAUGCCGCAUUAAUGAAUACAUCUCUACAGGUAAAACAUUUCUCUACAAAAUAUUCUCUGCAGAGGGUUUUCCUUCAAUGCCUCAAAUGAAAACAGAAUUAUUUUCAAGGGUGGCUCAGAGAAACAAUCAAACAAGCAACAUGUACCCACCACAGGGAUGCAUUUCAGCCUGAUCGCUGUAUAGUAAACAAGGUUCACUGUACACAAUGUAUCAAACUGAUUCUUUGGAAUAUUUCCCAAUCUGAAAGUAUUUUUUUUUUCCGAGAUUUUGCAACUGCACAAUGAAUCUAGCACCGUACCUUUAAUUGCUUUUGAUUUCUUAUAAUUAAGUAAAAAUGUAGAACCUUCAUGCGCAAUUUACUCGGUUUACAGCAUCUGAGGUAGGAAGUCUGCAAUAGGUGAAGAUCUCAUUUCAAGUGAUUAAUGCAAUUUGUAUGAAAUCUGAAACAGACGAAUGUUCAUAAAAUAAGAUACGAAGGGAUAAAAUUAAGAUGUUUUUGACUUGUGACGUGUUUGAGAGUUCUAGUGCUUUUCAUUUAUUUUCUUUUAUAUUUUUUAAUUUUUUUUGUUCAAUCUGUGGAAUAAACAAACUAAAUAAAUCACAGCAAGUACCGCUCACACUUUUCCUUAUUUAAUACAUUUUAUAUUUGUUAGUGGUAUGAAUGAAAUGAAAGCAAAGAAUGUGUUAACUAUUUUUGCUAUAAAAAAAAUAUUUUAUGUGAAUUAUACAGAUAAUGAUUUUUAAAACAAAUACACCAUUUCGAGAAGAUUUCCUGGGAUCAAUCUUAUUACUUAAAAGAUCUCAGAAGGCACUCAUUGAAGUGGUUAUAGUGUCCAGAGUCCCCUGACGCAAGUAUUCCAUUCAGCGUUUAGCCAUUUUCAAUGUUUUAAUGCUAAACCAGAGCCCCCAGAUGCCAACCCUCUCUGUGCUGCAUGGGCUAAAGAGAAACGAGCAACAAUAAUUGGCUGUGAUUGGCUGAGAGUGUCAAUUGACUGAUGCUAAAUGCUGGUAGGAAUUGAUAUGGCUAGAAGUGUGUAAUCUCUGCCUUAGCCAAACCUCCAGUGGGAGUUGGGUGGCAAGGGACCGUCAUUCAGUGUUAAACUGCUUGAAAAUGGUUUAACACCAAAUCCACAGACAGUGACAGUGUGCUCCAUGAUUACAACCUGGCUAUACUACAAUGUACAGUAGAGUGUCUCUUUAAAUCAGAGACUCGCUGAGAACAUCCACUCAAGGAUAAACAACUUGUAACUUUCUGUUGGAGAAUUAAAUGACAUUGAUUGCAUAUGCCCAUUCUCACUAUUCUUUUAUUAAAAUCAGAGGCGAUCUCGCAUGUGUAAUACAGUCAUGAGUGGCUUACCAUUGUGGGCAGGGACGUAUUAGCCACGAGGCAAACAAGGCAUUUGCCUUGGGCGGCACUUUCCAGGGGGCAGCAAAAAAACCUGCCCCCAAAUACCCAGGCAAAUGUCUUGUUAGCCUGGCGGCUAACUGACAAUCCGGGCGGGCGGCUAACGAAAAAUCCAUGCAGGCGGCGCUGGCGAGGGAACACUGAUUUGUGAGCUCUCUGCUCAGCUCCCUCGCGCUCCACAGAGUGAUGCCGGGAGCCGUAAUAUGAUGUCAUAUUGCUGCACCCGUCCUGUGUUGUAUUUUCAAACCUCACAAGGAGGGCUAGUCUUUGUUGGUGUCAAAUCCUCUGUCCCUCUUUACAGGACUGCUAUUUCUGAUUUGUGUUUAUAACAGAGCUCUAUGGCAACAAAACAAAUGGUAAAUUGUCAUCACGUUUCAAUAAAUUAAAAUAUUUGUAACAGCUCAAAAUGAUUUGCCCAGUUAGUGUUACUUAGUUGAUGUCUAAAUUCCACAAAACAUGGCCACUCCUUACUCUUAACUACUAGUGUCUCUGUUUAGUUAUUUACAAGAUUGGGCAAUAUGUUCCUUUGGUGACCCAUUUCUGCAGGAAACCAGACAUAAUAAUCAAAACAUCUGCAAGAAUGGCUUGUUCCAAGCUCUCUUGGUUCAAAUAAUAAAGGGGAACUUUUACCUCUCUGGAGACCACACCAUGGAAUAAAAUAUUAAAAUCACCUAUAGCGUGUGUUCACUUUUUUCUGUUCAGGUGAUAUAAAUGCAUGUUAAAGGAACACUAUAGUCACCUGAAUUACUUUAGCUAAAUAAAGCAGUUUUAGUGUAUAGAUCAUUCCCCUGCAAUUUCACUACUCAAUUCACUGUCAUUUAGGAGUUAAAUCACUUUGUUUCUGUUUAUGCAGCCCUAGCCACACCUCCCCUGGCUAUGAUUGACAGAGCCUGCUUUAAAAAAACUGGUUUCACUUUCAAACAGAUGUAAUUUACCUUAAAUAAUUGUAUCUCAAUCUCUAAAUUGAACUUUAAUCACAUACAGGAGGCUCUUGCAGGGUCUAGCAAGCUAUUAACAUAGCAGGGGAUAAGAAAAUCUUAAUUAAACAGAACUUGCAAUAAAGAAAGCCUAAAUAGGGUUCUCUUUACAGGAAGUGUUUAUGGAAGGCUGUGCAAGUCACAUGCAGGGAGGUGUGACUAGGGUUCAUAAACAAAGGGAUUUAACUUCUAAAUGACAGAGGAUUGAGCAGUGAGGCUGCAGGGGCAUGUUCUAUACACCAAAACUGCUUCAUUAAGCUAAAGUUGUUUAGGUGACUAUACUGUCCCUUUAAGGAUUUAGCUAUUGGCAUUCAAAUCCAGUACAGUCCAGGCACAGCCAGAUAACAUAUUGCAUAGGACAAGAUUUUUUUUUUUGUUGACAAUCUUCAUUUAACAAGGACAAGAAGAAACUGGGACAAUGUUUCUGUUCUCUCUAUGCAUCUUCCUGGAUAGACUUCAAUAUAGGAUUGUGGGCUUCUGUAAUCUAUUUAGUUUUUCAAUAAAUAUAACCCCUCCGGCCCUGGGGUUCUGUCGAACUCUGCAAAUUCCCAAGGCAUAAAUGGAGGAAGAUCAUCCGGCUUCCUCAAGCCUGGACCCUCGGGUAGGCCGGAGUACUACCACUUGCUUGGACUGACCAAGACGCAUGGUGCCGGUGUCUAAAUAUAUGUUUGAAGAGCCUGAGCAGUUGUCAAGUGUAUCUUGAGGUUAUAAUGCGGAGGCUUAUUAUUCCAAACAAUUAAAAAUAAAAUACACUAUUGAUGGAGGCCUUUGCCUCACAGUGCUUACAAUGUAGGCAGUGUUUGUGAGACUUACCAAUCAUAAACAAUGCAACUGUGCAAUAUAUAAAAAGGUGAGGUGUAAGGAAUUAAAAAAUAAAUAUGGUUUGUAGAAUAAUUUUCAGAGCUGUCCAAUGCUUACAAAAUGAAAUGGAGGAACAAACACAUUUGAUGGUUGAUCAAAUGGUUGAUUUAAAUUUUUUAAAAUAAUGUGGAAAAUAACACCAACAAAAAAUGAAAUUAAGCUCUGUUAAUUUACUCAUAGAAAUGCAAUCUAAUCUCCGACUCCUAAAAUAAUAAUGCACACUAGCAACACCAUUUAAACAUCUUUAUCUAAUAGGCUGUGUAGAGAAUCGUAACCUACAGGAGCUGUAAUUGCUACAUACUCUUAUUUUAAUAUUUAAGAUAUGCAUGAAUUUCCAAAUAAAUGUUGUAAAUAUGUAGUUAAUAAAACAUCAUGUUUAAAUGUUGAAAGUCAGAUUUUGUCAACCUCAUGUUUUAUACACUGGAGAUUUCUCCUUUAUAUCCCUUGACACGUUCUACAAUAUUCCACCUAACUUUUACAGUAAAGGUUUCUAUGUAUGAAAAUGCAUGGUUCCGUAUAAGUUUAGCACCCCCUCCCCCCCCUCCUCUCCACCACCCUCCAACAUGUCCGAGACAGUUCAAUUCUGCAAUCUAGUGAAAAUCAAAUCUCAAAAUCCUCUCGUCAGCUAACAAUAUUUUCAUAUGUGCCAAAGUCUGGUGGUAGGAUAACGGCGUCCAAUCUUUUCCCUCAAGCAAUGCUUAUUUUGUUUUUAUUGCAGUUCAAUGACUGGAGUACAAAAUUGCAUGCAGGUGCCUGCUACUGCAGUUUCUCUGUAUUACGCACACGGCCAACUACUGCCCACCAGGGUUGAAACUAUUCUUUUGCUGCAGUCAUAAGAAAAGCCGAGAACGCUUCUUUGUGCACAAGGACCUACUGUCUGAUACAUCUAAAGAGGGUAAUGUUAAUGGAUCGGUCCCCUUUCAAAAAGAAUCGUGAAAGCUCCUUGUGAAAUGGAACUCAAAUAUUUUUGACGUUACGCAUGUAGCAACUUCUAAACAUUAAAGUCACGAAAAACCUUAACACAAGCUACUCAUUCUCCCAGAGCAUGUGAAAGGACAUAAAAGCAGGCCGUAUAAUAGAUUUCUUAUAGGGUUUUUAUAUGUAUUAAAUGUUCAACUUUCCUUUCAACUAUCUUUUAAUCUUUGAAAUAUUUCUCUAUCAAUUCUUAUAGGCAUUUUUUAUUUUUGCAACUUUAUAUUAAGGCAAUGAAAAGACUUCCUAUUUAAAAGUCAUUUUUUUGUAUUUUUUUUUUUUUUUUUAAUGUCCAAAAAAUAAUAAUAAUUUUUUUUUAAAACGAUAUAGUCUUUAGGGAAAAAAAAAAAAUAGGGAGAAAAUGCUUCAAAACAGGAUGAAGCGCUUCUGAAAACAUGAAACACGAAGGGUUUUUUUUCUUUAAAAAGGAGAAUUUUCUUUAUUAUUUUUUCCUAUUGUGUUUCAGAUAUAAUGAACACAUGCACUUCGGAAUGUUCAUCUGCACAUGAGCGCUUCAUUAACAGAGAUAUAGUGACUUAAAGGGUACAUUAUUUAGACCCCUUCUCUGGAAACGAAUGCAUUGUAAUUCUCUUUACAACCAUUGCUGUCUUCCAGGAGAAAUUCUAAAUUCAGAGAAAAUCGACUCACUGGCCACGUUUUGUAUUGGUUUGGUUUGCACAAGACAUCAUAAGGCAAGUGUACAACUGGAUCUCCUAUUUGCAAUCAAAAAGACAACAACAGUAUUUGUACUUACUUUUUACUCCCCAAUAAUAUGGAGCACCCUGGGUACUGUAGGUGGUUAGGAAGGCGUAUGCAUUGAUAAACGCUGUCCCAGUUGAGCUAAUCGGGUUACAGAGUCUCCCUCCCACACUACAAUAAUAUUCAUAGUGGUAUAUGCACUUAUUUAUUUAGUUUUGCAAAUAUAUAACAUUCUCCCUUGGUUAUUUAACUUUGUGCAAAUUAUGAUUCCAAUACAUCCAUCUUAUGAGUUAUGAAAGUAUAAUACUAGACAUAGACAAAUGUUAUUAUAAUUUUUAAAACAUUGUCUAUCUAUGUAUCUAUCUACUGUAAAAGUCUAUCUAUCUGUCUGGCUUUCCGUCUGUCUGUCUUAUAGUUUAUUGAUAUUCAUUGAUUGAAGUUAAUGAUUGCUCAUGGUAUAUAGCUCAGUGGAUUAAUCCUAAUCACAAUUUAAACAGCAAAACAUGUCUGUCUGCCUCCUGUAUAUCACUCUGUGUUGGCAUUUCAAUCUUUCUACCUAUCUCUGUCUGUCUACCUUUUCUGCAUCCACAUAUAAUAUAUAUAUAUACAGAUUGUGAGUGGAGGUUUGCGGUUAGAGGAAAUUAAAUAUGUAUAUUAGUGUCCCUGUCUGUUAACUGCAUAGUGCAAAUCAACAUAGCAUUUUUCUCUUCUGUGUAUAAAUAGUUUCGAGAAUGUAAAAAUACAGAACUAUGUAUUAUGUGCAUAUACUAUGUUUGACAUAUUGUUGGAUGGCAUUUACUUAAUCUAGGUUUUGAAAUAGAGUUUGGGAAUCUGCCAGCAUCAGGAACGUGCGAUCUGGCCUAGUAUUCUGUCACUCCCUCCCUCCCCAAUCACAAAAAUAAAUAAAUAAAUUCCUCUUAGCAUUAUUUACAAUCAUUUUUGCUCUACAAAUAUUCCUAAAUAUUCGUGAAGGGGUUUUCAAGAGCCUUAGCUGUAGUUCAAUCACUUGUGCUGAUAAGACUUGUUGGAAAGUUUGAGAAACAUAAACACUACAGAUGGCACUGUCCCUAUGGUAAGAGUCAAACUGUCAAACAUAGAAAUCCACGCUUCUAUCCUGGAACUGGACACCUCUAUCUUAGUCGCCUGUCAAUCAUCAUUAUAUAUGUUACCGUUUGCUGGCCCUGAACAUAAUUAGUGGAAGAAGAGAAACUGGAAUAAUGCUUUUAAACUCCUCCAUUUCAGCAUUGUGUACCCUGUCUGUUAAAUAUUUAAUAUAAAUUAUUUUGUUUUAAAUAAGUUUUUUAAUACAUUUUUGAGAAAGUACAAAGUCCUAUGAGCGCCCACUUCUUCAAUAUAUAUAUAUAUAUACACACACACACCCAAACAGGCUGCACUCACCUCAACAUGCAAUACAAAUUAUAACGGAGCUGCUGGGUCCAAUUCAUACAAAAUACAAAGCUUAUUGCAUAAGCCUGACACAACACCAAUGUACCACAUUCUUUUCAGGUCCUACUCUAGACACCUAACGGCUGCUCUUAUUAGAUGAAUCCACUUACUUGGGAAAUGCUUCCUCCUGGAUCUCUCUGCAGGGCAAGGCUUAUGCAAUAUAUGAUCAUAUAUUGUAACUAAACUUCUGCAGGCUUUGAGGUUUCUGUUUAGUGGAUGAGUGAGUGUGCUGGAUCUUGUGUGGUGUGUCUUUUGUGUAAUAUAUAUAUAUAUAUAUAUAUAUAUAUAAAUACACACACACACACAAACACACACACACACGUACAUAUGGAUAUAAAAAGCACACUAUUUUUUUACUACGGCAAAUUCGACAAUUAAAAGGUUACCAGGUCAGUUUAACCGCUUUUCUUUUCAACAAAAGUAGAAUUUAUUUUUUUUGCUUCAUUUCAGUAUCCAAUCUAGGUUAUGAAGUUGAAAAGACUCAACUUCAUUUGAAAAUGUAUAAAACCACUUGGAUGAAAAGGGCUUUGAAAGCUCCAUUAUCAUCUUACAAAAAUAUAAUAUAUAUAAAAAAAAAAAUACUACAGAUACUACACUACCCGUGUAAUGUCAAAAGGCCCUUGUGUUUUCUUGUUUAGUGUCCCUUUUGCACCAAGCUUAAAUUUGGUAUCAAGGAAAAAAAAAAUAUUCUUACAGCACUUAAUGCCCUGUGCUAGCACCUUUAGUUCAAAGCUGAGCCGAAACCAAGAAAUGCAUUGUGUCUGCACGAUGACAGUGCCUCACAUACAAUGUGAAAAGCGGCUCCUCACUUUGUUGUGUUUUCAAACUGCUGGCCUGAUCUUGAUUCGAUUCUCACCCUUGAGCCAAUCUUUAAAUACACUCGAGAUGAUUUCAUUCCCAGCCCUCAGAAUCCCCAUCUGCUUUAUGUUGUCCCUUUUUGGUACAGCUCUCUAGGGAAUACAUUUCCUUUCACACUUUCUAGGAAGGAUAAUGAUUUAGAAACUUGAAAUUAGGAUUUUAUUAAACACAUUAAAAUGAAAUGUACACGUCCUAAAUCUGAAGGCCAGGGCUUACAUCCUACCAGAAAUAUAUGAUUUAUCUAAUUAAUACAUUCAUCAUCAAAUAGCCGGGCUUCACAAUGUGUUUGUUUUUUAUGAAUUAAUUGGGAGCUCUCCGUAGUUUCCAAAUGGGCAAAUAUAUUCAUAUCCUGGCUAGUAUCAGUGGUGGAUAUGGGGGAGAGAGAUGAUCCGAAUCCUCUGCCUCUGGCUGGGGACUAAAAUGUUUCCAAUAACUGCAAUAAGUAAUGCAGCCAGCACAAACCAGAAUGGUGCUGGAGUCAGCAGGUCUCUUCUGAUGAUGUCAGGAAGAGGGCACGACUUCCACCACUCUUCCCCCAGACUCCCAAGCAGACCUUACAUUUCCUCCAGGCUCCGGCUUGACUGUAGAGUCCACGGCCACUCUAGAAGAAGAAAAGUACAGGGCCGGACUUCCAUCUCCCUUCUCCUCCAGUUCCAGCACAGACUGCCCAGCAGGUUCCAGCAUGGCCGCAGAGUCAGCUAUCCACUGAAUGAAGUUUGAUAGGGGUGCAGAUAGCAACACCUCCCACCUGACCACCAGGCAUAAGGAUCCCCCCCUUCCUGGCCCAAGGUAAGCCUCAAACAGGGAAGAAUACAUUUUAGUUUUAUUUUUAUCAAAAUGUUUUGGGGGUUUUUAAGCAGCCCCUAUCCACUCAUUGCAGACCCUGUUCCCCACCACUAUAGCCCCUGCACCCCAUAUACAGCUCCUGUCCCCCUACCACAGCCCCUGCCCCCAACACAGCCCUUACCCCCAAUCUACAGACCCUAUAUAGCCCCUGUCCUAUCAAUACAGCCCUCACUCACUGCUACUGCAGAAGCACCUAUCACCCUCACUACUGCCCCUUUCUUGCCCCUUCACAGCCCUGUUCCUGCUGCUAAUGCCACUAUCCCCCUCACAGCCUCUACCCCUCUACAGCCCCUGUCCUCCCACUACAUCCACAGUCCCUUCUACCACAGCCCCUACCCCCCUCCACAGCCCCUGCCUUUCCACUACAGCCCCUGUCCUCUCUCUGCAGCAUGAGUCCCCCGACUAAAGCCUCUGUUUUUCCAUCACAGUUCCUACCCCCCCUCUAAAGACCCUGUCCUCCCUCUUCAGCCCCUGUGCUCCCACUUCAGCCCCUAAAUCCCACACUUCAGCCCCUACCUCCCUCUACAGUCCUGUCCCCCCAUACAGCACCAGCCCCCCACACUACUGCACCUAUCACCCACUCUACUGCCCGUAUUUCCCUCCACAGCCCAGGUUCUCCAACUACAGUCACAGUCCCCCCACCACAGCCCUGCCCCCAACCACCGCCCCCGUAUCCCAGCCACAGCCCCACCUCUCACUCAAAACACACAUAACAGCCACUUUCUCCCCACAUCACAUCACCCCCUAAACCCUCAAUAACCUACUACAGCCCUAACCCACUACUACAGCCACUACUACAGCCGUUAACUCCCAACUACAGCAUCUGUGCCCUACUAGAGCCAUUAACUCCCUACUACAUGCACUAUACCCCAUACUACAGCCCUAUAAUUAAACAGUAGCCCAUACCUCCAACUGCAGCGACUAUCCUUACUAAAGCUUCCAACCAACCUGCACAGUGCCUUACCAUCUUGCAGCUCCUAUCCCACACUACAGCCCCUCUCCCCUCAAUUGCAGCCCCUAAACCCCAUACUACAGCCACUAUUCCCCACUACAUUCCCUAACCCCCCAACAGUCCAUACAGGCCACUGUACCUCCAUUACAGCCUCUGAAUCCCCCCUUCCCCCAUCACCACCACUCCAGUCACUAACUCCUCCUAGAUCUGUUUCUGGAUUCGUAUGUGGUGCCUAUAUCUAACCACUGAAUGCUAGGUGGAGUCCACUCCCUACCCAGUCCCAUGUCCAUCACUGUCAUUAAAAUUCAGUUUCACUUCAUUCUUAUUAUUAUUCUGCUUCCCCUCAUUAUUCAAACACAGACACAGGAGCUCAUAGUGAUACAAGAAUGUUUAGAGAGACACAGCAAGGGCUAAAAUAGGUAUUGGAAAUAACAUACACAUACCUGGCAGACUGCUGCUCAAGAGGGCUAAAACAGAAGAAUGUAGCUGUAAUUACAAAACACACUAAUCCCCACAGCACUUUGUCUUCGUUUUGCUUCAGGGGUGAAAAAACGUGUCUCAGGCAAAUGGGUGUAACCUUUAGACACCAUAAUGUCCAGUAUCAUAAUCAUAAUGUGGGCCUACAAUUCCUCUUUGGGCAAUGAACAACAUUAAAGUGAAACUGUAGCUCCCUGCUACCCGCUCCCAGCUAGCCACUCAAUUUCACUUCUGUAACAUCCACCUCCAGUCCACCAGUGCUCCUUCUUGUUGUUCAACAAUUUGCCAUGCUUCGGAACAAAUCACCAAGCAGGACAAACCUUCUCCAUGACAACGACACGCUGUGUUCAUUGCCAGUGUAUCGGCAUCUGAACAGAGUGACGUAAAGUCACUCCGUGCCUAUACUGCCUAACUAGCACUAGCAGUGGUUGCUGUGGUCGAAAAGCAUAGGGACAUCCUGUGUGAGGUCUCUACUGCUCUCCCUGUCUCUCAAUUCUUCCACAUUGAGCGAUCGCUGAGGAAUUGGGAGAAAAAACUAUUUUUUAAUAGGUUUUUCUACAAACCGCCAGCAUUUGUAUAUAUGGAUUUUUAAGCUCUUCUAAAAGAAACAUAAUAAAAAAUAGUAUGAAAGUUUGACUUAAAGGCGUCUGAUCUAUAGGGUUCUCAAUGGAACUACAAGAUCUUUAUGGGCCAAGAUUAAAGUGGCAGAAUGGAACAGCCAUUGGUUUAUUCAGUAAACUUUGGGAAAGCAGAGGUCUAUAAACUAAAGUUCUUAGAAUCCUCAGCCAUUCUGACAACUGGCUAAGCAACCUGGGAAAAAUAGUUCACAAACAUCUAGGGGUUAGCCAUGAAUUGGUUAAUUAUACAUGUUGCACUAGAAAGAGCUAAAGCAAAACAAUAUACCUUUAACAAGAAACAGUUAUAAAUGUACACUGUUACAUGAAAGGUGUAGGCAGUUUAACUAGAAGCAUUAAAGGAACACUAUAGUCACCUAAACAACUUAAGCUUAAUGAAGCAGUUUUAGUGUAUAGAUCAUUCCCCUGCAAUUUCACUGCUCAAUUCACUGUCAUUAAGGAGUUAAAUCACUUUGUUUCUGUUUAUGCAGCCCUUGCCACACCUCCCCUUGCUCCGAUUGACAGAGCCUGCAUGAAAAAAAAAAACUGGUUUCACUUUCAAACAGAUGUAAUUUAUCUUAAACAAUUUUAUCUCUUGCUCUGUAAAUUGAACUUUAAUCACAUACAGGAGGCUCUUGCAGGGUCUAGCAAGCUAUUAACAUAGCAGGGGAUAAGAAAAUCUAAAUUAAACAGAAUUAGCAAUAAAGGAAGGAUAAACAUUAGAUGACUUUAUAGGAAGCGUUUAGGAAGGCUGUGCAAGUCACGCAGGGAGGUGUGACUUGGGUUCAUAAAUAAAGUAAUACAACUCCUAAAUGGCUGAGAAUUGAGCAGUGAGACUUCAGGGUGACUUUGGUGUCCCUUUAAAAGUGUAACAGGUGUGUGACUGAGAAAUGAAGACACGUUGUCAACAAUUCAGCUUGUUUAAAGUGCAGAUAACUUUUGUUGGAAACUAGAGCCAAUAUAUAGAAAAUGGUGGGUUUAAAAAAUGCUUUUACAUCACAUAUCGUUCAUUUUAUGUGUAUAUGAAUGAUAUGCAUAGCAUUCAUUUUACCAAAGGUCCCAAUCUAAGUUGAAAAAGGUGCAUGGCUUUCAAAAUAGAUCAUAUAAGUUAGGCAGUCUGUACGUACACUCUUUUUGCUACCAGAAAUCCAUACUGCAUAUAAAAUAACUAUAUCUAUAAUGAUAUAUAAAAACUAUAUUCCCAACUAUCCUGCAUUUGACUGGACUGUUCAUCCCAAAUUCUACCAAUAAGUAUCGAGCGAUAGUAUAAUUUGAUGUGCUCACACUACACAAAACAUACAAAAAGUCCUAUAACGUUUUAAGGUACAGAUAAGUAAUAAUAUCAUUUCAAUCUAUUGCAUUCUGCCUAAAUAAAGCGAAAUGUACAUAACAUAUUGAAACAUAUUCUUCUGUUGUCCAAUUUAGGUAUGAAGCACCAUUAAAUCACUACAAAAAAAAAAAAAGUACAUUGUAUUUAUCCAUUUCUAAUUUACAACCAUGGAGUAGUAAGAAAUACCAAUACAGCAGUCAUCCAACAUACACAUUGUACACGUCUGUUUCAUAAAAUAAUAAUAAAAACACCUUAUCGCUCUUCCCAAAAAAUAUGCAAUGAAACCUGAUGUGGAUAGAAAUGUUGGGAGGUAUACAUCAUUUUUAAAACAAAUACAUAUUGCAUUAAUUUUAAAUAAAAAAAGAAUUAUCCGUUUAAUUCUCCACAAUUCUCAAUUUAACCUAUGAAAAGGGCAAUAUAAGUAAUCACAAUGAUGCACAGCAAUGCAGAACUAUAUUACAAAACAGGAAUAUCCGUCCACUUUUAAUAUCCUGGACAUUUUUCAGCAUUUAACAAAAUGAGAAGCAUUGAAACAAAGAUGUAGUAUUUCUUUUAUUGUAAUAAGGUUAGGCAUUAAGUUUUGGUGAUAAUUUCUACCUAAUGUAUCUCAUUACUGAAAUAAGUCGUCAAUAUUUCUAGGGGGUCAUUGUAGAAAUAAAUGUAAUUAACUAUAGUAAGCGGAAAGAAGCCCCCCCUUGUUUAAGACUAUUCCCAAAUCGUAAAAUACACUAAAUCACAGUCACAAAUCAGCUUCCUCUAUUUCUGAGAUUAUACAUAUUAUUUUCUCGCAUUCACUUACACGCACACACACCGAAAAAAUGCAGAAAUCAUGAGGCUAGGCUUUGUAAUCGCCUGUUUUACUUGUACUGCCUUCCCUUACCCAAAUUACACGGGUAUAAUUAUUUUGACAAUAUAAUGAAAAGAAAAUUGGAUUUGGGCACCGCAAGUUUAUCUAAUAAUGCUAUUUCUUGCCAGGCUUCACAGCACUGACAGUCACAAAGAGACCUGUCCAUUUCAACGGGAAAUAUUUGAUUUUACUUAAGGAACAUUAUUUAUUUUCUGCAAGUUGCUAUUAUCAGAAUGGAUAUGAUAGCUGAAUAAUAAUACACACAAAAAAAAGAAAAUCAAGAAAAUUCUGGUGUUUCAAGGCUUUAAUUUUUUUCCUUGCUCUCACUUUUUGACAUUUUCUUCCCCUGGGAGGACAAGAUAAAAUGCUGUCAUAUAUGGGUGACUUUUCUCGUCAAAUGACAGAUUUGAUUCUCCAUAGCAACUGCAAAUCAAGGUGCUAGUCUGAAUUAAAAGCUUCCUUUUAAAUGAUGAUUCGGUACUAUUAAAAUGUAGGAAAUUAAAUGACCUUUAACCAUUUGAGCACUAGGAGGGUGGAACACCACCCCAGAAAAGAAAUGGUUAAGCACUUUAUAAUUAACGCUAUGAAUAAUAAAUGUAGAUUCUUCAUUGUGGAAUAGAAACAUAACAUAUUUGCAUUUUGGAGGAAAAGUAACAUAUUGAGUCAAGAGAUGCACAAACAAUUAAAGUUACAAGGUCAAGCUAAGGACCUCGCUUUACUAUAUCAAAAUAGAUAUACACAUAAGCGGCGAUGGGUUCAGACUGCACUGAGCCAAAAAAAUGACAAGUGACAGCUGCCUUUCUUUAACAAUUGCAAACAGAACCUCUGGAAGUGAAAGAAGCUCAAGAGAAGAUACAUCAGUUCUUAGUGACACUGAGAGCAAUGCUUUGAACACCUGUCGCUGAGGAGGAUGAGAAGUGUUCACAGCAUUUAUAGAGUUAGACAAUGCGCAUUCCUCUUCCCAAAUGGGUCACCUGGGCUCAAGCAGACAUUUUGCGACUGUCGGAUAACCAAGAAGCAUCAGUAAAUGAUUAACUUUCUCCUUGCUCACUAAAUUGUAUGAUAAUGUUAACUCAAGAUUUGGACCAUGAAGGGCAACAAGCUUUUGGCGAUGUUUUCCUACUGCAGAGAUACAAAUUUCUUGACUUGUGACAUGUGGCCAGAAAGAGUUCUCCAGGUGUAGAUGCUUGCCAAAAAGCAACAUUUUUUUGGCCACUUUUCUAUGGUAUCUAUUAAGUCAGGAAACAUGGAUGCAAAAUUUGUAACAGAUUUUAAUUUGUCUCCACUAAGCAAACAUAUCUUUUUAUAGGCCCUUUAGAAAUCUCAAACAGUUAUCUUUGAACUCCUUGGAGAUCACACAUAAAAUAACACAACUUUUCUCACAAGGAUACAAUGUUUUAUACCUCUGCAGUCUAAGUAACCAAUGAUUCAAUUAUCUACCUGUGCACAAUAAAUCCAGUUGGUGCUGUGACCAAGAAAGAACCACUCUAAAGCAUGUACAAGACUCCUAACUACCACAUACCUUCUGAAGAUCCCAAAUUUGUGACAAUAGUCUAGAACAGGGGUAGGCAACCUUUUAGCAGCACUUGGCCGAUAUAGGAUUGUGAUGUCCCGUAGCGUGCCGGUCCUAUUGUUUUAAAUUGAGGUGUGUAUGCUGCCGUAUUCUGCUUGUGUUAUUUAUACGGUAAUUGCUUUGUAUCGCUGAAUAUUUGUGCGUAUAUGAGCUAUUAUAAUGUGUAUGUUCACAGGAGUAGUUUGUGGUAUCGUCUAUGAUACAUAUGAAUGUGGGCUGUGUAUGGGGGCUGCUUGUGGAAUUGUGUGUGUGGAUGGAUAUGUCACAUUGUGUCUUUGGUAGUGUGUGUAUAUAUGUGUGGGGGCUGUUUGAGGUAUUGCAUGUGAGAGACUGCAUGUGGGGUUGUGUGCAUGUAUGUGGAUUGUUAGCAGGUUACGUUUCUGCGGAUUGUGUGUAUGUUUGUGGGCUGUUCGUAUUAUUUGUAUGAGGUUAGGGUUAUUGUGCAUUUCUGUGUAUAUUUAGCAGUGUGUGUUGCUUCCCUGGGUUCCAGUGGGGACCAGGAUGACCAGGUACAGGUAGAGGACAGGAGCUGCAACAGCAGCUGCAGGAUGCUCUACUACAGUGUGGAUUCCCAUUCACUAUGUGCUGCAAUGCAUAAAUUGAGGAUUGUCUUUUACCACCUUUUUGUAUUAGCAGGUAUCUGAAGUUUCACUGGGACUCCUGAUAGGCCAGAGCCUGUUUGGCUCUAGCAGCCUUGAGUUCCGUGCAAAGACACCUUGAGUGCCAUAGGUUGCCUACCCCUGGUCUAGAAUUUAGUCUCCAGUACUGCUGUUUUUUAUUGUAAUGUCAGGGUUCUGGCCAUAUUAUGUUCCAUUCAAUACACAGAUGCUGCCCAGAUGCCCUCUGGUUAUUCUGCCAAUUCCACACAGUUGAAGAAGCACUCAAAGCACAGUCUGGGGAGCGCAAUCCCUCCCGCUCGUCACUGAAUGUGGCUCAGCCCAGUAGACCGUAGUAGAGGAUCUUCGGUAUCCUCUACCUGGUCGGACAGGAAGCUGCUCGUUGAGAGCAACAAGCAGUUUUUGAAGACAACACAAAGGGGCUGGGGGGGGACAAAGAGACACACAAAGAGACUGGGAGAGACAAAGAGGCACACAAAAGGGAUGGUAGGAAAAAGACACACAGACAGCGUGUCUGGGGAGGGACAAGAGAGGCUAGGGAAGGGGACACAGAGACAUUCAGAAGUGAUGGGGAAGGGAAUAGUGAAACACAUAGAAGGGAUGGGGAAGGGGACAAUGAUACACACAGAUGCGCUGGAGAAAGGGUCAAUGACCCACACAGAGCAGAUGGGGAAUGGGAAGAGAAACACGCAAAGGGGUGAGGGGGGAGAGACACACAAAAGGGCUAGGGGAGAAAGACACACAAAGGGGCUUGAGGGAGACACAAAAAGGGGCUGUGGGAGAAAGAGGCAAAAAUGGGCUGGGGUGGAGAGACACCUUAGGGCAGGGAAAAAGAGACAAAAAGGACAUAAGGGUGAAAGAGACACACAAAGAGGCUGGGGUGAAACAUUAUCUUUUUGAUGGGACUACCCACUAUUUGGGAGGACCCCACCAUCACAACACAAGGGACAUACAUAGCUUUACUUGGACAAUCCCCACUUUCUUACCACUGGUCAUGCAUUCACAUCAAUUGUGUUAGGAGAUAUGCUAUCAUGUUAAUAUACUACUAAAGCUGACACACUGCAUAGCACAGUUUACUUUUAUUUAUUGAAAAACUUUCAGUACUAAUAAAAUGUAGCAAAGCCCUGCUCAAAAUAUAGUUGCAUUAAGUCUAGUACCGCCUUUAAAAUUGGUGUUUAUGGGAUAACAUAAGAUCCAAUCACUAAAGCUUACAAUCUAUUAUUUUUCUAAUGUUUUAACAGGUAGUUCAACAGAAUCCACUGGUAAUUUUUGGGUCUGAAACAACAUCCUAAAUCUAACACACACAUUAGCCCUAAGAAGUCUGUAAUAUAAAAGUGUUAAUAUAAGGAAAUUUAAAAGUCAUUGUGUUUUGUUAUUGUAAGGACAGAACUCUUUAGAGCAGCCAAGUGUCCUAUUGACCUUAAACAGACCAAAUCAUUCCUUUUGAAUUUACGGCUGAACACAUGUUUAUAUAUGUGACAACCACAUGUCAGUUAACAAAAGUAAAGAGAGCUUUUUGACAGAGACAUGGUAAGUUUCAGAGAACACCUUCUGCUUAGCCUUUCUAAAUCCCCAGAGCAAGCGGGAAGCUGACCAUUUGCUCUCAUGAACAAAAGAUUUUUCCAAAGGUUAGAAAUGUUUUUUUGCUAUACAUUUUGUAAAGACAAAACAAAAUGGUUUAAAAUGAAAUAAAUAUAAGAAAUCUAAAAUUGUUUUAAAAUAUUUACUAAGGUUAUUCACUUCAGUGAGCAAAGGCAAAAGUAGUCACACUGAAAGAAUAGCAGACUUGGAGAAUUUCUCCAGCACGGCUAUUUUGGUCUUAAAAUUUAAAUUUACUUUGCAUUCUUGCUUUACUGAAUAACCCUGUGAGAAUUUUUUGUUUUGUAUCGAGGGCCAAUGCUAAUCACAUUCUUGGUAUUAUUAUUUGUAUAGUACCAAAGAAUUCCUUAGAGAUGGAUGGCUACAUUGAAUAAACAGGAAAACAAAAUGUAAUCUGACAAAUGGGAACAAAUCUAUAUGUAGGUUUUGAAAGUUCUCUCAAUAUAAAAAUGCCAGGUGCACAUAUAAAAUGUAUAGCAGACUAUAUGUAUUUGUUUGUAAUAUUGAAGUAAAGGUGGUGCUAGAAACAUAGAAACAUAGAAUGUGACGGCAGAUAAGAACCAUUUGGCCCAUCUAGUCUGCCCAAUUUUCUAAAUACUUUCAUUACUCCCUAGUCUUAUCUUAUAGUUAGGAUAGCUUUAUGCCUAUCCCACGCAUGCUUAAACUCCUUUACUGUGAUAGAAACAUAGAAUGUGACUGCGGUCAGUGGAAUGAUUUGCAAAACUCUUUAACCCCUUAAGGACGAAACUUCUGGAAUAAAAGGGAAUCAUGACAUGUCACACAUGUCAUGUGUCCUUAAGGGGUUAAAUGAAUUGCAAGCUCUAGUUUAAAAGUCGAAAAAAGAGUGAGAUGGAAUCAACACAGUAGUGCUGGUUCUGUCGGGCUGAAUUAAUACAUUCUGUAAGUGAGAUCCAAAAUGUCAAUAACAGAAACUUAUGUAAGCUCUUGGUUUAUCACUCUCCGACAAUGAGUUAUGGUCAAUAUUUUAGGGCUUAGCUCAGGGCAACUAACAGAAUAUCCUUCUUAGGAACUUCCGAUUCUCCUCCGAUGGUAGUGAAGGCAGCUCCUCCGAUGGUAGUGAAGGCAUGAGUGGCACCAUGCGGACACCAGGUAAGAUGUUAAACCAUUCAAAAACAUUUUGAUUCCUUACAAUGGGGAGUACUAGUGCAUGUCUGGCACCAUAACCACUACAGCAAGCUGGUGUGUAUUAUUUUAAUAUUAGUAAUAAUAAUAGAAUAAGUUAUCUGUUUUUCAUAUUGUUGGCCAGACUAUAUUUUAGACAACAUACUAAAUGAUUGGGGACAUCUCCAGACCUCACAAUAAAACAGAAUUCUCUAUACGUUAAAUGGUGAGACCUUCGGUAUUAUCUAAAUAAAAACCAGGCCUUACCACUCGUGUUCAUGUUGAUAUUUUUUAUAAUAAUUUCCUUUCCACGUCCUACAGAUGUCCAUAGCAAAACAGAAGUAAUUACAGAGGACGUUAUUUUUUCAUUGACGUUAGCAUAAAUGUUUGUGCACGCUCUCCAAGUCACAUAAAGCACCAUUUACCCUCACAAUGUACCUUAACUAGGAGGAAGAAAAAUCUAUUAAUAUCUGCGGCCCUCAGCAGACCUGUAAUGAUGAAAUGUCUCUAAGUAUGUGGCUUAACCUCAUUUAAAUAUCAAUAUCUGACUGCAAAGUUUAUGCUCCUAUCCCCAACGCUUCCUUUGUAUUGUUUUACAUCAGUUAGAUCAAAGACAAUUUGACCAAAACAUUUUCAGCCGGCAUCUAGUCUUCUUUUGCCAUUACCUCUGGAAAAAAAAACAUGUAUUUUUUUCCCUCUGCCCUUACUUUACAUGACAAUGGAUCUGAACUCUUAAAAUUAAAAGUCUGACACACAGGCAUUAUGCAAAUAUAUGACAUACUAAUAGCUUAUGCUUUUUAAAUUUGGCAGAGUAAUUACAAGAAGAGAGAGGACAUCCUGCGUGCAACAAUAUUUACAUAUUACCUUUUUAACUACAGAGUCCAUCCUUCUGGAAAGAUAUAUUCAAAAUAUAGCAAUAGAAUAUUUCUUAGUGGGGAGGGGAAAUUGCAUAAUUUAAUGCUCAAUUCUAUUAAAUUCAAGAAAGACUGUUUAUAUAUACAUAUAGGUAUACAUAUUGUGUAUAGUGUAUGAAUUCUACAAGUUUCCAAUCAAACUGUAUAAAAGUAUGCAAAUGUUCCUUCAAAGUGGAUGAUUUGAUACUGCUUGUGUUUAAGACAUUCUAUCAGAACAGAAUUUAUGUUUCAACACUGAACUUGAUGGAUGUAAGUCUCUUUUCAGCCUAUGUAACUAUGUAACGCAAUCUGGCUCUGUAGAGAUCUGCCAUUGACGUCUUGUUCAUAUAAAGACCAAGCUGUUUUUCUUGUAUAAUCUUGGAUAUUAUUAAAGGAGCACUAUAGUGUUAGGAAUGAAAACAUGUACUCCUAGCACUAUAGUGCUGGACUACAUGUUUAGGUGUUCGAACCCGUCCGAAUGGAGUUCAAAGGUAUUUUAGUUACCUCUUCCCCAUCGUCUUAUUGGUUUUGUUAUGGCAGACCCCAGCUCGAUGGUCUACCGUGAUCUCAGCCAACCCAAUGCUUUCCCAUAGAAAAGCAUUGGGAGACUAUUGCACAUGCAUGGCAAAAUGUUGCGUUACGCCAAUCAACAUCUCCUCAUAGAGAGGCAUUAAAUCAAUGCCUCUGCAUGGGGAGCAUUCAACGCUCCAUCAAAAGCAUGGAGACGCUGAACGUAGGUCCUGCAUAGAUUGCAGGACCUAACCAGGAAGUCCCUCUAGUAGCUAUUUGAGUGACUGCCGCUAGAGGUGUUACUGGCCAGCAAUGUAAACACUGCCUUUCUAUAAAGGCUGCAUUUACAUUGCUAUACCUGCAGGGACAUGCUAUAGACACCAGUACCAGUACAUUAACCUAUAGUGAUUCUGGUGACUAUAUUGUCCCUUUAACCAUUUCAGUGUUAUUUAAUUUACCUACUUUAAAAUACGGAGGAUUGACAACUGCCAGAAAUAAAAUGUAAAACAAUGCGGUUUGAACAGGAACUAAAACUAGUGCAUUAAGACACUGAUUAAUCUCGUAAUUUUUGACUUAUUACUAUGCAUCUAAACAACAGUUUAUAUAUAGAAAUGUGUAUAUUGUUCUUAAACAUAGAGGAAAACAGUGAUGUGCCUUGCUUUUUAAGACUGCAUAGUACAACGUUUCCCAAUUGGUGUUCCGCGGAACCGAACACAAAUGGGGUUCCGCCAAAAUUUCUGAAAAUAAAAUGGCCGCGGGCAGUGAGGGAGCAGUGAUCUCAUGCGCAUACCAGUGAUGCCGAAGGCGCAAUAUGACGUCACUCCGGCUCCGGCAUCGCUAAGAGGCGCACGAGAGAGCUGAGCAGGGAGAUCACUGCUCCCUCGCCGCCCGCACGCCAGCCACUCAGCAGCCCCACUGGACACCAGGGACAUAGAAAUUCCAUGCCAGCACUCCUAAAGAUAGGGAGGCUGGGUGGAGUAAAAUUAUAAUAAAUGUGUGUCUUUUAUGGAGUUUGUAUGUGCUUGUGUGUCUGUCAAAGAGUGUAUGUGUGUUUGUCGGUGAGAGUGUAUGUGUGCUAGCCAGCUCCUUGGUUUUGCACCCCUCCCUGUCACAGGUGCCUCAUCCCAGGGCCCUAUUUAGCCUUGUACUGCAGAGCAUUCGAGAUGGAAUUUUUUCUCCAAGUAAGUAGUUCAUUUAGCAGAUAUUUGGCUGUUAGAUUAGGACCUGCCAAAGAUGGGGUACAUUGACGUUGUUGUAGGCUUAUGCAAUGUAUGAUCAUAUAAUGUAACUAAACCCCCAUUAUUUUUUGCCUAGAUUAGGUGUUUUUAAAAAACUAACAAAAUCUGUCAGCAUCAAAGUUGCUGUUUAGUAAAUUAUGGAGUGCGCUGGAUUUUAAUUUUUAUUGUAUGUGUGCUUGUCAGUGAGAGUGCGAGUGUGUAUGUGUUUGUCAGUGAGAAUGUAUGUGUGCUUGUCAGUGAGAGUGUAUAUGGGUUUGUAUGUGUGUCUGUAAAAUAGUAUGUGUGUUUGUCAGUGAGUGUAUGUGUGUCUGUAAAAUAGUAUGUGUGUUUGUCAGUGAGAGUCUAUGUGUGUCUGUCACAAAUUGUGUGUCUGAGUGUGUCAGUGUGUGUAUCUGUUUGUCAAGGUUUGUGUAUGUGGCACUGUGUGUAUCUGAGUGUGUGUGUGUGUAUGUCAGUAUGUGUGUGCAUGUGCCAGUAUAUAUCAGUGUGUUUGUAUGUGCCUAUGUGUGUGUGUAUGUCAGUGUGUGUGUAUCUGAGCGUGUCAGUGUGUGUAUAUGACACUGUGUGUAUGUGUCAACAUGUGUAUCUGAGUGUGUGUGUAUGCCAGUGUGUGUAUCUGUGGGUGCAAGUGUGUGUAUAUUUCACUGUGUGUAUCUUAGAGUGUGUGUGUAUUUGUGAGUCAAGAGGUGUGUAUGUGUCACUGUGUGCAUCUGAGUGUGUAUGUGUAUCUGAGUGUGCAUAUCUGUGUGUCAAGGUGUGUGUAUCUGUGUACCACCAUGUGUGUAUCUGUGUGUCAGAUACAUACACACACACACACACGGAUGCACACUGACACAGAGACACACACACUGGCACAUACAAACACAGAUACACACACCGGCACACACAAACACAGAUACACACACUUUGACACAUAGAUACACACCUUGACACACAGAUACAUACACACACAGAUACACACUGUGUGUAUCUGUGUCAGUACGUAUAUCUGUGUGCCACUAUGUGCCAGUUUGUGUGUAGCUGUGUGUUAGAUUCAUACACACUGGCACAUACAAACACAGAUAAACACACUUUGACACACAGAUGCACACACUUUGACACACAUAUGCGCACACUUUGUCACACAGAUACAUACACCUUGAAACACAGAUACAUACAUACACACACACACAGAUACACACUGUGUGUCAGUGUGUGUAUCUGUGUGCCAUAAUGUGCCAGUGUGUGUAUCUGUGUGUCAGGUACAUACACACACAGAUACACAUUGACACAGAGACACACACUGGCACAUACAAAACACAGAUACACACACCUUGACACACCGACAAACACCAGCAUAUACAAAAAAAGGGUCAGUUUAGUUUUUUUUCUAAUGUGUAUUUAAUGCAAAAUGGACCAUAAUAAAGUAAUAAUAAGAAACCUAGGUGUUGCUGUUUCAACGAUACUUCAGAAUUAGGUUUUUGAGCACGCUAAAACGUUAUAAAGUCAAUCGCUAUAUAUUAUCUAUUUAAUCACUGACCUUUCUUUUUAUUUUAUUUUCUCUUUAAAGUAUUGACCUAAAAAAAAUAAAUAAAAAAGAAUUCCUCAGAGCUUUGUAUGACUGUUACACAUUGAGCACUGCCCAAGAAAAUAUUUUGGAUAUAGCAACAGCCAGCAGGGUACUAGGAAAUUAAACUUCUACUAAGUUCAAAACAAACAGGUGCCUGGAAGGCAGAGGGACUCUGAAGAAACAUUUCAGUCUAUGUACUGUCGAGGUUUGGGAGUUGGCACGGACAUAUGUGUUUGUAAAUGAAAAACUUGCAAGUUCUAUCCUUUUAUAUAAAACGUGCAAAGGUGUUAUUGCAUGUAGCUAACUAAUUAGGUGGAUUGGAAUUUGAUUUAAAAAAAUAAAUACAAGUAAAAAAAGAAAAACAAAAAAACAACUGAAUAAACAGAACUUAAAAUAACAUAGAAUACAUUUCUAAUAAAAAAAAAAUAUCAUAACGUUUAAAAUGCAUACCAAUUAAUAUAUAAACUAUAAUAAAAAUUAAUUCAAUUCCUUUUUAUUACAGAGAUAUAUCAGUAUAUAUUUACUAGCAUACAAAAACUACAGACAUAAUUCAUAUAAUUGAACCAUAUGUCACUAGAAUAGAAUCAUACAUGCUAACUGUCCCUGUUUAGCAGGGACAGUCAAUAGUAUGAGCCCAAAUCGCACUGCCCUUCUUUUCUAUUCUAAUGUACCUCUUUUGCCUGGCACUGCGGCCCGGUUGCCGUCCAUACUGGGCAGAGAGAGAGGCAGGGAGCCCAUUUAGUGGUGUACUAAUAGGGGGGCAGUCCACCGUCUUAGCAAGAGCCGCGGCUGGGCAGGAGGGGGAAUGUGGCGGUGCACGGAGGCACGCAUUACAGUGCUGUCCACAUGUUUUGCCCUCACAGUGUCUUCAGAGCAGAAGUGCUCUCACACUCUGUGUGGGCUGCGCCCGGAUCAGCAAGGAGCAGCAAGCAGGCGGAGGAGCAGGGUAAGUGCUUGCUAAUAUUGUUGUUGUUUUUGUUGUUGUUUGAAAGUGUUUUUGUUUUUUUGUGCUAGGGACUUAAGUGGGGGCAGAGAUUUUUUGUGAAUGUGUUUGUAGGGGUACAUGGGUCUUUGUAGACAGGUUGGGCAGGGGUCUUUGUAGAGGAGGUGGGCAAGGGUCUUUGUAGAGGGGGUGGGCCCGGCUCUUUGUAGAGGAUGCAUGAGUUUUGGUGAAUCAAGGGGUAGGGUUUUUUGUAGAGGGAGGGGAGCAGGAUUUUUGUGGAGUGGGGCAGGGGAUUUGUAGAAGGGGGACUAGGCAGGGGCUUUGUAGAAGGGGAGGUUUUGAAUAAGGGGGACUGAGUAGGGUUUUUUUGUAGAGGGAGUACUGCGCAGGGAUUUUUGGAGAGGGAGGGGGCAGGGUUUUUCUCGAUGGGGCAGAGGAUUUGUAGAAGGGGGACUGGGCAAGGGUUUUAUAGAAGGGGGACUGGGCAAAAGUUUUUGUAGAGGGGGUGCAGAGCUUUUGUAGAAAGGGGGGGAGUUUAGAAGGGGGACCGGGCAGGUAGUAGGCAAUAAAAAAAUAAAUUAUAAAACAUUCAAAAAACAAACAAACUAGUGGGUGUUUUUUUACAUUUGAAUUGGGGUGGGGGAGUGCCAAACUCAGGAUGUGCCACAUGUGCCCAAAGCUCUAUGUAUGCCCCUUAGCCCAUUACUCCUCCUGCACAGCUUCCUCGCCGCCCGCUGGUAUAUGAUGUCAUCUAGGCAUCACUGGGCGCGCGAGGGACCUAGCUCCAGCCCAGCAGCAACCACUGGCCACCAGGAAGAGGAUCCACUCCAGUCCUCCCAGAGCAAGUUAGGGAGGCUGGAUAGACCUCUUUUGUAUUAAAUGUGUGUGCAUGUGAUUUUUUUGUGUAUGUUUUGUCAGUAAUUGGCUGUGGGGGGUAGGGGUCUGUGGACAUGUCUGUGAUUGUGUGUGUAAGUUUGUGAUUAUGUGUGUAGGUCUGUGAUUGUGUGUGUAUAUAUAUCUGUGAUUAUGUUUUUGUAUGUAUGCGAUUGUGUGUAUAAGUGUGUUAUUUUAUGUGUGUGUGGAUCUGUGAUUAUGUUUGUGUAUGUAUGUGAUUUUGCGUGUGUGUGUAUGUAUGUGAUUGCAUGUAUAGUUAUGUGAUUGUGUGUGUGGGUCUGAUUGUAUGUGUGUGUAUGUAUGUGAUAUGUAUAGGUCUGUGAUUGUAUUUGUGAGUGUGGAUCUGUUUGUGGGUGUAUUUGUGUAAGUGUAUAGGUCUGUGAUUGUGUGUGGGUAUAUCUGUAUGUGUGGGUCUGUGAUUGAUUGUUUGUGUAUGUAUGUGUGUAUUUGUGAUUGUGUGUAUAGGUCUGUGAUUGUAUGUGUGUGUCGGUGAUUAUGUUUGUAUAGAUUUGUGACUGUGUAUAGGUCUGUGAUUGUCUGUGUAUGUCAGUGAUUAUGUUUGUAUAGAUUUGUGACUGUGUGUAUAGGUCUGUGAUUGUGUGUGUGUGUGUGUAUAUCUGUGGUUAAGUGUGCAUACUUAUAUACGUGUGUAUGUGUUUAGUAGAUAGCUCCCUAAUUUGAUAUCCUAAAAUAAAUAGUUAUCUACUAAACAAUUGAAAUAUCAAAAUUAAGAAAAGGGAUUUUAAAGAUAUAUUACUUAUAUACAUUAUCUAUAAUCUGUAUGAUAUAUUUGAUGUGUGGCCCAAGACAAUUCCUCUGGGCUCAGUGCGGCACAGGGAAGUCAAAAGGUUGGACUCCCAUGUUCUAAACUAUAUUUACUUGUGUAAAUUGCUAUUAGUCAGUCACUGCCCUACCCCUGGUCACACCUCCACUCACACCCCUGAAAUUAAAGUGUUUUCUUCUUUGUCAAUUUGAAAUGUUAGGAGGCAUAAUUGAGCACCCUAUAUCAGAUACCCUUAAAGGGACACUAUAGACACCCAGACCACUUCAGCUCAUUGCAUGCGCUGUAUGAUAAUAUCCAGCAUCAGCUAUUUCCCCAAAGGAAAGCACUGAUUUAUUGGUGUCCUAUAGAGAGGGACUAAUGCGCACGCGCGGCACUCGAAAUGCGCAUUAGUGCCCCCUCGCCAGUAACAUCAAAGGAGACGAAGUUGCAACUCAGCACCCAGGGACAUCACCGCUAGGCUAAGUUAAGUACCGUAUAAGAUAACUUUUUAACCCAGGAAAAUCUUUUAAAAAGUCGGGGGUCGUCUUAUAGGGCGGGCAGGGCCGGCGCUUCCUACAAGGUGAACUAGGCAGCCACCUAGGGCGCCAUAUAGGAGGGGGUGCCCCCAUCACCGGAAGGUAAAGGGAGCUUUAUUGCCAGGAAUAUAGUUUUGUAUUAUAGUAUCCCUUUAAUGUUGUUCAUCUCCCAAAGAAGGACUGUAGGCCCAUAUUAUGAUUACGACAAUUAUACGGCCACGAGUUCUUGCUUUUUCCACCCUGUGCUAAUGGUUUCAAACAUCUACAAAGGGCCGUUUUUCCCUUCAUUUUAUUAUGAAACAUUCAAAUAUUUACUUUACUAAACAAGGCAAGUGAUCUUUGAUGAUAAACUGGGUACAUAGAAGAGAUAAAUUAAUGUAUGAUGGCUCCAGAUGAUUCUUGUCUCAACGAAAGACAAGUAACAUACAUUAUCAGGUCGUCUUGUGAGAGCAGAUAAGUGCAUCAAAACUAAGUGAUUGUUGUGAAUAACUGUUUUGUGACUGAGAAUGCUUUCACUCUUGUUUUAGCAUGUGACAAAAUAAUAAUAACCCUGACAUUUCUCUUGGGAAUGACAAGAAAAAUGUAUAGUAAUUUAUUUCGAGCUAUACUUAUAUUAAUUCCCAGAGGAUCAGUCUCACAAACAAGACCUAUGCACGGUCGCUGCAAAAUGAGGCACUUUAAAGGUUAGUUUGCCAUUACAUCGUUGUGACAUUUUUUAUUCAUAUCACAGGAAUCUUUACAGAGUUGUUUUUUGACAUCUUUAUUCAAACAACCAAAUAAAAGCAUUGCUUCCAGAAAUUUGUUAUAACUAGACUGAGAUUUGGCGACUCCAGUACGUUAAUAUUUUCACAGCCUCCUUAUCUCCCAACAAAAAAAAAAAAAUUCACAAAAAAGACAUUUUUGUUCCAAUACCCUUUACCUUCCCUGGCACAGAAAAUGUGAAGAAUUAAAGUCUGGGGGGUGCUGGGGGGUGGCCAGCUGUGUUUACUCUGCUACAAAUCGAACUUGCUGUACUCAUUCACCUUACAUGCCUCCCUAAGGAAGCAAAGAAAACCUAUGACACUUUACCGCCCUAAACUCUAUCUCGUUCAUGUGCAGAGAGAAAAUAUACAGGGAACAGAAAUCUGUGCUCAUCCAGUUUUGCCCAGGAGAAUCUAGGCAGGGCCGGCCUUAGGCCUUCAGGCGCCCUGUGCGAAUAAUCUUAACAGCGCCCCCCCCCCCGCGCCAUCCAUGUGUAUAGGGGAUUUAUUAAAUGAAAAUUUAACUAUUAACAAAUAUUUAUCACCUCUUCCCUGUCAUUACCUUGCAUGGAGGGAGGGCAUGCUGAUCUCUGGUGAUACAGUUUGCUGGGAAUAUGGUCGGUGCCUUCACUGGGUGCAGACCAUCAGCAACUGUCUCCUGAGCUCAGGCACUUACAGUAUCAGAGCUUUCCUGUGGUAAUCCGCGGCAACGUUCUGAUUGGCCGGAACUCGGAAGACAGCUACAUUUAUCAUGUGUGUGUCAGACGUGAUUGUGUGAUGUGUUCUCUGUGUGCCAUAUUUGUAAUGGGUGUAUUGACUGUGUCUGAUAUGUGUGUGUAUUGACCGUGUGUGAUUUUUGUUCACUAUAGCAGUAGAUAGGGGGAGCAGGGGCACUGGGGUAGAUGUGGGAGCAAUGCACUAUAGCAGUAGAUAAGGGGAGCAGUGUCACUAGGGUAGACAGGGAACAAUGGCAAUAUAGGGGGAGCAUGGGCACAAUAGGGAUGGAUAAGGAGCAUGGGCACUAUAGGGGUAGAUGGAGGGAUCAGGUACACUAUAGGGGUAAAUGGGGAAGCACUAUAGGGGUAGAUGGGGAGCAGGGGUGCUAUAGUGGUAGAUCGAGGAGCAGGGGCACUAUAGAGGUAGAUAGGGGGAACUAUAGAGAUAGAUGGGGAACAUGGGUACUAUAGGAGUAGAGGGGGCACUAUAGGAGUAGAGGGGGCACUAUAGGGGUAGAGGGGGGCACUAUAGGGAUAGAUGGGGAACAGGUGUACUAUAGGGGGAGCAGGGGCACUAUAGGGGUAGAGGGGGAACAGGGGUACUAUAGUGGGAGCAGGGGCACUGUAGGGAUAGAUGGGAACAGGGGUACUAUAGGUGUAGAUGGGGGCACUAUAGGGAUAGAUGGGGAACAGGGGUACUAUAGUGGGAGCAGGGGCACUGUAGGGAUAGAUGGGAACAGGGGUACUAUAAGGGGAGCAGGGGCACUAUAGGUGUAGAUGGGGGCACUAUAGGGAUAGAUGGGGAACAGGGGUACUAUAAGGGGAGCAGGGGCACUAUAGGUGUAGAUGGGGGCACUAUAGGGGUAGAGGGGGCACUAUAGGUAUAUAUGGGGAACAGGGGUACUAUAGGGGUAGAGGGGGCACUAUAGGGAACAGGGGUACUAUAGGGGUAGAGGGGGUCACUUUAGUGGUAGAGGGGGAACAGGGUUACUAUAGGGGUAGAGGGGGGCCCUAUAGGGAUAGGGAGCACUAUAGGGGUAGAUGGGGAACAGGGUUACUAUAAGAGUAGAGGGGGCACUAUAGGGAUAGAUGGGGAACAGGGUUACUAUAGGGGUAAAGGGUGCACUAUAGGGGAAGAGGGAUAGAUGGGGAACAGGGUUACUAUAGGGGUAGAGGGUGCACUAUAGGGGAAGAGGGGGGCACUAUAGGGAUAGAUGGGGAACAGGGUUACUAUAGGGGAAGAGGGGGGCACUAUAGGGAUAGAUGGGGAACAGGAUUACUAUAGGGGAAGAGGGGGGCACUAUAGGGAUAGAUGGGGAACAGGGUUACUAUAGGGGUAGAGGGGGGCACUAUAGAGAUAGAUGGGGAACAGGAUUACUAUAGGGGAAGAGGGGGGCACUAUAGAGAUAGAUGGGGAACAGGAUUACUAUAGGGGAAGAGGGGGGCACUAUAGGGAUAGAUGGGGAACAGGGGUACUAUAGGGGAAGAGGGGGGCACUAUAGGGAUAGAUGGGGAACAGGGUUACUAUAGGGGUAGAGGGGGGCACUAUAGGGAUAGAUGGGGAACAGGGUUACGAUAGGGAAGAGGGGGCACUAUAGGGGAAGAGGGGGGCACUAUAGGGAUAGAUGGGGAACAGGGGUACUAUAGGGGUAGAGGGUGCACUAUAGGGAUAGAUGGGGAACAGGGUUACUAUAGGGGUAGAGGGGGGGCACUAUAGAGAUAGAUGGGGAACAGGAUUACUAUAGGGGAAGAGGGGGGCACUAUAGGGAUAGAUGGGGAACAGGGGUACUAUAGGGGGAGCAGGGGCACUAUGGUCUCACUUACCAGGCAGCAGAUUCAGGCCUCGGUUAGCUCCGCCCCCACCGACCACUUGGCUCCGCCCCCAUCGGCUGCUUGGCUCCGCCUCCUACAGUCUCUUUCGCUGCUAAGCCCUGGUAGAGGGCAGGGGGUGUGCAAGCUGUCAGCCAUAGGGCGCCCCCUGCUGCCAUGGCGCCCUGUGCGGCCGCACAGAUCGCACACCCCUAAGGCCGGCCCUGAGGGGGGGUGUCAGUUCCGUCGUAAAUGUUUUAUAAUAGCCCAUAUCGUAGCCGUCAGGUCCUGGUGCUUUGUUCCCCUUUAGGGCGGAGAUCGAGGCCGCCACCUCCUCCGGUGUGAUGGGUGCUUCUAGAGCGUUGGCCUCUCCUGGUGUCACCCUGGGUAGGUUAGUGUGGGUUAGGAAGUCAGCUAUGCGGGCGCGAUGUUGGGUCUGGGCAUCACCCUCCAGUGGUGAAAGGUUAUAUAGUUGCUGAAAGUAUUCUGUAAAGGCGUCAUUGAUAUCUUUUGGGGUGUUAACUAGUUUGUUGGCUUUGUUACGGAGCGUUGUGAUGGGUUUGUAUCCCUGUCUCGGUCUGAGUGUACGCGCUAGCAGUGUGUCCAUUUUAUUGGCUUUUUCAUAGAACUUGCGCCGUGAUCAUAGUAUAGAACGUGUUAUUUCUGCUGUCAUGUGCUCCCUGAUUGCGUGUCGAGUGCCUUGGAGUUUGUCGUAUGUGGUGGGGGAUGGGUUUUGUUUAUGUUGUUGUUCGAGCUUCCGCAUAGCGGUUUGUAAUUCUAGUAGGUGUUUUGUUCGUGACCGUUUUUUAUGACUGGCUGCCUGUAUGAGAUGUCCCCUCAGUACGGUUUUGUGUGCCGCCCAGAGUGUUGUUGGGUUAACGUCUUCCGUGUCGUUGGUACUAAAAUAGUCCGUGAUUUUUUUGUCGCGUCGUGGUAAGUAUUGUUUCAUCGGUGAGUAGGGUUGUGUUGAGUCUCCAUGUCCAGUUGUUGUGGUGUUGGAGGUUCCCCAGCGUAAUCGCUACAUCAGCGUGGUCUGACCACGUGAUGCUGUUUAUUUCUGAGUGAAUGAGUUUGGCCAUACCCGCUCCAUUGAGGAGGAUAUUGUCUAUUCUGGAGUAUGUGUUGUGUGGUACCGAGUAGUAUGUAUAGUCUCUUGUGUCUGGGUGUUGGAGUCUCCAGGCAUCCAUGAGUCCAGUGUGUUGGAGGAAGGAGUGUAGGAGUUUAUCUUGUCCCCCCCUACUUUGAGAUCUUUGUGUCCCUGGUUUGGAACUGCGGUCGAUUGCUGGGCAGGGAACAGCGUUGAAGUCACCUCCCACUACUAGAAUGCCCCCUUGCAGGGUGGCGAGCAGGGAUGUUAUGGUGUCCCAAUAAGCCCGGUCUGGGUUGUUGGGUGCGUAUAAGUUUACGAUAUGCAGUUUAGUGUUAUAGUGGGUGCCACUUAUGGUUACGAAUCUGCCUUCUGGGUCUAUCUGUUUAUGUGUCAUUAUAAAUGGGCAGCGUUUGUGUAGAAGUAUAGCUACUCCUGCUUGUUUGCGUGGUGCCCUGGCCUCGUAUGUUGUGGUGAAGAGACGGUCUCCUAGUUUGAUCGAUGUGGCUUUAGGAAUGUGCGUCUCCUGUAUAAGUGCUAUGUCGGCCCGUUUUGCUUUUAAUUCUCGCAAUAAUAGUCUGCGUUUGGUAGGAGUGUUUAGUCCUUUCGCGUUUAUGGAUAGAAUUUUCAACGUCAUGGUUGGGUCUGUCUUAUGGGAUGCUUGUGUGUGUGUGGGACGGAGGGUCCAUACCUGUCAGGAGUCUGUUGGUCUCCCCCCUUUUCUGUUGCUGCCGUCCGGCGGUCUCUUUGGGGUAUCAGGAUUAGCAUUUCACUCGUGCAUAGUGAACCAAAAACCAUAAACGUAAACAAAAACUUAACAUAAUUAUGAACCAUAUAAAAAGGUUUAUAGAAGCAUAUGUAGCGAUGUACUUUCAGUCUGGUCUUACAAUUUGCCAGAAUGGAAUGGGGAUAAACCUCACUCCCGCAGGUCAGAAUUCUGUCCUAUUCCGGGGUGGGAGGCUCACCAAUCCACUGUGCCUCUGUGCGAGGCGUCAGAUGCAGCCUGCCAUCUGGUUGGGUGCCUAUCUCAUCCUUUAUAUCUCGGGGGGAGGAGGGGGCAGGACAAGUAGUUGGGUUAUUUUAUUUUAUUAUUUUUUUUCUUUCUUUCUUGAAAUGUUUCUGGUUAAGGGAAACAUCUGGUUGUGUUAAGUUGCAGCGGAGCAUAAGGGUGAGAGAUUGCUAGACACGGCGAUUGAGUGAGGAGUAAGCCAGUAGGGAUCCUCUGUAGGCCGUGGUGGAGGAGGGGGGUCUGUUAGGGCAGUGUUCGUGCUAUGCGGCUUCCAUCUCUAGGAAGAGAAAGAGGAAUGCCCACUGGAGUUGUGACCCGGGCAAUCUAGUUUUCUGAUUAUUCGUGAGCUAUCUAGGAAAUACUACCCUGUUUCUAUACAGACAAAGAUACAUAUGUACUAGUGCUCAGUGGUCUUCAUCUGAGCUGCGGCUCAUGACCCUGGGGGUACAUUAUAUUGCAUGAGAACAGGUAUUCAAUGGCAUUAGUGUAACUGUUGGUCACAAGGUCGUUUUCGAGGCGUAAGAGCUCAUAGGACGCUCAACUUUCAAAGGCCAUAUCAGCCAAAGCGGAGGAGAGAACAAACACCUCUGACUCCACAAGCCCUUUCCAGUUUGGCUGCCACGGCCCCGAAUUCCAAGUUCAGCGAGGAACCCCAUGAACAUGCGCCAUAUCCAAUGUUACCAGUCCAGAGUGUUUGAUAGUAUUCACAUGUACAUAUAUUUUUUUUGCCCGCACCCUCCCUUUUUUUUUUUUUCUCCCCUUUUUUUUCCCCUCCCCCUUUUUAUUAAUUUUUUUUUUUUUGUUUUGUUUUGUUUUGUUUUCCCUCUGUAUUUUGUGUUUUGGGAGGAUAGUAAUUGCCUGUUGUUUCCAGGCUGGUUUAGGUUGUGAGAGAGUCAUAGCACCCCCCCUGUAAGGAUAGUCCCUGAGUGGUUACCUGACCAUGAAGCCAGAUUGGCAGAUUAUGUAAUAUGUAUGGAAGUCCUGGGCUCCCUCUUGGGGCCUUAGUGUCGGCGACCCGCUGAGUCCUUGGCGGUGGUCCAUUCUGCAGGUAGAGUGUUGAGCUCGGGUAAAGUCUCCUGGGUCAGGGCAAAGCCUGGUGGCGGUUCCACUUGGAUGCUCCUAAGGAAUUUCCUCGGGUCCGCUCCUGGUAGCAGCGUGUAUGUGGUUCCGGAUUUGAAGGCCACUAAUUUGAAGGGGUGUCCCCAAGUGUAUCUGAUCUCCUUAGCUUGUAGAAGUAGCGUCAGGGGUCUCCAGUUUCUUCGGCGUUGCAGAGUGGUAGGGGAUAGGUCCUGAUACAAGUUGAUAGCUGUGUCUUGGUAUGUCAGAUUUUUAUUUCUUGCGUAUUUCAUUACCGCUUCCUUCGUGGAGUAGUAGUGAAAACGGAGGAUGAUGUCCCUUGGGGUCUGUCCCUCCACUCUGCAUGCCCGGAGCGCUCUAUGUGCGCGGUCAAUUGCCCAGUGUUCGUCCGGAAUACCUGGGAUUAGUUGUUUAAAGUACUGCUUCAUUUUGUUUACCAGGUCCCCCUCGUUAGGAGAUUCGGGGAGUCCCCGGAGUCUUACAUUAUUGCGCCUGGAGCGGUUGGCUAGAUCUUCCACCAUCAUUUCCAGGUCUGCAAUUUGUUGUCCCAUGGUCCUGGAAUGUGUCACCACCAGAUUGUGAGCGCUGGUGAUUUGCUCCAUUUUAUCCUCAAGGGCCGCCGUCCGUGCGCCCAGUGCUUGAAUUUCUGCUUUAACUGCUUUGGUGCUAUUGGAAAUUUCUUUGGCUAAAAAGUUUCUGACCUCCGUCAGCUUAGUUAAGAUAUGUGGGGUAUCUUCCGUUUGGAAUUCGGGUAUAUCACUACCCGUUGUGGAUGCCGGGGAGAGGGAGCCGUGAGGGCUGUGUCGGCGGCCAUCUUGGGAGGCCUGUCUGCCUCGUGGUGUCGCUAGCAUUUCGGCCACUGACCUGGCAGUUUCCCUUCGAUCCCCUUUUUUUUUUAAGGUUUGUUUAGCUCCGGAGUGUGAGCCUGGCAUGUUUCAGCUGUUGUGGCUGUCGUCUGGGUCUCGAUGCUCGUGGCUGGUGCUGGAUUGUGAGUGGAUUGUGCGGAGCUCUGGAACUAUGCGGCCAUCUCGGUCGGCAUCCAGACCACGCCCCCGACACUACCUUGAUUUUGUUUGUGUAUAGGGUAAAGUAAGUUUAGUGCUUUAUGCAUUCUGUCUGUACCUUGACGUCUGCUGAAGAAGCCGACCUGGUCGGAGUGGAUUAGGUGAGGGAGUAUAGUUUUAAGCCUGUUCGCGAACAGCUUGGCAAAGAUUUUGGCAUCCACAUUGAGCAGGGAGAUGGGAUGGAAGUUGGGACAUUUAGUUGGUGUUUGGGACAGUGUAUGUAAAGACACUCUAUCAAGAAAAAGAUCUUCCAUACCCCAACUAUCAUCGGUGCAUGAUAGUUGGGGUAUGGAAGUGUCACUUUUAAGAUUGUAUGGUCUGCUGUAAAAUUUAGCAAAUUCGUUACAGAUGUCUUGGGUUGGAGUAUUUUCUGUCCCGAAUCAGUUAGAAUGUAGAGGAUCUUGGUAGAAGAUGGUCUGUCUCUAAGAGUGUUGGACAAAACCCUGCCUGCUUUAUUGUUUAGGAAGUAAUGUUUGCAUCUUAGUUUUUGGAGCGUGUGAGUUGUCUUGAGAAGUUGUAUGUCAUUGAUUUGUUUGGUAAGGGAUUUUAUAGUCUUAUCUAGGUCGUCUGAUGAUUGUAGGAAGUGGGCCUGGGAUGCGUCUCUCAGAUUCCUGAGUAAAGUGAGUUAGUGGACUUGGGCUUGCUAUGAGGAGACCUCGUAUCACUGACUUGUGAGUCUGCCAAAUUAAGGCAUAUCCGGCAUGUUACGUGCAAUGUAGUCAUGUAAUUCUUCCUGUAAUGUGGCUGCAUAGGUCGCGUCCUGUAGGAAAAAGUCGUCUAGUCACCAUGGGUCACUGCCUCUAAAUUUGAAGUCAUCGGCUAAAGUGAUGAAUAGGGGGGCGUGAUCAGACCAUAGGAUGUCGCCAUAUGAGUUUUGGCAUAGAGCGUUUAGUGAAGGGCCCUGAAUCUAUUCUGCAGUGGGAGGUGUGUACCGCUGAGUAGUGGGAGGACUGUCUAUCUGAGGGGUGGCAUGUCCUCCAUAUAUCAUAGAGAUUGUGUCUACAUAGUAGUUUUGUAAGAGCUUGACAGGCCACUUUCACUCUCCUUUUCUUUGGCGCCCUAACUGGAGAAGAGGAGUCUAGUAUGUGGUUGAAGUCACCACAGAGCAGCAGGGUCCCUUUUUGUAUAGGAGCCCGUGCUGUAUAAAACUGCUUUGUCCCGAGUUGGGACAUAGAUAUUGACCAGCGUAUAUAGCCUAUCGUUUAGUAGACAAACCUGUAUGAGGCAACUUAAAGGCUACUGAUUUAUGAAUGAAUAAGGAGACUUCCCUCGCUUUAGAGACAUGGGCGGCGUGGUGUUGGGUCGGGUAGUGGGCCAUACCAAAUGAGGGUAGUUUUGAUUUGGGCAAUUGCAUUUCCUGUAAAAACACUAUGUCCGCCUGUGCCUGCUUUGCUUCCUUAAGGAACAUACGCUGCCUGUGAGGUGUAUUAAGACCUCGGACAUUAUGUGAGUAUAUGCUCAUAAAAUAGGAGGCAAGUAAAUGCUGAGUUUCUAGUGGAAAUGCCUAUAUAGAAGGAAGCAAAUUUUUUAUGGCAAAAAUGAUUUGUGCUUGUAGGUACAUUGUGCCGGUAUACCUGUCUAGCAACAAGGUGCUUAAAGGUGAAACCAUAAAUAGCCUUGUGGAUCUGCGUGGGGGUGUCUCCCUUCUCCACGAGGUGGAGGGAUAGUGGCCCGUGAGGUCUCUCAGCUGAAAUGGGAAGGUCCGCUUGGGACAUUGAUACAGUGUUGUUAUCAAGUAGACGGCAUACAGUGAAACCUGUUUAGUAUGUCUGAAUUGGGCAGGUGCGGAUACCAUAUGUAAGGUAGUUGGGGGGUAGAAACUGUAAGAACAAAAAGAGUAUAUACAGCAAUACCCAUGUCAGUGGGUAUGUUGCGGAAAUGGAUUGCAUUGGGGGCAUGGAUAAUGGCCUAGUGGGUCCCAGGAUAGAUAGGGUAGACUGGAAUGAUGGUCAAAUAUCAGGACCAUUACAUCUAUGGUUUAACAGUACAACGAAAAGCAGCCUAUCAACCACAUUUAAGGCAACUAACGGUAAUAGUAGCAUGAUGUCAAUAACAUGCGUGUACACACUUUUCUAGGCCUAUAACAGUAAGCUUAUAAGGGAACUUGUGUGUGGGUGUCCCUUAGCAUUUUUAAAAAUUUUCUCUUGUGUGGUCUAUAGCGGGACAUCUGUACUGGGCCUAUCGUUAGGGCUAUAGGAAACAGGCCAUAUUGGCAAUAUGCGUGCAUGUUGGGCAUCGGGAUGAUAAUAGUAUGUGCUAGGAACAACAUUUAUAUGUGGAUAGUCAGAGGAAGUGGUGCUAGGCUACAGAUCUAAAGAGAUAUAUUGCAAGUCUCUGGUACUGCUCACGGUUAAGCUUGGGCUUUGCGUUUCUCCGGUGCCCUCUACCAGUCCGGUCUCAGCUUUCCAGGGUGGGACCUUGUCGGAAAAAUGGAACCGGACGAUAGGGUCCUUUGUUGGAGGAUCCUUGCGUAGGACCUCUGUCACCGACUGGUAGGUCUUAAUGGUCCGGAGCAUGGCAUCAGACAGCUCCGAAAAAAUCUUGAUGGACCAGUAUUCCGUUGGCAAAUCUUUUUUAGUGCGGCUGGCUUUUUAGAAUGAGCUCCUUGGCGUGGAAGUAAUAAGCUCUCAGGAUAACAUCACUUGGCACAGUAUCAGGCAAAUGUCGUAAGCAUGGGAUCCUGUGUAUUCUGUCCAACAAUAAGAGAUCUUUCGGUAGAUCUGGAGCUAGGCGGUGGAACAAGUCUAUGGCAAAUUCAUGGAGAUCUUGCGGAUUAACAGUUUCUGGAACGCCGCGUAGUCAGAGGUUAUUAUGGCAGGAUCUCUCUUCCAUGUCCGGUAAUCGUGCUUCACAGGCCUCCAUGAAGGCUUACAUUUGUUGCAUGGAAUCCGCCAUGGAAUUAUGGUCUUCCGUGUAUUCCCAAAUUUUUUCUUCUAUAUGUGAGGUUCUAGUGCACAGGUCCUGAAUAUCUUUACACAGGGUGUCCAUGGCGGUUUGCCAAGUGGCGAUGAGUUUGGCUGAUAAGGUGUCCAGAGAGGAUUGGAACAUGGUGCGUGUCAGAGUGUCUAUUUCUGUGGUGGAUUCAGGCUCAUGUGCUGCAGGCCCAUCAACGCCAUCUUGGAUUUCAAGCAGAGUGGCAUUUUUUUACUAUUUUUGGGUGGAAGAAAUAAAAAUGUUCUGCUCAAUCUUGCUGGCGUUUAGAUUUGCUCUGUGACAUCGUGGAACAGUGAGACUGGCAAUUCGUUUUAGCUGUCAGAAGUCUGAUAUUCCGGGUCCCGUGCUGCGGAGCACUCACCGAUGCAUCUGAUCAGCACGGCUUCCAGUCACAUCCCCUAAUCCCACCCCAUUUUACAUAACAUGGGUUUCUAGUUUUGCAAAUGGUAUGCCAUGAUGGGGUUUAUUUUCAUUCCUGGGCUGCCAGAGGCUCUCAAAGCCAACAUGGGCCCAUAAAACCAAUCUGAAAUAUUUCAAUGUGUAAAAACUGAAAAUGGGGAAAGCCCUAUAUUUAAUCCUGUAACUUUCUAAAAAUUCAUAAAACCUGCACAUGGGGAUUACUGAUGUACUCGUGAGAUAUUGCUGAACGCAAAUUUGUGUAUUUUAUUGCAGUAAAAGCCAACAGUAUUAUGACAUUGACAGUUAAAAUGUCAAGCAGAACUUGAAAAAUAACAUUUAUUAUUUGUUUUGUUUUCACUUAUAUUAAAUUAUGUUUCAUAUCUGAAUAUUUGAUGUGAAAUGAAAGCCCUGUUUCUCCUGAACAACAUGAUAUAAGUGUGAAUGCACUUAAUAAGAAAAAGGUAAAUUAUAGGUAAAUUAACAGACUUAUAGCGCAAAUUCCAGGUUUUGUUUUAUUUACAAUGUGUACACUUGCCCCCGUCUAAUUAUGCACACCUUUAUUGCCAGAACUGAAAAGACAUUUGGGUGGGUUUUUUUCUUAUUUUUUUGUAUAUUUUUUUCUAAUAAAUGAGAAUUUCUAAACAUAUAUGUGUUGGUGGAAUAAAUGAGGUAGAUGGGAAAUGCAAAUGACCACACACACAUAGCACAAAUGACAACAUUGAUUGUGUCCUUAAGUACAAAACAAGCAAACUGUGUCCUUAAGGAGUUUAAACAGUAACUUGCCAGUCCUAUAGCUUUUGGCAGUACAUCAUCAUUGCAAAGCAACAUAGGACUUUGAUCCAGGAUGUUCCAUUCCGAACAUCAGUAAAGAUCAAUGAGAAAUGUCUCCAGAUAGUAUUUAUCAAAUAAGAGCCCCAUAUGUUGGCGCCCAUUCCAACACAUCUUUUUAAUGCUUACUUGCUGCAACACUCUGACGUCAUCUCAGCAUUUGUCUUGUGUAUCUAAAUUUCAGCAUUUCAUUCUUCUAAUCCUCGGUUUUUCAGCCUUGCUACCGAAGGACACCUCAUGUUAUUUUAAUUCAGUUAAUUGGAGAGAAUUGAAAACCAAGUUGAACAUUUCAGAUUAUAAUAGCCGAGCUGUNNNNNNNNNNNNNNNNNNNNNNNNNNNNNNNNNNNNNNNNNNNNNNNNNNNNNNNNNNNNNNNNNNNNNNNNNNNNNNNNNNNNNNNNNNNNNNNNNNNNCUUUCAAGAAGAUGUUGAGUAAUUGCAACAGAAAUCAGUUUCUCAAAUUCAAAUUUGACUUGAGGGAUCAAGUUCUUGUGAAUUUCCUUUUUGUUUCAGAACUGUGAUAUAUGCUGUUGUCAAAGAGUAACUGGUACAAAAUGUUUUUUUUUGUGUGCAAAGUCUUAGAAAUAUUUAAUCUCGUUUAGCUCUCUUUUAGAGUCCUUGGUCAUUCAGGGAAAGUGAUAAGCUGUGGCUAGAUUAAUCUUGAAUGAGAUGGAAGGUAUCUAACCAUGUAACAAGAUGAUUUAGCUCUAAAAUGGAUGACUUGACUGCUUUAAAGAACCUUUCUUAGCCUUGACAGAAGGACCGUUCUCUUUGACGGUUUUUGAAGAACAUUCUUGACAUAUCUUUAAUGUUCUCCCAGUAUCUUCAAAUAUAAUGGAUACCAUCCAAAUAUAUUACCACAUAUAAGAUCAGAAUCAAGAUCAGAACAGAGGACGUAUGUAACAAAAAUGUAUAUAAUGUACAAGUGACUAAUGAUAAUAUUAAGUGUAUACUUACUAAUGCAAGGAGCCUAAAUAACAAAAUGAGGGAACUAGAGGCAAUAGCAUAUAUAAUGUGACAUAAUAUGCAUAACGGAAACAUGGUGAGAUGAGGCACAUGACUGGGCAAUUAACUUAAUUGAUUUCAGAUUAAUAAGCAGUAAAGUAUCUAUCUAGUAUUUAUCUAGCAGUAAAGUAGUAAAUGUAAACAAAGCCCCCUGGCCUGAUGGUAUUCACCCGUGAACUAAGUGUAGAAAUAAGUGAACCUCUAUUUUUAAUCUUUCAGGAUUAAUUUCUUGAAUUGUUUAUUAACAUUGCCUUAAAGAUAGAGUACAGAGAGUUGUCAUUUAUGAUAAAUUUUCAAGAUGGACAAAAGUUAUAAGUGGUGUCUCAAAGUGUUCUGUUCUGGGACCGCUUAUAUUUAACAUAUUUAUAUGAUCUUGAAAUAGGCAUUGAAAGUCAUGCUUCAGUGUUUUCAGAUGACACAAAACAUGUAGUACAAUGUGAGUUGGAUAUUGGUGCAGAGGGAUUUAGACAAAUUGGGGGAUUGGGCACUCAAAUGGCAGAUAAAUGCAAAGUUAUGCACUUCGGGUUAUAGAAUACACAAGCAACUUACAUCCUAAAUGGUAGUGAAUACAACCAUUAUCUUGAAAUCUUUUCAUAAACAGGACAAUACAUAGGACACCAGGUUUUGCAUUUAGACUGGAAGAAAUAAUUUAGUCUAAGGCAAAGGCAAGGGUUUUUUACAGUAAGAACAAUAAGUGUAUGAAAAUCUCUACCCGAAGAGAUGGUUUUAUCAGAAUCUGUACAGAUGUUUAAACAGCAACUGGAUGAAUUCUUGCAAAAAACUAAAUAUUCAGGGAUAUAAUCAUUAUUAGAUCUUGAUCCAAGGAGAGAUCUGACUGUUAUAAUGGAUAUUAAGAAGGAAAGUUUUCCUAGUUUGUUUCAAAAUUGCGUGUUUUGCCUUCAUUUGAACGGCAAAAUCAGAUGGGAGAAAGGCUGAACUUGAUGGAUGCAUGUGUUAUUUUAGCCUAUGUAACUAUAACAGCAACACAUAGUCAUGAUUUCUAUAAGUGCUGAAGCAAAUUUUCUACUCAUCCCCUUCAGAGAUUCAGAAGAUAUUUCUAGUAACACUACUUGGAGAAAACAUUUGACUCUGUUUUAGUUUUUAUGAGCUAUAACAGAUAUUUGGUUUUAGACAUAAAGAAGAAUCCUGCACUAUCUUGGGACAAAGAAGGAGAAUUGUCUGCUAGAAAUGUAAUGGUGCAAACAAAAAGGAGACGAUGAGGCAGACAUUUCUCAACUUGGAUUUUCAUAAACAUCCAGAAAGCCCUCGUAUGGUCAGGAACCAACUGUUGAGCAUCUGUAGGAAUUAUUUUGAGAACUGGAAACAAUAGUUACAGUAUGGGAAUGGUCAUAAUGGGGAUGUAGACAAGGAUGAACCAAGGCUUGACCCGAGCACUGUGGAAACUCUGAUCUAACCUUUCUCACUGCCAACUUGGUGUCAUAGGUAUUGACCCUCUGCCAUCAAUGCUUGAUACUUGUUGGGUGAAUGGCCUUAAUACAUGCUUUUCCUAGUACCCCCAAGUGAUCCUCACAAUAUAGGUGUAGAUGGUGAAAUUAUUGAGGCAGAUGUAUGCAUAGUCUUUCAACACCGCAAAGAGCUGGUCUGCCACCUGCUGAGUGUUCUUUUCAAACGGCAUCAGGGAAAACUGGUGGAGAACCAUUGAAGUGGUAGUUUGCCUUUCUUGUUAUAAGAACUAAUGGGGCUCAAUAGGUCCAUGGUCAUGUGAGCAAAGGAAUUGGGAAAUAGGCCCAGGUUUACCUGCCCUGAAGGUAGGCUGCCUUCUACAGAGUUUCUUAUGCCAAAUUUAGUGCCAUCUACUCUAGUUACUGCAUAUCAUAGAGGGUCUUUAAAACUGUACUGUCGGAGGAUGCAGAAACCAUGUUUUCCAUUGACAGGAAGGAUCUCACAAAAUGGAGUCUAGUUUCAUAGGAACUUAGAGCAUUUGGAUUACCCGGUCUAAAAUUACAUUGAAGGAAAGAAAGUGCACAAACAAGAAUUUUAAUCAUACAUGAAUAUAUUAAGUAUUAAACCCCCAUACAUAAGAAACUGUGAAUACCUAGGGAAAAACAAGCAAACUUUAAUUUCAACUAGUGCUCUCAUCUUUCCAAUAUCAACAUACACUGUGGUCGGGCACCAUGUACUCCGGCAUAGUGAACACCAUGUACUCCGACAUAGUGAAACAUCCAACCCAAGCCUUAAAUGUUUCACAUGCCUGACGGUAUUCGAUUGGCCAGAAGAUUGGAAGAAAGUCCAUCAAGUUCAACCUUGAAACACAAGGUAUAGUAUACAAGUAUUUUCUCUCCGUAGUUGCAUGAGUAAAUCAUUUGAAACCCUGCAUUCUGCCCCCUCCCUGACAUGCAAUCACCAUCUAUCCCAAAGCAGUGGCAGAACUAAAGUAGAAAGGGUCUGGUGCGAGAAUAGUUUUGGGCCCCUCAAGGGUAUCUCAAGGGUGCCCAAAAGGUAGACCCCUAUCUGUCAUGCAACUACAACAAUGCUCUGACAGCUGGGGCUCUACCAUUUUCGUAUGCUUGCGGGGUUGUGUUUAGUACUGAGCAGUGUUUGUGUGUUUGAAUGUAAGUGUGUAUUUGUAUGGAGUAUGUUUGUGUGAACGUAGGGCGUGUGUUUCUAUGUGGUGUUAGCAUUUGAAUGCAAGCAUACAUGUAUGUGUAGUGUUGUUUUUCGACUACAGGGGUGUGUUUAUAUUUAAUUUUGGUGCUUUACACAAAGGUGUGUUUGUAUAUAAUCUUGCUGCUUCAAUGUAGGAGUUUGCUUAUAUGUAGUAUUGGCAUUUAAAUGUUGAGAUGUAUGGACAUAUACACAUACACUGCCACACACACACUGUGAUACACAUACACAACACAUGCAGAUACAUGUCAUGCGGUAACACUUCUGGGUUCGGCACUACGCUGGGCAGAGGUGGACCCCGCCCCCCUCUAACACAUCUCUGACGGUAUUUAAGGAGACUGUGCCAGAGAGAGGGUGCUUGGUGAUACUGGCAGCUACUUCCACCAGACUUACCUCUCCACAAGCUCAGACAAGCCGUUCCAGCCUUUGAGCCAAUGCAAGGAUUGCUGCAUGCCAUAAAGGAUUACUGGAGAACGGAUACUUUGCUACUUUACAAGUGGACCAUAUCUCUGAACUAUUGGAGGACUACACAUAUUAACCUUAAGUAUAUCUUUCAGUUAUUUGUCUACAAUAUCAUUUAAUAAUGAACUAAUGCUUGCUUACUCAAAUCUUCAGUGCUUCAAACUACUAAUUAUAUGGAGGACAACUCCCAUCAUGCUUAUUCACUAUAAACUGUUUCUUGCUUUGCAAAGACACUCAAUGCUUCAAGCUACUAAUUGUAUGGAGGACAACUCCCAUCAUGCUUAUUCACUAUGAACUGUUCUUGCUCUGCAAAUAUUCUUAGCUACUUGCUUAUUGUUUCUAUUGAAGAUUAUUCUCAUGAACUUAAAGAAUGUUACUUAAUGCAUCUCUGAGGAAAUACUUAAUAAUGAACUUUGUGUUGUUGAUUACUUGCACUUCCUUUUAUUGGAUUAUUGCCUAAAUGCAAUUCAUUUAAGUUUAACACUUAUUAAAACUUCGGUUGAAUCAAGUUACCAGUGAACCUCUCUUUUCUUAAAGCUACAGUAUUGAUACUUUAAAGAUUCUCAGUUUCUUCACAAUUGUAAUUAGGGAGUUUACAAGCUGCAGUUGAGUUCGAAUCCAAAUCACCCCAAGUAGCGUAACAAUACAUAGAUAUACACACUGACACACAUGGAGAUAUGCAGACACAUAUACACUGAUGCAGAUACAGACACAGCAAUACACAUACAGACAAACAUAUACACAACCUGAACACAUGCAGGUACACAGACACACAGAUACAAACACUGACACAAAAGCAGAUACACACACACACACACACAGAUAUGUGAUGUUUUGUAUAAAACAGUCAAUAAUUCCUGAAUAACAAAGUACUCACUUUAUUAAUACAUAUAUAACAGCAUCUUCAUAUUGCAGCCUUGUUACACAGGGUUUCUGCAGCCGCCAUUUCAAAUCCCUCGAACAUUCCACCAACUGCCAACUGCCAACAGGAGCAGGAAGUAAAGAACCAAAAGAAAGGAAGUGCAUCAUUCACAGCCCAACUGCCCAACUGCCCAUACAUCACAAUACAUACACUCACACACACAUACACAGCCUAACAGUACAUACACAUACACAGCCCAACAGUACAUACAUCACAAGAUACACAUAUUGACAACAUACAGAUACACAGAUACACACAAUGACAACAAACAGAUACACAGACACAUGAACUGUCAGAUAUACUGGCACACAUACAUACACUGACAGACACACUAACACAUACAUACAUUAACAGACAUAUUGACACACACACACACAAUGACAGACAUACACACACACACUGACACAUACACUAACAGACAUACUGACACACACACACACAUACACUGACAGACAUACUACCUCACAGAUACACACACACACACACUGACAGACAUGUUGACACACACAAAUAGACACAUACACUGACAGACACACAGAGGCAUACACUGACAGAUAUACAGACACACUCACACACACACACAUACACUGACAUACUGACACACACACUGACAGAUAUACCUGCACACACACACAGACACAUACAGUGACAGACAUACUGAAACACACAUAGGAUACACACUGACAGACAUGUUGAGACACACACACACACACAUAUACUAACAUACAUGAGGACACACACAGACACAUACAAUGACAUACAUCCUGACAUACAGGGCCGGCCUUAGGCCUUCAGGCGCCCUGUGCGAAAAAUCUUAACAGCCUCCCCCCCCCGCCAUCCAUGUGUAUAGGGGAUUUAUUAAAUGAAAAUUUAACAAUUAACAAAUAUUUAUCACCUCUUCCCUGUCAUUACCUUGCAUGGAGGGAGGGCAUGCUGAUCUCUGGUGAUACAGUUUGCUGGGAAUAUGGUCGGUGCCUUCACUGGGUGCAGACCAUCAGCAGCUGUCUCCUGAGCUCAGGCACUUACAGUAUCAGAGCUUUCCUGUGGUAAUCCGCGGCAACGUUCUGAUUGGCCGGAACUCGGAAGACAGCUACAUUUAUCAUGUGUGUGUCAGACGUGAUUGUGUGAUGUGUUCUCUGUGUGCCAUAUUUGUAAUGGGUGUAUUGACUGUGUCUGAUAUGUGUGUGUAUUGACCGUGUGUGAUUUUUGUUCACUAUAUCAGUAGAUAGGGGGAGCAGGGGCACUGGGGUAGAUGUGGGAGCAAUGCACUAUAGCAGUAGAUAAGGGGAGCAGUGUCACUAGGGUAGACAGGGAACAAUGGCAAUAUAGGGGGAGCAUGGGCACAAUAGGGAUAGAUAAGGAGCAUGGGCACUAUAGGGGUAGAUGGAGGGAUCAGGUACACUAUAGGGGUAAAUGGGGAAGCACUAUAGGGGUAAAUGGGGAGCAGGGGUGCUAUAGGGGUAGAUCGAGGAGCAGGGGCACUAUAGAGGUAGAUAGGGGGAACUAUAGAGAUAGAUGGGGAACAUGGGUACUAUAGGAGUAGAGGGGGCACUAUAGGAGUAGAGGGGGCACUAUAGGGGUAGAGGGGGGCACUAUAGGGGUAGAGGGGGAACAGGUGUACUAUAGGGGGAGCAGGGGCACUAUAGGGGUAGAGGGGGAACAGGGGUACUAUAGUGGGAGCAGGGGCACUGUAGGGAUAGAUGGGAACAGGGGUACUAUAGGUGUAGAUGGGGGCACUAUAGGGAUAGAUGGGGAACAGGGGUACUAUAGGGGGAGCAGGGGCACUGUAGGGAUAGAUGGGAACAGGGGUACUAUAAGGGGAGCAGGGGCACUAUAGGUGUAGAUGGGGGCACUAUAGGGAUAGAUGGGGAACAGGGGUACUAUAAGGGGAGCAGGGGCACUAUAGGUGUAGAUGGGGGCACUAUAGGGGUAGAGGGGGCACUAUAGGUAUAUAUGGGGAACAGGGGUACUAUAGGGGUAGAGGGGGCACUAUAGGGAACAGGGGUACUAUAGGGGUAGAGGGGGGUCACUUUAGUGGUAGAGGGGGAACAGGGUUACUAUAGGGGUAGAGGGGGGCCCUAUAGGGAUAGGGGGCACUAUAGGGAUAGAUGGGGAACAGGGUUACUAUAAGAGUAGAGGGGGCACUAUAGGGAUAGAUGGGGAACAGGGUUACUAUAGGGGUAAAGGGUGCUCUAUAGGGGAAGAGGGAGGCACUAUAGGGAUAGAUGGGGAACAGGGUUACUAUAGGGGUAGAGGGUGCACUAUAGGGGAAGAGGGGGGCACUAUAGGGAUAGAUGGGGAACAGGGUUACUAUAGGGGUAGAGGGGGGCACUAUAGAGAUAGAUGGGGAACAGGAUUACUAUAGGGGAAGAGGGGGGCACUAUAGAGAUAGAUGGGGAACAGGAUUACUAUAGGGGAAGAGGGGGGCACUAUAGGGAUAGAUGGGGAACAGGGGUACUAUAGGGGAAGAGGGGGGCACUAUAGGGAUAGAUGGGGAACAGGGUUACUAUAGGGGUAGAGGGGGGCACUAUAGGGAUAGAUGGGGAACAGGGUUACGAUAGGGAAGAGGGGGCACUAUAGGGGAAGAGGGGGGCACUAUAGGGAUAGAUGGGGAACAGGGGUACUAUAGGGGUAGAGGGUGCACUAUAGGGGAAGAGGGGGGCACUAUAGGGAUAGAUGGGGAACAGGGUUACUAUAGGGGUAGAGGGGGGGCACUAUAGAGAUAGAUGGGGAACAGGAUUACUAUAGGGGAAGAGGGGGGCACUAUAGGGAUAGAUGGGGAACAGGGGUACUAUAGGGGGAGCAGGGGCACUAUGGUCUCACUUACCAGGCAGCAGAUUCAGGCCUCGGUUAGCUCCGCCCCCGCCGACCACUUGGCUCCGCCCCCAUCGGCUGCUUGGCUCCGCCUCCUACAGUCUCUUUCGCUGCUAAGCCCUGGUAGAGGGCAGGGGGUGUGCAAGCUGUCAGCCAUAGGGCGCCCCCUGCUGCCAUGGCGCCCUGUGCGGCCGCACAGCUCGCACACCCCUAAGGCCGGCCCUGAAUCUAGGCUGGGGCAAAUGCCUUUAAAAUGGUAAAGGAGACUUUCAGGGGGGGCUCCUCACUCUAACCUAUUUUGUGGGCAGUUUUAUUCCUUCUGCAAGUUUUUUUUUAUUUUUUUAUGACAUAUCCUCUUCCAUUGUGUGCGAGGCCUCCGGUUUCUUUUUUUUCUUACAAUCUUUAUUAAUAAUUUUCAUGUACAAAUUUGGGAAAAUGAUCACAGUGUACAAAUAAAAAAAAUCAAGGUACAAUAGAACAACCAAGGCAUGAACCAUGAGCAAACACUCUAUUACCAUUUUUUUCCUAAUACAUUUGUGGCACAUGUAUAUUACUUAUGUGUGAUGCUUUAAAAAUCAGGGGCGCCCAAUAGUUAGAUCCCCAGAUGUUGUAGGACUUUGCACGCCUUUAGAAUGCCUUUGCAUACCUUUAGAAUGAAUUUGCAUCAUGGAAGCUGCAGGUUUAAAAUAUCUGGAGAGCUACCUUUUGGGCACCCCUGCAUUAAACCCUUGAUUAAGGUGGAGACUUCCCGUUUUAUGUCAUGUGUCAUUGUAAUAAUGAUAAAGCAACAACGAAAUAACACAAAAGAUAUAUUAACAUGUGGAAUUUCAAAUGAAUACCACUAAAAAAGAGUGAAACUGGCUAUAAGGGUGUUUGUUAAAACUCAUCUUUCCUCCCCUCCCCUCAUUCCUCGGGAUUGUAAAAGCCCUGAGAUGUCAAUUGGUUAUUUUUCCACCAGCACAAUGUAAAUGUGUACCCAGUAAAUGCUUAAUAUUUUAUAAAGAAUGUUAUCUACCUGUCAAAUUAAUAUUACACACGUACACGUGCACACACUCAUAUAUAUUGCAAUUAAAGUAUCAAUUUGAUUUUUGUUUUUUAAGAUAACAUUAUUUUCAUCUAAAUCUCAUCAACAAGGUAAUGAACUCACCACAAUACAUGAGUUAGCAAAUUACCCUCCUGCUAAGACGCAUGAUCAUGUUAGCCUAAUUUUGAUCAUUAUGAAACUAGGCAUAUUAAGAUUACAACUAAUGUAAUUAACACUUAUAUGUAUUUUUUCCCAUUAAAACGUUGUAAAUUUAUAAGCAAAUUUUUAAAGUUUCCUUAUCAUUACUGUGAGUGUGUGUGUGUUUCUAUCCAUUCAAAGGCAUCCUCUAUUAUUUUACAGAAUUGAUCUAAUAUCAGAACAUGUACAUUCUCAAUUUAUGACAAAAUUUGAUAUACAUUUGAAAAAGCAUGUAAGAGAGAAGGUUUUAUAGCUUUUCAUUAUGUAAUUGUGUGCUUCAUUGCUUCGUGUCAGGUUUUGCGCUGUGGGAGAGGCUAGAACAAUCCAAAUACAAUUUAUUUAAGAAUGGUAGUUUUAUUUUAAUUAACAAUAAAAAGUACUGUUGUUUCACAUGCAACUGAAGGGACAAUCCAAGCACCAUAACUACUACAUUAUAUUGUAGUAGUUAUGAUGUAAGAAUGUUUUGGGCAACGUACCUUUAUUUUUGUCAAACUGUAUUUAGAAGGAAUAACAACAACAGCGAACACACAAGAAACUUAGAUCCUAAAUGGGUUUUGAGUUAGGUGUACCAGUAAAUGAAAAAAGACUAGAUAUUAAUGUGUAAAAUCAGUCAGCAAAGGAAUACAGGCAUAAAAUAGGUAUUAGGUCGUGUGAUGAAAAUACUUUGUUUUUAAAAAAUAUUAUAAGUCAGUCCCCUCCCCAUUUUAAGUGGUCCACUUUUUUCUUUUUUGUCAAUCUGUUUUUAUUGAAGGCAUAUCAGAUGGGGUACAUAAGAGAAAGCAGAGGAAAUGUACGGUUGGUUUACAAUACAUGGUUGAUACAUCAUUCGGCUAGAGUACGUUUCAUUUCCAGAAUAACGAUGCCUCAUUUUUUUAUGUUUAAACUGUAGUAUGAAAAUACAAGCUAUGGAUCAUAAGAUCCGGGAAGUAACAUGCUAAAUUAACAAUGCGUUAACUAGUCUUAACGUUCCAACAGUAUAAUACAGUGUAGGUUAAACUAUGAGUCAGCUGGUAUGCAUUUGCUAGUCGUAAUGUGUAUAUAGGUAAUCCAUGUAUCAUGCUAACUGUGCUUAAACUGCGUGUUGUAAUACAAGCUGAGAGCAAGCAGUUAUAAUAUGUGAACACAUUUAAUGCGCUUGUAGUUGCUAUCUAAGUAAGGGGUCAAUCAUGUCAUUGGCAGUUUAAGCUUGCAGCAAAAAACAGGUUGAGCGUUUAUAGUAAAGUAACGAGAGGCUGUCCCUGUGUUAUAAUGAUGAACCCUGUUCAUAUCUAUGCACACAUACUCACACAGGUUAAACAUUAACUGUAGAGCACCGUAGUGGGGGAUUGCUUAAACUGCACUUAGCUUAAUACAUGUGUGAGGGAUGCAACAAACGAAGCGUUUAGUGGUUUAGUACUGCUGGACCCACUGGUGAGUUGCAUGAGUGUCUAGUAAGCAAUGUCGUGGUGUGAACUGCAAGUGGAGUCGUUUAUCUAGUUAGGAAACACGCUGGAUUAUCCACCAACCUCCCGGGGCAAGUCUGGUUUACUCUAUGCAAGAGGUUGGGGCUCAAUUUAGUGUAUCUGCGUGGACAGUUCAUGCUGUGCCCCAAAGAGUCCACGGCUGUGGGCGGCAUAUAGUGGGGCCGCGGGCUUACGGUCCAUCUAUCAGCCGAUACCCCUGCUGGGGAGGUCGGAGCCAUGAGUUGGACGGGUCAGCAAGAGGCCGGUGAGCUGUUGGUAUAAGGAGCACUCCAGCCCCAGGCCGGAAUGAAGGCCAGUACCUGCAGCUCACAGACUCUGAUUCUCGUGGUCGAGGCUGGGUCUACCCUCUGUUGGGCGCCAUGGGGAGCUCGAAUGUUCUGCCGUCGCCUGCGACAGUCGGGCUUCUGGCGGGGUGGUUGGUGCCGUGGAGAUUUCCUAUGGGAGGCCUUCAGCCCAGGAAGGAUUGCAGGGCUGGCUGCGACAUUAGCCUUGUGUGGUUUACCCGAUGUAGGUCUUUUCCAGCUCCGCACCUCGUCUUUGCUUACUGUUCCCACCGGGUCAGGUGGAUCCCAUCUGCAACAUAGCUUCAGGCGCUCCCAGAGCCUUUGAAAGAGCCUGUCUAGUCUCUCAGCAUACUGCUCCUCUGUGUAGUAGCUUUGGCUGCAUUGAUGGGCUGGCGCGGGCUUCUGCCACUGAGUCGCGGCUGCCAUCUUGUGUGGCACACUGGCUGCGUUGUUCAGGCCGCGGGGUAUAGCCGGGACUUGUGGUGUCUUUUGACCUGGUUUGGUGGGGACCGGGAUGAACCCCACAGGUCCAAAGGGGGGGAUAUCAAAUCUAUUACAUGAAGAUCGAAUAGCAAACAUUGGUAAGUCUGUGAUUGGACAGCCAUAGAAAGUCUGGGUGGGGUUAAAAUUGGAGGGUUUGCAAAGGCUUCAGUCAAGAGAUCUGCCGUUUUUGCAAGUUGUUUUUAGAUAUCCUCCCAAUGAAAAAUGCAGAAUUAAAUGCAUGCAUGUCUUCACUGGGGAUAUAUCUCCUAAACUCUACUUCCCAGUAAGUUUAAUCUUUUCUACAGGUUUUUAAGGGGGGGGGGAGGGACAUUUAGCAACAAUAAUAUAACAAGGGUUGGAGUAACCCUUUAAUAAAGAGAGACCCAUCAAAAGUUAAAGGAUCACUAUAGGGUCAGGAACACAAACAUGUAUUCCUGACCCUAUAGUGUUAAAACCACCCCUGGGCCCUUCAUGCCUCCAGAAAUAUAGUAAACUCUUACUGUAUUCAAGCCUGAAGCUGUAGAUCUGCAUGCUGUUUGCCUAAAAAAAAACAAGCAGUCUGCUGACAUCAUCAGAAGUGGUAGCCUGAUCCAAUCACAAUGCUUCCUCACAGGAUUGGCUGAGACUGACAAAGAGGCAGAUCAGGGGCAGAGCCAGCAUGAUUCAAACACAGCCCUGGCCAAUCAGCAUCUCCUUAUAGAAAUGAAUUGAAUCAAUGAAUCUCUAUGAUGAAAGUUCAGUGCCUGCAUGCAGAGGGAGGAGAUACUGAAUGUUUGGAUGCAUUUUAGGCAGCCAUGACCCAGGAAGGAUCUCUAACAGCCAUCUGAGGAGUGACCAGUGAAGUUAUCACUAGGCCAUAAUGUAAACACUGCAAAAAGCUUGAAGGUAAUGAUUCUAUUCACCAGAACAAUAAGAUGUAGUUGUUCUGGUGACUAUAGUGUCCCUUUAAGAGAGUAAUUCACUACAGUUAUUUUAUCUCAACAUUAUUCAUUUAAAAUUUUUUCAUCAGGAUGAAUAAAAAUGUUGGGGAAAUAGUUGACUAAAAUUCUUUAAUUCGUCAACUCUUCACUACAAGACUGUCACCUUCAGCGCAACUCAUUAAAAGCGAUGUUGUAUCAUUUUUGUGUAACGUAAUCAUUUUAAUUAAGGUUUAAUCUUCCAAAAUAUUUGGAAGAUUUUUAAUUGACAUUUGUGGUAAUUAAUUGGUAAGCAUUACAGCUUUGUCGGAAGAAUUUAAAAAACUAAAUUUGACGUUGAAAUUGGCUAGCGACUGCUGUGAGGUCCCUGCUGGGAGCAUUUCAUCAUCUUGUCUCUCUCGGAGGCUGAUUGUGGGUGGGGUGAAGUGAUGGACACUUCUUACAGUCAUGAAUUACAUUGCUAAUUUAUUUUAUUACCACCACGCAAAUGUCAUGUUAAUUUCUGAUCAUCAUGAAGUCAGACAAUGGCCUCCAUGCUGGCAACAAGCCAAUUAGUGAUGUGCAAGAAGAAGAGAGAAAAAAAAUAUCCAGCCAAUUACAGAACUUCCGUAUGGGUUAAAGACAUAGGACAAAGAAAAAUAUGUGGUCGGUAUUUUUUAUCCAUCUGGGAGAUAAAAAUGUGAGUUGACAUGGUCUCUCUGUGCUACGGUCGAUAUUGAAUAGUCUGAUAGUAAGCUGCCAAAAAAAAAAAAAAAUCAUAUUUAUUUUAUUAAAUAUCGCCUAUUUUAUAAAACUAGUUUAGACCUGUAUGCUCACCUUUACUUAUGAAACAGACCAACGCUCUAGAUAAGAUAGUGGAAAGUAGAGGAGAGAAAGGCGGACCAAAUUAUUAGAAGUUAUUACAUUUUUUUUUUUCUAUUUAAAUGCAUUUUUGCAGAACCUAGAAUGCUAAAAGUUUGUGGGUUUUGCAUUUUCCUAAGAUGCCAAUGAUUUACAACAUUGGACAGUAAAUGGACCAUUAUUUUCAUUCUAAAGUUUAAAUGCGAUUAGGGAUGAUCAAAUACAUAUAAACUGGGUUUAAAAUACCCCGAGGGCUACGAAAAUGAAGGGUCAUUUAUAACAAUAUUAUGUGCGCAAGCCGUAUGUAAUAAAGAAAUGUAUUUACAUAAUGGCAUCUCUGGGAGAUACAGGAUGCUAUAAGCCCCUCUACAAACUUAAGACCUUAAAUACGAGCCGUCAUUUUGAUUUGAGUGUCUUUUAAGCCAAUUUAUAGUGCCUGUUCAGUUUUUUUUUCAAUUUCAAAUGUACACAGCACCAAUUUACCCUCUUUUUAGAAAAGAUUAGCUAUUCAUUUUGUGUCAUUCAUCUCUCACUUUAUUGUGCAUUUUAUAUUCUCUUGUGAAUAAAAAUUAGAAAAUGUACAGUAUGGACUAGCUUUAGAAAAAAGUUAAAUAUGUAAACUUCUCCUGGCUUAUUUUGCAUUUCCACUAAAUAGGCUCAAAGAUAUUUUUACUAAACCCAAUCAACUUACACUCAUGUUGCUGGGGUAUAUAUGAAAAGUAAUCCUAGGCCAACUUUCAUAAAUUUGAGUAUAUGUAGGUACAUUCCAUUAGUUUCUUUGGCCAUUGAUCCACUUAUAGAAUUUUGAACCAUAAAUAUUCUUUAAAUAUAUUCUAGUAGAUGGCAUCCUCUUACCACCUUGGUUCGGCCUUAAAGGGGUAGUGCCACUCUUAGUGGCACAUGUGCUGGAUACACCUAGAGCCAUGUUUGUGUAGACUCUAAACAAGGUGAUCUGCUAAGUUUAUUUCUCUUUAGUGGCUCCCUGGUUCUACAUACUAUACCAUUUAUUGUAUUUCUGCUUUACCUUUUAGCUAUCCUCUUCAAAGGAUUGAAGAGGUAGAGUGUCACCAAAAGACAUGUCAGCUUUUGUGAUUUGCAUAGAUAGAUUGUGGAACUGCACUCAGACCCUUCCUCUCUGGGAUCCUUGGGUGCUAACCAGAUCAGUCCCAGUACCAAAAGACCAAAUGUAGCAUUAAAUGUAGAAAGUAAUCCAGGCACUCCAGAGUAUCUCAAAAAAAGGCAACAUUAUUGGACCCACGAACCAAAACACAACGUUUCGACCCUUAAGGUCUUUGUCAAGCUACUAAACACACACAUAACAAUCAAUAUAUAAGUGUACAAAGUAAUUAACAAGUGACAUAACAGGAUUAAUUGUCUACAUAAUCAGUCAAUACUUAUUAGACAUACUAAGGCACUAUAUUAUUUUUUGAGAUUUGAGCCUACCCAACUAAGGCUCUAUAUUAUUUUUUGAGCUUUGAGCCUACCCAACUAAGGCGCUAUAUUAUUUUUUGAGAUUUGAGCCUACCCAACUAAGGCUCUAUAUUAUUUUUGAGUAUAUUACAUGGGAAUACCACCAUAUUAUAGAGGGGUAAGUUUACUUUUGAGUCCCCCACUUACAUACUGACGCUAGGGUUUUGGCUAUGUGGUCACUCAGUUGUCCUUUUUUGUGUCUGUGUGUCUGUAUAUAUUGUGGCAUUGAAUCAACUCUCCAUCCACCAUUUUACAUCUAUAUAGUUGACAGAGACAAACAUAAAAAUGAUGUUGAGCUGCCUGAGUAAUGAUUUCAAUUAUUUAACAAAGUGUAUAUUUAACCCCUUAAGGAUACAUGACAUGUGUGAAAUGUCAUGAUUCCUUUUUAUUCUAGAAGUUUGGUCCUUAAGGGGUUAAUGUAUGACAAAGUUCUUUUUGAUAACAACAAUGGGGGCAGGAUGAUACACGUGUCAUCAAAAUGUUUGACACUCAUGAUCCAGGUGGGGAGAUACAUACUUAUCUGGGAGUUUUUCUAGUGAAUACUUUUGGGACUAUAACCAUUAUACUAUAACCACUACAGCUAGACCCGGAAUCCUCUCCUGCAGGGCUUAGCUCGGUCACCAGUAGUUGAGGCAGGGAGCUGUGUCCAGCAGAUACCAGGUAAGUUUAAAAAAAAAUUGACUACAUACAAUGAGGGGUGCCAGGUGUAGUGGUUAUAUUGCCUGCAGUUUUCCUUUAAACAUAAACCAUAUUUAAUUCCAUUGAGAAGAAUUCCUGAUUUGCAAAUUUCCAUUAAACACAGGACAUUUGAAGAUGAGUACCUUUUAAUUAAUUAUGUUUUUAAAUAAAACAUUUUACAUUUCUUAUUUUGCAUACCUGUUUAAUAUUAUUUAUAUAGGAGUCAACUUGAAGAGUCUCUGUAAGUUAGGAUAUUUAUAAAAGCGUUUACCUCUUCUAUAACACCUUGCUAAAAUGGAUCCUUAAAAUAGAAAAAGGUUUGGAAUAGUUUGGCUAUAAAGUCUUUGUACAAUACCUCCGUAAUGAAAAAAAAAUGUUUUAUUUAUUAAGUUUGCACAGCCAUUCAAUACCUAUUUAUAGUGUAAAAUACAAACUUACUAAUUUACAUUUUUUAAUUCUUUAUUUUUGUAGUGCAAGUUUAGAACAGCAAGCCCAUGUUGCCACAACAGCAGUCACAGGCAUAACAUCAACAUACAGUAUCUGACAUGGCAAGUGAGAGAACUGCACAGUUUUAUAAAUUGAAGCAGAAAAGGUCCGCACAUUCUUUGUUUUGUUAAAGUAACUGAAUAACAUAUGAGCUUGAUAUAGGUAUGCUUGAAUACAGUACUAACAUGGUAACGUUAGAAGUAAACAGGUGUUGGUCGCUAAACUGAACAUAAACUUCGCCUAAUCUGGGCAAGUAAGGAGUUAGGGUGUAGUAUCGCCCUGCUAGCCAGUGUGGUCUCCUAAGGCUAUGUGCCUCAGCUCGCUGAGGUCAAGGACACAGCGACAUGAGUGGUAGGGCUGUGAGUGGUAGGGUUAAUCUGGGUAAGUGUAGCGAGCUCUUGGAAGCAUGCCUCCCAUACCCCUAGCGUAGCUAUAGUUAUAGUUAAGUGGCUAGACUGCGUGGGCUAGUGUGGAUAGUAGGUAUGCAAUUGAGUUGAAUGUGGUGGAGGACCCUGGGUGUUGUUCCAACUGAUAGUCCCCGUGAUCCGUAGCCGGAGCGAGAGUUCACACCUUUGUGUAGGUGAAAAAAGAAGAAAAACGUCCCAGUGAGCAGUCCCUGGCUCAGAGUCUCUGUUCAAGUGGUGGCUGUCGCAUAGGGUUCCGCUGGUCUUUGCUUUGGCACAAAUUCCGGUGCUCUAGCCGAGUGUGUCCCGAGGCUGCAGCUUGUGGGGCCUCUCUGCGCUGAAGCAGCUUCUAGAGUUGACAGUGGGAGGUUUAGCUUCUCUAAUGCCUCUGCGGCCUCUUGUAGGUUCCGUGUCAGCACAGGGCCACUUGCGCUCUCUAUGCUCAGGGUCCGGCCGGGUCCCCAGCGGUAUCGGAUCUUUUGCUGCCGUAGGAGAGAGGUGACCUGCCGGAGGGACCUUCUCCAGGACAGUGUGCCACUCGAUAAAUCCGCAUAGAAAGAGAGGGACAUUUCUUCAAAGGUGUAUGUUGGCCUGCCCUUGAUGGCCUCGAGUACUGCCCUUUUGUCUCUUGCUGUUUGAAAGCGGAGGAUUAUAUCACCGGUAGCCGUUGGUGGGGCUGUAAUCGGCUUUGGGAUGCGAAAAAUCUCAUCCAGCAGGAUCGUUCUUGCCACCUUUGGAGUCAGGAGCGCAGUUAGCAGUCGCCUGGUAAGGUGAGGGAGCUCUGCUUCAGGAAUGGAGUCCGCGACCCCCCUUAGCUUCAGGUUAUUUUGGCGUCUCCUAUCUUCUUGGGUGGCCAAUUGUUGUGUAUGGAGUGUCGCUUGUUUUGUCAGGUCGCUUACCGCUGCUUGCAGUUCCGCAAUCUGGCUUGUGUGGUCUCUGGAGGUGUUUUCCACCGUUCCCAGCCGGGUGCACAGGCCUUGCAGGUCUUUCCGGAUUGUUGCCACCUCCGUUGAAAUUUUUUCAUGGUGGGAGGCCAUGAGUGCCGUGAUAGCCUCCAUGGUGACCGGCGUGUGGGUUGAGGCGGGUGGUCGAGAUUUCUCAGGCAGCUGUGGUAAGCCAGUUGGUAUGAGGCUCCCUUCUCCCUCAUCGGAUGUCUCAUCCGAGAAGUCUGUACAUCCUCCAUGCAGGGACUCCAUUGUUGUGCUCGCGGCCUCUUGGGCCUGUCUCCACAUGUCCCCGAUGUUCAUACCCUGACGGGGCUUGUCGGGCUUGGGCUUCUUCGUUUUUCUGCCCAUCGUCGUCGGGUGUGUUAGGGGCACCUUGGGGUCCGUGGGGCCGUGUUGGGCUUCAAUAUCAGCAGAUUUGUAUAAUUUUAGUCGGGAGCUCCUCGUCCAUGCGACUAUCCUUGUCCGUAGCUUAACUCCGCCCUAAUUUACAUUUUUAAUAACAACCUUAUAUUCAUAAAUUUAGAAUAGACACAUUGUAAAAAUAUUACCAUUUACCUUAAAUUUAUAUUGUUACUGCUAAAGGAGUUUAAAGCAUCUCUUGUAAAAUAGGAGAAGGAGGGGUGAACACCGAAAUUUAUUGGUAGCACUUAGCAAAUCAGCAUUAUCCAAUAAUGGCUUAGAAAUAUCAUUUUCAUGUCAGUGUAUGAUUUGAAUUACUGGUGAAUUAUAGGGGAAUCAAUGCAACUCUGUGAACCCUUCCCCAAUGAUUUUGCUGGGUUAAAGCAUUUAGCAUUCACACUUCAUUCAAAAUAAAAAAAUAAAAAAUAAAUCAAUAACUGGAUUAACAUACUUUUCUAAAUCAUAGUUUUAUAAGGUCUUUGUAGCUUAAUGUUCACUAUGCAAUUAUACAGAAACGUUGUCAUUCAUUUAAAGGGGUAAUGCCAUUUCACAGGAUUUUUAAGCCCUUGGUGACUGACCAUUCUCCAAGUUUCUGUCAUUUUGUGAGUCAUUUAUUACAUUUUUGCUAUAUGCUUUUCAUUGGCCAUUUUCUAUUUCUCCCCUCAUUUGCAUUGUGUGCCCUGUCUGUGCCUGGACAGAACUGAAUUGUGAUGGAAUUUGCUAAAUCUUGAGCAUAAGUUUUAAAACUCAUUAUAGAUUAUAAGGCUAUUAACGCUUAGAAAAAUAUAUUUGAUGUUAAUAUAAUAUCACUACAUAAACAGUGAAGUUAAAUGUUUCUGCUUACGUGCUACAGAAAUAGCAAGAUGGUAUGGAAUCAACACUUAAUAAUAAAGCAUAAUUUCUGUUCUAUACACAACUCCCCUCAACUGUAAACUGUAAUGUACUAUAUAAAUAGAAUAUACAUACUCUCUAUAAUUAUAGCACUAACAGUAACCCUGUCUAGCAAUGUAAUAGGCUAAGCUCACAUCUUAGUAUUAUAUAGGUAAAAUACACACUGCAUAAAUUUGUUACCAUACCUCUGCCAUUAACUGUAACUUAACCUAAAUUGAAAAUAGGUCUGUUAACUCGUUAUAAAAUAUAAACACAUAUACAGGUGGACUUCACUUACCGACCAGGUUCCAUUCUUGCAACUCGGUCGUAAAACGAAUUAAUCAGAAAGUAAGGAUGCGCUAAAGAGCCUCGAACAUAGACCAGCUAACUAGAGCAGGAAAUCCCGCGGAUCUAUGUAUGGGGGAAAUGCUCAGAACAUAGAUUAGCUCGCAAGCGCAGGCAAUCUCUGAAAUCUAUGUUCGGGGAAAAUUCUCUGAAAAUAGACCAGCUCUCUAAUGUGGGAAAUCCCUUGAAUCCACGCGCUAGAGAGCUGGUCAUAAGUAGGAGCAGUUGUAAAGCAGGUUAGUCGCAAAGUGAGGACUAUAUGUACUCUCAUAAAUACUGCACCAACUGUUCCUCUGCUGUGUUGCUAAGUACAACUGUUAGUGCUACAUAAAAUAUGCAUAUACAGAAUAACUACUCCAGUUACUGUACUCCCUAACAAAUUGCCAAGUAUACUAGUUAAUGCUAAAUAAAACACACACACUCUAAACACAACUACCGCACGUACUCUAUAUCUCCUUUUCUUUAAUGUAAUCUGUAAAUGUAAGUUCUAAAUAAAUUCUAAAUUGACAAGUGCUCCAAGAAACCCCCCUUUGGACGUAAUACAGCUGAUAUUAGAAAUGAGAGAAAUUUUUGUUUUGAAAAACAAAAAUGGACAUCUUUCACCAAAACUAAACAACCUGCAAUGUACAAAGCUCUGGACAGUGUAUAAUAUCUCAAAAUAUCCAGAACAUUUCAGACAUAGGCCUUGAUUUAAUUGUAUGAAUCAAAAACAAAUUGCUGCUUUCAGAUGAUUUUAGAAAAAAAUAAAUAUUUUACUGCAUUUAAUGAAUGAAAUUUAAGUAGCUGAAUCGGCAUUUUGUAAUGACUUACCUUGUUUAAAGAAGUUUUAAACAAGCCUAUAGGGGUUAAUGUGACCCCCAAAAAAGUACAACAUAGUGUUUUUGUCUUUGGUUUUAAAACUAAUUAGAUCACUGCAGUCCAGCCACCACUAGAUCUGGCAGAGGGCAUAGUCCUACUAAAAUUAUCCAAUUCAAAAAUAUGGUUCUGCAUAAAACAGAGCCAAAAUUACCAGUGUAAAUCCAGCCAUAGCUACAUUCAACAUGAAAAUAAAAAAUUUACAUAAUUACCCCUGCAACAUACUAUUCCAAACAAGGUCCAGUCAUAUGACAAAAGCUAAUGAUAGAAAUAAGAAAACUCCAUCAUAUUCAUGUUAAUUGUAUUUCUUAGUACUCAUUAGGUAUUAUUAGUACCUCAUUGUGUUAAUAAUUCGAAGUCUAUAAAAUACUAGGAUAAUGUUUUUGCUUCUCCUAUUCACCUAGAGGAACUAUUUAAUCUCCCACCCAGACAACUUCCAAAAAAAUCCCCUUCUCUAUAUGUUGGCAUGGGUUUAGAAGAACGUUUAUGUACGAUCUUAUCAUCCUACCAUUGGCAACCCAGCAUUUCAGAAUAAUGACCUAUUGUAAACUGUUUAUUUCCUGUUCUCUAUGGAAUAUUGUUAGUUGCAGCAUUUAAUGAUUCUGACUAGUUUUAAAAACUGGUUUGUGCGUAAUCGGUUGUGUUAAAAAGUCCCCUACCAUUACUUGCACAUAACCUUAGGCAGUAUCAGUCCACCCUCUCUUCGUUAUUUACAAAUGAAGCCCUAUGCAGACCAAAUUAGCAAAUAACUUUGUAUAAAAGAGCUUAAAUGGCUAGAUCUAAUCAUGGACAGAGCCCUCUUAACAUGUUAUAUUGAUAUGUGUAUAUUGUACUGUCUUUUACCCCCAAAGUACAGGAUUUUCAGAAUUUGUUGGCGCUUUAUACAUGCCAGUAAUAAUAAUAAAAACAAUAAUAAUAAUAAAUUUCGGCAAUUUACUUUAAACAGAUCUUUAACAUAUGCUGUUUAUUGAACACAUCGCUGAGUGGAUCUGCUUGUUUGUUCCUUGCUUUCUUACAAGUGUUUGAUUUAUAUCCCUGAUAUUCAAAGAUGUGUUUGUUAACUAUGUUGUAAAAAGCCAUGAGUUUCUGUAACAAAACAUCAGUUUAGAACAGAGAGACUUAAAUUUGCAUGACAUGGACCCAAAUAAUGUAUAUGGCAAUAACUUGGGGACCCAUUUUUCAAAUGUAAAGUUAGCUCAGUCACUCUUUUAUCCCAUCUAGUAUAAUAUAUAGUGCAAUUUAUUCAACAAAGCACUUUUAUUAGACAGGUCUUUAUGUCAUAUGGUUGUCCAUUAACAUAGGGAUGGCAGUGACCCUACAAUAAAUGCUUAAUGCUGACAGGAGCCGAGAUUUGGAUGAAAAUGAUUUCAAUGUUCGGACAAGUGGAGUCCUACUGAAAUAACAUGGGGAUACAAUUUUUAGGUUCCAGCCCUGGGAUAAAGAAUCCAUGGUCUAGAAGGAUCACUAAAUUUGUAGAAAUAAUUAUAUUAUUGUAUGAAAGAAUAAGUCCAUGCUCUAAGACAAGGCUUUUUAAAAGUUUGGUCGCCAGCUGUCAGAAAACUGCAACUCAUAUGAUGGUUUGCCAGCCUGCUGUAAAAUGCCUCAACUUCAGGUGGAGCCCAUCGACCCUGUAAGGUCUAUAACACUGAAUUUUACUGAAAAUCAGUAGUGGUUCAUGAGGUUUUAGGACGGCGAGAGCCAGAUACCACCAUCUCUUUCUGAAAAACACACCUCAACACCUUAAGGUCCAUUGGAUUUAUAUUAAAUAUUAAAACAGCUAUCAAAAAAAGCUUUAUUUAAUUGGUUCAACCAAAUGCCAGUGAUAUGUUAAGCACACUGCAGAGCACUGAAAGGAUUCAAAACAUAUGCUUAAAUAUUACUCAAUAUGCAGGAAAAAUAUCUUAGGUUAAUGAGUUUUAUUAUUACACUAUUCCUGCUCUGAUACAAUAAGUUACUUAAAGGAGCACUAUAAUGUGAAGAACACAAACAUGUAUUCCUGACCCUGUAGUGUCUCCCUAAAUAUAGUAAAAUCUUAAUUGUAUUCAAGUCUCCAGAUGCAAGCUCUGCCCCUGCCUGCCUCUGACAUCAUCAGAAGUGGUGGUCUGAGCCAAUCACAAUGCUUCCCCAUAGGAUUGGCUGAGACUAUCAAGGAGGCAGAUCAGGGGCAGUGCCAUCACAAGUCAAACACAGCUCUGGCAAAUCAGCAUCUCCUCAUAGAGAUACAUUGAAUCAAUGCAUCUCUAUGAGGAAAGUUCAGUGUCUGCAUGCAGAGGGUGAAGACACUGAAUGUUGUGCUGCACACUAGGCAGGACUGCCCAAAGAAGUGCCUCUAGUAACCAUCUGAGGAGUGGCCAGUGGAGUUAUCACUAGGCUGUAAUGUAAAUACUGUGUUUUCUCUGAAAAGACAGUGUUUACUCCCAAAAAAUAAAUACACGUUUUCAGCAAACACACAUGCUACUGAGAUGAGAGACAUAUGUCUAGAAGGCACACAGUGUUGUUAUUGGGUGGCACAUUAUCAGCAGACACACACAGUACAAACAUAGUGAAACAGAGGUUUGCCGUUUUGCCUUUCUCUAUAGCCUAGUGGUUAAGGUCUUUAAUUUUCCACUCUAGCAGUCAGGGAUCAAAUCUUUUAUUGGCAUUUUAUUUUGUUUAUUAUGAUCUUUGCUAAAUCGGAUAAUACCACACAUUGUUUGAGAUGUCACAUGCAGUGAAUAUAUUAUUCUACAUGGACCAACAGAUAAGCAAGUAAACCUAUGUAAUCUUACAUGUUCACUCUGUAGAAAAUCAAUAAAUGAAAUGACUGUAAUUUGUCCAGGUGUCAAUAAGAGUAUUCACUAAAUAUAUUAAGAUAAUAUAAAUUUGGUAAAUGUAUUACACUUGGGGAAAAAAAUCACAAUGCAGGGAUUGAAAUCACAACCUGAUUGAUAUAGAAAGCACAAGUGUAUCUGAUGGGCACAGAAUGAGGAGAAAAUUCCUUGCAGUGAGGGAGUCGAACUCAUAGGCUUUGAAGAACAAGCUCAGGUCCUUAACUGUAGGGUACUUUCUAAAUACCAAUUUUAAGACAAAUUGUAUGAGGUUUUCAAUAUUCUGGGCAUCCAAUUGACCUAAAUUUUGCAUAAGUCCUGCUGAUCUCAACAGUUUAUUGAGACAGCUAUAAUUCAUUAUCAAGUAGUCAUUUUUCUGGGAGAAAAGGGAGGGGAAAUUAUAGCACUGCAGAACUAUAUAGUGUUUACCAUUAUAAAGAAAAUUUUAAAGUUUGCCUUUUCCCAAAGGAAAACAGUGUUAGUGGUUCACUCUUUUACCACUGGUAAUAGAUGUUUUAUUCUAAUAUGACAACAAUUAUCUAGAGGGAUAUGGGCUAAAAGCCCACAUUGAGCUGCAACUGCCUAACAUGAAUUUUUAUAUACCAAUUCAUUAUGAAAUUCUAACUUUAAAUAAUGAAUAAUAGUGACGCUCUGCCUGAUAGAUUAGCAGAUAGAGAAAUGGCUAAAAGGUUUAGUUGAACAUAAAAAAAAGUGGAAGAACAAAAGUUAUGUUUUUAAGGUUAACAAAGAGAACAUAUUCUUUAUUGUAAAACUUUCACUUUAAUGUUGCGGUUUUGUUUACAUGCAACUUCAUGAGCUUUAUGUUAAAAUUUUGUAAACUGUACUUCAAUUUUCAGCUGUAAAAACAUUCAAGCUUUUGGUAGUGAAUGGGACUCAAUGGUAAGACUUGAGCAUGUUACUGUUAUGCUAUGGUUAUUUACAUAAGAAUUAAGCUUUAAAGUAAAAAUGUCUCUUGACAUUGGUGCAGGAGUUGGUAAACAGACUUACCGUCUUCAAUUGGGGGCAUUACAUUAAAUAACUCAUCUUCUUCUUGAGAUUUGGAUGUAGGACAGAAAUCCUUUGCAUCACAGAUUUGUGCAUCCGCAGGAACCACACAUCAACAGCGGAACCUGAAAUAAAAAAUAUAUACAAAUGAUCACAUACAAAAGGUUACUUAAUCUGACAAAGAAUAAUCAGCAACAAGACAUACGUGAAGCAUCCAUGAUGACAAAACCCUAUGGAGUCAAGCAGAAACGUUUUAGAUGUUAGGAAAACUUGGAACCACAUUAUGACUUUUUGUCAGUUUCAGCCUGUUUGUACCUUUCCUCGCCUUGCAAGCUGAGGCCUAACUUGUCCAUAUCUAUAUAGAACACACUGAAUUGAAUUGAACCUUACAUUAAUCCAGCCGGUCCUGACCUUGAAUUCUUCAUGAUUUGCUGAAGUUCAAACUUGCAACUCCCAUAUGUAUUAUAUGGACUUGUCAACCCAUGUGAGAGGUUCUGGAGCACUGGAUUAAAAAUGGAUUUCUACCUCAUUUAUUUCUGAACCAAUUAGAUGGUACUCCUUUUGAAUAAUACCUGUACUGGGUAUGGUGUCAGUAAUACCCAUUUGCAAGUAGUCAAACCACUUUAUACCAGUUUUACUUCUUACCUGAGGUCCGUUGGGCGCAGAUACUCAUCACCUGUCAAGAACCAGGAGAUCCGGAAGCUCCUGCCAGCUCAUUGGCUGAGAGCAAGUGUCAGCUAGGUGCUCUCAUCCAUCGAGCUAAACUCUGUACCACUGAGACAGAGAGCUUCCAGGAUACAGUGAAGUAUUCCAGUUAAGUAGUCAAACUGUUCUAACACAUUAUGACUACUUACAAUAACCAGGGCACUUUUGGUAUCAUAACCACUACUGCAUACUGUAGUGGCUCUGGUGUUUGUAGUGUUCCUUUGAUGAAAAAUGUAUUGGAUAACAGAACACUAAGCAAAUGUAAGUUGCAUCACAGUGGCAAAUGGAUAUAAAUGGAGUACGAGCGAAAACUCAGAUGUAUGCAGGAGAAUACAUUUAGAACAAUAAGGCAAAAGAAUGGUGUGAGUGUAGACCCCGUAAAGACCCUGUGCAAAUUUUAUAUAAAGAAUAAACAAAAAGCUAGAGUUUAAGAGUUUUACAGUAGUACCUACCUCACCAUAUAGCAUGAUACGUUCCAUAUCGCUCUUGUGAUAAAGAGUGUCUCUAAUUCUUAUUUGAGCGGUGAUAUUAAAAGGACACUGCAUGUUGGGCAUAACCCAUUUGAAUGCAUUAUAAAGUUGAUGCACUCAUGUAAGCUGAAAGUUAGUUAAACAAAUUUAAAAUAAAAAAGGAACUCACAUUUGAAGAUCUUGCUUUUACUUGCAGUAUGCUUUCACUAAACCAGAACAUGAUGCUCCAACUGAUUUUAGAUGGAGAUUUCAUUUCUACGGGACAUGUAGUACAGCACUUGGCAGCGGGUACAUUCAUCACAUACAUUUUGUGAAAGGAGCCACCAGAUGUUAAACAGCUAUCACACUGCCGCGCAUGCAUUAGCUCUAAAGGAUCCAGUAAGGGGAGUUGAGUAUUUGCAUACUGUGUGCCUUCUUUGUUUUAAUGUAGUUUUUGACCAGAUUGGGUUAAGAAUAUGGUCUGUUAUUGACUGCUUUAAUGGGAUGCUUUAAGUGUUCAAUAUCACAUGGAUAUUAUUACAUGUGCCUACCACUUCUUGAAAUGUGUACAUCAAUUAGACGAUAUAAUCGUAUUAUUUGCAAAUGGUUAUCUGGUUUGCAUUCUGUUGGGUCCACAUUGUGUUAAAGAAAUUUUCUUCAGUGCAUCAUUCAAUAAUAGUAUAAACGGGUCAUCCCAGCCUUUGCUAAUCUGUUGAAAGUAUUGGAUCUCUGAUAUAUUAGGGAUUGUUAAUUUACCUAAAAUGGUAUUGAUUUUAAAUUAAGUGGUUAGCAUGCAACCAUUUUCAUUUGAGAAAAUGGAUGUUUAAGAUACAUAAAAAGAGCCAACAUAUCGUAACUGCAACGUUAAAGAGAUAGUUCCCCAAUUUUUAUUUCCAUGUUCUACUGAACCAUACAAUAUUAUUCUUUUUUGUUCAUUUAUUGAGCUAUUUUUAAUUGAAAUAUAUAAUAAUUUCAAGAUAUUAGCAAAAAGGUAAAGAAAAUGAGAGGGGUAUAGCAUCAAAUAUAAAUCACAAUAUUAAAUAUUUUGCCUUGCCCUGCUAUGCCCAAGUAUGGUUAAUAUUUGAAUAUUGUGAGCCAGAGAAGGUCUAUUUUAUGACUAAGCAGAACCAUGUAUUUUAAAGUGAACUCAGUAGCUAAAAAAUAUACAUGAAGAAGGAAAUAAGUGGAGAAUUGGAAUAAAAAUAGGAAGUGCUAGAAUAAAGGGGAAAUAAUUACUGAAAGGGGACAUAAUUUGAGCAUACAUUGUUCCUAGAAAAUGGUGUAUUAGGGAUGAAUGUAGCUUUAUAAUAAAGGAGGCAAGAGUACUGCCCUCCUCAAAAGGGGAUUCAUUUAGCAAACGUUACAAAGAUUCUAUAAAGAAUUAUGUUUGAAUGCCUUAUGUCAAAGGUGGUGGACACAAAACCGCAGUAACAACAGAUGCCCAGUAAGGCAGAAAUGGAGUGGAAAAGAGAGGUGCAGGGAACAGGAAGGAAAAAGAAGAACAGUCAAAUGAAACUAAAAAUAAAAAGUAUGGGUGAACCCCAGGGUAAUAUUUGCCUUAAGGAAGUGAGGCCGAUGGAUGAAGUCUAUUCUAGGUCUACUGAGAGUAUUCAACUGCCAUUUCUCAAAAAGGGAGCCAACUAGCACCUAGGAAAAAAAAAUGUCCGAAUCUCCAGGGCUGACUUUGAGAGUAAAUAUAGGGCUCUCUAGGCUCCUGUAAAAGCCAGUUUGAAUGAAACUUACUCGGCAGAAUCUUCAAGCAUACUCUUGCUGAUUCAGUGGUGCAGAUGGCCAUCUUAAAGAUUGAUUGAACUUGUAGUGGAUUUAUUUGCUUUUGAGAUAUGUCAUUAAUACAUUUUUGAGCAGAAUAUGUUUCUUAACCUGUAUUUUUUCUUUAAUAAAUAAUAUGUAUGAAUAUAAAUGUUUUUUCCAGUUUAAAUUUUUUUAACGUUAUGGAUCAAGGGAAGCAGUAUAAGGUGAAACAUUUGCAGGUGUUUAGAUAUUGUGCAACUUUGUAUUCCUGACUUUAAAGUGUUAAACUAACUAUUUAGCCACCCUGCUAACCCUUAAAUCUAGUAAAACUCAAUUUGUUUCCACCACUGUGCUGGCUCUGCCCACGAUCCGCCUCCUUGGAUGACAUCAUCAGGAUUCAUGAUCUCAGCCAAGCAAAAUGCUUUCCUAUAGGAAAUGAGAAGGCAAUUCGGAUUAUCUCGGCCAAGGAGGUGGGCCAGGGUGGAGCCAAAUACCACCCUGGCCAAUCAGCAUCUCCUCAUGGAGAUGCACUGAAUCAAUGCAUCUCUAUGAGGAAAGUGCAGCAUCUCCAUGCACAGCGUGAAGACGCUGAACUUCAGUGCUUCACACUGUGCAGCUCUGAACCAGGAAGCACCUCUAGUGGCGGUCUGAGGAGUGGCCACUGGAGGUGUUCCUAGGCAGUGUUUACAUAAAAAAAGCCUUCAGGAACUUACUAUACUCACCAGUACAACUACAUUAAACUAUAGUUCUUGUAGGCUAUAGUGUCCCUUUCAGGGUACCACAACUACCAAACUGCCAAGCAUUACACAAUACCCACAUACAGAUUAGAUCCAUUACUUUUAAUGAAUUAAUUUAAUGAAAAAAGAUAUAUAGAAUUGUUCUAAUACAAUAAAAUAUUUCUAAUAAAGGCUGAGUUGGAAAUUGUCUCUAAUUUAUUUGCCUUCUAUUGGAUCAAAAGCAGCAAAAGUGAUGCAUAAAAGCUUGAUUCUCAGCCUAGAUUACAAGGUACCUAAGAGCGACUGCUGCGUGUCAGAUGUCUUUCUCCUUUAAUGUUGAAGCAGAUAUGUUCCGAGAGGAAGUAAAAUUAGAAUAUAUCAAACUAUGAUAGAUUAAAACGUUAUUUUUAAAUUUAGUGUUGUAUUAAUUUUGUUGCUUUUCCUGUACUCAACCAGAUUCUGUACAAGUCAUAUGUUUCCGUCCAGAAAGGACAUUGUGUUUUUAUGGAGCUAAAUUCUUAUGCUUGGGCACAGAUGGAGAAAAUAAACCAGUAUAUUAAAAAUAUGUAUAUGGAGAUGUAAAACAUGCUUUAUUUUGACAUGAUCUGCUGCUUGCUAGUUUGGGAAAUUUUAGCACCUGGAAACCUUAAGCAAAUAAACCAAUAUUCUGUCAUCUGUAUUUGAAAGGGUGUUAAUGGAAUUGGAGAACCAUGGUAAUUUCCAUGUUAUUUAUUAAAUCCUAAUUCUUAACUUUUUUUUUUUUUUUUUUACUUCUGUUUGUUAAUCGUGCUUAUUUUUCUAUCUGGUUAUGUAAUUUACGAAAGGCAUGUAAUCAGUCAAAAGCUGAUCUAAUUAUAGUGUUCAUGUGAGAUCAAGAUGAGUGUAUUUUCUCUUNNNNNNNNNNNNNNNNNNNNNNNNNNNNNNNNNNNNNNNNNNNNNNNNNNNNNNNNNNNNNNNNNNNNNNNNNNNNNNNNNNNNNNNNNNNNNNNNNNNNCUCAAAUUAUGUCCCCUUUCAGUAACUAUUUCCCCUUUAUUCUAGCACUUCCUAUUUUUAUUCCAAUUCUCCACUUAUUUCCUUCUUCAUGUAUAUUUUUUAGCUACUGAGUUCACUUUAAAAUACAUGGUUCUGCUUAGUCAUAAAAUAGACCUUCUCUGGCUCACAAUAUUCAAAUAUUAACCAUACUUGGGCAUAGCAGUGCAAGGCAAAAUAUUUAAUAUUGUGAUUUAUAUUUGAUGCUAUACCCCUCUCAUUUUCUUUACCUUUUUGCUAAUAUCUUGAAAUUAUUAUAUAUUUCAAUUAAAAAUAGCUCAAUAAAUGAACAAAAAAGAAUAAUAUUGUAUGGUUCAGUAGAACAUGGAAAUACAAAUUGGGGAACUAUCUCUUUAACGUUGCAGUUACAAUAUGUUGGCUCUUUUUAUGUAUCUUAAACAUCCAUUUUCUCAAAUGAAAAUGGUUGCAUGCUAACCACUUAAUUUAAAAUCAAUACCAUUUUAGGUAAAUUAACAAUCCCUAAUAUAUCAGAGAUCCAAUACUUUCAACAGAUUAGCAAAGGCUGGGAUGACCCGUUUAUACUAUUAUUGAAUGAUGCACUGAAGAAAAUUUCUUUAACACAAUGUGGACCCAACAGAAUGCAAACCAGAUAACCAUUUGCAAAUAAUACGAUUAUAUCGUCUAAUUGAUGUACACAUUUCAAGAAGUGGUAGGCACAUGUAAUAAUAUCCAUGUGAUAUUGAACACUUAAAGCAUCCCAUUAAAGCAGUCAAUAACAGACCAUAUUCUUAACCCAAUCUGGUCAAAAACUACAUUAAAACAAAGAAGGCACACAGUAUGCAAAUACUCAACUCCCCUUACUGGAUCCUUUAGAGCUAAUGCAUGCGCGGCAGUGUGAUAGCUGUUUAACAUCUGGUGGCUCCUUUCACAAAAUGUAUGUGAUGAAUGUACCCGCUGCCAAGUGCUGUACUACAUGUCCCGUAGAAAUGAAAUCUCCAUCUAAAAUCAGUUGGAGCAUCAUGUUCUGGUUUAGUGAAAGCAUACUGCAAGUAAAAGCAAGAUCUUCAAAUGUGAGUUCCUUUUUUAUUUUAAAUUUGUUUAACUAACUUUCAGCUUACAUGAGUGCAUCAACUUUAUAAUGCAUUCAAAUGGGUUAUGCCCAACAUGCAGUGUCCUUUUAAUAUCACCGCUCAAAUAAGAAUUAGAGACACUCUUUAUCACAAGAGCGAUAUGGAACGUAUCAUGCUAUAUGGUGAGGUAGGUACUACUGUAAAACUCUUAAACUCUAGCUUUUUGUUUAUUCUUUAUAUAAAAUUUGCACAGGAUCUUUACGGGGUCUACACUCACACCAUUCUUUUGCCUUAUUGUUCUAAAUGUAUUCUCCUGCAUACAUCUGAGUUUUCGCUCGUACUCCAUUUAUAUCCAUUUGCCACUGUGAUGCAACUUACAUUUGCUUAGUGUUCUGUUAUCCAAUACAUUUUUCAUCAAAGGAACACUACAAACACCAGAGCCACUACAGUAUGCAGUAGUGCCUAUGAUACCAAAAGUGCCCUGGUUAUUGUAAGUAGUCAUAAUGUGUUAGAACAGUUUGACUACUUAACUGGAAUACUUCACUGUAUCCUGGAAGCUCUCUGUCUCAGUGGUACAGAGUUUAGCUCGAUGGAUGAGAGCACCUAGCUGACACUUGCUCUCAGCCAAUGAGCUGGCAGGAGCUUCCGGAUCUCUUGGUUCUUGACAGGUGAUGACUUCGAAGUUAGAAAAAAAUUAGGAACAGGGGUAAAGAAUCGGGUUGCUGGUAAGGUAUGGGGGAUAACCCCUAGUAACUAAUACAAAGCUGAAAAAGAGAAACAGAUGUAGAGACACCUAAGGGUUAAAUCGAUCAGUCCCAGAGGUUCACUACAUUAGUAAAGCAACCCAAAAGAAAAUAUAAAAUUUAACUUUUAAUGGAAUCCCUGGUAAAAUAGCAAAAAAAUAAAGUAAAGAAAUCCCUGCUAGUAGACAGCUAAAUAAACAAAGAAAAGGAGAGAGCUCAGAGGAUAAAUAAUAGCACAGAGAGAAAGAGGAAUCCUAAAGGAUCAAAAUGAAUCCAAAUGUAUCUAUAAGAGAAGGUGAUACAAAUCUCUGUCUCUCUGUAAGCAGGCUAAUCCUGUGGGUAACAGCCCUCAAUAGUCUGAAUGGUUACAUAGCUAUCUAUAUGUAACACAAGUAGUCUCUAAUAGAGGUUCGCCAAAUAAAUGUAGUAGUCUAAAAGCUAAAAAUCUGGAGAGGGUAGUCAAACAGGAGCAUCAUACACGAAUAAUUCAAAUAGCUAUAACAUAGUCCCUAAUCUAGCUCCAACCACCCGCUCACUGUACUAAUCCCUGACGCGCGUUUCGCCACACUGGCUCUUCUGAGGGAAUAGCUAUAGCUAUUUGAAUUAUUCGUGUAUGAUGCUCCUGUUUGACUACCCUCUCCAGAUUUUUAGCUUUUAGACUACUACAUUUAUUUGGCGAACCUCUAUUAGAGACUACUUGUGUUACAUAUAGAUAGCUAUGUAACCAUUCAGACUAUUGAGGGCUGUUACCCACAGGAUUAGCCUGCUUACAGAGAGACAGAGAUUUGUAUCACCUUCUCUUAUAGAUACAUUUGGAUUCAUUUUGAUCCUUUAGGAUUCCUCUUUCUCUCUGUGCUAUUAUUUAUCCUCUGAGCUCUCUCCUUUUCUUUGUUUAUUUAGCUGUCUACUAGCAGGGAUUUCUUUACUUUAUAUAUUUUUUGCUAUUUUACCAGGGAUUCCAUUAAAAGUUAAAUUUUAUAUUUUCUUUUGGGUUGCUUUACUAAUGUAGUGAACCUCUGGGACUGAUCGAUUUAACCCUUAGGUGUCUCUACAUCUGUUUCUCUUUUUCAGCUUUGUAUUAGUUACUAGGGGUUAUCCCCCAUACCUUACCAGCAACCCGAUUCUUUACCCCUGUUCCUAAUUUUUUUCUAACUUCGAAGUCAUCACCUGUCAAGAACCAAGAGAUCCGGAAGCUCCUGCCAGCUCAUUGGCUGAGAGCAAGUGUCAGCUAGGUGCUCUCAUCCAUCGAGCUAAACUCUGUACCACUGAGACAGAGAGCUUCCAGGAUACAGUGAAGUAUUCCAGUUAAGUAGUCAAACUGUUCUAACACAUUAUGACUACUUACAAUAACCAGGGCACUUUUGGUAUCAUAGGCACUACUGCAUACUGUAGUGGCUCUGGUGUUUGUAGUGUUCCUUUGAUGAAAAAUGUAUUGGAUAACAGAACACUAAGCAAAUGUAAGUUGCAUCACAGUGGCAAAUGGAUAUAAAUGGAGUACGAGCGAAAACUCAGAUGUAUGCAGGAGAAUACAUUUAGAACAAUAAGGCAAAAGAAUGGUGUGAGUGUAGACCCCGUAAAGAUCCUGUGCAAAUUUUAUAUAAAGAAUAAACAAAAAGCUAGAGUUUAAGAGUUUUACAGUAGUACCUACCUCACCAUAUAGCAUGAUACGUUCCAUAUCGCUCUUGUGAUAAAGAGUGUCUCUAAUUCUUAUUUGAGCGGUGAUAUUAAAAGGACACUGCAUGUUGGGCAUAACCCAUUUGAAUGCAUUAUAAAGUUGAUGCACUCAUGUAAGCUGAAAGUUAGUUAAACAAAUUUAAAAUAAAAAAGGAACUCACAUUUGAAGAUCUUGCUUUUACUUGCAGUAUGCUUUCACUAAACCAGAACAUGAUGCUCCAACUGAUUUUAGAUGGAGAUUUCAUUUCUACGGGACAUGUAGUACAGCACUUGGCAGCGGGUACAUUCAUCACAUACAUUUUGUGAAAGGAGCCACCAGAUGUUAAACAGCUAUCACACUGCCGCGCAUGCAUUAGCUCUAAAGGAUCCAGUAAGGGGAGUUGAGUAUUUGCAUACUGUGUGCCUUCUUUGUUUUAAUGUAGUUUUUGACCAGAUUGGGUUAAGAAUAUGGUCUGUUAUUGACUGCUUUAAUGGGAUGCUUUAAGUGUUCAAUAUCACAUGGAUAUUAUUACAUGUGCCUACCACUUCUUGAAAUGUGUACAUCAAUUAGACGAUAUAAUCGUAUUAUUUGCAAAUGGUUAUCUGGUUUGCAUUCUGUUGGGUCCACAUUGUGUUAAAGAAAUUUUCUUCAGUGCAUCAUUCAAUAAUAGUAUAAACGGGUCAUCCCAGCCUUUGCUAAUCUGUUGAAAGUAUUGGAUCUCUGAUAUAUUAGGGAUUGUUAAUUUACCUAAAAUGGUAUUGAUUUUAAAUUAAGUGGUUAGCAUGCAACCAUUUUCAUUUGAGAAAAUGGAUGUUUAAGAUACAUAAAAAGAGCCAACAUAUUGUAACUGCAACGUUAAAGAGAUAGUUCCCCAAUUUGUAUUUCCAUGUUCUACUGAACCAUACAAUAUUAUUCUUUUUUGUUCAUUUAUUGAGCUAUUUUUAAUUGAAAUAUAUAAUAAUUUCAAGAUAUUAGCAAAAAGGUAAAGAAAAUGAGAGGGGUAUAGCAUCAAAUAUAAAUCACAAUAUUAAAUAUUUUGCCUUGCACUGCUAUGCCCAAGUAUGGUUAAUAUUUGAAUAUUGUGAGCCAGAGAAGGUCUAUUUUAUGACUAAGCAGAACCAUGUAUUUUAAAGUGAACUCAGUAGCUAAAAAAUAUACAUGAAGAAGGAAAUAAGUGGAGAAUUGGAAUAAAAAUAGGAAGUGCUAGAAUAAAGGGGAAAUAGUUACUGAAAGGGGACAUAAUUUGAGCAUACAUUGUUCCUAGAAAAUGGUGUAUUAGGGAUGAAUGUAGCUUUAUAAUAAAGGAGGCAAGAGUACUGCCCUCCUCAAAAGGGGAUUCAUUUAGCAAACGUUACAAAGAUUCUAUAAAGAAUUAUGUUUGAAUGCCUUAUGUCAAAGGUGGUGGACACAAAACCGCAGUAACAACAGAUGCCCAGUAAGGCAGAAAUGGAGUGGAAAAGAGAGGUGCAGGGAACAGGAAGGAAAAAGAAGAACAGUCAAAUGAAACUAAAAAUAAAAAGUAUGGGUGAACCCCAGGGUAAUAUUUGCCUUAAGGAAGUGAGGCCGAUGGAUGAAGUCUAUUCUAGGUCUACUGAGAGUAUUCAACUGCCAUUUCUCAAAAAGGGAGCCAACUAGCACCUAGGAAAAAAAAAUGUCCGAAUCUCCAGGGCUGACUUUGAGAGUAAAUAUAGGGUUCUCUAGGCUCCUGUAAAAGCCAGUCUGAAUGAAACUUACUCGGCAGAAUCUUCAAGCAUACUCUUGCUGAUUCAGUGGUGCAGAUGGCCAUCUUAAAGAUUGAUUGAACUUGUAGUGGAUUUAUUUGCUUUUGAGAUAUGUCAUUAAUACAUUUUUGAGCAGAAUAUGUUUCUUAACCUGUAUUUUUUCUUUAAUAAAUAAUAUGUAUGAAUAUAAAUGUUUUUUCCAGUUUAAAUUUUUUUAACGUUAUGGAUCAAGGGAAGCAGUAUAAGGUGAAACAUUUGCAGGUGUUUAGAUAUUGUGCAACUUUGUAUUCCUGACUUUAAAGUGUUAAACUAACUAUUUAGCCACCCUGCUAACCCUUAAAUCUAGUAAAACUCAAUUUGUUUCCACCACUGUGCUGGCUCUGCCCACGAUCCGCCUCCUUGGAUGACAUCAUCAGGAUUCAUGAUCUCAGCCAAGCAAAAUGCUUUCCUAUAGGAAAUGAGAAGGCAAUUCGGAUUAUCUCGGCCAAGGAGGUGGGCCAGGGUGGAGCCAAAUACCACCCUGGCCAAUCAGCAUCUCCUCAUGGAGAUGCACUGAAUCAAUGCAUCUCUAUGAGGAAAGUGCAGCAUCUCCAUGCACAGCGUGAAGACGCUGAACUUCAGUGCUUCACACUGUGCAGCUCUGAACCAGGAAGCACCUCUAGUGGCCGUCUGAGGAGUGGCCACUGGAGGUGUUCCUAGGCAGUGUUUACAUAAAAAAAGCCUUCAGGAACUUACUAUACUCACCAGUACAACUACAUUAAACUAUAGUUCUUGUAGGCUAUAGUGUCCCUUUCAGGGUACCACAACUACCAAACUGCCAAGCAUUACACAAUACCCACAUACAGAUUAGAUCCAUUACUUUUAAUGAAUUAAUUUAAUGAAAAAAGAUAUAUAGAAUUGUUCUAAUACAAUAAAAUAUUUCUAAUAAAGGCUGAGUUGGAAAUUGUCUCUAAUUUAUUUGCCGUCUAUUCGAUCAAAAGUAGCAAAAGUGAUGCAUAAAAGCUUGAUUCUCAGCCUAGAUUACAAGGUACCUAAGAGCGACUGCUGCGUGUCAGAUGUCUUUCUCCUUUAAUGUUGAAGCAGAUAUGUUCCGAGAGGAAGUAAAAUUAGAAUAUAUCAAACUAUGAUAGAUUAAAACGUUAUUUUUAAAUUUAGUGUUGUAUUAAUUUUGUUGCUUUUCCUGUACUCAACCAGAUUCUGUACAAGUCAUAUGUUUCCGUCCAGAAAGGACAUUGUGUUUUUAUGGAGCUAAAUUCUUAUGCUUGGGCACAGAUGGAGAAAAUAAACCAGUAUAUUAAAAAUAUGUAUAUGGAGAUGUAAAACAUGCUUUAUUUUGACAUGAUCUGCUGCUUGCUAGUUUGGGAAAUUUUAGCACCUGGAAACCUUAAGCAAAUAAACCAAUAUUCUGUCAUCUGUAUUUGAAAGGGUGUUAAUGGAAUUGGAGAACCAUGGUAAUUUCCAUGUUAUUUAUUAAAUCCUAAUUCUUAACUUUUUUUUUUUUUUUUUUACUUCUGUUUGUUAAUCGUGCUUAUUUUUCUAUCUGGUUAUGUAAUUUACGAAAGGCAUGUAAUCAGUCAAAAGCUGAUCUAAUUAUAGUGUUCAUGUGAGAUCAAGAUGAGUGUAUUUUCUCUUACAAUAGAAACUAUGAAAAAAUAUACAUUCAUAUCAUGCAGCAGUGUAUUUUAACAGGUUUAUAAACCACUCCCCCCUAUUAAAAGAUUUACUGAGACGUAUAUAUAUAUAUACACGGGACUUGCUGGAAUCAACAAGGGUUUCCAAGAGGUAGCUCUGUGCCUCUUAGGGGGAUCAUCAUCCUUUAUAGGAUAUGUACUGAUCAGCCACAACAUUACAACCACAGACAAGUGAAGUGAAUAACAUUGAUUAUAUCAUUACAAUGUCACCUGUCAAGGUGGAUAUAUUAGGCAGCAUGUGAAUAGUCAGUUUCAUUGUUAGAAGCAAAAUAAAAGCAAAAAAAAAAAAAAGCAAAAUGAUCUUAAUGACUUUGACAUGGGCCAAAUAGUGAUGGCUAGACAACUGGGUCAGAGAAUCUCCAAAACGGCAAGACUUGUGAGCUGUUCCCAGUAUGCAGUGUUUAAUACCUACCAAACGUGGUGCUAGGAAGGACAACCGAUAAACCGGCGUCAGGGUCAUGGGCACGCAAGGCUCAUUGAUAAACGUGCGAAGCAAAGUUUAGCCUGUCUGGUACAAUCACAGAGAAAACGUAAUGUUGGCCAUGAUAGAAAGGUGGCAGAACACAAAGUGCAUCGCAGUUUAGUCAAAGUGCCCAUGGAGACUCUGUCCACAGCCAAAAGCUCCUUCAAUAAGAACAUGAGAGUCACACCUGGCCCAUGGAACAAUGGUUGCUGGGUCUGAUGGAUUACGCUUUCUUUUAGAUCAGGUGGAUGACCAGGUGCCUGUGCGCUGUUUACCUGGGGAAGAGAUGGAUGCAGGAUGCAUUAUGGGAAAAAGCUGGCGGGGGCAGUGCUAUGCUCGGGGCAAUGUUCUGCUAGGAAAUCUUGGGUCCUGUCAUUUAUGUACAUGUUACUUUGACAAGUACCACCUCCCUAGAGAUUGUUGCAGAAUACAUACACCCCUUCAUGGUAAUGUUGUUUUCUGACGGCAGUGGUCUCUUUCAGCAUGAUAAUGCGCUCUAAAAAAAACUGCAAUAACUGUUUGAGGAACAUGACAAAGAGUUCAAGGUGUUACCUUGACCUCCAAAUUACCCAGAUCUCAAUCAAAUUGAAGUUGCCAUACACAAAAGGAUCUGAUGCUAAUGUCUUGGUGCCAGAUAACCACAGGACACAUGCAGAAGUCUUGUGGAGUCCAUGCCUCGAUGCUGUUUUGGCAGCCUAGAGGGACCUACAGGAUACUAGGCAGGUGAUUUUAAUGUUGUGGUUUAUUAGUGCAAAGUCCUAAAAAAUACAGUAGUGCUCUAUGUAUGGUGGAAAACUGCAUUUAUUUUGAGAUUUCCUGUUUCAUUUUAGCACCCAUGACUCCAUUCUGUAGGAAGUAAGUUAAAAAUGCUGGAUCUGAGAUAAGUGUAACUGCAGACUUCAAUAGGAGUUAGAUCACAUUCCACAUUGCGCGGCCAAAACAUUAUUUCUGUAUCUGAUUUCUAUUAAAAUCAGCAGUUACACCCACCUGGAGUGCUUGGAUCCAACUUUUCUACCUGGUUGUCAUUGCAGAGGUCUGCUACCUUGAAUCCAGUGAUGCACCAUGGUGUAGAAAAGGUGACUGAAAUGGACUGAGUGCAGUCCAAUCACAUUCUAUCAUCGGCACAUCCCAUUCCAUCAGGAUAUCCUACCAUAUCAUACCAAACCAUAUAAUUUAUUAUUAUAUAUAAAUGUGACUUGGGCAGAAUGAUAUACAUAUAUGCUUUUUCAAUUACCUUAAAGGACCACUCUAGGCACCCAGACCACUUCAGCUUAAUGAAGUGGUCUGGGUUCCUGGUCCAGCUAGGGUUAACCCAUUUUUUUUAUAAACAUAGCAGUUUCAGAGAAACUGCUAUGUUUAUAAAUAGGUCAAUCCAGCCUCUAAAGCCUCUAGUGGCUGUCUCAUUGACAGCCGCUAGAGGCAUUUGCGUGCUUCUCACUGUGAAAAUCACAGUGAGAAAACGCAAGCAUCCAUAUAAAUGCUUUCCUAUGAGACAGGCUGAAUGCGCGCGCAGCUCCUGCCGCGCAUGCACAUUCAGCGGAAGAGGAGGUGGAGAGCUCCCCGCCCGGCGCUGGAGAAAGGAGAGCCCGGCGCUGGAGAAAGGAGAGCUCCCAGAAGCCCGGCGGGAGGGGGACCCUGAGGGUGGGGGCACCCUCAGGGCACUAUAGUGCCAGGAAAACAAGUAUGUUUUCCUGGCACUAUAGUGGUCCUUUAAUAUAACUAAUUAAACUGGCGCUGGAGCAUUCUCUGCUUUUUUUCAGGCUAAUGAGAAGAACAUACCAGAAUCUGCCUUUUCUUUCAUUAUUACUAUUAUUUAUAAAGCGCCAACAAAUUCCGUAGCUCUGUACAAUAGGUGGGCCAACAGAAAAGUAUUUGCAACAAGACAAGUUGGACACACAAGAACAGAGGGUGUUGAGGGCCCUGCUCAAAUUUGCUUACAUUCAUCUUUAGAAGUCAGGAAAAAAAAAAAAAACUGUUUUUAAACCUUUGGUAUCUGAAAGAAUUGUCAUUUCUUUGUGUUCAUGCAACAGUGUACACAUUGCAUGAAGUAAACAAGUUUAUUGUUGUGGCCCGUGCUCCAGGGAGCCGACAGCUGUGCCUCUUUUGCUCCCAGAAGACAUUUUCUACCAAGAAAAGAUCACUGAAGGAAACAAAAUAAACAAGCUUCAAAAACUUCGAAAACUGUGUAUUACAUUAGACAACACCUGUUUACCAGAGCUAGUUGUUUGUAAGCAUAUUCCCAAAACACUUGUAAGUCUACAAAGUUACUAAGAGCAGCUUCAAGGGCUUAAACACAUGAUUUUCCAUGUGGGUGAUUUUAGGACAAAGACAAAAGGAGAGCACUGACUAUAACUCUCAGCCGACGAGACUUAGCCACCACAAUAUUGUUGCUACAAAACUUACCCAACUACACCUAAAACUCAGCAAGAACGCACCACUUCUAUUACCGUCAGUCAAUUCUGUUAAUUGAAUUAUGUAUAUAAAACUCAGCCACAGCACAGUAUUGCAGGUAACACACAGGAACCACAAAGAUCAAUCCACAGUACAUGGAGCAGUGCGCAUGCACUAAUUGUAAAUCUUUAGAGCAGGGCAUUCUUGGCCUCUUUUUGUCUCUGCUAUUUUUUGUAUGUCAAUAACGUGUCAAAUAUCCCAAUUCUAUAAUUGUUAAGCGUUACAGAAUAUGUUGGUGCUGUAUAAAAUAUAAUAAUAACAAUAUCCACAUUCUCCCAGUAACUAUUGUGUCAUUAACCCUUCCCUCCUGCAUGAAAGUGCUGUGCGAAGGAUUAAGAAAAAGCAGGUUAUACUUCGCUGCCGUACACACAUUUUAAAGGACAAUAGGAAGCUUUUUGAUGUCUUAAUGGACCAGAUGCCAUUUUAUGGCAUUCUAAAUACUUUUAUGAGGCCCACAGCCAGUCAUCCUGGAAUAGAGAGGUAUCUCCAAGUCCUGAACAUACAUCUCUAUGUCCUGGAUUGUUGGUGGCCCGAGUCCGGAUCACAAUUAAGAUUGCACUCUUACUUGCCGUGGCUGAGGAGAUGGCAGAUUAAAAAUGCAGUGUUAGGCCCUGGGGAGAUAGCGUAGCUAAGUGGACAAGGGCACAUGUAGGAGUGUGGGGAUAGAUGGAUGGGAUUGGUUGGGAAAGAAUGUGUGGGUGGGAUUAUGUUCUAUGUGAGUUAGUGGGGGGAGGUCUUACCUCAGUGCCACUUGGGAUCAGGGCCAGCAAACAGCUUCCCUCCCGCCCGCCCUAUUAGUAUAUUUAGUCACAGCUAGCUGGGGUAUGUCCUUGCCAAUUGAGUUUAAGGGGUUACGUUUAAGUAUAUGGAAUGAGAUGAACAAGUUUUUAAGGUCUCAACCUCCCCUGCUUCAAACGGUUAACAUUAGGUUGCCUGAGGUGUCGUGCCCAUCGAGUGUGGAAACGUCGGCUGAUGGUGGGCAUUGGAAAGAUAUGAUUUUUAUGACGAGGGGGGAGGUGAGAGGAAGUGGUGAUUAGGAACCACUGUAUGUUUAUUGGCAAGGACGGUUGGGUCACUGUAUAACACUAUGUGUGGAAUUAUGUAUAUAUGUUAAUUUAUACUUAUUUAUGUCUCACAUUUUUGGUUACAGAAAAAGAAGAGAUUUCAUAAAUAAAGUUAUUGAUGUGUUAUGCAGUAAUUUAGUUUGUGAUAAUAAAUGCUGUGGCCUGUUUCAUCCAUACUAAGUGGUCUGUCGUUAUUGGGGGGUUGAAUGGGGUUAGUUUUGUUCUAGGCUGCAUCAUGAUUCCCCACUACGUACAUACAUGUCUGUACUCUAUGCUCCCACCAGCGUCAUUAGUUAAGAUCUAACAUUCGACAGUCACAAGCAGUAAGCAGCCUACAUCAAGAGCUCAGCCACUCUAAAGAUGCUGGAAUGGAAGGGGCGAAUAUUACAUGUAUGUGUACCUAUGUGUAUAUGUGUCUGAGUGCAAGUACGUGUGUAUGUGUAUGUACGUGUGUAUGGGAGGACAAAUUUAUGUGUAUGCACAUGCAUCUGGUAGUAUGGAUUUUUGGACCCAUAGUAGAAGAUGGUUUGGACUGUGACCCGUAGGUAAAUUGACUUUUUAGACCCCGGCUCUAAGGGAUAGCAGUCCUUUGGAUUUUCUGUUAUCUGAAUAAAAAUGUAGAAGCGGUGCCUAGUGUGCUCAAAGUUGAUUAGAUGAUGUGAAUGCACAAGCAACCUGUAUUGAUCACAGUGAUAAAACAAAGCACAAAAUAAGCUAUAUUAGAAAGGUAGCGGAGUAAAUAUAAGAGAACACUGUCUCUUGUGUUUACAAAUAUACUAGUAAUAAAUGGAUUCAAUUUGUGUCUGCUAUUGCAUAUUGAGAAAUAUUUUACCUGAAUAUCUUUGUUUAGGACAGUGAUGGCGAACCUUUUUGAGCCCGAGUGCACAAACCACAAUACAUACCAACUUUUUUCACCUCAAAGUGCAAACACAGCAAUUAAACCUGAAUACUGAGGUUUAAGUAUAGAAAAAAUAACUCAUACAGUUGUUCGAACUAAUUCUCCUCUUCUCUCCCCCCCAGCAUCUUCCCUUCUCUAGCCACAGUAUAUCCCCCUGUCCCCCCAGCAUCUCCUCCUCCUCCUCUCCCCAAAUUGUCCUUCUCCUCUCCCCCAGAUUCUCCUCUUCCUUUCCCCUUCUCCCCCUCUUUCUCUCCCAUUCUCCCCCCAGAUUCCCCGCCUCCUCUCCCUCAGAUUCUCAUCUUCCUCUCCCCAUAUUCUCUUCCUUUCCCCUUCUCCCCCAGCAUCUCCUCCUCUCCCCUUCUCCCCCCAGCAUCUCCCCCUCCUUCUCUCCUAUUCUUCCCCAGAAUCUCCUCCUAUUCUCCUCCUAGAUUCUCCUCUCAGACUGGUUUAGGAGCUGUAAGGUGCAAGCAAGGCCAAUAUUUCUCCAGUUAUAAAAUUCUAAAACUAAUAUAUAAUUUUUUUCAAGUUCAUUAGGAAGUCGGUGUUAAAUUACUUUUUGCUAAAGCAUUAUCGGAUACUAAUUUUUAAAAUAUUUUCUUUGACAAUUAUUUUGCAUAUUUUUACUGAGGGUUGUUUUCCGAUGAGGAGUUGCAGUGCAGAAAUAGUUAAACUCAGACUCUCUUGAGAAAGUCCAAAGAUUGUUUGAUCUGGCUGUGAUAACCAAACUUAUAGCAACAGAUGGACUGUAUUAGGGAUGGAAUGGUAAACAAGCUUGGAGAAUUAACUAUACAGUGCGUUAAUACACAAAUACAUAGCCAAUUACUUACAGUUCUAAGAUAUCAAACAUUAAACCACGGCAAUUCAGUAUCACAAUUUGCUUGGUGAGUGUGUGAUGUUUGGAGGACAACUGGGUAAGAAUAAAUACGUAUGAUGAGACAUCAGUAUACAUAGCAGGGCAAUCUUAACCUUAAAAUAUAGAAAGUUCACAUCUUCUCUACUUCACACUCUUAUUCCUACUAAGAAGUCACUUUUCUUUCGUUCCUUCCCUCCCAUCCUUCAACGCAUGGGGAAAAGCUCCCCGUAGCUCACCUAUUGACCUCCUAGUUUUAGCUCCAUCCCCCCGUGGAUUGCCCGUUACCAGCCAUAACCUCUGGGGAUAUGUAGACAGGACCACUUGAUUGCCCAACACAACUUUACACCAGGGUGAUGACCCACAGUAGGCCACCUCACAAAUGAUGAGACUUAUGUCCAGACAACCCUCAGAAAAAGCAGAAGGAGACCCCAUGCUUGGAGCUCUAGGGAGGCAUAGGGGGCAGGCAGUCCGAGGAUAGACCGGACCAGAGUGGGGGUGAUUGAUGACGCAUUAGACAGGAUGUGAGGAACGAGACAUUCUAAAAUGCAGAAAUAUAUUUGAAAGUCCACUCCUGGCUUAUGCCCCAGGCAUGGGCCUAGCACUGGAGAGCAUUACUACCUGUCACUUCCCUACUCUUGACCUAUUUUGUGACUUUCACAUGUCUACUACGACAAUAUUGCUAUUGAUAUGUUGCAUUUACUUCAAUGUGCUGGAAACUAUCCUCCUCUGUGUGGGAUGGCUCAGACCAUAUAUGAUUUUAAUACAAACUGGUUUUAAACAAAGUGAGCACUUCAGAGGUACCUCAAGCAGGUGACAAUUAAACCAACAGUUACAGAUAAAGCAGCAGGGACCCUAAAGGUGGACACUGCUACAAAUUAACCCGUAUGAUACCUUUUUGUCAGUGAGAUGUGGUUAGAGAGUGUUUUGACUUCACCAACAUCAUUGUGUAUCAAAUAGUGUGGAACACUGCUUCCACCAGGAUGGCCAUAAAAAUAUUGAGAGAGUAGGAGAAAAUGGCAAAGUGCACCAUAUAGAGCCAGGAAGAGAAAGUCAGCAGUGCAGAGACAUGAGGCGAAGGAAGGAUGUGGUAACUAUGAUGGACUACGGGUGGUAUGAUGAUCGAAGGGGAAUGGAUGAUAUGUAAGCCCAGUGAUUAAGGCCCACACAUAAAGGUUUCUUAGAGGGCAUUUUAACAACUUAAAUGCUUUUCCCCCCCUCUAUUCUUUAUUAAACCUUAUAAAAAGGUUCAGCUUUAUGAUUCUCAAAUAUUACAAUUUGUAAGAAUUGGUUUACAUAAACAACAUGAAUGACACAGUACAUACGGAACUGCCCAUAUAAAAAAAAUUCUGAGGAGAGGUGGGGUGGGGGGUAUACCCGAGAUAUGCAGCAAACUAAAUGUUUCUGACAAGUACCCAACAGUAAAGCAAGUCCAGUUCAUUUUGAAUAAUGUGCCCUGUUGUCUCACACUGUGCUCAUAUUUCUUUGUAGUGCUCUUCAAAUUGCUCUAAUCAGCUGAGAUGUUCCAUCCAUCUGUCUUAAAGGAACAUUUUAAUUUAAGAAUACAAAUUUGUAUUCCUAACACUAAAGUGUUCCUCUGCCCCUCCACCCUUUUUCACCUCCCAGCGGCACUGAAACCCCAGCAGCACACUCAUCUGUUUCCAGCGUCUCUGCACUGGCUCCAUCUCCACCUCCUCCAUCAGCGCCACAUUAGGCCUUCCGUAUAGGAAAGUAUUGAAUCAGUGCUUUCCUCUUGGGUAUUUGAAGACUCUGGAUGUCCUCAUGCACAUUGUGAAGACGUCCAGAGUCAUUUCAUGGAGUUAAACUCUGUGAAACAGCAGAAAGCGCCUCUAGUGGUUGUCUUGGAGAGUAGUCUAAACCCUACAACAGUGAUGUUGAACAUUUUUGAGCUUGAGUGCCCAAACCACAAUACAAACCACUUUUUUUAUCUCAAAGUGCUAACACAGCACUAUGAUUGUGAGAGGUGCAGUGUGUGUGGUUGUGAGAGGGUGCAGUGUGUGUGACUGUGAGGAGGUGCAGUGUGGUUGUUAGGGGUGCAGUGUGUGUAGUGUGAGAGAGACUUUGAAGUUUAGGAUUGGGGCUGAGUGUUGCAGGGUCUGAGAGGGGAGCAUCUUUUUAAUUGAAUUAUUAUUAUUUUUUAUAUUUUAAUUUAAUAUAUUUUUGGUUUUUCCCCCCUCCCUGUUACUUACCUGAUUCCAGCCUUUUCUCUUGUAGUCCGGUGGCACUGUAUUUCCUGGUGGUCCCAUGGUGCUAAAGGUAGGGGUCUCAAUCAUCACCUUUGCGGCUCCGCCGGGUCAAUGCAUUUCCCGUGAGUCCCGGCACCACGUGGAAUCGAGCGUUGUUGUGGUUACUACCUCUGAAAGCUGGGACUCGGCUGCAGACAUAGAGGAGAAGGCUGAGAGACUCCUUCCCCCUUUCCUGCUGCACAGCUCUGCAAAGACCCUUACCGGGUCUGUGUAUAUCUAAGGGGCCCGAGCUCGCAGGGCCCCUUACAAGUGAAAUCGUUUGGCGGCAUAUUUUCGUACCAUAGGUUCACCAUCGCUGCCCUACAAUGUAAAAAUUGCAGUUUCUAUCAAACUGCAACAUUUUAGAUUGCAGGGUUAAGGAGACAUGGCCACUAAACUCAGAUUACUUCAAUGAGAUGAAGUGGUCUGGGUGCUUAUAGUGUCCCUUUAAUUGCUUAAAAUAAUCUAACUUGUACUGCCUUCCAUGGUGAUGUUAUUGAUUGUUCCUCUGAUCUGUUUACAUCAGAUGUUUGUAACUGUAUUUUGCAUAUCUUGGGGAUAAGAUUAUUACCACUUUUACUUUUAACUUCCUGCAUCAUCUUUAGUUUUCUAAGAUUGGAACAAGCUACGCUCACAAAUCACUUUUUCCAAACCACCAACACAUGCUCGCAGCCUCCCUAGUUCAUUUCAUUAAGAAUCUAGGAGGUAGAAGGCAGCGAGAUUUGUUGGAAGUUAAAGUGACUUUAAUGAACACUGUGAUCACCACUGAAGCAGAAUUAAUACAGAUUGUACCAUUUGUUCCUCUGUGCUUGUGUUUUACUGAUUUCAUUUAUUAGCUUAAAUCAUGUUGUUGGAGCUUAUAUUGGCUAGACAUUUUAUUUUUUUAAACGUACCAUUCAUAUAAGGGGGGCUGAAUCAUUUAUUGAGAUGUACAUUUCAGCUACUUUUGCUAAGGCCAUUAUUUUGUUUUAUAACUAAAAGUCAGACAUUAAAGGGACACUAUAGUCACCAGAACAACUACAGCUUAAUGUAGUUUUUCUUGUGAAUAUGGUCAGUCCCUGCAGGCCUUUUAAUGUAAGCAAUUCCUUUUCAGAGAAAAGGCAGCAUUUACCUCUUUUAUGAGUCACUCAGACGGCCCCUAGAUGUGCUUCCUGGGUCAGUGCUGCACACUCUGCAUCUCCUCAUAGAGAUGCAUUAAUGCAGUUGACGCGGUGCUGCAUUUUGCCAUGCAUGCACGAAAGUCUCCCAAUGUCUUCCUCUGGGAAAGGGGGGCCGGUACCUAAAUAGUGAUCUUAAAACUUUGUCUGGAAUUGUGUCAGUCCCGCUUGAAGGAGGAACAAUAACUUAUUUGAACUAAGGAUCGACUGAUAUAAUUUUUCCAAAGUCAAUGCCGAUGCAGAUUAUCGGUCGCCUUUUGGUUCAAUUGCCGAUAACCAGUGCUUAUAUUCUGUAUAUUUAAAGUUUGAAAAAAGCAACACAAUUUCUAAACAAUUCUGCCAUUAACGUAAAAUGCUGACAACAAUCACUCCUAUCGCUCUAAGUACAUGCUAGAAUCACUGAGAUCCCAACAUGUACAAUGCUGUUACUGUUAUUGUUGACAGCAAACACACUCCUAUCGAUCUCAGUCAUCCAGCCCAGUACAUUACAGUAGAUUAUUCACUGUCUCAGGGCGUUUAGUUGAGCGAGACUGGCGACUAGAGUUUCCAGAUGUGGAAGAUGGGGUGCAUUGACUGGGAGAGUUGAGUAAGUAAAUAUCUGUAAAUUACAAGACCAAGACCGAUACCGAUUAUCAGAAAUAUGCCGAAUAUUGGCUCUAAUAAUCAACAGAACCGAUAAUCAAUCUAUCCCAAGUUCUAACUUUUUUUUCUUCCUCUACAUUUUUCUGUUUGCUGUGUUUAUUUAUGUUUUGUUAUUGCAUUGUAAAAAUUGCAAAGAUAAAGAAUUAAAAAAAUAUUGUUUGAUCUGCUAAUUGGGAGGUACUGCAAAACUACAUUCGAAUUUGUUUGAUUUCUGUGAUAGGUAUAGGAAAAUAAUGGGAUAUUGCGGUACCAUAUUACCUUUAUAUUUAUCACAAAUACACAACCUCACAAAUAGUAGUCAAAGGAGUCAAGGGAUGGCAAAGUUCUACAAUUAAAGUAAUCUGAAUAGAAACCCAGUACACUGUUUUGAUGGCUCCACUUUAGGAUCUUCAGCCCAGAACUGAUAUUUAGACAUAACCUCUUUCCUUUUUACACAAGUCCUUAUGGUGUAUAUAUGGGUAUUCUCUGCUAAUGAUGUAAUAAGAAUUAAGUCUUCAAGAUUUAUGGCUGAUAUGAUAUACAUUCCCCCUGCAGCACAUGGGGAUCCUGCUGGUUUGGCCAGACGGUGAAAAUAAGUUUGAAAUGACCAAGUAAAACUACAACUUUAACUGGAGAAAUCAAACCAGACACAACAAACCACAGAACAGUCAGUUUUACUUGUCAUAAUUCAUGUGUGCACAAUUCAACUGGCUUUACAGAGUGCUACAUUUCUGCCACUGGCAAAUUCCGUGCACUUCGUCAAAUUUGGAGGAGAAAAAGUUGCUGAUAAAACAGUUUUGAUUCCACUGUAAAAAAAAAAAAUUCUCAUUAAUCAGUCACACGGAAGCAUGCACAUACUGUGAAUGUACUGAACGACUUUCUGUAUGCCCACUAUACCUCCCAACAUUUAAAAUGGACAAAGAGGGACGCUAUCAUUUUAGAGUUGUGAGAGGGUGCUUUAAAAAUGUUAGAUGUAAUGCACACACUUAAAAAAGGGGAAUACUUCCUGCAGGGUGCUCCAGAAAGGAGACAACAAAUAGAAGAAAAAGACACACCUGAAGAAAAGGUAAGUUUUAAACGUUUCAUCUCCACGGAGAGGGGGAUCCGAAACCUAAACAUCCAUUCUAAAAGUGUCAGGAAUACAAAAACACAACAGUGUUCUUUUGAGAUAGAAAAGAGGGUAUUUGGGUCCAAAAUAGGGAUGCAUGGGGGAACAUACUGGCAAGGAAAGAGUUAAAAGACAUCUCAGUAUUUUGUCACUUUGCAACCUGAAGACGGUUUGAUGAAGAUGAGAAUGCAUUUGUCAGAAUGUUUUUUAAAGGCAACAUUCUUGGUUCUGUAUCACGUGUAGUAUAUAUCUACACCAGAUAUUAUACCAGAAAAUAAAUUGUAGCUGUAAGCAUAUGCUGCAAUUAUUAAACAAAAGUCAAGAUAUUUAACAAUGACAACUUCAUUCUUUGCAAUGUUUGAGGAAGUUUUGUGUGUGUGUGUGUGUGUCUGUGUGUGAACGCAGAAAAACUACUCUAUAAUAACCAAGAUAAUGUUAAUUUCUACAGCAUCUGGUACUGUUGAAGACAGACAGGCUAAUUUUAGAAAGAACCAAAAACUGACUGAUUCACUGCCAGAAUGGAAUGAACAUGUCCUGGCACUUCACACAAUUUAUUUGAAGAAACAAAAUUCUCGCAAGACAGAAAGUGCAAAUUUUGGCCUUUUAUCUGCAAAUUAUUUCCUUCUCCUUGCCCACAUGAAUAUGUAAUCUGAAGUUAUUCACUUAACCUUUUUUCAUUGAUGGGGUGCUUAUUCACAUGUGGGAAAAUGGUCAAUACUAGCCAAAAAGGCUGAGUGUUAUGCAUACCAAGCUGACUGGCAGCACACACAGGACUGCCCAUGGCCAGAAUGACCUCAGUACAGUUAGCGUGGUUAAUAUGCUCCCACUGAGCUUACUAGGGAUAUUUUUCAUAUACAAGCCCCAAAUCAGGACUCUGUCCUGGAAACGUGGGGUGGCUGGGAGGUUUGGCAUUCUGUAAAUAAAGGCACCAAUGCAGACAAUUUCCUUUACCUAUUCAAACCACAAUGGAUGCUUUUAAGUGAGGUUUCCUAAUGCUUUGAAUUCCUCCGCCCCUCUACCCCCCUCUCCUCCUCCCCACAUUAAAACAGGGGUUAGAUUUAAACCUCUUAGGGCUGCAUUCAUGGAAAGUAAAUUUUGGUGAUCCAAAAACUAAAUUACAAAACUGAAGAAGUUGGAAAAAUACCCCAAUGUGGCUUUGUUAAACUAUUUUGAUCAAAAUGUAGAUUCCUAUAUAGUGAAUGAACCUUUAAAGUAAUUUGGGAAAAAAACAACGACAAUUUUUAUUAUAAAGUUGGAAUAUUUUUUGGAAAAGUUCAUUUCAAGCACUAUAAGUAAGAACCCAUGGUCAUUGCAUUGCACAAAGGGCUUAUAUGAUAAGACCACAAUGAAAGACUCCUGACUAAAGGAGAGUAUUCCUAGUCCAAAACAUUCCUGCCUUCUGUUUCUGCAUUAGAAAUAAAAAUUAGUUACUAUAAGCAUUGGAGCUUGCUGAAAUGGUUAGGGUACAAAGCAUGAAAUGCGAUAUUUAGAGUUUAUUGCCGGGGUAACUUCACCUCCAGUUCCUGUCAAUCAGCCAGUAUGAGCCAACAAGAGUUUCAUAUUGGCAACUAUUAAAAAUUAUCAUUAAUGUUUUGCACACCAAGAUAUACUUUCAGAUCAACACAGUUAAGCCUGUAUAUCCAUUUAAUUUCAAUCAAAAUUAAAAUUGGGACUGUGUGAGUAUAUGCAAUGAACACCAAAUAACAUCUUUUAAAAGAAGUAACUAAUUAAACAAUUGCAGAAUUAUUUGCCGAACAAAUGCCAUGUGUAUAACUCAGGUCCAUGUUAAAAAUAAUAUGAAUGUCUGGUUUUAAAGGAACACUAUAAAUAUUUUUUUCCUUUUAUGCACGACAAAUAUUAGGCUAUAUUAAAAACAAAAACAAAUUUUUAAUUUUUUUUUUUUUUGCAUUCUGCAUCUUAACUCUGCUCCUUCCUCCAUACCAAAAAUAUUUCCUUUUUACUGGUUAAUGCAGCUGGUAUGGGACAUCAGUUCUCCAAAAGCCCAUCUGGUUUGUUCCUGUCCUAUUACCCCAUCUAUAACAACUACAUAUGGUCCUCACUUAACGACCUACCUGUUUUAUGACAGCUCCACUUAUGACCAGCUCUCUAGCGUGGGUAUUCAAGGGAUUCCCCGCGUUAAAGAGCUGGUCUACGUUUUGGGAAUUUUCCCCAACAUAGAUUUCAGCAAUUCCCUGCGCUAAUGAGCUAAUCUAUGUUUGAAGAAGUUUCCCCGAACAUAGAUUUGCGGGAUUCCCUGUGCUAGUGACCCAAUCUGUGUUUGGAGAAGUUUCCCUGAACAUAGAUUCGCGGGAAUCCCUGCGCUAGUGAACUGGUUUAUGUUCUGGGAAAUUCCCCCGAACGUAGACCUGCUCUCUAGUGCAUACUCGCUAGCGCAUACUCACUUGCCAACUAAUUUGUUUUACAACCGGGUCGUAAGAACAGAACCCAGUUGGUAAGUGAGGACAGACAAAAUGAAAGUGUAGGUACACUGGAAACAGAGUUGGGUUUAUUAGCUAAUGAAGACCAGGAAAAAGCAGAAAUUUUAAAUAACUAUUUUUCUUCAGUAUAUAUUAAUGAGGAUCCUAUGGCAAGAGAUAUGCAAAUGAUUGCUGCAAAAAACUUGCAGAUAACUUGUGAUUGGAUAACUUGAGACAAGGUGCUACAGCUAUUAAAGAAAAUUAAUGUAAAUAAAGCUCUGGGGCCUGACGGUAUUCACCCACGUGUACCUAAGGAGCUAAGUGGGGAAAUAAGUGAACCUCUGUAUUUAAUUUUUCAAGAUUCUUUUGUUUCAGGUGUUGUACCGGAGGAUUGAAGGAAGGCAGAUGUUGUUCCUAUAUUUAAAAAAGGGUUCAAAAUCCUUGCCUGGAAAUUAUAGACCUGUGAGCUUAACGUCUGUAACUGGGAAAAUAUUUGAAGGGCUAUUAAGGGAUAAUAUUCAGGAAUUUCUUUGGGAAGAACUUUGUUAUUAGCAAUAAUCAGCAUGGUUUUAUGAAACAUAGGUCAUGUCAAACUAACCUAAUUGCAUUCUACGAAGAAGUAAGUAGAAGUAUAGAUCAGGGUGUUGCAGUGGAUGUGAUCUACUUGGAUUUUGCCAAGGCAUUUGAUACGGUUCCUCACAAUAGGUUAGUCUUCAAACUAAAAGAAAUUUGUCUAGAUGAAUAUUCUUGUUUUUGGGUAGAACAUUGGCUUAAGGAUAGAGUACAAUGAGUUGUCAUUAAUGGUAAAUUUUCAGGCUGGACAAAAGUGGUAAGUGGUGUCCCUCAGGGUUCUGUUUUGGGACCACUUCUAUUUAACAUAUUUAUAAAUGAUCUUGAAAUAGGCAAUAAAAGCCAUGUAUCGGUGUUUGCAGAUGACACAAAACUUUGUAAAGUAAUAAAAUGAGAGCAGGAUAUUGCUUUGCUGCAGAGGGAUUUGGCUAGAUUGGGGGACUGGGCACUAAAAUGGCAGAUGAAAUUUAAUGUAGAGAAAUGCAAAGUUAUGCACUUCGGGGUUAAGAAUGCACAAGCAGCUUAUACACUAAAUGGUAGUGAAUUAGGGAUAACCACACACGAGAAGGAUUUGGGAAUGGUUAUAGACAACAAAUUAGGCAGCAAUAUGCAAUGUCAAUCUGCAGUUGCCAAGGCCAGUAAGGUUUUGUCAUGUAUAAAUAGUGGCAUAAAUUCUCGGGAUGAAAAUAUAAUUUUGCCUCUUUAUAAAUCGCUGGUAAGACCACACCUUGAAUAUGCUGUGCAAUUUUGGGCGCCUGUUCUAAAGAAAGAUAUCAUGGCACUAGAAAAAGUCUAGAGACUGGCUACAAAAUUGAUUAAAGGAAUGGAACAUUUUAGUUAUGAAGAAAGGUUAAAAAAAUUAAAUCUGUUUAAAAACGGCACCUGAGAGGGGAUAUGAUAACUUUAUACAAAUAUAUUCGGGGCCAGUACAAACCUUUAUCUGGAAAUCUAUUCAUAAACAGGGCUAUACAUAGGACACGAGUUCACACAUUUAGACUGGAAGAAAGGAGAUUUCAUCUAAGGCAAAGAAAACGUUUUUUUACAGUAAGAGCAAUAAGGAUAUGGAAUUCUCUGCCUGAAGAGGUGGUUUUGUCAGAUUCAUUACAGAUGUUUAAACUGCAAUUGGAUAAAUAUUUACAAAAACAUAACAUACAGGGAGACAUCUGACUGCUAUUUUGGGGUCAAGAAGGAAUUUUUUCCUAGUUUGUUGCAAAAUUGGAAGCGCUUCAGACUGGGUUUUUUGCCUUCUUUUGGAUCAACAGCAAAAAGCAUCUAUGAGGAAGGCUGAACUUGAUGGACGCAAGUCUCUUUUCAGCUAUGUAACUAUGUAACUAUGUAACUAUAUUCAUUUCCUCAAAAAGCAGAGCAAAGGUGUAGAGGAUUUGUAGUUCUGCUAAAUGAAUUUAGAAUUAGAAGGCUGAUAACUAAAGCAUAAUUUCUAGAAAUCAUAUCCAGAUCACCAUACUGUGCAGGAGCCUAUGGAGUAAAACAGUACUUUCAAACAUGUCAUUGAAAAAUACUGUAUUUGUGCACAAUAUCAUUCUUUGCCUGGGGUUGUGUAAUGCCUGAAUAUGUACAGAAAAUGUAACAACUACAAAGGUUUAGUUUUAUCUUUUUUUAUUUUGUAUUUGUUUAGCAUAUAUACUUUAAAUCGGACUCUAUACAAUCCAUUAAAAAUUAAUUGGUUAAUUCCAGCCUGGCAAGCCCCUUUAACACCUUACUAUUUCCAGGCUUAAAAUUAUACAACAAGAUAUUGAUAGAAAUGUUAAGGAAAAUGAUUGUUCAAUGAGGAAACCACUUUUUAUAAGAUCCUACACUGAAAUAUUUCACUUGUAAAUCUUGCUCGUAUCUAGAAGGCACCACUUAUAAUAACUCUCUGUUCUCAAUCACUAAACCAAUUUACAUCCAAGCACAGAUGGUUUCCACUAAUCCUAUAUCCUUUAAUUUGUACAGUAAACUUCUGUGUGGCACAAUAUCAAACUUUUCAACAAGAUCCAAAUGGACCACAUCCCCCACAUUUUCCUGGUCCACAUUCCUAUAGAAAGUGCAAAGAUUUAUUUGGCAAGAUUUGGCUUCUACAAAAAAAUACAAAAUCUCUGUGGCUUUAAUUGGCAGUCACUGUGGCUGAGAAGAUAUAAGAUGGAAAAAAAAACUGCUUGUGUGUCUCCAUUACUGAAUUUGAAGGCACAGUCCAAGCACUAACCAUGAAUGUCUCCUGCAAAGAACGUGAUUAAUUUUCUCCAAAUUAUUAUAGUUAUACCAGUUUGCAAGAAAUGCCUUCCACUAAGAUCCAAAAAAGAUGUCUUUACAUACCGAACUACUCCUAAAUGACUCUAUAGGCUAGGGGUAGGCAACCUUCGGCAUUCCAGAUGUCCAAACUACAUCUCCCAUAAUGCUCUCAUAGCCAUAACGCAGGCAAAGCACCAUGGGAGAUGUAGUCCACAAUAUCAGGAAUGCCAAAGGUUGCCUACCCCUGCACAGACUGUGUCACUGCUGUCUUUGAUUUUACAGCAGCCGCACACAGAUGUGGUAUAGUUUCAUUCAUGAAAAUAUAAUGGAGGUGUUUGGUAAGCUAAGUAUGAUGAAUGAAACUACUGGCUAGGGCUGCAAUUUAUAUCCCAUAAACCACAGCUGCACAGAGUUUUGUGGGAUAAGCACUGUAACUUAGCGUAGGGCAAGGAUUGGCUGUGAAAACACAUCCACUAACUUUUCUCUCUAGAUCCUUAUUUGCAGCAUAUGAUCCUAGGUGAGGAUGUUUUUAUCUAUAUUAGUUUUUACAUAUUUUUAAGAAUUAUCUACAUGCUUAAAAAGAUGCACAAUGCCUCAAUUUCCUUGGACUGAGUAUGCAAUAUAGAUUAAAGAAUAUUUGUAUCUGAUUUUUUUUCCUGUUAUGUGCUAUGGGCUGUAGCCCAGUAACCAAAAAUUUACAUUUUUUCAAUCUAAAAAAGAACAAAGGACCUUGGAAGCCAUUUACAAACUAUAAACUUUAAAGUAUUAAAAUUAACUUCGUGAACCUUUAAGAGACAAGGUAAAAAAAAUUCUUAAUGUUUCUGCAUUUGAAAUUUGAGGGCUAUGUGGCUAUUAUAAUCAAUGUUCUUAUUGUGUUUUUAAACUUGUUAGAAGCUGAAUUAUAGUAAUUUUUUUUGCUUACAUGCACAGUGUUAUGACUAAUUGAAGGUACCCGAAAAUAAAAUACAAUUUCAAGCACAACAUGUAUAUAUGUCUAUAAAAGCAGCUCGAACGCCAAAUGCAAAAAAUAAUAAUAAUAAUAAAAAAAAAACAUACAAGAGAUGCAAAUUCUAUUACUUUUCUCAGGCCUUUGCAUUAUCAGAGUCGGUACUAAACACAACUACAAUUUUAACCACCCACAAGGUUGUACUCUGAAACUGGCAAAAAUGAUCCCCCUGACAACGUGUGUCUUUUACAACAAUGUGAAUUAAACAAUAUGCAAGUAUUAGGCUGCGGAGGCUAUUAUUUACGCUUCCCUGGUAUUACACUGUUGUGUGGAUACAUGCUAAGGCCUCUUGUAAAAGAGCGGAAUGGGCAGGAAUAUAGGAAUCAGGGUGAAAUGGUAAAAAAAAUAAAAUAAAAAUAGCAAAAAUAAAAUAAAAAUAUUAUCAUAGAGCUAUUAAUCUACGGGGUUUUAAGGCAAGAGUCAGGCAUUGCACUGCCAUAUUUUACUCAACUUACGGAACCAUCUGGCAAGCACAGAGUAACCAAUUAAGUGCCACAGAUGUUUUACAGUUCAUACACUGGCCACCUUUAUGGUAGUUAGAGUUGAGCAGUUUUUAUCAGUAUUUGUAAACUCUGUGUAAUUUCACAGGGUAGUUUUGGGUUAUCUGCUCUACAAACAAACAAAAAACCCUGGUAUAGGGGAAGGCAAGCCCACUGACAGGCUCCUUGGCCCUCCCCCAGCCUUAGAGGGUGACCAGGGUAAUGUAGUUGUUUUGGUGUCUACAGCCUGUCCCUGCAGGAGUUUUAAUGCAAACACUACUUUUUCAGAGAAAUCGUAGUGUUUAGAUUAACAUUUAGCAUCAAAGGCAGUGUCUACAUUGACGCUGAACGCUCCACAAAGAGAUGCAUUGAUUAAAUUCAUCUCUAUGAGGAGUUGCUGAAUGGCGCAGCACAGCGUUCUGCCGCGUAUAAGCAAAAGCCUCCAUGCAUUGAAUUGGCUGUGAUUGUCAAAUUCGCUGAUCUCAGACAAGGAGGUGGAGCUGGGCUAGCAGCGACGAACCCAUUAAGGCACUGGAAAUAAGGUGAGUAAACUACCUUUCUAAAGGCAGGCAAGGGAGGCAGUCACCUUACCAGCACUUUUAUAACUAUAGUGUCAGGAAUAGAUGUUUAGAAUCCUGACACUGUAGUGUUCCUUUAAGGACAAUACAGGGAACAUGAACUGCAUGGGCCUAGUUCCCCUUUCACAGCUGUGCUGCCCAGGGACAGUUCCCUGGUGUUCACAGUUACGGGACACCAGAGAACUGAAUAGGGACAGCUGGGAGGCCUGUAUAUACAAAGAAAGUGACAACACUCAUGGGACUUCAUAAAGAUAAAUAAAAACGUAACUUUUAUUUCGUACCAUUUUAAUUUAUAAAAAAAAAAAAAAAAACUUUUGUCAGGACAAGUUUACAAAACAACACAGAUUUACGCACUUACAAUAACACUCAUAUUAAUACAAAUAAUGAACUGAAGGCAAAUUACUCAACCACCUUGCUAUGCACGCCAAAUUGGCACACGGCCCUCCCAUGCAUGUAGGCACUGGCAACCCCAAACGUCACAUUUUAUUAAGAAACGAUCUUGUUUAUGUCUGUUUACUGGAGAGAAACUGAGUUUACUCUGCUUUUGUUAUUUAAGAAUAACAAUUUGCUUAAAGUCCACAUAAUAUCUGCGAAGAGCAUUACUAUCUAGCAAUGACUGCACUGAUUGAAAUACCAGAAUAUCCUACAUAAAACAGCAUGUUACAGACAUGAUGUAAUUGGCAAGCAUUUAAAUUGGAUAUACCCCACCCCUAGACUGACCACAUUACUGAUUUUAUCAGGGCUGCUUAUAAAAACAAUGCAUACUUCAAGGCAGCUUUUGGGAAGAAAAAAAAAAUAUUAAUUUCAAGCCUUAACUGUAUUGAUUAUAGCUCAGCAGUAUCCACUUUUUAUAAGCAGCCUCGCCAGAAUCAGAAGAGUAGUCAAUGUAACUCCUCCCAAAAAAAUACAUUUAUUAUGGAAACAUUAUAGGAACAUUUAGAGCAUUUUAACAACUCAGCUUAUCAUAAUGGUUAUGUUGCUAUUAAGCUGUCCCUGGAAACAAUGUAUCUUGUUUAUUGGCUAAAUAAUAUAUAUCUAUUUUUACUAUUAUUAUUUUUUUUAUUUUUUUUAUUUUUUGUUGUUGUGCGCAGACAUAUAACAUUCGCUUGUGAGGUACCCCAAAGGCAAUCCUCUAGCGUUCCACAUUUAUAUAUUACAUAGGGGUGUAUGACAUGCACAUUUUUGUUAUUAUUUAGUCGUACAUGAAAAUUAACAGGCGCUUUUGCGAGUAAGUCAUUACAUGCUGGCCAUUAUAGUUAAAUUAGGCUGAAUAUGCCACAGGAGCCGGCUUUGUGUGAAAGAGUAUAAGUCAUGCUACCAUAAAAAGGAACAUAUUAAAGGAAACAAAGCAAGAGAGUGGGUCUAUUGAAAACAUAAGCUAGGCAGGCCUAUGUAGGUAAUAUCAAUGAUGAUUAAUAGAUUUAAACGUCUAUGCACACAUUCGUAGGUGCAUGUAUAAAAUGUAAUCUAUGGUCACAUUGAUGCUUAUUAAAGUAAAGAAUUCACUCCUGUCAGGCUAUAUAUUCAUGUCUAAAUGCUGAACUAUGCAGGUGCAAGUAGGGAAGGAAAGAUGAUACAGACAUGGUGAAAGCUAAACAUUUUCUAUUGUUAUUGUCCAGUGUUAUAUUUACUAGCCAUCGGCUGUCGUAGCUUGCGGUCGGCAUCCAUUAAUCCGGCUGUCCCUUGCUAUGAGGUUCUUUACCCGAUUCCCUGUCUGGGCCCUGCUCAGGGUUGGUUGCGGGAUUUAUCUGGGGCAGCCCUGCUGCGUUCUGUGCGUGUGGUAUGUCUCCAUCUCCAGCCCCUAUCCGAGUCUGUGAUAGUUGCAGUAAGGCAGUGGUCCCCCCAUUUGGUGCUCUUCCAGUUCCCAGUCGGGAUGGAGUCUGGGGGUAUGGUGGCUACAGUUUCCUGACUUGUAUUAAGCCUAUCGUGGGCUUGUCGUCUCUGGCGGGGGGUGUGAAGCAGGUGGCAGCUGGAAUCCUCUGUCAGGGCAGUUUGGUAAGGAGAUCCCCCCUCGUGCCCCUUUACUUUUGAGCGGAGACCCUGGGCUGAGUUGUGUCUGGUGGUCUGUAGGUCUCCUUCGAGGUUUCUUCACUUGGGAGGGGUAGUGAUCACCUUGGGGGAGGGGGGGUGUAAGCGGGCAGACCAGGGGUAUGUCGCCUCUUAGUUGGGUGACUCACCGCUGGUGGUCUGUUGCCGACCCGUUUAUGCUUGCAUCGGAUUUCCCGCCUUCUCCUCCCAGCUUUCCAGGCUUUAGUUUGGCCUCCUCCUGGAGCCGCGGGUUGUAGCUUGGUGACCUGUGGGGUUGUUGCUGCUUGUGUCUUUGCUGGAGCGGAGAGAUUUGCCCAGAAAGCAGCUAGCAGGCGGUCCAGCCGCUCCGACAGUAGUGGCAGUGAGGAUCUUUGCUCUGGCUGGCACGUGGCGUCCGCCAUGAUGUGGCACACCAGACCGGCAGUAUUGGUGAGUCGAUUGUGUUGCCGUGCACCUGAGGCUUGAGCCGUGAUAUCCCUCUCCGGCAUGGGGGGGUGAGAGUGUGCCGGGGAGACCGCCAAGUAGUUUGGCAACAGCUAGCAGAGGGAUCGGCCGCCUCCCCCGUGCCGUCUGAGUAGGCCGCUUGUAGGCCCCAGGUCGAUCCCCGGUAAUUGUUAAUAAUUAAAAAGGUGUUAAAUUAACACAAUUAUGCUAACAGAUAUAAUAAGGAACUACGGAACCGAAGGAGUUAAACGGUGCAGAACACAGAGCAGUAAAAUGCUUUACAACCUUCACCAAGAUCUUUGUAUCCAUUCCAAAGUUAUGUUUGCUCUGUCCUGGUAAAGAUCCUUAUCAGACAUGUGUUGGUAAAUAGGGUGCAGGAGGAGUCAUGUUGGAAAUAAAGAAGAAAUGUAAACUGAUUUAUCACGCGCUAAUGUAUUAUAUCAGUGAUGAAUCUUUUCAUCUUGAAAGACACUGGCACUUACAAAAAGAACUACUUCACAGCAGAAAUUUCUAAUUAAUAAUCAGCUCUAUUAAAGAGUACGUGUGGUGCAUCAAUAAAAUAGCAGCACUUUAUAGACAAUAUGGAUUUGACUAUCCAUUUUGCAAGCCUAAUUGCUAGCAAAUCUAUAUAUUUUAUUUAAAAAUCUUUCUUAUUUUGCUUUUAUUUUGCAAGGAGGUGCCGUAGAUGGGUUGACUGGGGUGAAAUCCACAGUGUUACCUCCCUUAUGUAUUAUUUACCAUAAUUCCUCAAAACCUACUUGUUAGUGCAAACAAUUAUUUUCUACAGUCUACAGUUUACUAUAAAUUAAACUGUAGACUGUAGAAAAUAAAUUAUGGUGUAAAACAAAGAAAUUAUCAGUCUAUAAUUUUAAUGGUAGGUGUAUUUUAACAGUGAGAGACAGCAUAACAAUAAAAAAAUCCAGAAAAACACAUGUCAAAAAAGUUAUAAAUUUAAUUGCAUGUCAAUGAGUGAAAUAAGAAUUUGACCCCUUCGACUUAGUACUUGGGGGCAAAACCCUUGUUGGCAAUCACAGAGGUCAUUCGUUUCUUGUAGUUGGCCACCAGGUUUGCACACAUCUCAGGAGGAUCUCAGAACCUUCAGCUCCCUCCACAGAUUUUUUAUGGGAUUAAAGGGAUCCUAUAGUGCCAGAAAAGCAAACCUGUUUUUCUGGCGUUAUAGGCUCUUGGAGUGCCCCCCUCCCUUGGGGCCCCCUCCCUCAGCCACUUACCUUAAUCUAGCACUCCCUCUGUGCUGGUGACCUCUCCUACCCCGCCGACGUCAGCUCCAGAGUGGAGCCAAAUGCGCAUGCUUGGCCAGAGGCACGCACAAUCAAACCCGCCUAUACGAAAGCAUUACUCCUGUGCUUUCCUAUGGGAAUCUUAUUUGACGCUGGACUCUGUGAGGACAUCCAGCAUCAAAUAAGUGAGAUUUACUCUGUGUAAAUCGCGGAACCGGCCUCUAGUGGCUGUCAGGGAUACAGCCACUAGAGGCUGGAUUAACCCUGCAGUGUAAACAUAGCAGUUUCUUGGAAACUGCUAUGUUUUCAGCUGCAGGGUUAAAACUAGGGGGACCUGGCUCCCAGACCACUUCAUUGAGCUGAAGUAGUCUGGGUGCCUAUAGUGGUCCUUUAAGGUCUGGAGACUGGCUAGACCACUCCAGGACCUUAAUGUACUUCUUCUUGAGCCACUCUUUUGUUGCCUUGGCUGUGUGUUUUGGGUCAUUGUCAUGUUGGAAUACCUAUCCAUGACCCAUUUUCAAUGCCCUGGCUGAGGGAAGGAGGUUCUCACACAAGAUUUGAUAGUACACGGCCCCGUCCAUCGUCCCUUUGAGGCGGUGGCUCCUUAGCAGAAAAACACCCCCAAAGUAUAAUGUUUCCACCUCCAUGUUUGACGGUGGGGAUGGUGUUCUUGGGGUCAUAGGCAGCAUUCAUCCUCCUCCAAUUGUGGUGAUUUGAGUUGAUGCCAAAGAGCUUGAUUUUGGUCUCAUCUGACCACAACACUUUCACCCAGUUCUCCUCUGAAUCAUUCAAAUGUUCAUUGGCAAACUUCAGGGCCCGUACAUGUGCUUUCUUGGGCAGGGUGACCUUGCGGGGGGCUGCAGGAUUUCAGUCCUUUACGGAAUAAUGUGUUACCAAUUGUUUUCUUGGUGACUAUGAUCACUGAAACUCCACGAAGUGAGAUCUUGCAUGGAGCACCAGACCGAGGGAAACUGACAGUUAUUUUGUGUUUCUUCCAUUUGCGAAUAAUCGCACCAACUGCUGUCACCUUCUCACCAAGCUGAUUGGUGAUGGUCUUGUGGCCUAUUACAGUGUUCUGACAUCCUUGGACAGUUCUUUGGUCUUGGCCAUGGUGGAGAGUUUGGAAUCUGAUUGAUUGAUUGAUUGCUUCUGUGGACAGGUGUCUUUUAUACAGGUAACAAGCUGAGAUUAGGAACACUCCAUUUAAGAGAGUGCUACUAAUCUCAUCUUGUUACCUAUACAAAAGACACCUGAGACAUCCUUCCUAAAAUCUAUGGGCCCCAGGAGUAUCAAAACCUCAAGCUGAGGGGGACUCGAGCGUUGAAUGUAGAGGGUUGCCCAUGCAGAGAGUUGCCUUCAUGGGCUGGUGGGGAGAUCAAAGAUCUCUCACACCAGCCUGCUGCACUCAUCGCACCCCCCACACAAACAAACUACAGCCCCUAUCCCAGAAUACAUCCCCUGAACGUGUGUUCUGCAUCCCUAGCAUAUUAAUUGUAAGUGUGCUAAAAGGAGUCAUAAGCGGAUCAAUUGGGGAUGGGAAAGGUUGGGGUUUGGAGACAGGUCAGGAGUUCAGCUUUAGACAAGAGACACCAAACUUUUUGUGGGCUCAAGCCCUGGGUGUUUGUUGACCACAGCACCCGCCCUGAUGUGCCCUUUGUGACACUAACUCCAUGUUAAUAAAUAACAGGUUAAUACUGUAGGAAAGUUGUGUUUUAAAAUCUGUUUGUGGUGUUGUUUGUUUCUAAUAGUAAUUAAAUCACUACAGUCUGACACUUUGAUUGAGUUAGUGCUGCUCAGAUACCCUGGCACCAGGAGUGAGUGUAAUAUAAUUAAACAUGUUACUGUUAACGGUUACUUUUCCAAGUACUGUUGGAUGUCAUAUUUUAUUCUUCCCUUGUGCUUCCCUAUAUAAAAAGAUGUCCCUUCAAUAAAAUACACAUUUCUCUUCAAAUCGCUUCUGGUGUUUGGGGGGGAGGGCGGGGGAGGGAGAUACAAAGAACUAUUCAACUCUCACUCAAGUGACUGGCUGAGGGUUAAGGAAUAAAAAAGGAGUUGCCAGAAGAACUCCAGGAGGAUACUUUACAGAGCCCUUGUGGACAAAGAGAAGGGACCAACUUGGUAGCUCUGGUCCUCAAGCCUAAGACCCUUCUACACAGUUCUAUUACAUGUGGGAAUUGGAAUUAAAACAGACUUGUUACUCAUUCCCUCACUACUAAUAAAUGCUAGUAAAACACCAAAUGGAUGAGUCCUGCAGCAAUCACCUCUGUACCACUACCGUGUCCAGGGUGACAUCAACUGCCCCCCACAAUGUUCCAUGUGUCAUUAAAUUGCCAUACAAAUACACAAUCAGGCAUAUCUUUCACAGUUUCUUGUGCGCUCUUUUUGCCAUAUACAUCACUGUAUAGGUUAAAUGUAUAUGGUAUGUUCUGCAGUGCAUAAAAUGUCAAUUAAAAAAAUAAAAUGGUUUGGAAUAAAAAAAAAGAGGAAAAAGCACAAGCCACAUACCACAUAUGCAUUAUAAAUGCAUCAAUAAUAUGCAGUUCAUGUAGAAUACAAACAUAUUGCUCUCUUCCUGUCUUCCAACAUACAUCUAACAAUAGCCUGAGACGGUGUAUUAUACUUAUGGGCAAGAGAAGCACGUCUAGGUUUAGGUAAUUUGUCCAUUUUAAUUGAAACGGAGAAGUCCCCUAAACCAAACCGUGCCACUCUUGUCUGUACAUAUAAUACAGCUUGUCAGGCUAUUGUGAGAUCUAUGCUGGAAAAAAUUUCAAUACAUCUUUAUUGAAAGAUGAAGAGAAACAAAUAAACAACAUGAUUUGCAGCACAAACAAUAUAAGCAGUGGAAAUGGAUGAAAGUAAUGAAAAUAUAGGAAAAUACAGUGAUACAAAGUUUACAUCUCAUGACAUAAACAGGUACUUAUUCCACGAGCUAUUCAUAGAAGAAAAUAACUCAGAGCAAUGUCAAUAGUAUUACUAUAGUAUUAGUAACAAUAGAUAAGAAAACCUUCAUGUAAGAGGAAGUUGUGAUGUGAAGUGGUGGGGGUUGACUAUUGUGUUAUAUGAAAGUAUAACUGAAGAGUUAAGAGGAAAAAAAAAUAAAAAAAAAAAAGGUCAAGGAUAAUAGGGAAAGAGGGAUUCAGAGCACUCAUAUGUCAAUGUGGAACUGUCGAUUCCAGGAAUUUUUUUUACCUGUUUCUUAAAUUUAUACAAAUAUGUUUUUGUGAGAAUUGAAAAAUAAAAUGAAAUGUAGAAAUCCGUACAUCUAAACUGGAACUGGGUGCUACCAUCUUGGCUCCAUCAAUCAUCAUUACAACUGAUGUCAGUAUGACAGUCACUAGAGGUGCUUCCACAGGUAUAACUUGGUGGGAACCCCGCACAGAAUAUCAUUGAUUCGAUGCAUUCCUAUGGAGAAGCUUGCUUGAGCACUAGGUCCCCACUGUAUUUCUAUAAUGAGCAUUGGAUGGGCCAGGCCAGUAAAAUCAUCUUUGAUUGUAUAAUAAUGCCUUGCCACAAUUGUUUCAUGGACUACCAUUGAUCCAAACAUAUAGGUACCUGUUGUACUUUGAAUUUUAUUCCCUCUUCCUUGAUGUAACUUUAUUGUUCAUUUGUCUUAACAGCAUCGCAAAACUAAUAAACACUUUAGUCGCAAAAAGUAAUCCUAACAUCUGUGGUCUACGGGUAAAGCUGGAUCAGAGUAUACACAGUAACUCUAAUGAUGUCUAGGCUGUGUAACGUGCAACACUGUGACCCUCUGAAGUUUUUUUUUACCCUUUCUGUCCGGGAGGAAACAUGAAAUCCAACAACGCAUUGCUUAGUAAAAUUAGUAAUACUAAUUAUGUUAUAGAUAGCUUUUUCAGAUGAAUCACCCAUUACCUUCCUAGGAGGUGGGAGGGUCUGGGAGGGAGGGUCUGCUGCUGAUUGGCUGGAAUGUGUCUGCUGACUGUGAGGUACAGGGUCAAAGUUUACUGAAUGAUGACAUAGGGGGCGGACCGAACAGCGCAUAUGUUCGCCAUCCGUGGCGAACCGUUCGGCAAACCGUUCGGCGAACCGUUCAGGACAUCACUAAUCUUGAGUAAUUUUGGUGGUGCCUUAAUUGUUAAAAGAGACACUCCAAACACCUUAACCACAAGGCUAGGGAGUCUGUGUUAAUUCUACCACAAUAAAAGGGUUAAGAUAAAAGGAUUCAUAGUGAUCAGUAUGUUCAAAUCUAGCUUACCAAUAGAAAUAUUUAAAUCAUAUAUAAAUAUUAUAUUAUAAAACAAUUAUGGGUUCUAAUUGCCGCAGUGAAAGAUAGCCUGCAUUUACAUCAGACUCACUAAAGAGACUUUGUACUGGCCCAUUAAAUAUGCUGAUUACAGAAACACUCUACCAUUAAAAAAUAUAUUUAUCAUCAAUGUUUGAAUGUUUCUCUAUGUAAUUUAGCUUCAGCAUUCCCACUUUUAGUAUAAAAAAAGCUAGAAAAACCAUUUAACAAAUUUGUAAGCAAGCACUAAGGAAUUUGCUGGUGCUUUAUAAAUAAUAAAAUAUUAAUAAUAAUAAUAAUAAUAAUAAUAAUAGUAUUCUUGCAGCAGCAAUGUUGUGAUUUGUACAUGUUAAAGGACAACACCUAUGCACAAAACCCACAACACUAAGAUCCAGAGAGUUUUGGUGCUUGGAGUGUCCUUUAAUCAACCAUAUGAUACUAUAAUCAGUGUAUUUUUAGUACGAUUAUUCAAAUACUUCCAAUAAUCAAUACAGCUCUAGUGAAGCACAUAGUAGAGCAAGUGCUUGACGUGGCAACUGAUAUGGGACCUGGCAAAGAGAACUGUGAAAGCUACAGUGCCGAAUUAAUAAGUUAUCACGGUGCACAUAAGUUAAAGAGAGCAGCAUAGCUGUUUCUGUCUUUGGAAACAAACAGAGACAGCACACAUUUUCCUUAAUACGAAGGAUAGAAUGUUGCAUAUCGUAGCAUGAAAGGGAGAUUUAAAUAAAGUGUAGGUCUGCAUGUGUGAAUGUCUAGUUACGUGUGUGGGUAGGGUGUUGAUAAAUUAUAUGUGUGUAUGAGAGAGUAGACCUGGUAGGCAGGUCUAUGGGAUAAAUCAGACCCCUUAAAACUGAAAAAACAUGAAUGUUCAAGGUCAGUAUGUUUUCUAUUUUUUUUUUUGCACAUUUAAAUGCAUUAUCAAUUAUUGGUUCAUGCCUAGCCUGGAGUGUACUUUAAGGCUUUCAGUAACAGUGAAACUAUAAAAACAAAGAAUAAAGAAAAAUAUGCAAAAAAGAACAGACAGAAAAUACUGUAUUUACAAUCAAAGAAAUAUGUAUUUUACUUCAAUAUCACAUAUAAUCUGUAAUGAGAAUAACAAGGUACAUCCUGUCUCGCAAUUAACUUUUUUUUUGCAUACUUCAGCAAUAAAGGAGAAAUCACCUUCUGAAUGCAACAGACACCAAGAAAAAAUAUAUCACUUAAUCUGUUUUUUUUUUGCAUAAAAGGCCCUUGAUAGACAUAAAAAUGUGAUAUACAACUACUAUUUAAAUAAGCCCAAAAUGAACAAGUGCCUUUGUUAUACCUAAUAAAGCUGAUCAUCUACCAGUAUGUUAGGUGCACACUACCAUCAAUAUGCUAAAAAUGUAAGGUGCAAGGAAAGGCAUCCUACAAGGACAAAUUCAAACAAUCAAAUCAGCAACACCAGGAACAUUCUAAGGUGCUCUUUGCAAAGCUCAUAUAGAAAGACGUCUCUUGGUGUCCAUCCAACCUGUUCAUUAAGACUAAAAACGCAUUUGUACAAGUUCUCACAUAUUGUUCUAUGAGACAGUCUUAAGGGUUUCUGUGAGAGAGAUUGUACAACAGUAGCCCAAAGCUCACAACCUACCACCAAAUUGGCUUGAUAUGAUAGUGUAGGUGAGGGGAAGUGGCUACGUGCCAACAGAGUGAUAUGCUUUGUCGAACCACUCAAAAAUAGUUUGACAAAAACUGGUCAGAUUGCACUCAAAGACUCCUUGCACCAUGACGACUAUAAGGAGCUAUAGUAAGUGCUUAAAGUGUCCCUUUAACCCCUUAAGGACACAUGACGUGUGACAUAUCAUGUUUCACUUUUAUUCCAGAAGUUUGGUCCUUAAGGGGUUAAAUAUUACUGCGCCACAAACGUCAAGUAUCAUUAACAGCCCAUGGAAAUGUGGCGACAACUGGGUUUUCAAAUUUCCUUCACUGAUAAACUGCAAAAUUUUCUAAAUUCUGACACACAAGCAAAAAGCACAGAUUGUAAUGCAUUGGAACCAAACCAAAUAUGCCAUGCUGAUUGCUGCAAAUAUCUGAAAAAGCAAUUAGAUUAUCAUUUGAAAGUGAUAAAAAGCCACAACCUCCAAAAAUAUGUAAAUAUCAACCUUGUCAAUUAAUUAGUGUUCGUAAUUAGCACUUCGGUCCCACAUGCUUGAUCUUCAGCAUGUCAUUCCUUUAUUAUAUGGCCUGAUAAUCUCUCUUUCCUCUUGUCGAAAAUAAGAAAUAUUAUAAAAAUUGCAAUCCUAUAGAGAGGGAUGUCAUUUGUAACCAUUGGUGAUAUUUGACUCAGUGUCAAAUAUACAGUUCACAAAGCACAUAUAUCUAACUUUCAUGGCUCUAGAGCAAAUGUGUAGGAAUUGUUUACCCAUAGACUCCACUGCUGUACCUGCCAGGAGUUUAUAUAUGCUGCCUAAAAGUUUCUACAUCAAAGAUCAAGCAUAGAUUGCAAGAACAUUAUAGUUCCCUAGUCUUUUGGUGCUAUGCAGGCAAGUGCACAGGACAUUGGCUUGCUCAUUUCUUCCCAUUGCUCCCACUUACUGCCAACUGCAAAGGCUCAUGUCUCACAGUGCAGAGAUGUGAGUGAUACCAGUGUCAUGCCUCCUAAAGGUCCCAUACCCUGCACACUGCAAAGGAGCGGAUACAAAGAGAGAAUUGAAGGGUGAAAUGUUUGGUUCUCACACUCUUUCCACUAGACUGUAAGAGAUGAGGCCCUUGUUGCCACAAUUAAAGGUAGUCAAACAUAAGAAGGGACAAAACAAAUACAAGACAGCGAGAGCAGACCCAAGCACUAUAUCUUAAAUAGUGCCGGUCUAAGCUUGCGGUCCUAUGUACCGCAGGGAGACUCCAGGGGUCUCCAGGGGCUUAACCCAAAUAAAGGUAAUAAACGAAAAGGAGUAGAUGCUACCCACACACCAAUAUGUAUCCACGGUGGCUCAAAACUGUAUAACUACAAAAAUGAUGUUGUAAUAGGGACCAUGUAAGGAGGACAUCUCUAUUAUCUUAUAUGUGUAAACUGACCAGACAACCCGGCACAGGUAUCCAUGUCUUAAUGAAAAUAAAGAUAAAAAUGAAAACAAUCAAAAUAAUAAUAAUAAUAAUAAUGACCUACUAGUGCUAUAUUACAUGAUUGCAUGUGUAUCAGGCAUAUAUACAAAUUUACAGAUUUAGAAACAAAUUGAUUUACAAAGAGUAUGGGAGGAAUUGAUAGAUUAAUCCGAUAUAAAGGACGUAUAGGAGAAGACCUCAUUGAGACCAAGGGGUGAAAGUGUCUUAAACUUGUAGAUCCAGAAACUCUCUCUUUGUAAGAGUUUUUUUUAUCUAGAUCACCUCCCCUUGGUCCCAAUGUAACCCUUUCUAUGCCACAGAAUCUGAUCCCCUCCGGUGACCCACUAUGAUGCAAUUUAAGAUGUUUAGAGACUGGUGUAUCUAUCAGUCUUCUCGGGUUCACUGAAUUAACAUGUUCUCUUAUUCUGAGCUUGAAUAUACGAGAUGUUUUGCCAACAUAAAGUUUCUUACAAGAACAGGUAAGUUGAUAGACUAAACAUUUCGAUUGGCAAUUAAAAAAGGUUUUAACAUUGAAUUCCUGGGAAUAGGAAGAAUCUGGGAAGGUUUUUGAGGGGCGACGUAUGAAGUGUCAGGCUUUGCAUCUGCCGCACUGGUAUGUACCUAUUACUGGGGACUUCAGCCAAGGGGGUAUUUUUAAGGUGACUGGGGACUAAGAUAUCUUUAAAGUUGGGCCCCCUUCUUGCAGUCACCGAGGUAUGAGAUGUAAUCACUUUAUGUAUAUGUGAGUCCUGGUGCAAUAGGGGCCAGAAUCUUUCCAAAAUCUUGAUAAUCUGAUGCCAACCGGCAUCAAAAUUCCCUAUGCACCUGAUAAUUUCUUGUGAUGGUUUCUGGUUGGUAUCCUCUGAUAAUAGAUCUUUUCAAUCUGCAAGAAGUGCACGUUUGUAUGCAUUUUAAUGCAUCUAUUUGGAUACCCCUUUUGGUUAAACUGACGUUGUAGAGUCUUGGCCUUAAAUUUGAAGUCCUCUAUGGUACAGCAGUUAUGUCGAAGGCGUAAAUAUUGUCCCAUGGGUAUGCCAUUAUUAAGGGGUGGGGGAUGGUAACUCUCCCAAUUCAACAGACUAUUAGUCGCUGUUGAUUUACGGAAUAGUGAAGACUUCAGAUUCCCAUCCUCUGUCAACAUGAUGGUAAUAUCCAAGAAAUUAAUUCUCUUUCCCCCAACUUCACUCGUUAGUCUCAGAUUAAUGUCAUUCAUGUUCAGGAUUGUCACAAACUCAUGGAAGAGAGCUAUGGUGUCUGUCCAGAUAAUCAAGACAUCAUCAAUGUAUCUCUUCCAUUGUUUGAUGUGUCUAGUAUAGCUCUGCAUGUUUGUAUUGAACACCAUAAUUCUCUCCCAGCCCAGGUGGAGGUUGGCAUAUGAGGGGGCACAAGCUGUCCCCAUAGCCGUUCCUCUCACCUGGUGGUAGUAUUUACUCUGGAAAAUAAAAUAAUUAUGUGUCAAGAUGAAUUUCAUCAAAUCCUGCACGAAUUGGUUCUGUAUAGAGGAAACUAUAGGAUGCAAAUCCAAAAAUGCUCGAAUAUAUUUUAAACCCACUUCAUGUGGUAUAGAGUUAUAUAGGCUGUCAACAUCGAGACUACAUAGGAUGGCGUCACCCGUAAGUGAUACUUCCUCUAUAGUAUUCAAGGUAUGCUUCGUAUCUCUCAAUUACGACGGGAGUUCAACAACCAAUUUCCGCAGGAUCUGGUCCACAUACAGGCUGGCAUUAUGGGUCAAAUUACCCUUUCCACAGACAAUUUCCACAGACCUCUUAGUUCUGGUUUUUGUUUGUGUACUUUUGGGAGGGCAUAGAAUGUUGCAAUUAUAGGGUUUUUGACCAGUAUGAAAUUAUAUUCAUCUUUGGAAAUUAAAGAGAUGGUCAGGACUGUAUCCAGGAUAUUUUUGAGUUCCACUAAAUACUUUUUGGUGGGGUCACUAGUAAGUAUUUCAUAUGUGUCACUAUCUUGAAUCAGAUAAUGUACCAUCGAUACAUAAUCGGGUUUGUUUAAGAUGACUGUAUUCCCACCCUUAUCAGAUGGUUUGAAUAUCACCUUGUCCAAUAUCUUCAGAUGUUUAAGGGAUAUUUGUUCUUGUGGAGUGAUGUUACUGCCGGGUUGGAUCAUAAGGUCUUUCUGGUUGAUUUUGUCUAUUUCGCCACACGUUAGUUCAACAAAUAAAUCGAUAUAUAUAUAAAAAAAUUGUGCCAAGUGUGGGGUAAAUAGACGCUUUUUCCUUAAUUGUGUAAAGGGGGGUUGCGGGUUUGUAGAGAUGUCAUUACAGGAAAGUAAGUCAACAAGUAUGUCUAAAAGACAGAUGUCCAAUGACAGUUUAAACAAAAGGGGUAUCCAAAUAGAUGCAUUAAAAUAAAUACAAACAUGCACUUCUUGCAGAUUGUAAAGAUCUAUUAUCAGAGGAUACCAACCAGAAACCAUCACAAGAAAUUAUCAGGUGCAUAGGGAAUUUUGAUGCCGGUUGGCAUCACUGUGAUUUUGGAAAGAUUCUGGCCCCUAUUGCACCAGGACUCACAUAUGCAUAAAGUGAUUACAUCUCAUGCCUCGGUGACUGCAAGAAGGAGGCGCAACUUUAAAGAUAUCUUAGUCCCCAGUCACCUUAAAAAUACCCCUCAGAAUCCAACUUGGCUGAAGUCCCCAGUAAUAGGUACAUACCAGUGCGGCAGACGCAAAGCCUGCCACUUCAUACGUCGCCUCUCAAAAACCUUCCCAGAUUCUUCCUAUUCCCAGGAAUUCAAAGUUAAAACCUUUUUUAAUUGCCAAUCGAAUGGUUUAGUCUAUCAACUUAACUGUUCUUGUAAGAAACUUUAUGUUGGCAAAACAUCUCGUAUAUUCAAGCUCAGAAUAAGAGAACAUGUUACUUCAGUGAACCCGAGAAGACCAGUCUCUAAACAUCUUAAAUUGCAUCAUAGUGGGUCACCGGAGGGGAUCAGAUUCUGUAGCAUAGAAAGGGUUACAUUAGGACCAAGGGGAGGUGAUCUAGAUAAAAAUAACUCUUACAAAGAGAGUUUCUGGAUCUACAAGCUUAAGACACUUUCACCCCUUGGUCUCAAUGAGGGCUUCUUCUAUACGUCCUUUAUAUCGGAUUAAUCUAUCAAUUCCUCCCAUAUGCUAUGUAAAUCAACUUGUUUCUAAAUCUGUAAAUUUGUAUAUAUGCCUGAUACACAUGUAAUCAUGUUAUAUAGCACUAGUAGGUUAUUAUUAUUAUUAUUUUGAUUGUUUUCAUUUUUAUCUUUAUUUUCAUUAAGACAUGGAUACCUGUGCCGGGUUGUCUGGUCAGUUUACACAUAUAAGAUAAUAAAGAUGUCCUCCAUCUAGCUAAGGAUACAUGGUCCCUAUUACAACAUCAUUUUUGUAGUUAUCCAGUUUUGAGCCACUAUGGAUACAUAUUGGUGUGUGGGUAUUUGAUACAAUAAAUAAUGAAACAUAUAGAUACAUGAUGAAUAUUCACUUUGGCUCACAUUCCAUUUGGAGUGAUUGUACACAAUUAUACAUAAUAAAUUUACUAAGGUCUUUUGUUUGUUUAUAUGGGUUAAACAUUGUUCUUUAUUAGAUUGCAUAUUUUGUGGGUUUUAGAUCCAUCUAUAUACAGCAUAGAUUUUGCACAUAGGACAAUACAUUCUCCCAUUAUUAGACAUAUAUGUGGGCUUUGUAUAUAAUAGGGACACCCCUUGACGGCCGAUAGGAUGCCUAGUAGGCGUGGGAGUUUGAAUCCAUGGGACUGCAGACUCCGACCGUUACGGAGCAAGUGAUUAAUCUCGCCCAUGUGGGCUGCACGCCGCAAUAUGUUCUAUGCUAGUAAGCGAUUAGCACCGCCUAUGUGGGUUGGAUAUUACAUUUGGAUUUCAUAACAGAGCCAGUAAGAUACCUCCCAACUCCGAUCACGUGGGGUACAUAUGUGUAAGCCGAUUGGCAGUAAUAGACAGCGUGAGUGCCGAGAGCAGCCACACCUGGGUGAGACUUCUCCCAUAGACAUCAUUGGCUACAGGUACUCAGUUUCGUUGGCGCCCAUUAUACUUAAAGGACCACUAUAGUGCCCUGAGGGUGCCCCCACCCUCAGGGUCCCCCUCCCGCCGGGCUCUGGGGAGAGGAAGGGGUUAAAAUCUUACCUUUCUCCAGCGCUGGGCAGGGAGCUCUCCUCCUCCACUCCUCCUCAAUAGUGACGUCAUCGGCUGAAUGCACAUGCGCGGCAGGAGCCGCGCGCACAUUCAGCCAGUUCAUAGGAAAGCAUUUACAAUGCUUUCCUAUGGACGCUGGCGUCUUCUCACUGUGAUUUUCACAGUGAGAAGCACGCAAGCGCUUCUAGCGGCUGUCAAGAGACAGCCACUAGAGGCUGGAUUAAGCAUAUUAUAAACAUAGCAGUUUCUCUGAAACUGCUAUGUUUAGAAAAAAAAGGGUUAAUCCUAGAUGGACUUGGUACCCAGACCACUUCAUUAAGCUGAAUUGGUCUGGGUGCCUAUAAGGGUGGUCCUUUAAGAGAGUCCUGAUUAUUAUUCUGUUGGCCCCUGACGAAGGUGCAGCAUUCAAGCACCGAAACGCGCGUCGGGCGUUCUUUUCUUUAUUAUGGGCACUGGGCAUCAUUUGAUUUAAGCACUUUUAAACUUAAAUGUCAAUGUUCAGCAGUGGCGUCUCUAGGAUUCAUUUUUAGGGGGGCACAUGGUGGGCCAGGGACAAAAGUAAGUGGGCACAUUUAACCCCACCCUGGUAGCUGUUUGACCCCGCCCCUGACACAAUGUGUUGUUUUUUUUAAAUAAUCCCUGGUGGAGGAUUCAUUAUUUUCCACCAGGGAUUAUUAAAAAACAAACACAUUUCCCUUGAUACAGUGCCAUAGUUGUCAACAUUUGAAAAAAAAAAUCCAAGGACAUUUUGCAGCACAGCUAUCAAUUACUGUCUGUGUAUAAUAUCCCUGGACAGUCAGUGCUCUCUGUAUAAUACAGGGUUGUGUGUAUAAUAAAUUGGGACAGUCAGCGGUCCCUGUACAGUGCUGCUCUCAGUAUAAUACAUGGCUGUGUGUAUAAUAUCCCGGGAGAGUCAGUGCUCCCUGUAUAGUGCUGCUCUCUGUAUAAUACAGGUCUGUUUGUGUAUAAUAUCCCGGGAGAGUCAGUGCUCCCUGUAUAGUGCUGCUUUCUGUAUAAUACAGGUAUGUUUGUGUAUAAUAUCCCAAGACAGAGAGCAGCACUAUACAGGGAACACUGACUGUUCCAGGAUAUUAUACAGACACAGACCUGUAUUAUACAGAGAGCAGCACUAUACAGGAAGCACUGACUAUCCCGGGAUAUUAUACACACACAGAUCUGUAUUAUACAGAGAACAGCACUAUAGUAUUAUACAGAUAGCUGAGCAUAUACCCCAUGUCCCAAUCUCUAGACUACUAGUACCUGUCAACAGCAGCUCCCAGACAUGUGUAACAGGGCUAAAGUGUGCAGCAGCUCACACAGAUGAUUCAGGGGUAAAGCACACUCGCUGGCAGAGGCAAACUGGGAAUCCACAGCAGCCCUGGAAAAAAUGUAUGCCAUUCCUACAAGUCAAUAUAUAUAUAUUGUACAAUGAGCACACAAGCUCACUGACAUGCGCAAAUAGGCUCACUGACAGACAAAACUCUCUGACUCACACACAAGCUUACUACAGACAAACUCACUUGUAUAAAUACAAGGCUCACUACAAAGAAGUUCAGGGACACACACAAGCUCACUAAAGACAAGCUCACUGACACACACAUGCUCACUAAAUAGAAGCUCACUGACACACACAAGCAGUACCAUCUUAACAGUGUUAAGGACCCCGGGCAAAGCAGUGCACUGGGGCCCUUCCUCCACAACUCUCAAGGAUAAAAUUUUUAAUUAUUGAUAGACUGCUGAGAACAUACACACAGUACACUGAAUAGAACACCGAGAGACUGCUGAAUACACACACACACACACACACACACACACAGAUUUCCGAGAUGCACACAGAUGACUGCUGAAUACACACAGGCACACGAGUACUGACACACACACACACACACACACACAGACUGCUGAGUGCCACACACACACACACACACACAGACUGCUGAGUCCAUACACACACACACACACACACAGACUGAGUCCACACACACACACAGACUGCUGAGUAUAUACACACAAACACAGACUGCUGAGUCCACACACAGACUGCUGAGUUCAUACACACACAGACUGCUGAGUCCACACACACACACAGACUGCUGAGCCCAUUCACUGCUAGACUGCUGAGUUCAUACACACACACACAGACUGCUGAGCCCAUACACACACACUGCUGAGUCCAUACACACACAGAGACUGCUGAGUCCAUACACACACAGACUGCUGAGUCCAUACACACACAAAGACUGCUGAGUUUAUACACACACACAGAAUGCUUAGUCCAUACACACACAGACUGCUGAGUCCACACACACAGACUGCUGAGUUCAUACACACAAGCUUCCUCACUAGCAGAGACACACACACAAGCACAUUAAGCCUAACUGUCACUGGAGGCUGUUGCUGGGGGUCAGACAGCCAUCUUCCAUCCUUUCUAGCAGCAGCAUGGUCUGCUGCUUAACGGCAGGGGUGGGGCUUAUGUGCAGGAGGCAGGGCUUUGUUUGGGGGCGGGGCCUUGCCAGGGAGCCUGUCAGUGCUCCGUUCCAGCUGCUCUGUCCUGCAUUCCCUCGGGCUGUCACAGACUGUUACAGUCCGAGGGAAUAUAAUUUAAACACAUGGCCAGCAAGGUGCCGGCAUUUGGGGGGCCCAAGGGGGGGACAGCAUGAUGUAGGUGAAGCCAUGGCCCCCUCUACCCCUCCCCCCCCCUAGCGACGCCACUGAUGUUCAGGGCUCUAGACAGGUGAUGCAAUCUGAAAUUACUUUUUUGUGUGAGGACAAAAGUAAAUUGUCAUGAUGGAUGAGUAGACUGGGCUACUGCUUUAAUCUCUUGGACAAGUAUAAUAUUUUUUUUAAAUACCAGUUAUAAUAAUAAUUGUCAUUAUUCAUUAACCCCUUAAGGACGCAUAACGGACCCAGUCUGUCAUCCUGGGGAGGCACUUAACGACGAAUGUUGGACUGGAUCCAUCAUGCGCUAAAAAUAACCCCAGAUCGCGGCGAUCGAGGGUUGAUGCUCCUCCGAUCUGCCUCGGUAUUCGAGGCAGACCGGGAGCACCCGAUCGCGCUGUCAUUGCAGCUGUGAUCGCUCUGACAGGCUGUCAGAGUGAGCACAUGUGCUGCAGGGACUUCUGAUCCGCCUCCCUGCUCUUCUGCAUUCAGUGUGACGUGCAGGGAGAUGGAUCAGUGAUGAUCCUCUUCACCCUGUAAAAAAAUAAAUUAAAAAAUUAAAGUUAAAUCCCACCCCCCCUUUCCCCUGCUUUAAUAAAAUUAGCCCAUUCCCUGCCAAUCGAUCACUGACCACAGUGAUCGAUUGGCAGGGACUACAUUUUACUGUGAUCUGAUUUUUACUCUAACCCCUGAGGGUUAAGUUUUAUUUUUUUUAAUCCUCAGUGGUUAAAUGUAUUUUAUGAAUUGAUUUAAAUAUUUUUAAAUUAUAUAUUUAGCUAGCUGGUGUGGGUGGGUGGAAGUUAGUGGGGAAUUGGGGAAUUUGAUGUUAGGCUAGCUAGGGGUUAACAUUAAAAAAAAAAGCUUUAAAAAGUAAAAUAAAGUUUUAAAAAAAUGUUUUAAUAACGUUAAGUUUAAAAAACCCCACAACCCCUUUUCCCAGUCCUAAUAAAAAUUAACCCCUUCCCUGCCAGUUGAUCACUGCCUACAGUGAUCAAAAUGCAGAUGACAGUAUUAUACUGUGAUCUGAUUUUUUUUUUAACCCCUGAGGGCACUCUCUCACAUACACACAGAUCGUCUCUCUCUCACACACACACACAUCAUCCUCUCUCUCACACACAGCACUCUCUCACACACACAAACAGCACCCUCUCUCACACAAACAGCACCCCUCUCGCACACACAGCACCCCUCUCUCACACACUGCACACCACACUCACACACUGCACACCACACUCACACUGCACACCUCACACACACUGCCCCCUCACACACACUGCCCUCUCACACACACUGCACCCCUUUCACACACUGCACCCCUUUCACACACUCUGCACCCAUCUUACACACACACAGCACUCUUCACACUCACACACAGCACCCCUCACAUUCACAAGCUGUGCACCCCUCACACACACACACAUACUGCACACCUCACACAUACACACUGCACCCAAACAUAUAUGUAUAUAGGCUACAGAACCCCAUACACACAUACUGAUGUUAGGCUAGCUAGGGGUUAACAUAAAAAAAAAAGCUUUAAAAAGUAAAAUAAAGUUUAAAAAAAAUGUUUUAAUAAUGUUAAGUUUAAAAAAAACCACAACCCCUUUUCCCAGUCCUAAUACAAAUUAACCCCUUCCCUGCCAGUUGAUCACUGCCUACAGUGAUCAAAAUGCAGAUGACAGUAUUAUACUGUGAUCUGAUUUUUUUUUUUAACCCCUGAGGGCACUCUCUCACAUACACACAGCAUCGUCUCUCUCUCACACACACACACAUCAUCCUCUCUCUCACACACAGCACUCUCUCACACACACAAACAGCACCCUCUCUCACACAAACAGCACCCCUCUCGCACACACAGCACCCCUCUCUCACACACAGCACCCCUCUCUCACACAUUGCACCCCUCUCUCACACACUGCACACCACACUCACAUACUGCACACCACACUCACACACUGCACACCACACUGCCCCCUCACACACACUGCACCCCUUUCACACACUGCACCCCUUUCACACAUUAUGCACCCAUCUUACACACACAGCACUCUUCACACUCACAAACAGCACCCCUCACAUUCACAAGCUGUGCACCCCUCACACACACACACAUACUGCACACUUCACACAUACACACUGCACCCAAACAUAUAUGUAGAUAGACUACAGAACCCCACACACACAUACUGCACCCCUAAACACAUGACAUUCAAGACCUACACUAGAUUCCUUACUUAACUCUGAAUCAUCAACACACAUACACACACUAGAUCCCUAUAUACCCUCUGAAUCCUUUACACACAUACACACACACACACACACACACACUAGAUCUCCUAUACACACUAUGGGUCCUUCAAACACACACUAGAUCCCCUACACAAACACUGCACCACCUACACACACACACUACAUUUCUGACAUACACACUCUGGAUCCCCUAUGCUUGCAAUAGAUUCUAUGUAAGCAAACAAACACACACUCUCUUCAAUCCCUACACACACUAGAUCACUUAUACUCACCACACACACACACACUACAGCCUGUAUGCACACACUCGCUACAUCCCCUAUACACACUAUGCCCCUAUACAUACACUAUCUACAACACCUAGACACACAUACAUUACAUUACACCACAAACACAACAUGACUGAAACCAACCUAUUAACACAAUACCACACCACAAUCAGCUCACUCUACACACACGCAAUACCACAAGCAGGUCCAAACACAUGCACAAUAAUCUUUCCUGGCAUUUUUGUCUCCUGGUAUCCAUUUAUAGAGACACCAGAGACAAGUUUCAAGUAAACACAGGGCAAGCAUGUUAUUGUAUUUGUGCAGAACAUAUACAGGUUUUUUUUCUCAUGCUAGAGCUGUUCAGCAGAGCUCUGCGCAUGGUCUGCCCUGGAAGAGCAUUGAACCAACAUGCUAACUUUGAGAUGGGGUGUGCUUGUCAUUAUUGAUGACAAAACACACCCUAUCUGGCCCCUCCCCCUUCUAAGUGGGCCAAUGUGAUGAAAAUAUGCCCGGGCCAAAUUUUUCCCCCAGUCCGGCCCAGAUGGAGUAAUAAUACCACCUCUUUGAAUGCAAGCAUUUUGGUCUAAGCAAUUAUUUCAACUACAUAUAAAAAUAAAGAGAACCCCAUAGUGAGGACCUUUUUCUUUUCUUUUUUUUUUUUUUUUUUAAUGGUUGUGAAGAGCAGGACCCUAUGGACAAGUCGGAUAAACAAAAUUAUAAUCCUUUAAAAAAAUAACGUGGAAAUGUGCAGGAGCAGAAAACAUUUAAAAAAAAAUUAAAAUAGUAUAACUUUAUGGUACAUUUAUGCUACACUGUUUGCAAAUAAAGCAACACAGCUAGGAUCUCGGUUUGACCUCAUAACAUAUACAUUCACCCUCGAUAUUCCUAACAACUGGACACACAAGGUUAUGAGGUCAAAGCUGAGAUUAACAGGUCAUUGUGCAGUCCACUUGGGAACAAUUACUUUUGGUCAUGGCUAAAUGGGCACUUGAUUGAAUAUCUGUAAGACAGCUCACAUCGCACUGAUAACAAUCCUUGCAGCAAUGAAGAAUUAAAACCCCUAUGAUUUAGUCUUUAUUACCCAAAUGAACCCAAGUGUUCCAUAAAGAAAUCUUGGUAUAUGCACGAUGCUAGGGCUAAAUUGAAAUGCCACCUCAUUAAACAAUAAUAUCUAAUUUCAUCUAAAUGAAUUUUCAUGAAAGAAUGCCAGACAGCACAGGAAUUUUUAAAAUGAAUGAUCACAAGCGAUAUGUAAUUUCAACAAAUCUACAUGAGAAAAAUAAAAUGAGCAGCAGAAAUUUAAAAGAGAGAUGACAAAUAAAAAAGGUAACGUGAAACAAAAAUGUCACUACUGUGGCUGUUAUGAUAAUAAUAAUAAUAUUUAGGUUUAUAUUAACUGUGGUGAUAAAUUGAAGUUUGUUUUUAUUUAUUCACUUUUUUAGCUUUUUCAGUUUUUAAAGGUUUUUAGGCUUACGUUUUUUUAAUUUUUUUAAAUUUUUUUUAAAGCAGAGUAACAAAAACUUCAAUAGUGAUUACAAACAGGCUUGAUUUUACAGGUUUGGUGGUUAGAAAUUCAAAGGUUAAAAUAUUUCAGAGUCUAUUUAUUCUUUUAACAGAAUUACAAACAAUUCAAAGUGUUUUGAUUUUUCACAAUAUAACUUUUUCACAGCCUUUGGCCCUGAUCCAACUAUUGGGUGUUAGUACACCUAUUGUACUACACUGUGAAAUACAUAGGCAAAUUACAUGAUAACAAUAAUAAGUAUUAAUUAUAAUAAUUCAGAAAAUUAAAAAAAAAAGAAAAAAGAAAAAAGCAAAGUAAAGAAUGACUGGUUUAAAGCAUAUUCGUAUUAUAUUAUAUAAACUAAGUUGACUCUUUAACAAUUACAUUGAAGAAAAAAAUAUUGUUAAAAAAAAUUUUACUUCUGAAACUAUAAUUGUUCUAUAAAUACUAUAUUACAAAUACUCUGAGAGUAUUGUAAAUUUCUAGGGUAUUAGCUAUAUUUUAAGAUCCACUCAGCUAGUUACAUUAACACAUUUUUUUUGUUACAAAAGAACUGGAAGUAAAAUAGGUGCAUGAAGUGCGUAUUUCCGAUUAUAUAUUCGUCUGUUGAUUGUAGUGUUGGCGAUAUGCCAAACUGAUACCGCAAGUGUGCAAUUAAGAUAGUGCAGGAAGAACAGUGUAUGUAAAACACAAGGAACAAAGAAUCACUUUUCACAGCGAAACACAGGUGUAGUUUUUGAAGUUUGGGUUAUUUAUAUGUUUAUGAGAAAUCCCCAACUAGAAAAGAAAAUAAAACCACGGGUUCAUUUGCAUGUUUUUCUUUUGCAAAAACAAAUGAGAACAAAUUUAAACCUAUUCUAACAAAACUGUUUUAUUCACUACUUUAAACCCUUUGUGGAGAGAAAAAUUAAAACAGUACCUAACAUGGAUUAUAAAGUGAAAUAUUAUUUCUUGGGGAACAAAACCGUAUUACUAGUAUUACAUCACGUAUAGAACAAAACCGUAUUAUGCUAGUAUUUUAUCACAUAUAGAACAAAACCGUAUCCUUCUGGUAUUAUAUCACAUCUAGAACAAAACCGUAUUAUGCUGGUAUUAUAUCACAUAUAGAACAAAACCGUAUUAUGCUAGUAUUAUAUCACGUAUAGAACAAAACCGUAUUAUGCUAGUAUUUUAUCACAUAUAGAACAAAACCGUAGUAUUAUAUCACAUCUAGAACAAAACCGUAUUAUGCUGGUAUUAUAUCACAUAUAGAACAAAACCGUAUUAUGCUGGUAUUAUAUCACAUCUAGAACAAAAUCAUAUUAUGCUAGUAUUAUAUCACAUAUAGAACAAAACCGUAUUAUGCCAGUAUUAUAUCACAUCUAGAACAAAACCCUUCUGGUAUUAUAUCACAUCUAGAACAAAACCGUAUUAUGCUGGUAUUAUAUCACAUAUAGAACAAAACCGUAUUAUGCUGGUAUUAUAUCACAUAUAGAACAAAACCGUAUUAUGCUGGUAUUAUACCACAUAUAGAACAAAACCGUAUUAUGCCAGUAUUAUAUCACAUCUAGAACAAAACCGUAUUAUGCCGGUAUUAUAUCACAUAUAGAACAAAACCGUAUUAUGCCGGUAUUAUAUCACAUCUAGAACAAAACCGUUUAAGCCGGUAUUAUAUCACAUAUAGAACAAAACCGUAUUAUGCCGGUAUUAUAUCACAUAUAGAACAAAACCGUAUUAUGCCGGUAUUAUAUCACAUCUAGAACAAAACUGUUUAAGCCGGUAUUAUAUCACAUCUAGAACAAAACCGUAUUAUGCUGGUAUUAUAUCACAUCUAGAACAAAACCGUAUUAUGCCAGUAUUAUAUCACAUCUAGAACAAAACCGUAUUAUGCCGGUAUUAUAUCACAUAUAGAACAACACCGUACUAUGCUAGUAUUACAUCACGUAUAGAACAAAACCGUAUUAUGCCGAUAUUAUAUCACAUCUAGAACAAAACCGUAUUAUGCUGGUAUUAUACCACAUAUAGAACAAAACCGUAUUAUGCCAGUAUUAUAUCACAUCUAGAACAAAACCGUAUUAUGCCGGUAUUAUAUCACAUAUAGAACAAAACCGUAUUAUGCCGGUAUUAUAUCACAUCUAGAACAAAACCGUUUAAGCCGGUAUUAUAUCACAUCUAGAACAAAACCGUAUUAUGCCAGUAUUAUAUCACAUCUAGAACAAAACCGUAUUAUGCUAGUAUUAUAUCACAUAUAGAACAAAACCCUAUUAUGCUAGUAUUAUAUCACAUAUAGAAUAAAACCGUAUAUGUUUGACACUAAAUGUUAAAUGGCUGGGAGAAACGUAUAAUCUAGUGUUCUAUUUAUGUUUCUAUUGAUCAGGGUUUCAGCUUUUCGAUAAUUGCAUUUAUUAUACAGUAUUUGGUAUAAUUGAAGUUUGUCUUGAGGAUAAAUAACAGUGCAAGAUGAAACAAUACUAUCAACUUAAAUGGUGUUGGGUUAGUACAUGCACAUCAUUGUCCCCAUUAUAUGAUGGAUUGCAUACUUAACUCCAAUCACCAUAAAUGUAUAAAAUAAUGUGAAUAAACAUUGCAGCACGACCCCACACACAUAUAUAAUAGCAAAGGUCAAUCUAAAAGUGCUUUAAACAAUAAUGCAAAGUACAGCAAAAACAUCAUAAUUAAGAGGGGCAAGAUUAUUAGGAAAAACACAGAAUAGAGAGCAUUGGUAUAUGGCAUGUAGGCCAAAGAGCUGCAUAUAUAUACAUUUAUUUUAAAUUAUUCUGAUUUGUGCAACACUAUAAACAAGUUAAAAUGAUCUUUAAGAACUGUUACAUCUUGAAGUUUCAAUCAUAAGAAUAAUUGCAAUCAAAAUAUGUAAUACAAUCCUACAAUGUUCCCUGAAACUCAAACAUUCUUCAACAGAAUGUUUGACUCCAAAGUCAAAGAAUGUAUUUAUUCCUUCAAGACCAAUAACACACACGUCAUUAACAGGUCUCACACCAAUGUGUGAAACAAUGUUUAACUCACAAUCACUUACCCAUUCUUCUUAAUUAAUGUGUUCGGAAAACCCAUUAAAAAUGGCUUAAAUCUAAUACAUAAAUUAUCAAAAGACAGAAUCAAUUGUAUUGAUAUUAUCCAGCAAACACUGAUGUUUAAUUAUGUUAAACAUAUCACGCAUGAUUAAAUACAAGUGUUUAUUUUUCUAUUCAUUCAUACUCAAUAAGUAGAAUCUCAGUACUCAACACCCAUUUAUAUUCAUUAACAUCUGGUACAGUGAUAUCUUUUGUUUUUAAAACUGUGCUGGAAAAAAGUUCUUAAACCAUUGUGGUCAUUUUGUUUUGCAGUCCAAUAAACAGCUUGGGCGUCAUUUCAAUUAAGUUGUUAUGGUGCCAGGAAGUCCCUGGUGCUUCUAUACCAUUACCAAGGUUGGCCACAGGCAAGAGCGCCUAUGAAUGUCUUAGAGGAGUAGUCAGCUGAUGCUCUAAACCAAUCAGUAGCUCCCUGUUUAUAAAAAAAAAAGAAUGUAGAUUUUUUUAUGCAAAAAUGCAUAUAUCAUUGCAAAUAUAAUGCAUUACUAUUUAAGCCCUAAUAGCUUACCUUUCAUUUGCUGCAGAACUGGCUUCUGCAGAUAAUGAUUCAUCCUCUUUUUGCCCAACACCGUGUUAGCAUUAGGCACUGGACAAAUCUCCAUUCCAAAGCUUCUCAGAGACACGGGUGGUUUUAUUGAGAUAUUGAGUAUUAGUUUAAAUGCAUUUUUUUAGUAUUCAUUUUGUGUCCAUUACAAUGGUGACUUGCUAUAUAAGGCUAUUGGGGUCUAACAUUCUUAUCUGGCUCUGCCGAUCACAGGAGGAGAAGUAGGAUUAUUGCUAUAUUUCACGUAAAAAAAAUAAUAAUGAUAAAAAAGAAUAAAGAACCUUGUAAAUGUUUUUGAUAAGUUAUUUGGAGAAUCUCUGGAUCCGAUGAUUUGACUUGUGCACAGUUUCAAUUGAAACAUGUUUUGUUUAAAAGGUAUAAAAUAGCAGGUCUGAUUUCUUCUCCUAUGUAAGUAAUUCUCUGUAUUUAAAAUGGUCAGAAUUAGAUACUUUUGUCUUACAGUAAGUUGCUGAUGGUGUCAUAGGAAAUACUAUUUUGUGCAUUUUUAUUCAUAACUAGCCAGUGUAUGUAAUUUAAUUUAUAUAUAAUUUAUACAAAUAAUUAUUUUCUUUCUACACACUAUUAUUAUAAGUGAUAUUGUUAUGAAGUUCUGUGAUACAUUCAAACACAUUUCAUAUUACAGUCAAAGGCGGAUACAGAACCCAAUCUCGGGUGGGGCACUGGAAGACUUUGCAUUGUGGGAGGUUUUAUACACCUGUAAAUAAAAAAGGCCUACCAAGGUAAUGAUUAAUAGAAAAGGGGGAGAGUGGGUGGGGCAAUCUGAAUGACUACAGCCCAGGAGAGGAGGUAGGCUGGGAUAAAUAGUCGGGUAACCCCUACCACAAUUCCAGGCUAUUGCCUUAACAUUUGUGGCUGGGGACAAAGGCUGACGCCUAAAUGAGCAAGUCGGUUGUCGUGUGAAAUGACAGUCGGGUAGAUCUGUAAAUAAAGAAGGCAAAUAUAUUUUUGAAAAAUGCAACUUUAUUAUGAAAUACACAUAUUACAUAGCCAAAUCUUAAAAAGCCUGCUUUAAAUUAUUUUCAAGUUGAGGGAUGUACCUCUCAUAGGCUGUUGACUUCCAGUGGCCUAAGCACUUAAUAACAUGGGCUGGAACAUUAUUGCUAAAUGGAGCUGACGUGGCACCGAUCCUAAACGAAUGCCCUGAAAAAGCCGAAAGGGUCCCUACCUAAUGUAACCAAAAAAGGCCUAGCAUACAAAAUGAAUUUAGCAGAAGUCAGGGGUUUCCCAUAAAGAGGUAGGAGUGUUCCUAGUGAAAUAUGCAAGGGAAUGGCAGUACUGAUCCAAGAUGUUCACAGGGCACCAAUUAUUGUAAGUAGGGUAUAGCAGGAUUUCUGUGGGUGGGACAAUUUGAUAAUUUUGCAUUGUCAAAGACUGAGGACACAUGUCAGAAUCAGAUAAUUUUUCAAUAGUAAAUUCUUUAGGGCAGAGGAAACUAUAGUAUGCAAUAUAGCUGUUUUGAUAAUGGCGUUUGUUUGGCACACAACAGGUACUUUGUCGAGCAGAUCGCAUAAAGCCCGGAAUUUAAGGCCAUAUACAGGUUGGCGUUUAGGUGCCUGAAAACAGUCUAACCAUUGAAUGUCUUUUAGUAUAUUUUUCUAUAGGGUAUGAGAACAUAAAGUCUUUGUGAUUGGGAAAUAUGGUUUGCAAAUAGUGCUGAAUACCGGUAAGGUAUAAUUUAAUCGUAUAAUGUGACAAUUUAAAAUUAAGGUGGCAAAAAGCUGAAAAACCAUGGUUUCUACAGAGAAAGAUUAAUUGAUUUGAUAUUCUGAAACAAAUCUGUUGAAGAUACAUAAUGCCAUAUUGUAGGACUUCCUACUAGUAGUAGAUAAUGGGACAUGCUAUGGGACAUAAAUUUAGCUAAUCCAUUCACAGGUAAUGGAAGCCUGGGACCUUGGUGGGAUGUUUCUCUGUUGUACGAUGAAGUUUGAAGAAGACCUGUCAUUUACAAUGGGAUAAAGCAUCAGCUGUAGAAUAGUGCCACCCUAGGACAUGUAAACAAACCAAAUAGAAAUGAGUAGCUGCUAACCACGCCAAUAUUCAAAUAAAUGUCAUAAUGGUUAAUGAUGGUUAAUAAAGGAAAACCCUUGCUAAUUUCAAAUUCUGACUGCCUGUCAGAAUAACAUUUGACUGAUUGACCUUGCCAAGCCCUACCCCAUAUCUGCGCUGCUGCUAUUAUGGGAUAAAUCUUAAAUAGAGACAAGGUUUUGUCAAAUGCCAGUAAACUCAUAGUCUCGUGAGGUAUCGGUCUCUAGAGUUGGGGAUUGAUCUAAAGGUGGCAGAAUGAAUACAGCCCUUCCAUUCCAGUCAGCAAGAAACUCAUGCCACAUAGCGAAUCAGUCCUAGCAUGGAUGUCGAGAGAGAUUCUGCUAUUGUCACAAAACUUUCUCAAGCCAGUUCAGUGAAUGGGGAGUCACUGACUAGAUGAGAGCAUCAGCUGACUGCUCUCAGACAAUCAGUGCCCAAUGGCACUGCGCUUCCUAAAUACUGAAAAUUCAGAAGCUGGAUCCUGCCUGGGGGGAAGUGGACAUUGCUGCUGGAGGGCACUUUGGGGUUAAAACUUUGAACAGUUUAACCAUUUGAGAUAAGACUGCCUUCGGGGGCUUCCUGGCACCAUAACAACUUCAUUUAGAUUAAGUUGUUUUGGUGUAUAAAGUGUCCAUGUAAAUUGAGCCAGAGAAGAUGCUGCCUUGGCUGAAAAAAACUUGUGGCAAUUAUAGGAGGUGAAACAACCGUACUUAAGCCCUAAGUCUACCAGCUUGUGAAUAUACAGAUCCAGUUCUUCACUACAUUGAGAAUAGGUAGAACAUAUUACAUCUCUAUAAAGCCUGAAGACCAAAAUGAACCCAGGUAUGGAAAGUUUUUUUAUUCAGUCUUGGGUCUCUGGCUUUUAAUAUCUCCGUAGGUGUAGGACUUGUUUUAAUUAUAUCUUGUGGGGCUUUGAGCAAAGAGACUAGGUUGACGUCUUUCACUUUGAGAAUGUCCUUCCUAAUGGUAAGAGGGACUAAAUGUGCGGGUGUAGAGCAAGAUUCUAGCUAUCCUUUGGGCAGAUAGGCAAAAACGUCCUUGUGAGGAUGGGAGUUGGCCUCAUAGAACCACUAUCUGUGGCAAAUAGUAACCUGAAGCCAGUUCAGCUCCCGCUAUACUGAAGUCGUGAUAAGAACUGCGUGAUGUAAUUUAUAAGGAACCGUAUGCAUGGGAACCCAUGUACCUUGAAAAUGUAUACAUCUGAUAAGCACUGGUAGGUGGAAUCGAGAAGGAUGAUACCUAUGCACACAAUGAAUGGGCUUACCAGGAUAUAUGUAAUUUAUGGAUUUUAAAAUGUAUUAGAUAUUUUUUGUUGAGUGUUAGUGUGUAGAUGUUUGAAUGUAGAUGUGUAUUUAUGUGGGGUGCUCAUGUUUGCCUGCAGUGGUGUAUUAGUACUGAGGGUUAGUGUGUGUUUAUGCAGGUGUAUGUUGUGUUUACCUAUCCCCCUUUCCUUACUAGUGCACAUCUCCACAUCUAUAUAUUUCUCCAUAUCACACAAUGAAUCUCUCUCUCCUACUUUUACUCAUACCACAAAAUUCCACCACUUGUCACUGCCUAUAGUCAUGCUUCUUCCACCUGUGUCCAUCUGCCUAUACCUCUCUUACAUUACUUCAAGCCCUUUGUCCAUAGUCUUCUUCUCCCACUUGUAGAAUUUGAUAAAAAUCAUACAAAUAUAAUGAAGUACCUGCUUCUCCCUCCUGUGUGGCCAUGGAGGCUCAGGGAUGGACAGUUGCCCUGUGAUCUCCCCUUGGUUCUGCCCUGAUUACAGUUUACUUUAUUACUAUGUAGCUGUGUAAUACACUCACACACUCCUGCAUGUUCAUAUUAGUUUUUUUGCUGCAAUGUUUUAUGAUAUACCCUAAACAUUCACCAUUUACAUGAACCGAAACCAGAGGAACACCAAGACAGGAAUGUGAGACAUAGGUAUUUGGGUCUAAGGGGCUAACCCUGCUUCAAACAGCAUAGUACCAAGUUUCAUAGUUUCAUUAACGGAACACUAAAGCAUUGGGGGUACAAAUGUCUAUUCCUAAUUGUAUAGUGUUUGUUUAAUGAAACAAUAUCUCAGUCAAUUUAAAGUAAAAGGUUGCACUGCACCAAUCAGAUGGUCUCAUAGAGAUCAUUUUACUACCCUAUUUCAUAAGCGUGCUUCUAGUGCUUGUUACUAUUACAGUCACUAGAGAUAGGUUAAUCUUGAAAUUGAAAAUUUGCCAUUCCUGCGUAAUGGCAAUGUUUUUAGCUGCAGGGUUAAAACGGGUGCAACAUGGCACCCAGACCACUUUAUUGAGAUGCAAUGGUCUAGAUGCCAAUAGAGUACAAUUUCAAUAAGGUUUUAACAGACGACUUUGCAACCAGGAGUCAUUCAAAAUGGAACACCUUUGAUGGACCACAGUUUGGUACUUGUGUGGGCUCACUGCAUCCAUAUGCCAGUCAUUUUAUAUUCCACUAUUAUCAGAUGUCUGUCUCUUAGUUGUGGAACUAAAUUCCAAAUUAUUUGUUGUAUUUGAUAAGGAUCACAGAUAAAACCACAAACUUUUUAACAAUGGGGACAAUAUUCUACAGAUACUGUGAUGGCUCUUAACUCACAGAUGUGAGUUAAGAAUCACAGAUGAGCUACUUAUUUCAAGAUAUACAGAAAGGUAUCGUCAACAGACAGGUUGAAGGAUAACCCGGUGUGAUCAGCUUCAUUUCUAAUUUUGCAUGUGAAUUCCUUGGUUAUGAGAAGACCUUUGGCCUUAAAACCUACCAAACCAAAUAGCCACAUUAAAUAGGUCCGGCACCAUACCACUAAUAUAUAAUGUUUAUUAAAAGAUGCUUGGCAGGAGAGAAAAUGAAUGACUCAAACACUUGAGGCAGAUGAAAAUGUGGGUCAUGUAUUUAACCCCUUAAGAACCAAACUUCUGGAAUAAAAGGGAAUCAUGACAUGUCACACGUCAUGUUUCCUUAAGGGGUUAACCCUGCCCUGACCAUUAGCUAAAACUGGUCAUGCAAUCAAACGGGUCAAUGUUGCAGCAAAGUUUAUUGUAUGUGUAGAAGCCCUAUAAAGGGUUAAAUGUGAAAGGGUUUAUAAAAUACCCCUUCCUGUCUCACUGGAGAUUCUUGGCUGAUAUCAGCAUAUCUAAUGGCUAGUGUAGGAACUCGCCUAUUGAAGCUUGCCUUGACGUGGCAGGUGAGCUUAUAUAUUCAAAUAGCCAUUGGAAUAAAACUAAAGAGCCUCCAUUUUGUUUAAAUGUACAUGGGGAUUUAGGCCAGAGCGCAAGUAAUGUUCUCUUUGUUUUUAAGAUGAAGUAGUUAACUUGAAAACAUUUCAGAACAUUCAAAACCGCAAAUUUAAACACAAACACAAAAAGAAACAGAAUAUUUAUUUAACUUUUGAAAUAAGCAAAGGAUAGAAAUAAAAAUAACAAGAUCCAAGAAAUAAAAACUGUGGAUUUCAGAAUGAUCCUGAACAUUUGGUAUGUGGUAGGUCUUGAAAAACACAGAAAAUAAAAAACAAGUAUACGUUUGUGUAAGGUUUCUACAAAUCAGCGUCUUUAAUCCGUGCAUCAGAAACACACACAACAAAAAAACAAAGAAAAUUGUAUUAUAUGUAUCUGAGGAAACAAGAGGGAAGGGGUGGGGGGGGGGGAGGUGAACUGCUAUCUUCUCCAGUUAUUUGUGGCUAUGGAUGCAGGGAUUCAAAAUCCCAAAGGUCAAAAGUGCUUCAAUCUCUAUAUGCUCUUCAGCAUUGUAUAGUGAGCACGGAACUCCCUGCAAACAAAUGUUCUGGGGUGGCCUGGUGAGAUAAUUGUAUGUAAUGGUAUGUAGGAGACAAGCUUUUGGUUUUUGGCUCAUGCCUCUCUGUCUGGCUGGGAUGAGUCAUAUGUCAACAUCUGCUUGUCUGCUACAGCGCAGCAUUCAACACAUCUCAGCUUACUUAGUCAUUGGUGGUCCAACGCGGUGCUAGGUCUGAGUGGGAAAAAAGAUGAAUUUCAAGCAGUUGAAUCUUAGCCACAGAUUUGACUACUGCAAUCCUUGACAUGUAAUGAAUUCUAAGCUGGGAGAUGUCAUGGAGAGUAGCUGAAACAUAUAGAUAGCACGUGAUGGGCUCAAAUACAAAAUGAGGUCAAUAUUAGUAAUUUAAGGACACUCUACCAAUAAAAAAACAUCUGGAACAUGUUUAGGUUUAUAUUUUCACCUUUUCUAUUUAUCCCACUUUGGCCUUAAUUUAAUCAGAGAUGAUAGUUUUUUUUUCCAGCAGUUUAUUGCUCCCGCUAAGCCCUUUAUCAGUUUGGAUCAAUUCAAUUAAAGCCCCUAAAAGCUUAACAGAAGUUGUUAUUAUUAUAUUAUUAUUCUCAGUUUAAAUAUCUGGUAAUUUUCCAAAAAACAAUACCUAUACUUUACAAUAAAAAUAUUGGCUUAGGUCAUUUAAGUCCAUUUAUUUUGUGUACAUUGCCUGAUAUAUGGCCUUAAAGGAUUCGACAAUUAAAGUUGUCGAUAAAUACUUUUUUUUAAAAAUAUUUGUUUGCUUGGCAGCACUAGCUGCAAUAGGGAACAUGGUUUAAAAAAGAGCCUAUGUCUUCAAUAUGACCCCCAUUUUGUAUAAGAGAGGUCUAAUACCUUCCUUAGGUCAAAUGAGCCAUUACGAAGGUGUAGGCAUGUCUACCAAACAGUGCGCAGCCAGCAGCUGCUCGCUAUAAUUAAAAACUAGUGACAGGGUAGCUAUUGAUGUCCAAUCACUAUUUAAAAUACAAGCAAGGGCUGGCUGACAAUUAGAUAAUGGAGGGUGGAUAGGUCACUGUUUAUUCCCAUGGUCCCAUGCAGUGGCUUUUGUAAAUUUAAAAAAAAAGGGAGGACAUAUGGAAGGCCUUACCCAUGAACUACUGAUGGGGGCUAUUAAAGGACCAUUAUAGUGCCAGGAAAACAUACUUGUUUUCCAGGCACUAUAGGGUCUCUAGGUCCCCCCCACCCUUAGGGCCCCUCUCCCGCCGGGCUCUAGGAGGUGGAAGGGAUUAAAUCUUACCUUUUUUCCGCCGCCGGGCGGUGGGGACGCUCCUCCUUCUUUCCCGCGCAUGCGUAUUCAGCCAGUCCAUAGGAAAGCAUUCUCAAUGCUUUCCUAUGGACGCUGGCGUCUUCUCAUUGUGAAAAUCACAGUGAGAAGCGUGGAAGCGCCUCUAGCGGCUGUCAAUGAGACAGCCACUAGAGGCUGGAUUAACCCUAUUAUAAACAUAGCAGUUUCUCUGAAACUGCUAUGUUUACAGCAGAAAGGGUUAAUUCUAGAUGGACCUGGCACCCAGACCACUUCAUUAAGCUGAAGUGGUCUGGGUGCCUAUAGUGGUCCUUUAAGUAAUAAACAGGGGGUAGCAUGGUUUGAGGACAGGGACUAUUGAAAAAUAAAGAAAUCCUCAAAUGGGAAGUAUUGAUGACAAGAGGGGAUGAACUUACAUUGUCUAUCUAACCCAAACCUGUGGCCAAGCGCCACCUCCAGGUGGUUAAGGGUCACCAAUCACCAAGCUCCCCACCACAAUAGUGGGGAGCAGGGGGGUGUCCAAAAAAUCUAAAGUCAUAUGUAAAAAAAAAUCAUACUUACCUUUAGAUGUCUUGUUUUUUCUUAAAGGGAAACUCCAAUGCCAGGAAAACAAUUUGUUUUCCUGGCACUGCAGGUCCCCUCUCCCUCCCACCACCCAUCCACGGUUGCUGAAGGGGUGAAAACCCCUUCAGUGACUUACCUAAGACCACUGCCGAUGUCCCACGUCUCUGCUUCUUCCUCCGUGCCGCUCCUCCCUGUGAUUGCACAGCCACUAGAGGUGGAAUUAACCCUGCAAGUUAAUUAUUGCAGUUUAUAAAAAAACUGCAAUAAUUACACUUGCAGGGUUAAGAGUAGUGGGAGUUGGCACCCAGACUACUCCAAUGGUCAUAAGUGGUGUGGGUGCCUGGAGCGUCCCUUUAAUUCCUUCUGCCCCACAAAAGUUCAAAUAAAAGUCCAUAAAAACCGAUGCGACUAUAAGAAAUAUUUUUGCAAAAAAAAUUAAUCCGUCUUAACACAGCAAGGGCUUUACACAAAAUAAGCUUCCAAGCUUCAAUAAUUCACACACAUUUAAAUCUCAGCUAGAGUGCUUUGAUUGGUUGGAUAGUAAGAGAAAGCCCUUGGAGUGCGUGAAACGCAUAGACUAAAGCUGUCAGGGUCUUGCUAGUGACCAGUAUAGGUGAGAGGACAGACAGCUAUCUUGUGGAAAUACAUCAUCUGCUCCCGGUCUGUAUUGACAGGAUAAGUGUCAACAGAUUACACUGCCUGGAAUGUUUUUAUCUCCCCUCCUGUUCAGUCAAUCACCAAAUCCUGCCGCUUCCAUCUCAAAAACAUAGUGCGCAUCCGCCCUAUUUAAAGUUGGAAGUGGCUAUGGUGCUGGUCCAUGCUGCUGUCCUUUCUUGCCUUGACUUGUGCAAUCCACUUCUCAGUGGUCUUGUGCACUCUCUUGUGCAUUCCCACCUUGUCCCUUUACAAUCUAUAAUGAAUGCGUCAGAAAGGCCUAUCUACCUGUCCAUCCACAUCUCCCAUACAUCCCCCUUUAUAAGUCUGUACAUUGCCUCCCACUAAGAUAUAGGACUCUAUUGAAAAUUCUAGUACUUGUUUGCAAAUCUCUAUACCUGCUCCUACCUACCUAUCCUCACUAAUACACAAGUAAACAGGCCCCUAUGCCCUGCCGUAGACCUGCAUCCAUCCCCAGUUCGUACACAGACUCUGAUCUCAAGUUCAAGUUUUCUUAAGGGUUGCACCCUAAACGCUGGUUUUUCUUACUUCUUCCUUUCUCUCAUAGGCAGAAUGUGAGGGGUUAAGAAUUACAAUGAAUCGUCAUGUCAGAACAAAUGUUCCUUCAGAAGGAAUUAAGUUAUAUUCAAGUGGAGAUCACUGGGGUCCACUAUUAACCACAAGGAGAGUAGUGAAAUGCACAUCCAUAAUUCCCUCACACCACAGUUAAUAUAUCUGGGCAGGUUAAUGUAUCAUUCCCCACAGACCUUGCUCUCCCUUGAAUUAUGUUGCAGUUCCCUAUGUGGAAAUGACUUGUUAACGAGGUCAGAUGAUAGGCAGAAAGGUCUCAAAUACUGAAGUAAGCCCUUAUAAAAACCGUAGCAUACAAAAGGGCACCUAUGCAUGCACAUGUAGAACCCUGAAGAAGAUGGUUUAUGGCAGAAGAUGGCUUCUUUGAGCUAGGAACCGAAAGAUGAGGCUUAAGUAGACAUAUGGUCACUAAAACUGGAUGACUGAAUACUGAAUAAACCUUGCCUGGUCUAAUGAACAAGGAGAUAUUUAUUCUUAAAAGAGUACUGUAAUGGAGCUCCCUGUACCCCGGCUGGGUACCUCAGCCAAGGACCGCUUCCUAGCUGGAACCGGGGACAAACCUCAGCACUCCUGCCCCCAGUCGCCGUGACAUGACUGCGGUCAUGAAACCACUCCGUCCAGGAGCUGAAUGGGGAAACUCCCUCUAUCCACUCCCAGGCACUGGUCGACACUCAGUCCUGGGAGUUCUAGUCCUUACAAGGACUUUCCCCAUUGAAUCCUCCACACUGGAACAAGCUAGAGUAGUGAUUAGCCCUUUCCCCUCUCAGCAACCAGACACAUAGUUCUGGGAGUACAAACUGGAAUUCUUUAAUCUGGCCAGAUGGCCUGCAUUUAUAGAAUUUCAGACACAGUUAAGCACCCCCCUGACACUCCCCCACAAACAGGCUAAUCCCUCACCUGGACCUGAGAGGGGACUAGUUAUAAGUUAUAAACUCUUCCUCUGUAUCUGAGAUAUAAUUGAGUCAGGAACUGAACUAACUCAAUUAUCUCCCCGCACAGAAAAACAUACAAUAUUACAAACCCCCCAAAAUACCUUUAAAACACAUAAAAACCCCACAUACAUCUCCUGAUAGCCCCCAUCUGGGUGACAAACAUAUCCAAAAAUCACCCAGACUGGUUCAGGGGUUUUGGAAUUUUCAUGGAAGUCAUAAUUUUGACCAACCAUGCACAUUGUCCUAUGCCCAAAACAGUUCCAUGAAAUCAGUGCUAACGGUCGGUCACGUUGGGUAGACUUUUACAGGUUUCCCUGCAGGGCCCAUAGUCCGUGGGCAGAAGGCUGGCAAGCAGGAUCCUCCAGGAGCUCGUGGCAAACUCAUGUGGGAAGGGGAGUAUGUCACAGGUACUUUGUCAAGCCAUUUGAAAACAGUUUGAACAAUCUCUUUUUGCACCAUAUCCACUGCAAUGAGCUGCAGUAGAUAUUAGCCAUUCUAGCGUUCAUAUCAACCUCACAAAUGACUGACUUUAUGGUUUAUUCAUUAAACAGUGAAUCAUGGUGAAAGGAAAGAUGUAUAAUAACUGGUAAAUUUUUCCAACUUAGAAAUAUUUUCCUAGAUUUUGCAAUUCAGUUUUCAAAUAAUUACAUUUCACUAUCCAGUAAAAAGAAAAGGAUAUUUACAUAGAAACAUAGAUAAGAACCAUUCUGCCCAUCUAGUCUGCCCAAUUUUCUAAACACUUUCUUUAGUCCCGGGCAUUAUCUUAUAGUUAUGAUAGCCUUAUGCCUAUCCCACGCAUGCUUAAACUCCUUUACUGUGUUAACUUCUACCACUUCAGCUGGAAGGCUAUUCCAUGCAUCCACUACCCUCUCAGUAAAGUAAUACUUCCUGAUAUUAUUUUUAAACCUUUGUCCCUCUAAUUUAAGACUAUGUCCUCUUGUUGUGGUAGUUUUUCUUCUUUUAAAUAUAGUCUCCUCCUUUACUGUGUUGAUUCCCUUUAUAUAUUUAAAUGUUUCUAUCAUAUCCCCCUGUCUCGUCUUUCCUCCAAGCUAUACAUGUUAAGAUCCUUUAACCUUUCCUGGUAAGUUUUAUCCCGCAAUCCAUGAACCAGUUUAGUAGCCCUUCUCUGAACUCUCUCUAAGGUAUCAAUAUCCUUCUGAAGAUACGGUCUCCAGUACUGUGUACAAUACUCCAAGUGAGGUCUCACCAGUGUUCUGUACAAUGGCAUGAGCACUUCCCUCUUUCUACUGCUAAUACCUCUCCCUAUACAACCAAGCAUUCUGCUAGCAUUUCCUGCUGCUCUAUUACAUUGUCUGCCUACCUUUAAGUCAUCAGAAAUAAUCACCCCUAAAUCCCUUUCCUCAUAUGUUGAGGUUAGGACUCUAUCAAAUAUUCUAUACUCUGCCCUUGGGUUUUUACGUCCAAGAUGCAUUAUCUUGCACUUAUCCACAUUAAAUGUCAGCUGCCACAAUUCUGACCAUUUUUCUAGUUUACCUAAAUCAUUUGCCAUUUUGCUUAUCCCUCCUGGAACAUCAACCCUGUUACAUAUCUAAGUAUCAUCAGCAAAAAGACAUACCUUACCAUCAAGACCUUCUGCAAUAUCACUAAUAAAAAUAUUAAAGAGAAUGGGUCCAAGUACAGAUCCCUGAUGUACCCCACUGGUGACAAGUCCAAGCUUCGAAUAUAUUCCAUUAACUACAACCCUCUGUUGCUCAGCCACUGCCUUACCCAUUUAACAAUAUUGGAAUACAAACUUAAAGAUUGCAGUUUAUUGAUAAGCCUUCUAUGUGCAACAGUGUCAAAAGCCUUACUGAAAUCUAGGUAAGCAAUGUCUACUGCACCACCAUGAUCUAUAACUUUAGUUACCCAAUCAAAAAAAUCAAUAAGAUUAGUUUGGCAUGAUCUCCCUGAAGUAAACCCAUGUUGUCUCUGAUCUUGAAAUCCAUGUGUUUUUAGAUGUUCAACAUUCCUAUCCUUUAACAUGGUUUCCAUCACUUUCCCCACUACUGAACUUUUAGUUUUUAACUAUUUUGGCCACAUCUGGAAGUACCACAGUGGUUUCUUGAAUUUUUUGCUUUUACUGACAAGCCUAAUGCAAUUUUCUGUUGCCUUACGAAAAACUUUAAAGAAACACUAUAGAGAUAGGAAUACAAACCUGUAUUACUAACGCUAUAGUGUUCCUGACUGUACCACUGUUUGAUGAAUAAAGGUUUAAAAACGCUUUUUUUAAUUACUUCUUUCCAGCAGCAUGGACCCCUUGGUGCUGAUUAGGUCUCCUCUUCUCACUAUGUGAGAGUGAUGGUGGGACCAAAUGCGCAUGCUCGGCGCUCAUACACACUCAUGAAAACCCAUAGGAAAGCAUUAAUUGCAAAGUGUGAGGACAUCCAACCUUGUUUCACGGAGUGAAACUCUAUGAGGCACCAAGAAGAGCCUCUAGUGGCUGUCUGAAAGACUGCAGUUUUAAAAAAAAUGACAGGGGCACUGAACCUAGAAAACCUCAAUGAGAUAAAGUGAUCUGGGUGCCUAUACUGUCCCUUAAAUUUCAAAGCACAUUGCAAAAUAUAAGCUAAAAUACCCAUAUUGUUAGCUAAAAUGUAAAAUUCGAUUUUUACUUUGCAACGAUUUGGUAUCUAGUUAAUACAUUUGUUCAUGUCAGUCUGUAUGGAAAUAAAGUACAAAUUAACAAAACUAGGGUCAUAUUUUUCAGGCCAAUGUACAUGAGCUGGAAAAACAACUGAGUUGAACAAUUUUCCAGUUUAGCUAUCUUGUUAUAAAAUUUGCAAUUGCUCUGAACACUUUCCAUAUUAUUAGAAUUAACCGUAUCGUUAAGUAUUUCAUACACCAACACAACUUAUAUGUGUUUUGAAGGUUUUGAUCUAAAUGUGCAUAUUUUAAAUUCUGCAGCACUUAAAGUGCUUGCUGAAGUGCUGUGUGUGUGAAGGAUGUCCUCUUUUUUAUUUUACAAAAGUCCAGAUUUCAACAGAAAUAAUUAACCUUUUUACACCCCUAACUGUCAAUCAGACAACCAGUCUUGUUAUUUCCUGUUUGUUUCACUCAGUGGAGCUAAAAUCAAGAGAGAGCAAUUUCCCAGAGCACCUGCCUUGCAAAGACUUCUCAUUGAGCUGCAUUGCGAAGUCUGUGAUUGGACAGCCACAGAAAGUAUAGGCUAGGGAAGAAGAGGAUGGCUUGCAAAGACUUCAGACAAGUGAACUGUAUGUUUUUAUUGGGGGUAUAAUUGCUAAACUGUGUUUUUUCCCCACCAGGGCAGUGGAAAGUUCCUUUAAAGUCACUUCCAAGUUGAUGCUGACUCAAUUAAGCAGUUUUGGUGUAUAAACCAUGCACCUGCAGUCUCACUGCUCACUUCUCUGCCAUUUAGGAGUUAAAUCACAUUGUUUAUAAAAACAAUGGUCACACCUCCCUGUGUGUCACUUGUACAGCCUCCUUAAACAAUUUAUGUAAUAUAGAUCUAAUGUUUAAGCAUCCUUUAAUGCACAAUCUGUUUAAUUUAGAAUUUCCUGCUCCUGUGUGUGAUUAAAGUUCAAUUUACAGAGCAAGAGAUAAACACUUCUAAUGCAAUUUAACAUCUGAUUGAAAAUGAAACCAAAGGUUUAUUUGAAUAAACUUUAUUUGAAAAGCAAUAUUAAAAACAAUAAAAGUACAAUUAAAAUAGGCCAUUUCACUUGGAAAAAUCCUUUUUUAAUGGGUAAAAUUUGUUAGUUUGUUAUCUUUUUAAUAAUUUUUGGACCUUCCUGUUAUCCAGACGUCUGGAGAAACUCUUCUUUGGUAGGAAACAUCCCACCAAACCUUUGGGUUGAUCAAAACCAAGUUUUGCUCCAAGUCAGGGACUACAUCUCCUGUUAUUUCUAUUUAAUUUAUCGCACAGUGUGCACUAUUUAUUAUUACUUGCUUUUACAUAUGUCACAGUGAGGAUUUUAAUUGCUACAUUUUCAAGGGUGGGAAUCGCACACACAUUCCAAAGUGGGAUCAAUCCACUCCAAGCACUACACAAGGAGCCUUUAGAAGGCUCCAUAAAAUGUGAUUGUGCACUGUACAUAUACUUUACCCACUAUAUUGGAUCCCUGACGUACUACACUAUAUUUGUGUUUCUGUUUCUUUUAUAUUUCUGGUCCACACCCUUUGGAUCAAGUCUAUAUCCUUAGGCAGGGAAUGUACCGCCCAGGUGCAGAAUCUGGAGCUACUCUACAGCUCCAAAACACAGGAAGUGCAAUUCCUCCUUUUCUCCUCCAUGUCCAUUUGUUAAUCUACUACAUUAUAUUCGUUUUGUUUGUCCUCUCUCUCAUUUCAUAAUUACCUGGAUUUGAGGACCACAUGAAGGCGCUGAUUCUCUCUUUUCCUCUCUCUGGUUUGGGGUGUUUCAAACUGUCAACUACAUUAUACAAGUGCGAAAAAACCUUUGUAUCUUCAUAUAUUUAACAAUUUAUAGCAAUGCAGUAAUAUUCACAUAUUAAUGAAAUGUAUUCCUAUUAUACUGUCCAACUGUGGUUGCUAUAUCACCAACUUAGAAACCACACAUUUUAGGGCUUUAUAUCUUGGUCGCUAAAAGGUAAAUGAGUUUGGGUGGACAUUAGCCAAACAUGGGCCUGAAGGUAAAAUGGUGCAAGUUUGUAUUUUUGGUUGCAAAUAUCUAUCGGCUGUUAGUAAAAACAACAGUAUACAGCUGAUAUUAAGCAACCAAUUUGGAAUCAAGUCCUCUUUAGGGAAAUGGUUCCAAUCAGGUUAUUUUGGUCUCUGAAGAGCUGCUGUUUGUACACUGCUUAAAAUUGCUGUUUAGUGAAUGAGCACUUAAAAUAAUCUAUAAAUUUUAAUACAAACGAUGCACACGUUAAAUUAAUAAUAUAGUUAUGGGCGGAAGUUGUUGUUUUUUGACAUGUUAACAGAAAGUCUGAAAGUCUAUAUUUAUGUUGAAUUCCCACUGAUAUUAAUUCCCUUUCUGUUGGCACAUACAUUUGGACUGCUUGGAGAGAGAAAAAAAAAUUGUCUGGAAAAAAUUGCAGGAAAGGGUGUGCACUUGGAAGCUUAUUCAGCGCUCCUUAUACAAGUCUUACAAGUGUGCGUGCUGGCAAAUAAAGUAUGCAGGACAGAAAAUAAAAUUAAGAUGAAAAAAUAAUAGAAAGGGAGUUGCCCUUUUUGCUUACAGCAACAUUUUCUAACUCGGUACAGAUAUAAAAAUAGGUGUAACAGUAAAGAACAUUUCCUAUUGUUCUGCGGGAGGAGGAAAAUAAAUUCUAUAUAUUCCUGUCUCCUCAGAAAGGCAAGGCGUUACCUAGACGAAACAUCUUGGGAGUUGGGAACACAGGGAGAGAAUAAAUUAAAAAGAAAACAACAAUAAAAACAAAACAAGCGAGCAUUGCGUCACAGUAAUUAAAAUAAUUUAAUUAAAAAAUAAGACACUGCCAUAGCUCAUAAUUAUAAUUUUUUUGCUCUAGAAAGUUGUACUUCUACUAACGUGUCCAGCGCUGAAACUGUUAAGACAGGACUUGUUAUAAAAACCACACCCUGACGUCUGACGAGAAACAAUGGUUUUUUUUCACACUAACCCUUGCUGCCAACGUCCAUGAUAGAUUUACAGGGUUAUUCACAUUUAAGGCCAGAGUAGCUGAACGAAAACUAUAGCUGACUUAGAGAAUUGGUUCCAGUUCGUCUACUUAGGCCUCAUACUAAAAAUUCACUUUGAACUCCCCCAUUAGUGAAAAAAACCCUGCUACUCAAAGAAUUUGCACAGCUUUGUUUCAAAUUGAGUAUUUUGGUCUAUAUUUUUCCUGUCUUUCGUUAGCGUAUCACAACUGAUUUGUUGAACUGCUCAGUGAAUACAUCCUGGAAAUAAUUUGUAGGAGCAAUAAUGGUAACAAAUAUACCUUUGUUAUUGGGUGGUAUUCCUCAUACAGACAGUAAUGAGCUAGGUUGGCUAAAAGGUAGACCCCUGGGUUGUUUAAAGACUAACAUUCCCAUAGUCCGUCAGGCUGGCAGAACAUCAUGGGAGUUGUAGUUUCAUGUUAUCUAAUCUAUUGGCUAUCCCUGCUAUAGAGUGUUAAAGGACCACUAUAGUGCCAGGAAAACAUACUCGUUUUCCUGGCACUAUAGUGCCCUGAGGGUGCCCCCACCCUCAGGGUCCCCCUCUCGCCCGGCUCUGGAAAGGGGAAAGGGGUUAAAACUUUCCUUUUUCCAGCGCUGGGCGGAGAGCUCUCCUCCUCCAAUCCUCCUCUUCUCCUCCCCGUCGGCUGAAUGCGCACGCGCGGCAAAAGAUGCGCGCGCAUUCAGCCGGUCACAUAGGAAAGCAUUCAUAAUGCUUUCCUAUGGACGCUGGCGUGCUCUCACUGUGAAAAUCACGGUGAGAAGCACGCAAGCGCCUCGUGUCAAUGAGACAGCCACUAGAGGAUUAGGGGAAGCUUAACCCAUUCAUAAACAUAGCAGUUUCUCUGAAACUGCUAUGUUUAUAAAAGAAUGGGUUAAGCCUAGCUGGACCUGGCACCCAGACCACUUCAUUAAGCUGAAGUGGUCUGGGUGCCUAGAGUGGUCCUUUAAUUACUUUGAGUAAAAUAUAUCUCUUAUUAAUCAAUACUUAAACGUUACUCUUUGUAUAAUUGAGGCUGCGAAUAGACAUGUGCAUUCGUUUUUGGACAAAUGGUAAAAUCAACGUAGACUUUAGUUUUUUUGUUUAUUUAGUCUGAAAACAAAUAACUUAAAGGAACGCUAUAGUGUCAGGAAAACAAACAUGUAUUCCUGACACUAUAGUGGUAAAAUGGCUAUUUAGGUCCCCGGCCCCCUUCUCCGCCUUGUUCCGCCUCCAUAAUGAAAUAGGAUGAUUUUAUCCAAUCUAAUUAUUUUCCGCACCUGUGGACACCAGGCAACCGUCCUUAAGAAGCAUGGUGUUAAAGUGAUGCACUUGUUAUAAUCAAUGUUAUAAACUUUGUCCUUUGCAACAGACGGUCAGUACAGAGAAAGUUUACCGGGACAUGAUGAGAAUACCGUUUCUAUUUCUCCUGCUCAUGUUUUCCUUGAUCUUGCCUUUUCUGAACUGGAUUGUGAUGUAAUUUGCUAAAUAUUUCAUGUAAAUUUAAAAGAAAAUAGGCCAUCUCAUGUAAAGACGUUAACACAAGUUAUAGUUGAUUUUUAAUGUUUUAUUCAAUAGUGCAAACACCACAGAAAUGGUUUUUUUCCCCCUUUAAUGUAGGCAAGGUCUUGACUAGUGGGUGAGUGUAAGAUAUUGGGCUACAGAAGUCUACUUUUAACCUGAGACAUCAUGUACUUCACAUCCAGUCUUUCAAGUCAUAACAUGUCUUCCAUCUCCAGUUCCCUUUUCACCGCAAUAAAAACCUCUAUUUAAUUUGCAAAUUCAGUGCAAUUACAACCUAACAGCUAUGGGUGCGGUAUAUAAGAUAGCAUGGGAAGGAGUCUAACUGAUGGCACACACUGUCUGCAAGGGAAAACCUGGCUAUUGGCAAAUGGACAUUUAAAAAUAAGAAGGUGAUAUUUUAAAUAAAAUUCUUGUUGAUUCUCAUUUAUAAACAGGAAAAUUUUCUUAAAACACUUAACGAUUUAUCAUGUCAAAGAUAAAAUACAGUGGGACCUCGGUUUACGAAUUUAAUGCGUUCCCCAGGAUGUUUCUUAUUGCGAAACAUUUGUAAACCAAAACGCAGUUUCCCAUAGGAAUGCAUUGAAAACCAAUUAAUCCGUCCUUGGGGUCAGAAAAAAAGUCAAAAUGAGCUGGCAUGGAAACCAACCCACAAUGAAGAACACACAAUAAAAGGCAAGCAAACGACGAAGCUCAGCUCCCUACCUUUCCACAGCUUGAGAAAUGCACCAAAAAGUCCCAAAACAACGGCAAACAAUUUCCAGAAUGGCUCCAAAACUCGAUGCAAAAGCCGCUCCAACACCUUCACCCUCUAUGCCACGUGCUACUCGCAGGCUCCAGCAUGCAGGGGGCGGUGCUAUAAACCUCCUAGGUGCAAUACACCCUGGAGAAACUUGCUUUGUAUUGUGAAAAAAGUUUGCAAACCGAGGCAUUAUUUUCAAUGGAGUUUCAUUUGUAAACUGAAAAUUAUGCUAACCAAGGCGUUUGUCGACCAAGGUCCCACUGUAGUUUAAAUAAAAAUUUUAAAUAUAUAACACUGACACAUUGCUGCAUUAUUAAUCUUUAAAGAAAAUGAACUCCUUGUGAUAGCACAAAGCUCCUCCAGUAAGUUAAGAACAGACCAUGCAGUCAAUGAGCUAGCCAAUGAUGCACUCAGCCAAUGAGCUGGCCAAUUACGCACUCAGCCAAUGAGCUGGCCAAUUACGCACCUAGCCAAUGAGCUGGCCAAUGAUGCACUCAGCCAAUGAGCUGGCCAAUGACGCACUCAGCCAAUGAGCUGGCCAAUGAUGCACUCAGCCAAUGAGCCGGCUCUGAAAUACAGAGCUCAGCUCAAGUUCCUUGAAUGAUCCCAGCUCCAGAGCAGGCGCGGGCACCCUGCAGACCUCAGGUAAGUUGUCAAAAUGUUCUUAAAUAGUUUGUCUACUAACUUUGUCAUGGCGCCUGGGCACGCUUGGUACCACUACACUGGUGCAAAGUAGUUAUGGUGCUUGGAAUAUUACUUUAGUCUUGAUAAGCCGUUACUAAACUUUCACUGGCUUUUGAAUUAUAUCACAGCUUUAAGCUUAUAGGCAACCAAGUGAAUUGAUGUUCUUAAUAGGUGACAAGUGUAUAAUUAGCCUAUUAAGUUUUAAUAUGGGGGUGUGUUUUUUUUCGGUAGUUCUGAACAGACAUUUUAGGUAUCGCAUAGAGUAUUUGUUAUCUUGUAGUUACAGUGCUUAUUGGUAUAAAUUGUGGUGGUAUACCCUUGCGAAAAUUGGUUACUACCGGCUAGGUUGUCCCUCCUCUGCAAAGUACCGGUGUCUAACCCAAACAUUGAAUGGUGAAAAAGAACUGUUUUAUUGGCUCACAGUACACAAAUUUACACACAGACACUCAGCAUGGGUUCUCCAUUCAGAAUAACACAAGCCCACCCAGGCGCAUCUGUGUCUGGGAGAUAAAAGAGUCAGCUCUCGGUUAAACUAAUUAUCUCCCGGACACAGAAAGCUGAAUACUUAAAACCCCUGAAAACACAAGAUAAUAUAAUAUAUUGAAGCACCCCCUCAUGACAUACAUCCCUGGAAAGAUCUCUAUGGAGCGCCCAUUUUGUCCAAAAAGAUCCGGCCAGGGUUCCAGAGUGCUGGGUAGAAAUCCCCAGUCACCUAAACACACAGCACUGUCUGUGGGUACAUGGAGCUACCCAAGUCCUUGGUGUCAUUUGAUGCCUCACCACCUCCUCUGUUAACCCUCUUAAAAGCACCAUGUUUGCUGGUCCAGGGACUGAGAGUUCCAGAAGGGUUCAGAGUUACUCCCGGUCAGGCGCACCGUGUCUCAGUGGUUCUCUGGCCGGUAAAGGGUGAUUCUGGGACUGCGAUUAAGUACGGUUGGGUCGGGAGACACGGAAUGGAGGGUCAGCCCAUAGUGAUAAUAGUCUUUUUAGAGAGGGUGAGAGUUGGAGAUACAUGUACCUGGAUUUGGUGACCACAGGGUCCGUCACAUAAAUAAUUAACGAGGAAUUCUAAGCUAGCUUUGUAAAUGUACCUCAAAUUUAGCUAACAGCUCAAACAAUAGUUAAAGGGUUAUUCCAAGAACCAUGACUACUUCAGUAACUUGAAGUGGGCAUGGUGAUUGGUGUCUGAAUGUGCAGUCUUUCGGGUUGAAACGCUGUACACACAGAGUUCAAACCCUUUGCUGUUGGAGGAGUAACUUCACCAUUAUGAAAGCUUCAGCCUUUUCUCAAUUCUGUGCAUAUUUGACGUGUCCUCAGCACACAAAGCAUGUUGGCAACAGACACAGUCCUCCAUUAAUUUUUAGCUUUAUUUCCUGUUUCUUUUUUUUUUUUUUACGUUUUUCUAAAGUGAGGGACCAUUCCAGAAAGGGUUAAAACAAACAUAAACAGUGCUUUAUUAAUAUACUGUUCUGUGUUGGAUUAACCCUUUAAACACUGGUCUUUAUUACGUUUAUUAAAAAAUAAACGUAAUAAAAUGAAAAGAAGUUAUAAAAUUUAUUUUUUAGCAGAGGAAGCAGGCACAGAUCACAAGAUAAGACUUCCCAAAGAUAACACAGAACGCAGUUACAUUUAAGUAAUUCUUGUUCACUUAUUUGUUAAUGUCUUUUGCACACGGAUACUUUAAUUGUGCAUGACUGUUAAACAAAAAAAAAAUAUAUUAUUAUUAUUAUUAUUUAUAUAACGCCAGCAAAUUCCGUAGCGCUAUACAAUGGGUUAUAUAUCUGUUGAUUUCUAAAUCUGUGGAUUAGAAGUUCCAGACUGACUGCAAAUGUGUGUUUGAAGUUUUACUUGAGAUGUUUCUAUCCAAAUACCAACAUUAUCUAAUCUUUUUUUGUAGUGGUGAACUAUAAAGACUCAAGCCAGCGUGACUUCACCACCGGGUAAUCAAAAAUAACAACAAUGAGCUGUUAUGUGGUUCAGCCAGUCUGAUAAGAAUCUCUGUUGUGUCCGGCAGUUAUUUCCAGUUUAGAUUUCUACCGGUGCAAUGUCAAAAAUAAUAAAGACUUCACAAAACUCUCUGGUUCUUGUACGCUGACAGAUUCCAAUCACAUCCCUCUCUUAAUUCUGUUCACCUCUUCACUGAAUGGGACUAAUACUGAUGAGUGAUAACAUUAUUGUUAAUAUUGUGAUUAUUGUUUCAUGUGAAUGUGUCACUGGCUGAAUGCUUUCAAGGUCACUUGAGAAAAGAUCAAGGUGAAUAGGACACAGAUGAGACUAUUAUAUUUUAUAUUGACCUAUUUAAAGAAAAAAUUACUUUUAACACGGAGAGAGAGCACUGACAAGAAAACCUUGCAUUGGACAAACAUCUUUUUUAUUAACAUGUAACGUUUUACUAAUAACACAAAAAAGAUGUUGAUUACUUUGACCUUCUAUAUUGAGAAGUCCUUGAACUAUAUGUCAGUAGUUAGACGGCUCAACAGCAAAGAACACCAACAUGGAAUGGAAUGUUUUUGAUGCACACUGCGCUUGUGAGAUGCAUUUAGUAUAGGGUGCACCAUCAUUCCUCCCAACUGACCCAAAUCCAGAAGAAAACAUUUAAUUGUGGGUCACAUUUAAAGCACAAUGGUGCCAGUCUGAUACAGCGCCACAGGCCCAACCAGGCCAACCUCCCCCACCAGAAUCAGAGAGCUGCUGCAUAGUACUCUAAAUUUCAAUUAUUUAAAUAGCACCAACACAUUCUGCGGCGCUGUCCAAUAGUAAACAAUCCCAACAGUUAAUUCUAACAAAACAAGAAUGACAUAUGGGAACAGUAGGUAAAGAUGGCGCUGCCCAAACAUGUACGCAAUCAAAACAGUCUCUCUGCAGUAUUGCUGCUGCCUGCAAAUAGUCCCUUUUUAGGAAACAAUGUUUUGUGUAAGUGUUGUGUGUGUGUGGAUGGAGGCUGGGGCAGGAUGUUACAUCAUAACCCCGCUCCAGCAUACACUGAGAGAGAACCACGUGGAACGGCAGCAUUAUCUGCUAUGAGGAGGGUGAGAGAGAAGCUGCAUCCCAGCUAGCCACACUAAGCAGGACAAUAAAAAUGGAGGAAGGGGAUGGGACAGAAAAUGAUAUACCUAGGGGUUGAAAUAAAAGAAGGCUGGAAUAGAAGGAGAGAGAAAAGUAGAAAAGUUAGGACUAGGAUAAAGAAAAGUGGUGACUAGGAUGGAGAAAAGUGGUGACUAAGACAGAGGGAGAGAGAAAAGUGGACUACUUAAUUUUUUCAUUCAUAAAUGACUGGUCCACAGGCGCCUCGUGACAUUGCUAUGCCCUUGAGCCAAAAUAUACAUUUCUCAACAGUGGUGCUGCUGUACAGACCGAAAUGUGUACAAAAUACACAUUAAGGGAAAAGCACACAAAGAAAAAUACAGUUUUAAAUCUUACAAGGCUUUUUACAAUGACCUCUCUUAGCAAAUAAAAAUGGGGGUUUAGUCACACCGCAUGGCCGUACCAUGUGUAAGGCCUCCACUGCUUCAAUAUACCCAAUACUAGUAAGUCCUACUAGUGUGUCUUACUUAUCUUCUCUGCUUCACUCCUUACAGAAGCAGGGAAGACCACAGACACUGUCUGACCCAAAGUGCACGGAUACGACUGAAAGAAAUGAGUUUCUCAUUUGUUCACAUAUACUUAAUUUAAAAAGAAAUCUAUUUCCUCUCAAUACUCGAUGAAAGUAUUAUGGCAUUAAAAAAUAUUUUUUAAGGUGACAGUUGUCCUUUAACAUGGGAGAUAAACGUGCUUACAAAAACACAAAUUGCUUAAAGAGACUGCUCAAUAUUAUGAUUUUCCUCUGGUCACUCCUAAAGGCAGUGUAAAUGUGGUGUGCUCAUACCUUUGGGUAAAUCACCAUGUCCCUCACUAAAAGUGACUACAGAAAAGCUUACAUUUGAUUAGAGACUCUGUAAGCGUUUAAGCAGAAAGUUUAGCAGAUAGCAUGGUUACUACACAUGUUAACAUGAAUGUAAGACUCGCCAUUAAUUGGGGUUACUUUGAAGCAGAGGUAAGCCUAAACAUGCUAUAUAUUGGGGAAACCAAAUCCUGAAAUGUAUUUGCUAAGAUAGCUGAAUUAAGGAAACAGGAGACUGUCCUGGAGAGCUGUUGAGGGCAAACAUUGUGCCUAUCCCAAAAGCAGACAAAGACCUAGUAAAUAUAGGUAAUUAUAGGCCCAUAACAUGAAUUAAUACAGAUAUUAAAAUACUAUCUUCCAUUAUAGUUGAUAGAUUAAAAACAGUAAUACCACAACUUAAUAAUGAUCAAGUCGUAUUUAUACCAUGGAGGUCCUCAGUUAACAACCUUAGAAAAAUAAUAAACAUAAUGGAGGAAGCAGAGAGCAGUGGAACCCCUUUAAUACUUCUGUCAAUAGAUGCAGAGAAAGCGUUUGACAGGGUUGGAUGGGGUUUCAUGUUCGCCCCUUUAAACUGCUUUGAAAUUACUGGAUCAAUCCUACAAGCCGUGUCUGCUUUCUACAGCUCUCCAUCAGCCAAGAUAACAGGGUCAGGUUUAACAUCACAAAAUUUUAAUAUAAAAAAAUGGGACCAAAUCUCAGAUCUGCCUUUCCUUAGCUCAACUCCAAACCAAACUCACCCAGUACAAAAUAUACGAAAGAAUGGCGAUACUAUCUCCACAAAAAAACCUUGAAUUUGAUAUGAGCUGGAGGGACUGGGAGGGAGAGGUGGACGAGACAAAAAGGUCAGACAUGAAUAACUAAUGUACCAUCAACAAAUGGACAAGCAUAAGAAACCACCCCCAUUGCGAGUAUACCGACGACCCAAACUCAGACACCGGCAAAACCCAUAAGCAAAAUUGAUACCGCCAGAGGUAAAAAAAAAUAAUAAAUCCAAUAAAGAGGUAGCCAAAGUAUCCACACUUUGUGUGGAUAAUAAUAUAAUAUCGGGCAAUAAUAUCAGGCUGUUUCAAAUCUUCAGUAAUAAAGCCACCAUUUCUUAUCAACCUAAACUGAGAUGCUCGACAGUGUGCUAAAGUGGACUCAGUAAACUGAUGCAGUAUUUCAAAUCAGGAAUAUUGCAACAAUAUAUAUCUGAAAUGGAAACUUUGUGCAGCAUCCCAACAAAGAAAUAAAUGAAUGUUACAAUCAGUUACGAAUAUAUCAGAAACACAUUUAUAUGGGGAAAUAGACACCGGUAAUUAUGACAGAGAGGUUAUGCUCACUGUAUACAAAACAGAGCUAGUAACCAUCUAGAUAAACAACAUAAGAAAUGGAUAAAAAAUAUAUAUGCAUAUAAAGUGUACCUGACCUCGGUGUGGGCCCCCACAAGAGGUAAAAAAAAUUAUAAAUCCAAUAAAGAGGUAACCAAAGUAUUCACACGCCACUUGAAUGAACUGGUAAUGGAAGGCAGCAAUACGGAUAAAUACAAACAGGUGAACCUAUCCUGAGUAAACCUACGCCCUGAUACCGCAGUCGGGAUCUUCAAAAAAGACUGCAGUAUAGCCUCGAUGAUGGAAGCCCAGGGAUGUAGAGAGAUAUAUAUGCAGAUGAAAGUUGCCCGUAAUAGAUAUCCCUCGUCAAAAUAUCGUGGUCAGCAAUCAGUAGGGAGACUUUAGGCACCAAAGAGUCAGAUGGAAUGAAGAUAAAAAACAGCCGAUAAAAGUGUGUACGUUAGUCAACGCAUUUCGUCCCCCAUAAAAUAAAUCUGGAAAAAUCAACAUUUAUAGCUAAAAAUAUGAAUAAAAGGACUAUUAAACUGCUUGUACAGAACACGGGGCUACCCAAAAACAGCGACAGACUAAAAUAUCUGGGUAUCAACAUAACUUCAGAAUCAAAAGAUUUAAUAGAACUUAACUUUCUACCCCUACUAAAGCAAACUAACAGAAAUUUAAGGUAUUGGAAAGGCAUGGGUUUCUCAUGUUCGGGUAGGAUUAACAUCUUAAAAGCAUUUAUCCUGCAAAAAUGGUUGUACCUUUGCAGAAUGAUUCCAAUUAAUUUCCCAGAAAACUGGCUGUCUCUGUUACACUCUCAUUUUGUUAAAUUUAUUUGGGGGGCAGGAAACCAAGAGUCAAAAUGAAAGUAUUGGCCAGAUCAAGACAGGAUGGAGGCUUGGGGUUCCCAGAAGUUUUAAAAUGUUAUCAGGACAGCAGACUAUUUCAUAUAAUGCUCACACAAAGCAAGGCGGCUACUCAAGAAAUAUGGUAUAAAAUGGAAAAAGCUAAAACUGUUAAAACUGCUAAAAAAUUAUUAGAGAGGCACAAAGCAAAUCUCAGAUACUUAAAGAGCUAACGAGAUGGUGGGAUACACAUACAAACAAGAAAGGCUUUAGAAACAAAAUAAUUGAUACGCUCCUUUUCGCAAGUAUCUCAGAUAUGUUAGAAAAUAUAAAAACAGACUUAUGGAUGCUAAAAGGGGUAAAGGAAUUUAAAGACAUAAUGGAGGAAUACAACAUUAAACCUUUCAACCAAAUUAUGAAGGACUUUAACAUUCCCCCCAGUGAAAUGUUCAACUAUCUGCGUAUUAAAAGCUUUCUAGUAACACCUCUUUAAGAAUAAGGAGGAGGAUACCAUAACUCUUAUACAAUUAUUUGAAUUAAAGAACUAUAAAAACCUAAUGGCAAAAUGUGCUAAAGUUGUAUAUAGAUGGAGACAUGACAAACCAAUAGCAUUGAUUAAUAAAUGGGUAAAAGAACUACAUGUACCUGUAGAACAAGAACAAUGGAUAAAAUCCCUAAAUAAGUUGAAUAAAAAUAUACACUGCCUAAAUCUUUUAGAAACCCAGUUUAAACUAUCAAAUAGAUGGUAUUUAACACCCAAACACCUAAAGAACUCCCAGACAGAUGCUGGAAAUGCAAUACUGCUGAAGGUAAUAUGACCCAUAGUUGGUGGCAGUGCACACCCAUAAAUACAUUUUGGAAAUAAGUAAACAAGAUAAUAUAUCAAAUAACGGAAAUAAAACUACCCUGUAAGCCUGAAGUGGUUUUACUAAACUUGCACUGUCCAGAAAUGACAAAAAACCAUUAAUGGUGUCAUUACAUUUAAUUAUGGCAGCCUAAUUACUUCUUGCAAGAAAUUGGAAAACAGAGACAAUUCCAAAUAUCAACGAAUGAAUAAAACAAGUAACAUGGCAAGCAAGAAUGGAAAGAGGUAUACUAGUAAACUUGGGAAACAGAUAUAAACAAAUAGAGGACUGGGAUACAUGGAUAAAUAGACUGGAUGAUUUGCUAGGCCUUCGGUGUUCCACAUAGUGACCUGACUCUUCUCGUUUAGAUUCUUCCUUCCUGACUUUGCCCUCUACCAAGGAGCCACAAAAGAUCAGAGGAAGGGAGAGGAGGUGAAGGGAAAAAAAAAAGAAAGAAAGGGGUAAUACAACCCUGAACCAGGCAGACAGACAAAUAGAAUAUCAAAACAUAGAAACCAUACAAGAGGCUCUCGUACUCUCCAGGAUUAAAUGUGCAGGGUACAGGCAAGAAACCUACAUUAAGGAAUAGAUAGAACUAGGGGGGGACCCAGGUGGAAGGGAUGGGUAGAUUAACAAUCCAGCAAUAUAUUGAUGAUGACAUUGCACCAAAGCCCACUUCACACAAGUAAUACAAAGCGUAUGCAGGACUGGUACAAGUCUGAAAUAAAAAUAAAAAAUAAAAAAUGUAAAAAAAGAUAGCUGAAUUAAAACUGUUUUAUUUUUACAGCAUGAAGGUGACUCAAGCCAUAUAUUAUUUUAAGUCACCAACCAUCAAAUAUGUUUCAUCUUAUAUUUGAGCUGAUAGUGGUGUGUUUGAAAUCACUGUUUGAUGGGACGUAGCUUUAUAGAGGAAAUGUCACUUGUAGGGUCUUUGCAUUUUUCCAAAAAUCACUCAAAGGUGAAAUGUCAACUUCUCUAGCUGCAACACUGAGGAAAGAGCAAAGGUUUAUAAACCUCUCUCUCCUUUGUGCCACCAAAAGCCAGAGGAAAAAUGGAUAGCUAAUGGAAUGGAAGGAAUACUAUAUACUUUGUAGAUCAGGAGUAGGCUACCUUUGGCAAUCCAGGUGUUGUGGACUACAACUCCCCUGAUGCAUUAUGGGAGAUGUAGUCCACAACAUAUUCAGUGCUGAAGGGUGCCUACCCCUGCGAGAUAGAAUAUGUUGCAGGCAAGGUAGUAAGAAUAUUAGCCAGUAGCCAUUGCUCUAUGCCUGAUGGCAAAUGGAAAGAUAUGGCAGUGAAGAGGCUUGCAGCACCAAAUUUUGCCAAACAUUGUCUCUUUCUUGUAAUGAUUUUUCCCGUAUUGUCUUAUCUUGGGUAUUUCAAUGCAAUCAGAUUCAAAACAUUAAAGUGGCAGAGAAAAAAAAACAGAAAUAGAAAAAUAAACAAAUAUUUUUACAACUUUAAUAAACUUGAGGCCAGGCAAAUACAUGUGUGUAGAGUUUUACUAACAAAGCUUGGCUCUUCAGCUAAGAUUUAACACACAAGAUUCCAACAAUUGUUUUCUGAGUGCUAGUAGUCUGAUCUAGACUGUGCUUCCAAGGCUAAACAAAAAGAAAAAGGGCGAGGGAGAGAUACUGCAGCCUGUGCCUCUUUAUCAAGCUUCUUAAAUAAAAAUUGUUUCCAUCGGUUGCGCUGCUUCACCAGAUGUUGGCUGUUAAAUUCUGCAGACGCUACAGUUCAUGACUCCUCAACGAACGGCUGCAUGCCACAUCUGUAGCUGAUGAAACAGAGUGUAGAAGUGUGGCAGACAACGAGGGGAAAGAAAGUGUGAGCGAGGGAUAGACAGAGACGCAGCUUGGGCCAAGUGAAUUGUCUUCAGUCCUUGACUAAAAAUAGACACAGGCACACACUUAAGCAGGCUCUGCUCUCUCUCCAGCACUUAAAAAAGCCUUAUUGUCUAUCCUAUUACAGAGUCAGCCUAUCAUAGAAAUUUCCUGAAAGCAGCUUCAGCUGUGGAGAAAAUGAGCACAUCCAGGAAAGAGAGAGAGUUCACACAGAGGCAGCAAACUGUGACCGCGUUCUAUAAGAAAGAGAAAAAAAAAUCUUCCCUCUUAGAUCCUUGUUAACUUGGCCCAACUCCAGAAUCAUCUGGGCCCAGGAGAAAGGCAAUCCUAAGACUGCACAGACCUGGCAUGAUAGUAAGAGAUUUACAUAUGCAAAACUGUGAAGCAACAGGCGAUCCCCUCCUCAAUUGACCCACACCUUGUAGCGGCUGCUGAGUAAUUCCCGGUUUGGGCACCGCAACCAAGUGGGCGUCAUGUGAUUACCAUCUGGGUACCACUUUGUUAUAGCUGGCAGCCUUCCUGUUACAGGCAAGCUGGCAAAGAGGAGAGAAUAAAUUGCAUCAUUUAGUUCCCAUCCAAUCACUUUACGGCUGUUAAAAAGCCAUGACAGAAUAAUAAUUUGGUUAUUGCUUUUGCCAGAUGGAAAAUAUGCCAGAUUUAUUUGGUGUUCAAUGGGGGGGGGGGCGGGGGUGGGAGCAAACAAAGUUUUGAUAUUUUUUUUUAUAAUUAAAGAAAUUCCUAAAUUUAAAGAGGCAAUGUCACUUGUAAGUUCUUCUUAAAGAUACAAUCAUUAUUAUUAUUAUUAUUUUGUUAUUUAUAUAGCGCCAUCCUAUUCCAUAGCGCUGUAUAAUGGGUGGACUAACAGAUAUGUAAAUGUAACCAGACAAUUGGACAUACAGGAACAGAGAAGGGGAGGGCCCUGCUCAAUGAUCUUACAUUCUAGAGGGAGUGGGGUAUAGUGACACAAAGGGUAAAAGUAGGGGUAUGAAGUAGGUUGUUAGAAAAGUUUUCACUGAGGGCUUAGUAGGUAAUUUAGACAGUUGCAGGAGAGGGGUCAUGGGGUGUGGGAAAUAAAAACCUGCUAACAGUUUAAUUGAUGUGCUUUCUUGAAGAAGUGAGUUUUCAAUGAUUUUUUGAAUGAGUGGAGACUGGUUGAAAGUCUUACGGAGAAGGGAAGGGAGUUCCACAGAGGAGGUGCAGCCCUGGAGAAGGUCUUUGGCAGAGCGUAGGGGCCUCAACGGGACAUACUUGUGUAUUAUGAAAUGAUUAUAUACUAUUUUGAAUUUCCCUGAAAUUCUAUCGGAAUCAAAAGAUGACACACUGUCCUAUUAUCGUAACUAUGGAAAAAGGCAGAGCCUUAACGAGGUUCUGCUUGGUGUACUUUGCCAUUUCCCAUCAACCAGCACUUGUCAUGACUAAUGAGAAAAGGCAUCUUCAUGCACAAUCUACGCAAUUCUAAUCUUGUUUCAUUUUAAAUUGAAAUACUUAACUGGCUAAUUUUUCUAGGUGUUCUUGAUUUUAACCAAGGGGCAUAGUAUAAACUAUAGGUGAUUCUAGGUUCCAAAAACAUCAGGGGCUUGAACCCCCCCAAAAAGGUUGAUGAUUUCUACAGAGAGGUGGAGAUAUGUCAUGACAUGGCCCUGCCUUUCUAUGUUGUGUGCCCUUAUUUUUACCCAUGAAGAGCAUGCAGGUUGGGCUCUACAGGAUCCAAUGAAUGCACAGCCAGGUAUUCGAUGUGAUCCCACCAUACUACCUAGCUAAUAGAGGGGAUGCAGCAAAAUUCUCUUCCUGAGCAGCUGCUCCCAACAGUCCUCUGGGGGGCUCAACCACCUCUUCACAAGUAUUCUGGGUAAGCACUAUACUUCUAUCCAUUGUUUCAAUAAUAGAACUUAGAAAUGACAAAAAGCACUAAUAUCCCCUAAUCCCAGUUCACCAACUGUAGAGAUCACAACCAGAGCUUCAGCACUGAAAGCCCCACUCAGGAAUGCCUAUGGUAUAAAUUUGUAGCAACAUUUUUAGCCACUUGCCUUUAGUGAACAGCUAGCUAUUUAAAUGAAAGAUUCUAAGAGGUAAAUUAAUUGGUAUGUGGCCAAAGCAGUGAAAGGUAAAAAAUUACUGAUACAUGUAUUUCUCCUAAAAAUUAUUUGCUUGGAAGACCGACGGUUAAAUAAAAAUGCGUGACUUCACAGCUCCAGAAGAAACGGUUUUCCAGCGUAAUGCCUUUAAACUCAAACCGAAAUUUGAUAUGUCUGUGGUAGUUGUUGUACUUGUUCUCUUUAACAUUGUUUCAACGUACUGUAACUAGCGUGUUAAAUAUAAAAUUUGCAUGUUUAAUUCUUCCAUGCGAAUAUGGCCUCAAAGGCAAAACAUAAAGAUGUGGACCUAUAAUCCCUUCACACUCCAGCCUCAUAAUCCCCUAAUGAGACCUGCCUUCAAAAUCCCAAUCAAUCACAUUAUCCUAGCUCCAAAGAACCCACAUAUGAUGGUCCUUAAACCCCAUCUCUAAUAACCUGAUCCCUCAUAAUCCUUUUUUUCCUAUCACCUCGAGACUCAUAGCCACCUACCCCCUUCAUAAAAAUUUCCCUCAUCCACCAAACCCAAUUAUUAUUAUUUUAUUAUUUAUAUAGCACCAGCACAUUCCGUAGAGCUGUACAAUGGGUGGACUAACAGACACGUAAUUGUAACCAGACAAGUGGACAGGAACAGAGGGGUUGAGGGCUCUGCUCAAUAAGCAGAAAGAAAGUGCCCUCAAACCUGCAUUCCCUGAUCAUAUUAGCUCUAGCCCCAUAGUGCUCUAAUCCAAAUAGUUUAAUUGCAGGGGGAGCCUGAGCAUAGUCUGGGCCCCAAGGAAAAAUUAGAACAUGGCCACACUUAAGUUCACCCUGAUUUUAAUUUAGUAUUGCAUUGAGAAAAAAACACAAAUAAUCUAAAAGUAAAACAUAUUUAUUUAGUGUGUGAAAGGAGUGGAGUAUUUCUGUGCAACAUAACCAUGUAAAUGCGAAGAUAUCUUUCCAUGGCAUCUCAACGUGUGAAUGUGGUAUUUAUAUAGAGCGUCAGCGUUUACACGCGGGGCGUUUUUCUGUAGCAUGUGUUCGUGUGACUGUGAGGUCUAUGUAUGUGAAAUGCCAGCAUGUGUGAGGGAUGUACUUUUGUGUAACAUCAGUGUGCGUCCAUGCAAUUUGAGUGUAGUGUAUGAAGGCAGAUGGCAUUUUCAACGGAUUUUGAAUAAAUGUGAUGGUGUUUUUUUUUAAUCUUCCCUUUAUACUCCCGAUUUCCAUUAGUAUCUCUUUCUAAUUUCCCCUUCUCUUUCUCCUCAAGCUCCUCGCCUGCCCUGUACCCACAAAGAUUAAAGAGGCUGCAUCUUGGCCCCGCUACCUAGUAAAGGGGUUGUGGUGCAUAUACCAACCCUAGUAGGCUGGUUGGGAAGCUCCUCCAACUCCACAGCUGAACUGCCAAGACCAAAAUUUAUUUAUUUUUCUGCAUGUGUUUCUUUUCACUGGUGUGGCCGAUUAAAUAUGCACACUUUUAAAUACCAAUUUAGCCAAUUUAGCUGUUAAUUUGUGUUCUGAUCAACCUGAAAUGUGGCUUUAAACAUCAAUGGAUUGACGGAGAACCUUGGUCAAUGUAGUUUAUAAACAUCUGCUGUGCCAUGAUCAUUGGCAACUGGUUUUGUAGCUCCUUCUGUAUGCUGGUUUAAUUUUUUACUGCACUGAAAUAUUUUAAAGACCGCGGCUAAGAAGAGGUUUAAGAGGCUUGUCAAGUCUCUCUCACACUAUGUAAUUAGUUCCUUGCAGGCGCUUAUUAAGGCAGAUUAGGAUAACUGUCAUUUAUGGACUCUGCUGUUGAAGUCAGCAGAUCCUGCAAGUCUUUAUUUCUUAAUGGGGUACAGCCAAUCUGAUUAUAUAUUCAGGAAGACUUGCAUGCACUUUAUGGAAGAUGUAUUCUUUUUUCAAUAAGAAUAAACUCCCUGCUAUGUGGUUGUAACGUAAUAGUAGUCAUCAAUUGAUCAUUGAUGGCCAGAGUUCUCUGCAAAGUCUUCUUUAUCAUUCUGCUGUUCUCCCUCUAUAUUUAACUUCAACAAAGCUCUCCUCAGUUGGUGGACAAUGUAAGGGAAAUUUUACCCUACUUAACAUUCUACUACUGAGAAAAGAUCACAGAUGCAUUUCUGAUAUGGUAUGGAAAAAAAGGUAUGUGUUAUUUCUUGCACAAAAUCUCAAAUGCAACUUUUACACCAUGCAUGCAAUUUGCUAUAAGCAGGAAGUCGACCUGCAUGUUAGAAGACAAAAGACAAAGACAGCACCCUCUUUAGAUCAAGACUAUAAGCUUGCCUUCUCUAAAUUUUUUGUAUGUUAAUUACUUGUUACUAUAUUAUUAUUAUUAUUGGUAUUCAUAUAGCGCCAACUUAUUCCGCAGUUCUUUACAAUAUUACAAAAGUGGGGAAAUUUAACACUAAAUGAGACAAAACAAAAUGAUACAUGAUCAAAAAGUAGAUGAUGACCCUGCUCAAACAAGCUUACAGUCUAGAGCAGGGGGUAGUCAACCUGAUCCCAACCGGUUUGGGAUUUCAGGUGGGCGGUGGUAGGUUCUGCAGAAAAGGCCCGUGGGCCUCGAUAGCCGUGGACCAAGGCCAUCAGAGGAGGUCCUUUGAUCUCCCUUGCCAGCCCAUGCAGAGACAGGCUUGCUGUAAGCCUUUUCAGGCUGGUGAGGAGAUCAAAGAUCUCCCUCACCGGCCCGAGGACACUUAGUUCCAGCAGAGGGAGGGAAGUGCCUGGGAGGAUCUGUGUUCCUCCCGCGAGCAGGCUGGUCGGAGGGUUGCCACAUGUAACCAUGGCAAUGCUCCGAUACAGUGCUGUGCUUGCAGGAGGACCUGCAGCUGGAGAAGCUACAGGCUGAAGUGAACAUGCCACCACUGGACCACUAGGGCUUGCAACUUUAUGUUCCCCUUCCCUGGUAAAAAGAAGGGAGGGGAAGACAUUAAAAUAGAUUUUCACAUCUCACCCACCUACACACAGCAUAGACUCUAUGCACCCUUCACAACCAAACACACACUACACCCCUCACACACACACUGCCCCCUAAAACACACAUAGACUGGCCCCUUCACACACUGCCCCCCCCUCAGAUGCACGGCCCCCUCACACAAACACACGCACUGCCCCCUCACACAUGCACUGCCUCCUCACACAUACACACAUGCACCGUCCCCCUCACGCACACACACACUGCCUUCUCACACACACUGCCUCCCUCACAGACACACGCACUUCUCCCCUCACACACACACAUACACGCAUACACGCACUGCCCCCUCACACACACUGACCCAUCGCACACGCAUUACUCCCUUGCACACACACUGUACCCAUCACACAUGCACAUGCACCCCUCGCACACACACUGCACCCCUCACACAUAGAAAAAAGUAGCCUUCCAACUGAAGUGGUAGAGGUUAACACAGUGAAGGAGUUUAAGUAUGCAUGGGAUAGACAUAAGGCUAUCCUAACAAUAAGAUAAGGCCAGGGCAGACUAGAUGGGCCGAAUGGUUCUUAUCUGCCGUCACAUUCUAUGUUUCUAUAAAUGCUAAUAAUAAUAAAUAAUCAAGAAAGCAUUCUGAAUCUAGGACAUUUCUUGCAAAUAUUGAAGACUGAUUAAAAUUCUUUCAAAAUCAGAUUUUUAAAUGCAACUCCUAAUUACAGAAAAAGUGAUAUAACUGGGUGGAUUGUACGGCUGAAGGUAAAAUUAGAGCAAUGAAAGAAAAACAGCUGCAAAUCGAGACAGAAUGAUGCCUUCAAUAAAUGUGGAAGUAGAAAAUGAAAUGACAGUAUCAAAUGACAGUGAUUAUUGUAGCCUCACAAGAUUCCAGAAUGUCAUUAUUGACUGCUAUGUAGAAGAAAUUCUCUAAACAUCUGCAUCCAGAAAAUAAAGUCAUGAUGACCAUGAUAUAACAGGUGACCCCAAGUUGCAAGAUAAAACUUCUUCGUACCGCGGUACAUUGAAUUAAAGCGGCAUUGUCAAACCGAACUUACCUUUCUCCUAUUGUUUCCUCUUCCUCUCUCAGAAUCUGUUCUUCUUUUCUUUAUUUCUGAUCUAGUUUUAAAACAUAUGACAUAGCAGGGACUUCUUUGUCUUAUGUAUUUUCCCUAAGCUUGACUUUCUUUGUGUCAUGAUCAUCAGGGGAACCUAAGCAUGCAGAUGGGACACAAUACAUAGAAUUCCAAUACCGGUCCUUAGAAUGGCCGGGCAGUGCAAAAAGGGAUAGUCAAAGUACAAGCCAAGGUCAAAGGGAAACAGAGUAAACGUAAGACAAGCCAAAGUACAGUAACUGAAUAAGCAGACAGAGUUUAACGUGCUAGCGAGCUAAACACAGACCACAAAAGGGCACUGAGGCAAGGGGGAGGUUAGCUUAUAAACACACAGGGUGUGUCUGUUUAUCUAACCUCCAAUUAGUGCUAACCAAAACACGUGGGAGGAGUUUCCGUGUGCCGGGUCACUGUGUGCCGGGUCACGUGGAACGUGCAGCGUCAGACACACUGCCAGUCUGGAGCGCGGUGGCGGGGACAGCCGCACACCGCAGACAGGGACCAGAAGGUGCCACUCGUGGUGACUGGGUAAGCAAGGUUCCCGCAAGCGGUGCGGGGGCAGGGGACCUGACACUUUGACCAAAGGAGUUAGAGAAAGUCUUCCCACAAUACUCACUCUCCUCCUUGACACAGGAAAUUGAACUGACUUAAGCUCCUCCUUGGGUCAAAGAUGGUCAAGCUUAGGAAAAAUACACAAGACAAAGUAGUCCCUAUUUUAUCUUAUGUUUUAAAGAAAACUAGAUCAGAAAUAAAGAAAAGAAGAACAGAUUCUGAGAGAAGAAAAAAUAGGAGAAAAGAAAGUUCAUCAUGACAGUGCUUUUUUAACACAUAGCUUCUAAGUCGUAUCCCUAAAAGAUAAAAUUAAUCAGAGCUGGUUAAUCAUGCACAGAACAGCCACUGCAUAAUUCCACUGACGUCCACAUACUGUACAACUUCAUUCCUACAGGUACAACAUAUCACACCGUCAGAAACGUGCUAAUAAAUAAGAUAUCACAGUCACUUGACAAGGACAUGGAAGAUCAGAAAAAUUCUUCUUGGGUCAGUAUCUUAAAUUUUUAUUAAUGCGUUAUUUUUCAACAUAAUGCAUGAAAUGGUAGAAAAAAGAUCCCGGUGUAUCUCUUUAGACCACAAGAAACAUCUUUCAAAAUAUGUAUAUUCAGCCUCAUCGAUAAGAAAAGCACAUACGAUUUCAAACCUUGUGUAUGAACGCCAUAGAACAGAACAUGGUUUUACUUUAGUAAGUUUACCAUUGCAAAGAAAACAUGCAUCUUAAGCAUAUUUUCAAGAAUCCAGACUGCAGAUUGGGAAGAUGCCAUAAACUAAACGAUGUACCUAGAAAUAUGAAUAAACCUGCCGUAAAUCAUCUUGCAGUGAUUCAUUUGAACAGUCAAAGUAAGUGAUCAUUUCUUGUAAAAAAAGAGAAAUAUCUUGCCUAGUUUUUAGCUUGGCGUUUUGUCUUACUUCUGCAGUUGUGUUUUAAAUAACUUGGACUUCAAGGAACUGGCAAUGCAGGAUAAAGGAUUUAUUAAAGAAAUUAUAAAAAAAAUAAUAAUUAAAUGGCAUGAAGCUUGCUACAAGCCACAAAACUUCAAAUCUCAAAAAAAAAUUUAAAAAAAAUUAAACUUAUUAAACAUGAAAACACAUUUUGAAAAGAUGGAAAAAGGCUCUAAUGUAAGCGACGGAAAUCCAAUACUCUCUUAAAACAGUUUGUUAAAAUUAACAUUAAAACAAAGUGGCUGAAACCUUACCAGUGUGUCUACAAAGUUGCAGAACACUUAAAAGGGCACUCUACGUACCAAAACCACUACAGCCUAAGGUAGUGGUUUUGGUGCCUAAAUGCUGUCUGCACAUGCUGACAAAUGUAAGUAAUGUAAUGUCAGAGAAUUGCAAAUUUUCACAUUUGUCAAUCAGUGUAAUUAUCGUGGCUGUCAAUAGCGUCUACUCAUUGAGGGAUGUCAGGGGAGGCAGAGCGGAGGGAAGAGGGGCGCGAAGAAGGGUGGAGACAGAGGGAGCUGUGGUGCCAGGAAUACAGCUUUAUAAUUAAGCUACUGUAACAACAAAAUAAAUUACAUAAAUACAUUCACUGGGCUAUAUUUGCAAAUGUAUGUUGUGAUCUUCAGGUAAACUGUUGCAUAUAUUCUCCAUGCAGAAACCUUCAAGGCAUUAAAGUACAAAACAGUGAUUUUUUUUUUUGGGGGGGGUUGCUAGUUUAAGAACAUACUACAUAUUUAUUAUUAUUAAAUAUGUGUUUAGUGGUAAGUUUACUUCGAUGCCCCUGUCACUAUGUGAAAAGAAUGCUGCAUAUAUUUAUUGCAGUUUUGUUGUAAGUCGCAUUUGAAAUGGAAUCAACUUUGCGUAGCCCUGAUAGGAAAAUGACAACGGUAUACACAAGAACAUUUUUACCUUUCUAUUUAAAUUACAAAAAGAUUAUGAUUCUACUCAGCCGAGACUCCUAUUAAAUUGAAACCCAUUGGAACGUCUUUAAAUACAUUCUAUCUUAUCCAAAGGAGCAGUGUGUUAUUUAUCACUAAUAUGUAAUGAUAAAAAUACUGACACAUUUCCCUGAUCAUACCAGUGAUUUGAUCUAGACAUGCAUCAUUGACUAAGGAUACCAUCAGAAUUAUCACAGUGCAUAAACCCCAGCUCAUUCACCUGCUUUUAGAACUGCGGAAAGCACAUUUGACCCUUAUGCAUUGUAGACCAAAUAUAAUCCAUAUCCUUCUUCUGCUUAACUAGUAUUCCUUAAUUAUGGCAUAAAUGGGUCUAUAUAAAUAUGUACACAUUUAUAUUUAUUUAGAGAUGUAAAUUAAGUUUCAGUAAGAUUGAAGACACCCUGAUUCUUACAAACAUAAAUUGCAUGCAUUAUAUGUUGUAGAUAUGUUUAAACAAGCCAAUAUUUUAAUGUGACAUAAUGGAGCAGUUUUCAACAAAUUAAAUUUAUUUAUUUUUUUUGUUCAUUUUCUUUUCUUUUUUAUUCAGUCAUUAGUACUUGAAAACAUUUAACAAAAUAAAUUACUAUUUAUAUUUGUCCAUUAUCUGGUUACAAAAUUACACCUGGUAGAAAAGUAAAUUGAUGUUAGAAAACGUACCUGGGACAGUACUUUGGAAUAGGUGAGCUACUUCGUUGUGCUGUGAUGAAUAAAGGGUCAAUGAGGGCAAAGCUAGAUUAGGGUUACCCCUUGGUGUCGAGGCUGAUUGUUGCAUGGGUGUGGUGGAAUGUUGUGUAUGUUAGUGGCUGAAUGUUAGUGGCUGAAUGUUAUGCAUGUGGAGUUUUGUAUGUGUGCAAGGGAGCCUGAGUGUGACUGAGUGUUGUGUGUGUAGUAUAGCAUGUGGAGCUGGGAAUGCUGCAAUAGUUGUGGAAACUCUUGUUCUUGGAGUUUUUGUGCCCUACUUGGACUACCAUAUAUAUAUAUGGCAACCUUACCAUCAGUCCAUCAAAGCGACAAACAGUUUGACAGAGAUGCAAAAGGUUCAAAUGAAUACAGAAAGUGUGGCUAACAUGCAUAUACACAUAGAUCCUUUUCUUAUACCACAGUAACAAUUAUAUUACCUAAAGCCUACCCCCAUUGCUGUGCGAUAAUGUGAAGGUUGACUUGCUUAUUAAUAGACCCACCUGCCUGCAUGGAACAUCCCUUUAAAUAUAGGAUAUAGCAACAUUACUUGCAACUAACACAUAUCUUCUCCAGUUGAAGAUGUGCAGGCAAUUCAAGGUGAAUCCAAAAGACACACACCAAUAUGUGUAAUGUAAUGGUCAUAAAAUGCUUGUGAGUUAAACAUUCCCCAUUAAAUGAAAAGCUAUUAACGAAAACAUAUGGCUAUUUUAAACCCUGGCAUUCAGAGACCUAACAGGAAGCCAGGCUUUGCCAACAUGGCAGUUGCCUGGAAAUUUUACGUAGCAGGCAUUAACGAAUCAUUUUGUUUGGCAAGACUACUCAUUGUGCAGACGUUGAAUCCAUGCGAUUAUGGUUAAAAAAAAAUUAAAUAAAAAAAAAAAAAGUAGAUUUCUGGCCUUUUUUUGAAUGUUCUGAUUAAAUUUGUAGGUAAAGUAUAUAAAUAAUAUUUCUGUAGAAAUGUAGAUUUUCAAAUCCCACCAGCUAAGGCAAAGACAAGCCUAAGGCAAAGACAAGAAAGCUUCAUUUAAAAGAGAGAGAAAAAAACACAGAACAUGGCCAGAAUGAGAGGGCGGUGAAAUGUAGCCGCACCAGAGACAUUUUUUCUGUUACACUUUGUGGUUUUCCUGGCAGAGGGAACAUCAAACAUGCUUGCAUGAAGUUUACAAAUCACUACUCAGGACAUUAGGAGUAAUGUACUUGAAAAUAUGGAUGAAACCCCCAAUUUAAGGGACUGGAGAAGUGAGAGAAGAACGUGUACGCCACUACAAGCAAAUCAAUUGUAUGCUUGAAAAUUUUAAUGACACCUUCCUUAUAUUAGAAACCUUAAUCUGAAGAAAAUACAAGCACAUAAAAAAUAAAUAAAAACUCUCUCUCUCUCUCGUAAACCUAAUUUAAAGCCUUCAUGCUUUUAGCUACAAUUCUGUUUAAAAAUAACAAAAAAAAAAGAAUAAGGCAUAAGAUGGGCUUUUAUAAGCGAAUCCAUUAGCUUAUAAGUGAGAAAUAAACGCCAUAUUUAAAAGAACAGCUGCACAAUUUUCUUGAGUGUGUGUAUUCACAGUACAUAUUUUUUUUUAUUGAGCUACAGCAGUUUCUGCAGCGCUGGGCAAUAUAAGACAGCUACAGACAAGUAAACAGACAAGUUUAGUAGACAUUGCCAGUAGCCCCAGAUCUCUAAUAGAGGGGAGUAUUAUUGCUAUGAAACUCUUACACACUCACACCCACAACAUGGAGCUCCUAGAAAAGAUGGAUAUUAGGAUAGUAAAGAGGGACGAGGGACAAAGGGCACAAACUAGGCGUAAGUCCCUCCUAAGUAGGAACAGUUGGGAGCUAUGCCUCUCUAUUACUGUAAGGUUCAUCAAAAUUUCCUUAGGUGUUUCUGGAACCUAGCAACGCCCCAGCAUACAGCUUUACACUAGUACAGAAAUAUAAAUCUUGCUCUUGCAAGCUUACAAUUUGGCAGGAAGUGUAAAUGUUAGAGACAAGUAGGGGAUUGUUUGAUAGAGGAAGUCAAAUUGUGAGGAAGAGCACAAGUUCGAGGAGAAGAACAAAGUGGAGUAUUUGAAGAGAAGAGCAGAGAUUUAAGGACUAAGCGCUAAUCUGAGAUAUGCGAGUAAGGGUCAUUCUGUCCAGACCUGAAGAGGAAUUAAUAGAAAGACUGGCCAAAUGAUGGUGUGAAGGUUGGCUGUUGGCAACCUUAGGAAUCUAUAUUGUAUAUGGGAGGCGGGUGGUAGGCAUCUCUGAAUUGGUGAGUUUUAGGCAAUAUUUAAGGCUAUAAAGUGUUUGAUAGAGAGGCUGACCUAUAGAGGUAAUGAAUUACAGAGAAAAUGUACAGCACAGGUGAAGUACUGCAGACAGAAGUUGGAGGUAGUAGUGACUGAAGAAGAGAGGCACAAGUCCUGGGCAAAAAUAAAAAGACGUAUAGGAGAAGAGUAGACAUUAAUUAGAACUUGGUAGGUAAUGGUUGGGACCUUGAAUGUUUGACAGAGAUGGAAAAAAGGUUGAGUAAAAUCACCUUUUUAACUAAAGGGGGGGCCUCCUACACAGCGUAUUUAGAACUAUGGUUUUAGGAAAACAUGUUUGUAUUCCUGAUACUAUAGUGUUUCUUUAAUCUGAAGCUAACAGGGAUCUAAGAUCCAAUGGAGAGACUGCUGACAAGGAAAUUAGGUAAAUGAUUGUAGUAGAGGUAGAAAUAAGACAGAGGAGUACUUAACUGGACUUAGUGGCAGUAAUCCAGUUGAGAUCCUAAAUAUUUAUUUAUAUUACUUAAGUGAAAAUGCACAAAAAACAUAAAAGGGAAUUCUCAAUACUCUGUGAUAGAAGACACAGAAAACUCAGCAAUAAUGUGUUUUUAGUGACUGAGUUGAUUCAUGACAUCCAAGUGGAUUAUCCGGCAAUGAUUCAACACUAAACAGUGUCUUCGUGGAGCCUAACAAUGGGAUGAAAAUGACAGCCUGGAACUCAGCAAGAAACACCUCACAGAUAGUUGCUAGAACCAUUCACGCGCGUUUCUUGCUGAGUUCCAUGCUGUAAUUAUUUUCUAUAACUUUAUUAAAGCGUGGAGAGGUCACUCUAUGUACUGCAGAGCUGGUAUUUAAUUUAUCAUUUGAUCCAAUUCACUGAAUUUGCUUUGAUGUUCCCCCCCGCCCUUUUAUUAUUAUUAUUAUUGAUUUCUACCUGUUUAUUUUCACUAUUAUUUUCCAACUAAAUGCACUAACUUAAGAAGUGUUGCGAUGUUGCCGCAUUUCUGUAUCUCCUUUAAGUGAAAGAGGUAGGAUUAAGUAGCUGAAUGAAUGUGGAUGAAGAAGGAGAGAAGGGCAUUAAAUGUAACACCAAGGUUGUGAACAAGGGCAGAUAGUGGGAUUUUCACAUUAUUAGUAAGAAGAGAGAUUUUACCUAUAUAAAAUAGAUAUACACAUAUUUACAAAAUGUAAAUACAUUCAUACCUCAAUAAACUGUGAAUUCAGGUUCCUGUCCCACUAUCCCUGAUUAGUUCCCUAGUGUCCAAUAUCUGAGGACACCAGGAAAAUGUCUGCAGAAAGAGUGUAAUUAUUUUGUGCAGAGUGCUCUUAAGGCAUUUAGCCCAUGCUAGAGCACAUCAACAUUUCUUUUAAUGGGACCAAAGUCAUUCAAUUUCCAUACUACAGGUGAGUGCUUACUGAUGUUUAGCUGAACUCACUGACACCAGAUUUGACUAAAAGGACGUGUGUCACUCCAUGUAUCCACCAAAAUGAAAAUGGAGGUGUGCAAAUUCCAAUAGCUAGCUCCAAUCAGUGUUUAGCCAUAGGCCUUCGAUUUGAUAUUUUGAAUAAGCUUUUCGAAUGAAUUAACAUAUUUGAUUAAACUAUUAAAAUUAUUAUUUUUAAAAAUUAAAAUAUAAAAAAAUAUAUCAUUUAUAAAACUAUUUCAAUAUAUCAAAAUAUUUUUCCAAAUAUUAAAUGGUUUUGAGAAGUUUAUCCAAAAAUAUAAAAUAAUUUGAAGAGUUAUCCAAAAAUAUUAAAUUGAGGCCAUAGACUAGAAUACAAGUUUGUGGAAGCCUUACUCUUUGACCCUUGAUGCAUUCCUAUUACUACUAUCUCUCCUGGUCUGAUAUGUAUUUACAGGUUAAUUGAACACUGGCUUACUAUGUUAACUUUGAUCAGAUCUAGUCUGUAGGUCAUUGCCUGGAUCUGAUCAUACUAUACUGCAUUCAGCACUGACCAGCUCUGACUUGCACUGACGCUAUGGACACACAUGCUCACCCUGUUGACUUAAUUCACCAUUGCUCUAUUUACCUUUCGGCUGUUGUGUUGGCCCCAGUGCUUCCACUCACUCAAAGGGAGCUUGUGUUUUCCUGAUCAUGACCUUGCAAGGGCAUCUCUGGGGUUCCAGAACAACCAAUAAAAGGGUCUCAACUACCGAAGUUCUUAACACAGUUUUUUAAUAAUUUACACUGUGUUAAAAGUUAAUACAAUAAUAUAUAUAUCUUUUGACAGUAUUAUAUUGAUAUAUUAACAUCAAUUAGUGCGUGAUAGUGAGAUUGGUGGAGGAGAUUUCCAAACUAAAUUGAGCAAUUCAGAUGAGAAAUAUCCAUGGAAAAGUUUUUUUUCCUCCAUACAUUUUAUGAAAAUUGUAUCCUGAACAUAAUAAAAUGUUAUUAAAAAAAAAAAAAAAAAUCACUUAGGGAGGGGAUGCUGUCCUAAAAAAAAGAUGAUUCAUUAGGUAUCGGGAAUUGUCAGUAAACAGCUGUAGAGAGCUAGUGUUUGGAAUUUGGAAACAGAAAACCACACAUUUUCAGACUCAAUGACUAGUUUAUUACAAGCCAGCCAUAUAAAGUAGCUAAAAUACAUCUUUCCAACUGCAUCAACCCCUACCUUUGAACUCACUCCCUGCCGCUGCAGACUGCCUGAAAAACAAUGGCAUCUGUACAAAGGAUGUAAAGGGUUAAGGGGUUACCUCCCAGCAUUGCGCUCAUGCAGUGCUGUGUCACUACCAUACAUGGUCCAGUUCAUGGGAAAAUCGUUUCUACAUUAUUCUCUUUAACACAUUAAAAACAGUUUUUGUAACUAAAAACACCUCUCCUAACAAACUGAUCUUUCCCAUUACCUAAAUAAUUCAAUACAAUGUGUUUUGUUUUUUACAAAAAAAAAAAAAAGAAAUGGGGCAAAAAAGGAAAAGGUUUCUGUGUUGCUAGUUACAGCCUUAAAUAUUAUACAUGUAUCCUAUAAUGAAACAUGCUUACAAGUACUAAAAAUUAGUUUCAUGGUUAUACAAAAACAGAAAAGCAACUGGCUUUGGUUCUUUUAAAUAUAUUAAAGUUGGCAAAAAGUGCACAAAUAUAAUAUAAAAAAAAAUGUAAAUUUCACGAGGGAGGGAGCCAAGUGGCCAUGCUGAGUGGUCGCACAUGAGAAGAGCUCCGUGCAAAAUCGCUCCCAAUCAGCCAAAAUCGGGGCAAAACCCACCAAAUCGAUGGUUAGGCGACCUGGAGAAGGGAGCCCUAAACCGCAGAACCAAGCGACAAGCAUCCCGACUGAAAUCGUCGGCUUCUAAGCGGGGAUAGACCUUAGGCCUACCACAAGCCUACUCGGACAAAGCAAGGGAGGUGGCCGAUCCCUACGCUGACUGCAGCCACUCACCUGGAGGUCUCCCUGGCAUACUCCCUCUCUCCCCUGCCGGUGAGGGAUAUCCCGGCAACUAAAGCCUGACACACAGCAGCAAAACUACAGCGGAGACUGUUCCACACAGCCGGAACAGCACCAGCAACCAUGGCGGUCACCACUUGUAACCAUCUGAUUAGCGCCCCGCUACCCCCUCUGGAAGAAAGGUUGGAUCGCCUGUUCGUCGCCUUUUGGGCCGAAAUAUACCACCAGGGGGCACAGAAGUGGAGACCCCAUCAGCAGCAACCCAAGUGAAGGCCGGGCAGAGACCCGCGGCUCCCAUCAGGGGUAAUAGCAAAGCUAAAAUGGCGUGAAAGAGGAGGCGGACGACCCGACACAAACCUCGACAUCGCAGACCAAGACCAGCAGUGAGUCGUCCUACCACCAAACAGGGACUACCCCUUUGCAGUCUCACCACACUCUGGAAGUCCCACCAUGUGGAGAACCCACACAAGAGACCGCGGAGACAUAAAGUGGAAUCUUGCCGCACUCCCACAGCACCCCCGAGAACUCAUACCCAAGUAACUGACCUGCCUCACACGCUGACGACAAAAGCGGCUCAGAGUCAGACACCUUUUCCAGCUAUAACACCCCUGCACAAGCGGGGCAUAGGCUGAAAUGACCACACCAUCGAGGCACCAGCCCCCCCACCGCGAGAUGCAGGCCGAUCGGAAGAUUGGUGUACAAGCCCUACACACUCGCACUGGGACGCUCUCCUGCAGAUACCGUUGAUCUAGUUUUGCCUAAAACGGACCCCAUACAUGACUUUGCGCAGCAUCUUAUAAUGUGUUAUGUUCAUUUAUUUCACAUGUAAUUUAAGUGUGAACCUUAAUGCAUGCUAAAGUCACUAACGACCAGGAAAGCCUGUACUUUAUAAGCCUGACAGCCUAAAACUGACUAACCAUAAUCUUUAGCGCAGAUCAUAUGUUGUUGUAAAGUAUUCUGUCCUGGCUAGUUGUGUACCCUGAAAAGCGACAUCAACAUAUAUACACAUAAAUGGGCAAUAUCAUCUAACGCCUAACUAAUGCAACACCAUGCUAGAAUAAUUGCCCACCUAAGUUGUGUUAGUAUUAUCAGCCUGAGUAACAACGCUCUUACCUUUAGAACUAAUCUCCUGUUAAUUCAUGUUAUUUCAUGCUACUUAUGUUCCCCUGUUCUAACUAACCUUGCACCUCACCUUCUCAGAUAAGCAGUUCGGGAGUAAAUACUUGACGAGCGACAUUCAUAUAUAUAUAAAAAAUGUGCAAUGCCCUCUAAUGCCUAACUAAUGUAAAACCAUGAGAAUAACUGCUUGACCUUGCUCUUGUGGCAUAAUGAAUGCGGCAGCGAGGCUCAUCUUCCUGUCCGCCCGCACCUCCCAUGCCUCAGCCUUCUGUCAGUCCCUACAUUGGCUUCCUAUAAAAUAUAGAGCUCAAUUUAAAAUUCUGGUUCUUGCCUUCAAAUCUCUACAUAAUGCUGCUCCCACCAUCUAUCCUCCCUUAUACACAAGUAUGUCCCGUCUAGGCCCUUACGAUUUGCUGAAGACUUACGUCUAUCUUCUGUCCGUACUCCCACCUCUGAUGCUCGCCUUCAAGAUUUCUCGAGGGCUGCACCGUGAGGGAUAUCCCGGCAACUAAAGCACCUGUGGAACUCGCUUCCCUCCUCCGUUAGAUGCUCACCCAGUCUCCACUCCUUCAAAAAAUCGUUAAAAACCCACUUCUUCAUAAAAGCGUAUCAAUUAAACUGUUAAUAGCUCCUGACUGAUUCCUCUUCUGCCACUGUCACUAGUCUAAUACUAUCCUUACCUUUUUGUGUCAUUUUACCCCACUCCCUCUAGCAUGUAAGCUCAUUGAGCAGGGCCCUCAACCCCUCUGUUCCUGUGUGUCCAACUUGUCUGGUUACAACUACAUGUUUGUUUGUCCACCCAUUGUAAAGUACUGUGGAAUUUGACGGCGCUCUAUAAAUAUCAUCAUAAUAAUAAUAAUAAUAAUAAUUGUAAGCCUGAUGUGUCUUUUCCUUGCACAAAUAAAAUAAAGAAUUUAAAAAAAAAAAUGUAAUUUUCCCACUCCAUUUUGUAAAUGAGGAAAUACUGAUGCCAGGGAACGCCUGACACCAUUAUAACUUCAUUCUGAUGUUGUUGUUAUGGUGCCCAAAGUGUUCCUUCAAGUUUUCCACCAUAUAUCUCAUUUGCUCUGAUAGUAUAAGGUUUUACUUUUACUUGCUUGCGCUUUAUCUUUUUGAAUUAAUAUUACUAAAUAAAUAUCUCUGCUGAUAUCAACUUCAGACAUUGCUUCUGUUGUUAUAUAGAAUUAUACAAUGAUAUCCACAAGGCUAAUCUGCACAGUAGAACGUGUCAAAACUAGAAUUUUUUUUUUAAAGUUUUUACAAAACCAAAAAAAAGAAAAAGCUCUACAAAAAACAAAACAAACUAAAUCUUACCCCUAGCUAGUUGCUAACCCAUGUUAAUUUUACUCUACAUGGGUUUAUCAACUACUGGCUCUUACUGCCUCCCUAUAAAAAAAUUAAAAAGUCCUGUAAAAAUAGCCGAAAACUUACAAGGUCCUUCAAGACUACUUUUUCCUCAAGCCGGAUCAUCCGGCAAGCACCAUCACUUGUAGUGGAAGUAGAGAAGGAAAACUGGACAGUGGGAGGGCUGGACUGUAGGGAUUCGAGUGAGAGUUCAAUGUUAGGAGGCAGGGAGGGUUGGAAAGAGCAAUUUGUGCAAGGAUGGACUGAAGUGAAUGAGAUAAUUACACCACGGUAGAAUUUUUUGCGCAGAGCUCAUAUAGUCAGCCCAGGAACAGAAUUCUGGCCUAAGUCAUGUGUGCAGGGAGGUUUAACACCUCGCAACAAAAACUUACAGGGUAAUAUACUAGAGGGUGUAUAUGGAUAGCAAAGGAGUAUAGCUGAUAAUCUACCGAAAAAUCUAAGAAAAACAGUACAAUAGUGUAAUACACCCGGAAGUGAAAAACGGAAGUGACAUACCAGAAGUGAUGUCAUAUGGGUACAGCACCCACGAAAAUCAACUGAAAAAUCCUCUGAAACAGCUGGACAGUGUGGAAGACACCCCCUGGAUCACCAACAGGAAAAGAUGUCAGCCAUAUAUAAGGAAGGACUGGGGAGGGAUGGGUCAAGCUGCUUUUUUGUCCAUUUGUUAGGAUAUUUCAUAUGUCCAAAUUUGUUUUUUAUUACUUUGUCCCUGAGGAAGUCUUAUAUAAGAUGAAACGCGUAGGACCAGAUUUGUUUUUUUUAUCUUUUAUACUUAUAAAAUACUUAUUAAUAAAGCAGAUUAUUUUUACCAUUUCCUGAGUCUGGACUUCCAUAUUGUGGCGACACCACCAGCCAGCUGAGAGGGAGUUCUGGAUAUACCCCCCAAACAUGUAAGGGGAGGCACCCUGAGGCGAUCUUACUAUUCUCAUCUUGUGUGAUCGAUUGAUAUUGGCGCAGUUUUAUUGUUUAUUUACAAUAUUACACUAUUGUACUGCUUUUUUUCUGUAGAUUUUCAGCUAUACUCCUCUGCUAUCCAUAUAUAUAUAUACACUCUAUUUUUACGGGUUAAGGUCUGGAACAUCCCGAGAGGAAGCUGUUAUUUUAUAACGAUAAGUUAUUUAUUUGUAUACUUUAUAUAUAGAGGUGUGGGUUCAGACACACUCUGUCUCUUUUUUGCUAUAUACUAAUAUACUAGAGGAAAAUUUGGAAUUCACUUUGAAUUCUCACUUUGGUGAACAACCCGGACAGAUUUCUUUGUAUAUUGGCCAUGGUGGUUGGAAUAAACCUUAAAGGGACCCCUGAAGCACUUUAGCUUGCUAAAAAACCUAAUGUGUGAAGGGUGUAUCCUCAUUUUUUCAUUUUGGAAUUAGUGCAGAUAUACAAUAGAAAUUGACACUUUUAUGAAUUUACCUGGUUACACCCCCUUGACUUUUCAAGCAGACAACUGCUCUUGUUACUUUGUUUUACUUGUUUGGUUGUUUUGUGUGUGUCUCUGAUUCCUUUUUAUCAUAUUGACUUCAGCACAGGCCUUUGUCUUGCAGCCCUUGACCUUGUUACAUACACUUGGCGCAACCUUAAAGGGACGUGAUUAACGUGAAAAAAAAUUUUAAGCCCGCAAACAAAUCCUUUUAUACAGAUAUACAAACGAAAAUCAAAUCAAAAAUAGUUUGAAAAGUAUUUAAUAUAUGUUUAUAAACUUACUAAAAACGUUGCCAGCUUGCUUUGUCUGGCACGCCUCUCAACUAGGGUAAUUCCUUCAGCCUCAACCCCAUGCCACUUACCCACCUUUCACGCACCAACUGACCCACUCAUCUCAGUUUCACGUUAACUAGCACUAGCCAUGCAUGACAAACUAUGUACACAUUCAUAAAUUUUGCAAACAAAAGACCAAAGGUGCUGAGAGUCAGGGAAACAGUAAUGCCAAAUUAGUAUCUACAGAAAAGAGCUAGUGUAACAAUUGAUUGUGUGUAUGUGUUACGUGUGCUGUCUGUAUGUGAUGUGUGCCUUUCACGUAGUUCAUACUAAUAGUCAGAACGUUUUAUCCCAACAAAGAAAGAAAUGGUGGAAUUUAAUGUAAAAGGAGCAUGCUAGGCAGGAGGCCAACUGAUUGCAAAAGUUCUACAGGAUACCUUGAAUUAAAAAAAAAAAAAAAAAGUACAAGUUCAGAAAAAAAAGUGUUGUGACAUUAAAUGAUAAUUUUAUAUUUUUUUAUUAUUAUUAUUUAUAUUGAAAGCGCUAGAAAGAGGUAACCACUGUCUUCAUCUAGAUACUUCACUUCCAGCAAAUAAUACCGGUAUCAUAUCACUCUCCCAGUUUGGCAGCAUGGCAAAAUCAAAAGGUAAAUUUAUCGAGGUUGAGAUAAGAAUUGAAAAUGCCAUUACACGCUGAAUUUCCUCCAAGAAUACUAAAAUCAAAGCCAGAAUUAAAUGCAAAUCGGUACCAACAUGAAACAGAAAAUUCAACGACAUUUAUAUCAUAAAGUAAAACAGGAUUACUGAAUAUUGUUGAAAUAUUCCCUUUCAGCUCUGCUUCGUACCAUACUGUUUGUGCUCAAGGUUCUGACAGCCCACCUGCCCCUAAAGGGUUAAAAAAAAUAAUAAUAAAGCAAACCUAAAUUUAGAUGACACAUUUUGAUUUUGCAUUUAAAGAUGAGCAGGGUUAUUCAAUAAAACUGUGAAUAAUCACAUUGAAAAAAUUCUUCAAGUUAGCUAUUUUUCCAGCGCUCAACAUUUGACUUAUAAAUUGCAAUUUUUACUCAUUUGUUCAUAAUUCCUAAUUUAGUGAAUAGCCCUACCCUCUAAUUAAAAUUAAAAUUCUGUAGGGAUCAUAUGUCAAAAGUAGCAGUGUCAUCAAAGGUUAUUUAUAACAAAGAGAAGAUAAAUAUAUAAAUAAAGCAAAAUGUUUGUUUCUGUUUGAUUAGUGCACAUUUCCUAUUUAACACGGCUGAUGUUAUUUCACACGUCCUCAUAGCAGAGCACUUGUUCUUUAAUCUCCCUUAAUGCACUCUGGCAUCAUCUGCUUGAGCUAUCUCGAGUUAACGGCAACACAUGUCCACUCGCAUAAAACUUGCUGCGAGUUUUCUGAGAUGCCUUGGGAAACGGGACUGCUUUCUUUCACUGAUGUGAUAAUAUGCUGGAAUGACUAAUUAAUGAAAAUAAACAACUUCACUUAGAAAAGAGAGAAGGGGGGGAAGAGACAUAAUAUUGUGAAAGUAAAGCAUGCAAGGACCAGGGAUGGGAAUAUUGAAUCUGAUAAUAUGUAACAGCAAACAAAAUAUUUUCAAAAAGCAAUGGAAGGAAUCAGAUGGGUGCUCAAUCUUGUACCUAAACCUGAGUUUGGCCUGCAUAUCCCACAAUUCACUAUCACUUCUGUAAGACCAAGGUUGGAAAAUCUAAUUAAUGAUGCAAUCCUAUAGAUUGUGAGGUUUCUUAUUCAUAUUUUUAAAAAAUAGUUAAUGUUUUAAAGGAACACCCCACGUACCUAAAACACUUUAACAUGCCUUUCCUUCAGGUUUAUUUGAUAAAAGUGCAGGUUUCAAGAGAAGUGUCUGCUGUUUUCCCAUUGUUUAACAUUUUACCUGGAUACAAUCUGUGCCACAUUCGCCGUCAGAAAAUGCAAUUCUUGGCGGAGAGCGUCUGCUGAGCGCUUUCAGCCAAUGACUCCAGUCCUGCAAUCUUAUUGCUUUCUUCUAAAGUGACGUCUGGCUUCUCCUCCUGGAGAAGACCAUACAUGGCAUGGGUGCCCAAUGGGAUCAGGCAAAAGCGGUAAGAUAUUUUACUGGGGGAUGGCACCAGGGCAUCCAAGCUGUAAUAGUUAUGAUGCUUGGACUGUCCUUAUGAAAGAUCCCUCUAAGCACUAUAAUCACUACACUCAUUGCAACUGUUUUGGCUAAGGGAGACUUUGGGUGCCAUUUUUGAUCAGUGUGGUCAAGAAAAAAGCCUAUCCAGGCACAAAAAGCCCAGCCCUUCUGAUCUGACUUGGCUACAGCGACAGUGAACUUCUGCAUUGGACGUCAAGAACUGGACAGCUCUUAAGGGACAAUAUAAGCACCCAGACCAGAGAUAUACCAAUCUUUAUAUUGCAGGGUUCAACAUAACUCCAGUGGAUGUCCUCUUGACAGCUACUUAGGACUGUUUCCGCAUCCAGGACAGAGUCAAACUUGGUUCUUGACAUUCAACCUCCUGACGUCAAAGUUUAAAGGGCUAUUCCCUAAAUCAUGGAUUGUUGGGAACACACAAGGCAAAUUGAAAUUUGAGGCCAAAAUAGACAAUCUGAAAAAAUAGGUUAGUCCCAGGUUUUUUCUAUAUGCUAUUUUGACCUAACAUUUUUAAAUUUCCAGGAUAAUUUCUAAUAAUUUGUGGUUUAGUGAAUUAGCAAUUAAUAUUUGGCACAGCAAGCAUAUCCCAAACCAAGAGAAUAUAAUAAAGCAGCGAUCCUGUAUGCAUCAUUAUACUUAAAGGAACACUAUAGCGUUAGGAAUACAAACAUGUAUUCCUUGUUAGAUAGGUUCCGCCCCCCACUGAGAAGUCACUUAUGCCCAGUGCUAUAUAGGGUUCCCUUCACUAGUUACUUAAAGAAGUAGUCUCUAUUACUGUGUGUAACAGACAGUCAAUAAAGCUUGGAUGCUCUGUUACAGUGGAAUAUAAAGUACAAUAUAGUUUCAAAGGUUUAGAGGUGGAUUUCAUAAAACACAAACAUUAUUUCAAACAAAUAUCACAGGAUGCUACCAAACCAAUCAGAGAUGCUUAUAAUUAUAACUUCUCUUCUACACAGUGAUAGAUAUAUAUACUGUGGCGUACAUAUAGGGGUUGCAGCUGUGACCGGGCACCUCACUAUGGGGGGCCCGGCCGACCCCUGGGACCGGGUACCAGCAGCUAUGUUUUGCAGCCCUGGCCCACGUGGCAAACCGCUGGGGCCGCACGUUCAAGAGUCCAUCGGGUGGCCCAUCCUGUUAGGGCCACCAGAUGGAAAUGAAUUUCCAGGGGGUGCUUUAACAGCGCAACCGGGCCCCAUGUGAUAAGAUCACUGCUAGGAGGAAGUGACUGCCCCGGUCACUCCUCCCAGCUAUCAGCAAGAGAACUCUGACUCCCACCAGCCUAAGACACCACUAGACCCCAGGGAAAGUCACCCUCCUGCACCUGAAAGGUAGGAAACAGGAGGGUAACUUAAACAUUUUGUAUAUGUGUGUAUGUUUGUUUGCAUGCCUGUGUGUGUGUGUAUGUGUCUGUAUGUAUGUGUGUGUCUGUAUGUGUCUGUGUGUAUGUGUGUGUGUCUGUCUGUAUGUAUGUUUGCCUGUCUGUUUGUAUGUAUGUAUGUGUUUUUGUAUGUAUGUGUGUCUUGUGUGUGUGUGUGUCUGUCUGUAUUUAUGUGUCUGUGUAUCUGUCUGUAUGUCUGUCUGUAUGUAUGCAUGUUUCUGUCUGUGUGUGUGUAUGUAUGUAUGUAUGUGUGUAUGUAUGUGUCUUUGUAUGUAUGUGUGCCUUGUGUGUGUGUCUGUGUGUAUGUAUGUGUGUAUGUGCCUGUAUGUAUCUGUCUGUGUGUGUGUGUAUGUGUCUCUGUAUGUAUGUGUGUCUAUAUGUAUGAGUGUGUGUGUGUUUGUCGGGGGAGGAGGAGCGAGGGGGGGAAGGGAGAGGGGGAAUGGAGGGGGGGAAGGGAGGGAGGAGGGGAAGGGAGGGAGGGAAGGGGGAAGAAGAAGGGGCCUCAUGGAUCAGUUUCGCACCACGGGCCCCAUGGAUUCUGUGUACGCCACUGUACACACACAAACGAGCACGUCCUGAGGAAGCCGAUUGGCGAAACGCUUUGACGUCAUACAAAGGGGGAGGAGCGUACAGACCACGGAGUCCGGAGGCGUUUGUUUUCUGGCAGCAGACAAUACACGAGGAGAUUCUCUAGCAGCCAAACAGGAAGAACGCCGGACGAGCAGCCUACCACCCUAAUGAUUGAACUCUGAUAGUGAGUUGACAUAUAUGUGUCAAACUCACCACCUUAUCUAGUAAGGGGCUUGUCACCCUAUUUUUUAUCAUAAUUUUUUAUUAUUCUAUUUUAUGUAUAUAUGUACUGCUUUUUCUGCAUGUGACAGAUAAUAAAUUUAUGUCAGCUUUUUCCUAUUGGGGUUUCACCAAAUAUUUCUUAAAGUGAUACUUCACAAUUUAUGAAUUGUUACAAGUAUAUAUGCUUAUAUAUUUUUUAUACAAUCUGCACUAUCAUUGCUUUUUUUCCCUUUUUUCUUUACAUAUAUACCAUUAUUGCUGGAAGUUACACUUAAAAUCGAAACCAGUUUGUAUAUAUAUUCUUUCUUCUGUCUUAUAUAUGGUAUAAAUUGCUCCACUCACUAGCACACAUUACUUUCUCUUUUUGGUGGAGUUUUGGGAUUACACCAGAGUGUGAAGCCAUUUUGAAAACAAUUUUGAAAACUAUUUAGCACCCAGGUUACAUCUGUUAAUAUUGUACAUAAUGACAAAUAAAGAAAAUGGUAUACCUUAAAACAAGCAUGUCAAACUCAAAGGCUAACAUGGGCCAAAUAAACAAGGUUAAAGUUUACCUAAAACUUCAGUUUUCAUAGAAACGUAUAAAAAUGUUGCCUAACUGACAUUGGAAGUCCUCACGCUCGUGGGGUUUCAAAGUAAACAAAAGAGCACGUUUAUUUUAAGGAGAUGUGCAUUUGCAUAUAACCAAUGUUUCAGUCCAACUACCUUGACAUAUUAAGAAAAGUUUGGUAAUGGAACUGAAAUGGUAGAUGCAUGCUGUUACACAGCUGUAAAAACAAAUGACAAUAUCUUGUUGAUUUUUCAGUCCUAUGAGUGUGCUCUUCACGUUGGCUGAGAUCAUCAAACUUGAUGAUCUCAGCCAAUCCAAUGCUUUCCCACUGGGGGCUAUUGUGAAUGUGUGGGAAAACGCUGCGCUGCCAAUUAGCAUCUCCAUGGGGAGCAUUCAGCGCCUCCAUGCAGACCCAAUCUAAUACACUGUCCCCUCCCCCCACUCUAGUAGAGUGCCUCCCAUCUAACACACUACUCCAAAUACAAUACACUGCCUUCCCAUCUAACAGACUUGCCCCCAAUCAAAUACACAGCAUCCCCCAAUCUAAUAUACUUGUACCCCCUGCCUCUCCCAAUUUAAUACACUGCCCUCCCUAAUUUAAUACACUGGCCCCUCUCCCACCACUCUAAUACACUGCCCCCUGCCUCUCCCAAUUUAAUACACUGCCCUCCCUAAGUUAAAACACUGCCCCCUCUCUUACCACUCUAAUACACUGCCCCCAUCCUUCCCCCAAACUAAUACACUGCCUCCCUCCCCAAUUUAACACACUACACAGGAAGGUCCCCCAUGCCACUCUUCCCCUACCUUAAGAUGUCAUCCAGUUCCAGCCCUGCUCUUCUCUGCUCAAGCAGGCCAGAUGCUUCUCUAGCACUGUGAGCAGGUGGGAAGGGGUAGUGGUUGGCUGCUGACAGACAGCCACUCUGUGCACUGUAGCACCAGCACCACUGCACAGCUGCCGGAUAUGAUGUCACACGCUGUAUGCGCAUAUCUGAUGGCUGGCGUAGACUAAUGCUUAGCGCUCUUGCGGCCGCCGUAGCACUCGAUCGGCAAUGGCAGAGCAGACAGGAAAGGUGUUUCCGGUCUUGCAGUUUGUCGCAGCCACAGAACAAAGAUGCCCCAGGGCAGGCGUGCCACAAAGAUAGUCACUGUGGGCCGCAUGUGGCCCACGGGCCGCAAGUUUGACAUGCUUGCCUUAAAACAUAGUUCAACAUGUUAAGUCCCAUGCUACUAGCCAAAACUUAAAAGAUACUAGUCACUGAAAAGUCUGGAGAGCCUAUAACACAUUCACCAGGGGAGACUUUCUAGUCACCAGUGCUGAUGUUUCACUAACCAUUGGCUAGUGUUUGAGUGAUAAAUUUGAGUCCUGACUUAAAAAAGAAAUGGAUGAAACAGAAUAUGCCUUAUCUUUACAAUAAUAAUCUGCAUGCUGCAAUUUCAGCUUAGAACCAUCACAUAUUCUACAUUGCACAAAAUGAGUAGCUAAUGCCAUAUGCAAUUUAUUUGCCGGGGGAAGAGAGAUCAACCGUGAAGGGAGAAGAACAACAAGUGUACCUGUCAUUGUACACCAAUCAUAUGUUAAAAGCAUAACAUUUCAUCUACAUGUUGUGGUAGCAGAAAUUAUAGCCAAUUAGCUAUAAAUGUUUACAUAUUUUAUUUGGAAGUUACAUCCCUUCUCAAACAAUCAAUUCACAUUGUUACGAUCUAUGCUGUUGGCCUUGACAUCUAGCAGAGAAUUGAUUGACAAAAGAGAAGCAGGAGAAUCCCUCCUAUUGAUGGCUCUCCUGCCCUUCCUAACAGCCACCCAAACCUAGGCGCCUCCUACCUCUCCUUACUUUUAACAUGAUUGCUCUUAGUGAAGUGUAGAUAGCAGAGUCAAUCAUUUCGUGAAGGGAGUGAGAAAUGUAGGUGGAACUGGAGGUGCAAGUUACAUUAGUGUAACAGCCAUGAAUGCAAGAAGAUAAUGACAUUCUUGGUGCUAGGCAAGAGUUAAGCAUUAACCUAAGUUCUCAGUUAAGAUAUGAGAUACAUUAUUGAUAAUAAAGAUCAAUUAUCCAAAUUUUGCCUAAUGAUGUAUUAGGAACUUAAAGUGAACUUGCUAGGUUCACUUUAAUUCAUCAGCUUUAAAGGACCACUAUAGUGCCAGGAAAACAUACUCGUUUUCCUGGCACUAUAGUGCCCUGAGGGUGCCCCCACCCUCAGGGUCCCCCUCCCGCCCGGCUCUGGAAGGGGGAAAGGGGGUAAAACUUACCUUUUUCCAGCGCUGGGCGGAGAGCUCUCCUCCUCCGAUCCUCCUCUUCUCCUCCCCGUCGGCUGAAUGCACACGCAUUCAGCCAGUCACAUAGGAAAGCAUUCAUAAUGCUUUCCUAUGGACACUGGCGUGCGCUCACUGUGAAAAUCACAGUGAGAAGCACGCAAGCGCCUCUAGUGGCUGUCAAUGAGACAGCCACUAGAGGAAAUAGGGGAAGGCUUAACCCAUUCAUAAACAUAGCAGUUUCUCUGAAACUGCUAUGUUUAUGAAAAAAUGGGUUAACCCUAGCUGGACCUGGCACCCAGACCACUUCAUUAAGCUGAAGUGGUCUGGGUGCCUAGAGUGGUCCUUUAAGGAGAGCAGUUUGGGAGUGUCAAAUACAUAUGGCUAGAUUUGCACACAGUUGUAACUGUUGUAUAUACUGUAUAAAGUGUAGAGUGUGUUUAGUGUAGAGGGUCUCCUGAUUUCAUCCAUAGGUGAGUAGUCACACCAUUCUCUGUUUAGAGCUUUCCUGGGUCCCCCAAGUGAUGUCAAUUCUCUUCCCUUUGGACAGACUUUUUUGGCUGAAUACAUAAACUGACUCUCUCAGCCAAUGAAUAUUGUCCAAAUAUAGACAAAAUUGAUCUAUUGAGGAAGGGAAAUUUUAGAUAAAUGGAGACUGCACUGAAGGUGUCCAGGGAACAAAGUAUCAAACUGUUUGAAAAUGGGCUAUAUACUGGGUACACAGAGAACAUAUCAAAUAAAACUUUUGCCAAUAAAGGGGCACCAAAGUCACCAGAAACACUUCAAUGAAUAGCCUGUCCUUGAAGUCUUAGCAAUGUAAAAUAUGCCUUUUCAGAGAAAAUGCAGUGCUUACUUUGCUGGCUAGUAACACCUCUAGUGGCAGUCACUCAGACGGCCACUAAUGGUGCAGCACUGGUGUUCAGGAUCUCCACACUCUGCAUGGAGACGUUGAACGCUCCCCAUAGAGAUACAUUGAUUCAAUGCAUCUCUAUGAGGAGAUAAUGAUUGGCCUUGCGCAGAGUUUUACUGCGCAUGCGCAAUUGUCUCACAAUGGUUUUCUAUGGGAAUGCAGUGAAUUGUUGACAAUCUCAGUGAUGGAGACAGAGUCAACCGCAGCAGUGGAGUAAAGGUAAGUAAACUACCUUUAAUCUUCACAUAUUGGGGUGCUGGGGACCUAAUGAUGUAUUCCAGCACUAUAGAGUCAGGAAUACACGUUUGAAUUCCUGACACAUUAGUUCCUUUAACUAAACAAUAAUCUACAGUAGCAUUAAGUAUCUAAAAUGAUAUGAAUAGGUUUUAAAAAAAUAUAUAUAUAAUAGCAGACAUAGACAAUAAUUAGGAAUGGGGAAGUCUUAAAGUGCUGGACAUCUUGCAUACAAUUUUGACUAACCUUUUUGGCGGUGGUCCAUCAUCAAGCUUUCUUUAUCGUUACCCCAACUUCUGCAGCAGCAAAAACCCUAAAUGACUCCCUAAAUCUGUCAGGUGUAGCUGUUGGUGGGUGUUUUUAUUGUGCAUUUAAGUGUUUUAACAGACACCACCAUUACAACUACGACUAAUCUUAUCAUCAGACUUAUGUUUAACCCGCCAAUAUAAUGAAAUACCUCAUUAUGGUUUUAUUUGGGAGAUAGCAUUUACACAUUUCAUUUCAUGGAUGGCUGCUAUUAACAUUAUAUACAAAGCACCAACAUAUUCUGGAGCGCUGUACCAUUAGCAUGGUGCACUAAAUAGAAGUAGAGUGGAAGACUCAGGGGUAAUGUUUUUACUGUAACAAAUAACAAUAAAUAAAAAAUACUUGCUUAUAGUAGGACUAGUUGACACUUAGAUUAGCUUUUCAGUUAAUACAAUUAAUGAAAGUCAACAAUUUAAAGGUACUGAAAAAUGCUUGUGAUAUACAGAAUACUGGUAGGGAAUUAUAGUGCAUUGACAUUAGAAAAACAAAUUGUAAGAUAAACUAGCCAAGCUGUAACUAUAGGAGAGCUCGAUAAUUUCCCAACUUUGCCAUUUUGGAUUUACUUCACUUCAUUGUAUAGUGAAUAACCUUGUGAUAUUUGAUUUCAGGCAGACUAACAUGUGCAAUUGUUUCAUACCACCCAUCACAAACUAAUCACUAAAAUUAGAAUGAAACAUUACAGUUAUAUAUUACAUUGCAAUGCACCUACAAAAUAAAUUGUUCUCUCAAGCUUGCCUUUAAAUACCCGUAUCCUUGUAAAUACCCGUUAUAAUACAUAAGGAGAAACCAAAAUAAUAUAAUAAAAAUACAAACAGGGCUUUAACCCUUUCAGUGCCAGGGUGCACUGACCAUUCCUCUCGCGCUGAAAAGGAUUAAUACUUUGACUAAUUCAAGGGUAUGCACUGCUUGCCAAAGCUUCCUUGCAUUUAAAGAGUUAAACGUCUCUCUGAACUAUAAAGCAUCACUUUCAGUUAAGACUGCACAGAAUGAAACGGAUCUAGCACUUACAAUUAAAUAGCUGAAUUGUAGCACCUAGCACUCUGCUCCAAAGACCAACCAUCCAGUCCCUUGAAGAUGCAAUAAAGUCUCUGUAAUUUAAGAUUAUUGCAAAAGAGCAAAGGCCAGUUGAUGCUUUUUAGAACUCUAAUUUCAACACUUAAUGCUGUUCAUUACAGGGGUUAAACAAGUUUCUCCAAUGCAAGUACUUAAAGUAGCUUAAACCAUAAACAGAAUCUAUUGCAUGGUCUGACAGACACUAAUAUAUUUCCCCUUUACAUUUCAGUAACACAAAAAGGUUAAGUACAGAUAGCUAGACUAUAAAAUUCUGAAAAGAUAAUACAUGAAAGGGCCACUUGAAAAUAACAUGUACCCCAUAUAAUUUUGGGGUAACAAUACAACAAAUCAGUGAAUGAUUGAAUUCACGCUUACUUUAUAUUCCAUUUUAAAUAUACAAAAUAAAGUGACGUUUUCAAAUAGUUUCAGUUGUGUUAUGUCAAUAAAAGGUUUUCAUGAAUGAAUCGUUAGUAAUGUGAUACUCUUCUGUAUUAAAAAUGGUUUUAAUUGUUUUGUUUUUAAAGAUGGAGGAUAUUAGAAAUUUCAAGGUUAACAAAAAUUGCUAAUUCGGACAAACUAUAACUCUCAUGCGAGUGUGAAUUAUCAUUUUUUUAUUGUACAUAUACAUGAUUACAGAUCACAGUGUUAAAUUAAAAGGUGCAUUACAACAUACAAGGAAAUAAUAAAAAAAAAUUGGAGAAAAAUAAGGAUACAUGCUGCAUUCUUCAACACAUAGGUCCCUGGCAAUAAUAAAAACACUGCAUGUGUUCACAUUCCAGAUGGAGAGAUAUUUUGCAGAAUAAAACAAAUACAAUAAUAAAAUAAAAAACUCCAGUAUUUAAAAGAUGGUUUCUAUCAUUUAAGGAGUUAAAGAGUACAUGUUUUUAGAAAGUUACCAAAAAAAGAACAUAGCCUCAAAAUGGCAAUUUAAUAAAAAAUGUACUUACCCAGAAAAGGUAAGCAGAACAUAAGCAGGUUGUAGUGUCACAAGAUUUAAAACACUAUUUAAAUAAUCUUACACUUUAAAAGUAAUAGAAAAAAACAAACAGAGAGAUGACACAAUGAGACCAAAGGCUAAACUUACCCACCUUAAAAAAAUACCUACUUCAGAGCCUACGAAAUUCCAUUACGCGAUUCAAUCUUCGCUGUAAAACUUUACUCAAGCUUAAAAAAAUAAAUCUCAAUAUAGCAUUAAGAAACGUAGAUGUGGGAUUACUGUCCCUUAAGCAUUUUUUUUUUCAGUAAGGAAUUUUCUAUAAACGUUGAAUUGCUUAAAUGCACCAUUUCCCUUCACCUCUUUAUUCAGUUGUCUCUAAAAUCCAUGUUUAAUAACUAUGAAACUGUGCUCAUAAUUCUGAACCUUUGGUUUCUCAACAAAGACCAACGUAUGUGAGAGCCUGUUUCUGCAUAAGUGAACUUGCUAGCCCACAGCCUCCAGUCAGGCUGUUCUUGACAACAGCUCAGUAGAAGUUCUGUUUGAUCUCCCCUGCUCUCCUUAAUCUGACCUGUCAAGGUUCACUUGUUGGAGGCUGUUUACUUUACGUUCCCCCAAAAAAGGGAUUUUUUUUCCCCUCUCUCUCAGACAAUGACUAAUCCAAAGACUACAAAAAAGGAAGUUAAAAAAAAAAAAAGCAUUAAAUCUACAAUAAUACUUUUAUUUUCCGUCGUAUUUCAAAACUUUCAGUUUGCACUUUCACUUUUUAGAAAAUAUCUCUGUCUUUUAUAGGAAUUUGAACCAUCAAAAAUAAACACAUACAAGCAUUGAUAUACUACUAAUGAGCAUUGUACGAAUGUGAGAAAUCGAUGAUAUUUUAAUAUAAUAAAGAGGGGGGCUGAAAUUUGUUAUGCAUACCUUGUUGUAGAUCUGUGACUUAAAUUCAGAAACAAAUCAUAUGAUUAAGAUUUCCAUCCAUCAUUUAAAAUUGGAAUGCCUUCAUUUCCAGCCAGGAAAACGUAUAAAAAACACUUGCU